AAUGGCCACCCAUGGUGUUGGUGGCAAAUAUAUUGAUAUGGGGGAUUUAAAAACCCCAACCAAAUUACAUUACAUUACAUAUUAGGAAAUAAGAAAUCAAAAAUAAAAAAUUAAACGACAAACUACGCCUAUCUACUCUUUUGGAAACUUGAAACGAACACAACCACCUUGACAUAAACCCAAUCUUUGAAGCUGUCAUAAAACUGAAAAAAUGCACGUCUCCCUCGACGGUUGAGAAUUAAAGCGCCACAUGCCAUCCAAAAGCCAGUAGCAAAACCCAUGCCCCCACCAAUAUAAAACCAUCUCUCAACUUCAUCAUCUAUGUCUUCCACAUCACCCUCACCUUUACCAAUAAGAGGUGGUACUUCUGGUUCUUCAUCUCCAGGACAAUAUUUAGUAAGGGGAGGUCCGCAUAGUCCUUUGUUUCCAUUGUAUCUUGAAGGUUCAAAGGAUUGGAGUUGAGUGCUGGUUGGGAUUCUCCCUGAAAAGUUAUUGUAAGACACGUCUAUGUAAUUCAGGAAGCUCAUAGUAGACAUGCUUGGUGGUAUCCCUCCCGAAAAACUAUUUCUGGAUAAAUCCAAAAUCUCAAGAUUUUUCAUCUCACCAAUUUUCGGUGGAAUCUCUCCAGAUAACUCGUUCUUUGACAGGUUCAGGGAAACCAGGUCAUGAAGAAUGGUAAUUUCAUUUGGGAUUUGUCCUGUUAAUUUGUUGCUUGACAGGUCAAUGGUCUUCACCAAUUUCAGAGUUCUACUAAAUUCACGUUCAUCUCCAUGCCACUCAAUAGUCGCAUGGUCGGCAUAUGUACGUUGUGUACGUACAUUAUAACUUCUCACAAAUUCAUAAUCAAAUUCACCUUUUGAGAGUCCUCCUUGUUGAACCAUGCUCGUAAGAUUACUCAAACAUGAAGGGAUAGUUCCAUGGAGAUUGUUCAUCGACAAGUCCAGAACUUGAAGAUUAGCUAAAUGGCAUGACUGUAAGGGUAUGGUUCCAAAGAAGUUGUUUGAUCUUAGGAUAAGAACAUACAACCUUGAUAAGUUUUCACCAAUCCAGACAGGCACUUUACCAGAAAACUUGUUGGCCCCCAGAUUCAAAGAGAUUAAACUUGUGCACUUUUUUAAAGACAGAGGCAAUUCUCCAGAGAAGUUGUUCUUGUAUAAAUACAACGCAUUGAGUUGCAUCAAAGAUCGAAUAGAGGGAGGAAGCCUUCCAAAGAGCUUGUUGUGUUCGAGAUUAAGAACUUUUAGCUCCUGGAAAUGCCACAAACAGUCCGGGAGUUGUCCAGUUAAUGAGUUAUGAGAGAGGUCAAGAAAUGAUAAGAACCCAUCAACAGCUUGGCAUAUGAAGGAGAUUCCUCCAGAGAAUUUGUUUCUGGAAAGAUGUAAUCUUGACAAAGAGGAAGAGACAUUUGGUAUCGGACCACGAAAGCUGUUGGAACUCAAAUCUAUCACAAAAAGGUUGGCAAAAUUUGAUAAUAAAUCUGGUACUUUCCCACUAAUGUUGUUGGAAGAGAGAUUCAGAUAUUCUAAUUGAGAAGGCCAGCUGUCCCAAAACUCUAGACGAAUUGUGUCCGAAAUUCCAGUAUUGUAAAGAUCAAGAAAGGUAAGAUUUAUAAGUGUCUGAAUAAUCCAUUUGGGGAAGCGAGGCCCUAGCAGCUUGCAAGAGCUCAGAUCAAGAUAUUUAACAUAAGAGAUGUUUGACAAGUGAUAUGUGGAAGGAACUGUAAGAUUAUUAAAAGAAAGGUCAAGGGUUUGGAGCCUGGGUAGUUCCCACAGUUUCUCACUUAUACUUCUAUUUAACUGAUUAUGAGACAGGUCCAAAAAAUAUAGGGAUGGAAACCUUUGGAUAUCAUCGGACAACGACCCUGUAAAUUCGCUUUCUGGAGCAUACAAGUAUUGUAAUGAAAGGGAUGUGCAUCCAGACAAGUUGUUGAGAAAAUCAGGAAAUUUGACCACUGCAGAGUUGUUAUUGAAGUACAAAGUUUCCAGACUACAGAGGUUACCAAGAUAUUUGGGUAUCCCAUCUAACAUGUUGCCAGAGAGAUCAAGAGAACGGAGGUUAUUGGUGGUUAAUGGGAGCAACAAGCUAUACAUGGAUGAGGUCAGAUUGUUGUUUCUGAGAGAAAGGUAAGAAAUAGAUGAAGAAGAAGACGAGUUGAGAAAUGAAGAAGAGUAUGGAUACAUCACCUGUGAUAGCUCACAUCCAUCUAAACUUAAAAGCGAGAGUUUCGGGAGACUCAGAAUAAUAUCUACCCAGUGAUUUUGUUUGGCUAGGGAAAUCCCAUCCAUUUUCAGCCACUCCAAAUGUGAGAGAUGUGACAACCACUCAAGGUUUUCAACUCUACACCUUCCAACAGAAUCAAGAUGAAGGUAUUGCAAGUUGGUGAGGUUUCCAAACUCUGGAGGAAUGGUUACAUUAAGAUUAUUGCUACCGAGGUCGAGGUAAGUUAAUCUAGUCAAGGAACCAAUAGAUGUGGGAAUGGUUCCAUAAAAAGAGUUACUGGAAAGGGAAAGGUAAGUUAAUCGAAUCAAAGAACCAAUGAAAGUGGGAAUGGUUCCAUUAAGAUUAUUUCUACCGAGGUUGAGGUAACUUAAUUUGGUCAAGGAACCAAUAGAGGUGGGAAUGGUUCCAUAAAAAGAGUUCAUUAAAAGGUUAAGGUACCUUAAUCGAGUCAAAGAACCAAUGAAAGUGGGAAUGGUUCCAUUGAAAAAAUUGAAGGAAAGAUCAAGAUGAUUCAACUUUCAAGUAGUUUAAGUUAAGCAGUGAAUGGCUUAUCUCACCUUCAAGCAAAUAUUCAUUGAGAUCAAGCCCUGUGACAUGACCAGUUUGGUUGCUGCACUCGACUCCACUCCAUUUACAGCAGUCAUGUUGGUCAGAUCUCCAUGUAGAGAGAGUAUCAUAAGGGUCGUGAAGGGGAGCUUUGAAGAGAAGGAGCGCAAGUCUCUCAUUAUCCAAACACUUCUUUUUCAUAUCAUUUCCUCCAGCAGCUACCAAUUGGCUGCCAGUUGUAGUCAAGAGAAGUGACAAAAUAAUAAAAACACAAGGAUUCAUUAUGUAAUUGUAAAUCAAAAUCUUAAUUGCUGAUUUUUGGUUUGUAUUGAAUAUUGAUGCAUAUAUGAACUGCCCCCAUGAGGGUUUAUAUAGUCUCCACUAUCAAGAACUCAAGAUAAAUGAUUCUAAGCCGGUGGCCAUAAAUUGCCACAAAUUAACCUUCAAACACUUGCAAGUCAUGCAACUUGUCUUUAUUAUAGUAGAUAUCUUUUCCCAUCUUGUCCUAUUUUUUGGUAUGUGAUAUAAAUCCCAACAUCUAAAACUAAUGAGAUCAUUCAGUCAAAUAUAAAUCUACCAAUGAAAACAUUAAGUCGAUAAUGGUAUUAUUUGGGCCUAAGAAUCUAAUCAUGACUAUGAAAUGAAGUUUUGUCACUUGCAUUAACUAAAUCAUCAACUUAUAUCAAUGAAACCAUGUUUAUCCAUUACAGAUUAAUCAUGGUCUUUUCCAUCCUUAAAAAUGAUAUUUAAGAUAACACUACAUUAUUAAUGACUCCAUUAAAAACAUAUUAGGAUGAUAAUUAAUACUACAACUUUUGCAACGUUUUUUGUCCAUAUUCCAAAUAAAAUGACUAUAAUUAAUAUCAGCUAUACUCGAUCGGGGACCAAAAAUAGUCAUUUUAACUGAAACAUGGACCAAAACGUUUCAAGAACCUCAUAUAAGGACCAAAACUGAAAAUUUCAGCUAUACUCAGGGACCAAAAACAUUUUAUUUUAAUUGAAAAUAAACAUAAGAUGCACAUACAGAAGCAGUUUUAUUUUGCAGCAAUUCUUACCUUCUGUUUACCUAAAUUAAAUUCCUGUCAAUCAAAAAUCAAAUAUUAAAGACUCCACUCCAUUCACCUUUACCACUUUGCACUACUCAUUUACAAAAUUUAAGAAAAUCAUGUUAUUAAUAUUAAUCAGAAAGACAAAAUAUUGAUAUAUUAAUUAUUAUAGUAUCCUACUUUCAUAGUUGGCUACCUCUUGAUGUAAUACAAGGGGUAUGUUGGUCAUUUAAAGACAUCCAGGAUAAUACUUUUUCCAAAAAAAGAAGGCGUUAAACCAGAUACAAAUUACUAAUAAUAAUUAUUGAUAUGAUUAACUUAGAUUCUGCUUCAUAGAGGUAUGUAGAUAACUAGUUCUUAACUGAUAUGAGUAUUAUUAUAUGGAAAUUUAUUUUUGCUCGUGUAUUGAAUGUAAAAAACCGUGAAAGUAUAAUGAUGUUUUAAUUACUAAACCUUAAUUGAGAUGCUCAUUACAAUAUGAUAGAUAAUUUUCUUUGUACAUGCAAUAAUUUAAAAAAAAAAAAAAAAAGAUACAUUAAAGUAUAUUCAAUAAAAUUUUCAUUUUACUCUCUAUGAUAGCUGUUAGAAGAACACAUUAAGUAAUUAGUAAUUAGCCUAUCCAUCAACUAAACUACAUAGUGAUAGGCCCCCAAUCCGUCAAGUUUACACUCGUAAGAAGAAGAAGAAGCCCAUGGGUGGCAGCCCAGUAAGGGUGGUCCAGUCCAGUGAAUUGCGGGGGACAGACCAUAUAAACUAAAUUAAUAAAUUUAUAAAGGCCUUAGGGUAUUAAAAAAUGAAAAAGAAUGUCCCGAACUUUUACCAUACUUAUGAAAAAAAUUAAAAAUUAUGUCUUCUAUUAAUAGAAAAAACAAGAAAUCAAGUAAUUUAUUCAUUUUUGGGAUAUUACCGAGUUAACUCUAAUUCAAUGGAUUGAUUUGUCGAACCGAAUGUUAGGUGAGUAUACUAGAUGCUUAGGUGGCUGGUAGGGUUAUAUUGAAACCCAAUGCACCUUAUUUGAUGAUCUAAACAACCCUAAGUCGUACAAGGAGGAGGGAAAAUGGAACCAUCUUCUUUUGUGGGAAUUUGAAGCGUAUGAAGUGCAAAUUGAUCAGUUUGUCAAUGUGGAAGGUGUAGGUGCACUUGUGGAUAUCAAUGUCCAAAAUGGGUUUCGUGGAUUCCAAUGAUGUAGACUCUUUGGUUGCCCUAAUUUAAGGGCAAAAGAAGUAAACUUUGCACAUGUUAAUAAUGAUUUUACUUUUAAAGAAUUUAACGGUCUAACCUACUUGAUGAAGAGAAGAAUUUCAAAUAUUUUUCUUGGAUAUACCAUGCAUUACCCAACUUGACCCAACAAAUAGUAUUGAAAUGAUCAACUUAGAUUCUGGUUCAUAUGUGUAUGUCUAUAACUAGUUCUUAACUGAUAUGAGUAUUAUUAUAUAAAAAUUUAUUUUUGCUGGUGUAUUGGAUGUAAAAAAUUGUGAAAGUUUAAUGAUGUUUUAAUUAUUAAGAUGAUUAAGUUAUAUUGUGCUUCUUGUAUGUACAUACAUAAUUAAGCCUUAAUUGAGAUGCUCAUUAUGAUAUGACAGAUAAUUUGCUUCUUACACGUAUUAAAUUUAAAAAUACAUGAAAGUAUACUCAAUAUAACUUUCAUUUUACUCUCUAUGAUACCUGUUAGAAGAACAUAUUAAAUAAUUCGUAAUUAGCCUACCCAUCAACUAAACUACAUAGCUUCUCCAGUUUAUAAUAUCCUAACAAAAUUACAAAUUUGUUUAAACAGCUAAAUCUGGUUGUUCUUUGUUGGUCUUAAGAAUGAUCUAUAGCGCCAUACUUUCAAUUUUUUAUGAAAAAUAUGACACACCAAAAAAAGUAUCAGGAGAUGAGAACAAGAUAAAGAUAAUAAAUACAAAUUGCAAAAAUAUCACAAGAUGGGAACAGAUGUCUAUAAUACAGACAAAUUGCCAAUUUGAACGUCUAUUUUGGGCCAAUUAAUUUCAAUUCUUCAAAUCUCAUGGAAAUCACAUGUUGUAUGUCCCACUUAGAAUCAUUUAUCUUGACAGUCAAAGAUUAUAUAAAACCUGAUAGGGGCCCAGGAGUUACCUUUUGAAUCCUUUUCUUUUUAUAAUUUUCUCACAUCAAUAAAAUAAUUUACUUUUGAAAAAUUGGUUGGUCCCAGGAGCAUGUUGGGGUCUUCUAACAACGACCAUGAAUUACCUUUUGUGGAGCCCAUUUUUAACAACUCUGAUCACAUCACUUUUUUAUAUGUCUUUGAAAAUAUCACAUGUUUGGAAAAAGAUUUUGAUAAUAAAUACAAAUUGCCAAGACUUUCAAGUCUUUGAACAGUCUUACUUGGGACUGGGGCUGUUUAUUAUAACUCUUCAUCUUUAAUUUGUCUUUUAGUUUUAGGUUCUAAUUUCAUGGAAAUUAAGCAUUGUGUGUUCCACCCAUUUAGAAUCAUUCAUCUUUAAUUUGUCCUUUUUUUUUGGUAGAAAUAUCAUUAUAAAAGAAAAUAAUAAACAAUUAUAUGUAAUUAACUGUGUUGUACUUGUAUGGGGAAAAAUGUUAUUGAUACAAAUUUCAUACCUGAUGAGAGCAGUUGUACAUGUGUGAUAAAGCCCAAAUUGCAGUGAGAUGUUAUGUACAAAUCAUAAGCAUAGCAGUUAAAGAUGCCACAUGAAUAACAAUUAAUUCUAAAUAAGAUAACCCCAAUUUUUUUUUAUAAAAAUCAUUUAAGGAAAACAAAAACAUCUACAAUUGCAAGAAUUAUGAUUCCCUAAGUAGUUAAGGUAUUUUUUUGUUUUGAGUUAAUAAACUUAAGUUGACAUGGAGGGUAUUACACCAGCUUUCUAUUAGGGGCUGAGGACAUUAAAAAAAGCUACAAGCAAAUGCAGUUUCAUAUACGUUUGUUAAGAACCUUCAGAUAUAAUCGGAUCGAAAGAAGCAACUUACAUUUGGGCACUCAAAUCAACUCUCCUAUUGAGCAGCAAGAUCACUGACUAUCACAUCAGAAAAAUGAAAUUUGGGAACGGCUUCACCAAGGCAUAAGAGGUCCACUUGAAACGGGUGUCUAAAUUUGUAGAAAGAUCGAACACGAUCAGCCUUAAAUAGACAAAUUGAAAACAACAAAAAUAGUAUAAAAGAGAGAAAGGAAGAUACCUUUUCAACGUUAAGACUCCAUAGACCUCACAGAAUGCACAGCGGGGGUACUUCAGGUUUGCAACCGCGUAAUUGAAGCUGACAGAGAGGAGGAAGAAAUAGAAGAAGGCUUAAGGGAGUGAGCGGUUUUCAGAGCUGGAAUUUGCUGAGUGAGAUGAAGAUCUUACAUUCUUUUCUUCUUCUCAUUAAUCACUUCAAUAUGUGAAAAAACGCCAAACCAGUAGGGCAGGAUCCGAAAUAUGGUGCAUGACCUUUAUCGAUUCAUGGAAUCAAAGAAUUUUGAGAUAAAGAUGACAAACUAAUUUUUCUAUUGAAAUCAGGGGGGAAAAAAAGAGGGAACCAGAGUAUUUAAUUUUGUCGUACUUAAUUUUUGUACAGAAAACUGUACAAAAAACUCAUGCAUAAUACACAGCAAAAAUUACAAUAUUUAAAUCAGGAUUAUCCGAAUAGUUUUUACCUGAAUAUACAAAUUCAGAACCAUUCUGUUUUACGUAAUCUUCCUCCUUCUGGCCUGUUUGUUUAUCGAUUCAUUGGCUUCUUCCAGAAACUCGCCAAUGUUUAAAUCAAUGAACUCUCCACAUUUUUCUUCUCCAAAUCUCCAGAAAAACCUUUCAAUUUUGUCUCCUGGCGUGGUGUGUACAAUUCUGUGUUGUUCAUGUGUUUUUACCCAAUCAUUUACUUUCAUAGAUUUAGAUUUUGUUUUUCCAUUAUCAGGUAAACCUUGCAAAGAUGUUGCUGGAGAUGGGACAGGGACACUUGUUUGAGGAUUAAUUGACCGGACACUAGAGAUGACGAUGAUGAGAAAAAAGCUUUACUUGUUCAGGUACUUGAAUUGUUUUGCCAAUUUACUUGUUAAGAAAUUUAGGAUUUGGUAAGGUAAGAUACAACACUCUGUUUCCAAUUGCAUUCUAUGGAAUGUGCAUAUUGUAUUGUGUGAUCAUACACCGAGGCGCUAUGUUAGUUAGAUCCAUUACUGUUGCACUCUAUUAAUUGAACCUGUCUUGAAAAAUAUGUAAAUGUAAGUAAAUCUGGCUUAAAUUCAUGAUGGUAAAAUUGGUAUUAAUUUUUGAAUAGUUCUUAGAUGAUAUUGUACUCUAACAAACUUCAAUCCAGAUUCCAGAUCAAAUGAUAUUUCAAAAUCCGAAUCAACGUAAUCAGUUAUAAACUUCAUAAACUUUGACCUGGUGCUAAUUUGUUCAUACAAAUUCUAAUGGGAUAAUGUCCCUGUAGUACAUUAAACUUUUUACAUUUGGUUGAUUUGGUCCUCUAAUUUUUUUUUGAUACAUUAUACCAUUAAACUUGUAUAUGACCUAUUAAUUACACCAUUAUCUAAAAAAUUAGAAGGUUUACCGGUUACAAUGCUUAUGUGGCACGCUGAUGUGUCCAAUAAGCUUACGUGGGAUGCUUAUGUGUCGAAGAAGUCCACUUGUCGAACUAGGCUUAUUAAUUGAAACCCUCAAUCGGACCUCCAUUAAAGUGUUACUUACCCUUUUCUGAAAUAUCAAAGACUUCCCCCCGACUAUUUCUGUCCUGAAGAACAAUGUCUUCGAGCUCAUCCACUUCAAGGAAUCAGCUGCAAGUGACUCAUGUUCAGUCCCGAGAAGGCGUAAAGCUUUGUGAUUAUGGCGUUCCAGCUAAAGAACGAACGUGUUGGAAGAUAACAAACCUUGGGAGGCAUUUCUGGAAUUUUCAAAACAGUAUGGUAGGUCCCGAUACUCCUGAUCUUGAUAACUUACUAUUUUAAGGUUUGUUGUGUUGUUUCUUCCUAUAAAGACGAUCAGGUGGAUUUGUAUUUUGUUUGCUUAAAAAAACCGUAAUUUUAUUUGCUUCUUGACGAUGAUUUGUGAUUGUGAAUCAAAUCCAUUUCGUUAGUACAUUAAAGGUAGCUAAUUUGUGAUUGUGAAUCAAACCCUAAUUUUAUUGGCUUUUAUAGACUAGGUUGAAGAAAUGUAGCUUCUUUGAAUGGAAAGAUGAAGAAUAGGCAGAAGGGUACUACAAAAACCUUCUAUAUUCUCUGAAGCAGAAACUGGAUGCUAAAGAGGAUCUGUCUGAGAUGAACAAUUUGAGGAGAAGGAUUGCUGAAGUGGAGUUUCUGCUGUCACAAGAGCAGUAUAAGGUGGCAAAGAGUGAGAAAGAAGUUUAUGAUGCAAGGAAGGAAAUAGGCUAAUACAGGAUGAUAGUUGCCUUGUUGUUUGCUUGGUUGGUCAUUUGUGUUUUGAAGUUAGGGUGUGAUUAUACUUAGUUAGGUUGGUUGCUGUAAGCUUUUUUUUUUUUUUGGGAUCCCUUGUAUUUUUUGUAAAGGUAGACUAGCAAGUCAGUAAUGAUGGGUUGUAUGUUUUGAAGCUGCUUUUAGUUACAAGUUGGGGCUAUCAACCUUGAUGUGUUGAUGUUGUAAGGUGGUAAGUCCCUAAUGAAAGGGCAUAUGAUAACAAACGUAAAAAAAAUAUUCAAAGACCCAAUUGUAGGGCAUUUUGUAUAAUCAGAUGUUGAUGUUAUUGAAACAUAUGCAUGACCUGUAUUCUCAACAAUUAUAUCUAAUUAAAUUGGUUGUUGUUCAUGUUUUCAUUUUGGGAACAAAUUAGAAAGUGGUCCAUGUGGAAGUACACUAUAUGUAUGGGGACCAUCUAUAGUUAGUAGUCAAUGGGUGUUUUUAUAAUGGAAAAAUGGGACCUUUGAACCCAUUAUAGAACCAUAUUCGGGACUAUAUAAAACAUUCACAUGCAUGCACAUUAUUCCAAAUUUUUCCAUGUAGAAAUAUUCAAAGCCAUAUGUCAUGAGUUUACUUAAAAAGGCAACAUACUUUUAUAAGUGAGUAAAAUAUCAUUUCAUGUCAACAGUUUCAUUAAAAAGGCAACAAAUAUCCAUUACUGACCAAAAUACCCUUUUCUGGGAUGAGUUAACUUAAAAAGGCACCAUCUAUACAUAAAUGACCAAAAUACCCUUUUAUGUCAAGAGUGAACUUAAAAAGGCACCAUCCAUACAUAAAUGAUGAAAAUACCCUUUUAUGUCAAGAGUGAACUUAAAAAGGCACCAUCCAUACAUAAAUGACCAAAGUACCCUUUUGUAUCAUGAGUGAACUUAAAAAGGCACCAUCUAUACAUAAAUGCAAAUUAACAUCAUCCUAAUACAUAAACUUUAAAACCAAAUUACCAUCAUCCUAAUACAUAAACUUUAAAUCCAAAUUACCAUCAUUCUAACACACAUACUUUAAAUCCAAAUACAAAGUAAAAAUCAACACUAAUCAAUUACAAGAGCUUUCCCCCAUAGAAUUUCAUGGAUCAUCAACACCACCAAUUGUUUUGCCUAAUUUCAGCUUCAAUAUUCUCUCUGACUUUCUUCUCCUUGUCCUCUUCAAAAUCUCUGAAAUUGGCCUAACCCUUACCUGCUAAACCUGGAUAACAGGAACAACCUCUUGAAUUUGAACAUUAUCAACAACUUGGACAUUAGGAUUAACCUCAUCAUCUUGAACAUUACCACUCUCCUCAGCUUCCUUACCCACAACACCCUAAUCACCUUCAUAACUUCUAGGUGGAGUAAAUUGCAUAAACUGACUAAAAUCCCCUGUACUACUGGAUUCAACAUCAGUAGGAGUAACUUGUAUAUCAUUUUGAGUAGUAUCCAUCUCAAUUGGAGUCAUUUCAACCUAUUCAUGUUGUUGUGGUUCACUUAUACUAUCGCAUAUGCUAUGAUAUAAUUAUGUUAGUGACAAAUCAUAUGUAAAUAAAUUUAAAUUUUAAAUGGUUUUACUUGUCCUGCAUUUUGCUUCAUACAAAAUUUUUGUUGCUUCUGUUUCUUCACAUUUAACUUUUGGGGCCUUCUCUGUGCACAAGUUGCCUUGUUGUGACCUAUCUCCUUGCAAAUACUACAUCUGAUUUUCUUUCCAGCCUUAGAAACCAUGUGUGUUCCUGUAUUCUCUGUAGUGCAUUUCUUCCUCUUAGUAGCUGGCCUACCAGGCAUCCUUCUACUAAUCAUAGACAAUUGUGGAGUAUAAUUUGUCUCUGGCCAUAUGUCACUGCUAUUCAUGGGGGCAAUUAUGUAAUUGUAUGCUUUCCUAAAUGUGGUUGUGCUAAACAUGUUGUCUACAUAGGCUUCUACAUCCCUAUUAAGAAAGGAUAUGCUAGCUACAAAAUGAGCACAUCCAUAUUCUUUCAAUUCCCACAACCUACAUGAAUAGGUUUUCCUUUCUAAGUCCACCUCAUAUGCAUCUGUUGCUCCCCUUACCUCAAACUGGUUUAAUCCACUAGGUAGGACCUGAUAAUGCCUUUGAAUUGUUUUAAGCAAAUUCACCUUAUCCCUUAUCUCUGGACAAAUAUGAUUUCCCCAUUGUCGUCCCUUUAAUUUCAUGUUGUAAAUUUUGUCCACCAUGUAUAAUCGUAACUCUUCUAACAUGGUUAUUAUGGGCUUCUUCCUGGAAUCUACUAUUACAACAUUAAAACUUUCUGAGAAGCCAUUUUCAACUGCAUCAUAACACCUUCCAGCUUGAAAGAAAGCUCUUGACCAUGUUUUAAGAUCUUUAUCCAUGAGAUAUUGAUGGGCAUAUGGGUUCAAUGUCUCAGUUUCCUUCAUCAUAACUUUAAAAGCAUGCUCAGUUAUGGCUUUAGAUGCUCUCCAACACAAGGUAUGAUAUACGGCACCAGUGAAUCUCUUCUACAAAUUCUGGUAAAUAUGUCUAGCACACUGCCUGUGCUCUACAUAUGCAAGCAACUCUUUAACAACCUCUAUUAAACCCUAUAUUAAUACAAAGGUUUAAAUCAGAUAGUAUAAAAUAAAUAUAAAUGAAUUACUAUGUAAAAUACUAACCUUAUGUUGGUCUGACAUUAAACUGAAACCAUUGCCUAAAUUCAAGUUUAGAUCAUCAAUGAGAAGCUCUAAAAACCACUUCUAAUUCUACUUUUUCUCCACAUUAACCACUGCCCAAGCAAUAGGAUAUAUCUGUUGGAUAAGGUGUCUAAGUCCAUAACUAUUUCUGGUAUGUACUUGACCCGACCCGGCAUGGUCCAUUUGGGUUGCAUGGCACCAUGCAAUUGGAUAGACUAAAUGAGAGAAAUAACACUUUGAGAUUAUUAAUAUAUUAUAAGUUCUAAUAUAUUAAUAAUAUUAUUUGAUUAGUUUGAUCAAUAAUUAAUUUAGAAUUAAUUAUGUGAUCAAAAGAGAACUAAUUAAAUAUAUGGGUUGAUUAUGUAAAUCAUCCAUAUCUUGUAUAGUGGGCUAAGAGGCUCCAUGGAUUAUCAAGUUGGGUUCUACCCAUAGGAUGCUCCAUGGAUGCUCCAUGGGAGUUACAAACCCAUGGGUCAUGGAAAUGAAGAGUCAUGACACAUUAGGGUUUACAUGGUGUAACCCUAGAUGUGUCAACACUAUAUAAGAGUCCCAUUCUCCACAAAAUUGGCUACACAAGUUGAACACUAAGAAACUAGAGGGCUUGGCCGAUUUUGAGAAGUGUGUGUUAUCUCAAGAGUCUUUCCAAGAGCAUUUGGUGUUGUGUGAAGCAUUUGAGGCAUCACACUUGGGGUGCUAGGCUCACAAGGUUUCAAGGAACACAAGCAACAACAAGGUAAGUUAUUCUAUCUAUGAUUCAAGUUAAAAUUGUUCCCCAUGUAUGCUAGAUAGGAAUAUAACCUUGGAAUUCAACUUUGCAUGAUAAUUAGACAAACAUAGAUCCAAGGUUAUUAGGGUUGCAUGUACACUUAGGAAGUGUUAGAAUGCUCAAAACCCUUCAGUGGUAUCAGAGCCUAGGCUUGUUUGCUUUUUAUUUGUGCUUAAAAGUUGAAAAAAAUGGAAAAUCUUGUUGUCUUACAAAUGGACUCGUCGAGUCCAUAGGGGGGACUCGUCGAGUUCACGUGUAUGUUCAACCUACUCGACGAGUAAGUUCAUGCACUCGGCGAGUAGGGUCGAAAGAUUGCAGAAUUUCGACUUUAGUUGCUGGAAAUGGACUAGAAACAUUACCCUAAACUAUUUUGGUACUUGAAAACUUGUUUUGAUGGUGUAAUGUUCUUUCUAAUUCAUUUACAACAACUAGUUAUCAAAAUUACAAAGAUUAAAUGUGAUUUUGAUUCUUGAAAGUGUUCAUAUUCAUAUUCUUGUUCUUAUGAUGUUUAGAUGAUCAUAGGAAUUAUUUGUAACCUAUGUGGUAGAUUAAUUCUUGAUCAUAAUGUGUUUUAAUGGAGUCCAUAACUUGUCCUCAAGUUAUGGAAAACCAAGAGUCUCACUUGAAUUAAAACCAUUAAAAAGAACACAAGAGUUAGAAAAUGAANACCAUUAAAAGAACACAAGAGUUAGGAAAAAUGAAAAGUCCUCAUUUUAUUACUCUAUUAAACUCAUAAGUUACAAGAAAUGAAAAGUUUUGAAAGUUUACAAAACUUGCCCUCAAGUUUUGGAACAAGUAAAGUUAAGUUAAAACUUUAGUUCCAACCCCUAGAAUUUUAAAAGUUAAAAUUCAAUCCUUAUACCUAUAUUAUGAUGACUUAAUAAUUAUAUAUAUAUGUAUAAGAACAAAGUCGUCUUACCGCUAGUACGCCUCAUUCACGAAGCCGGUCUAUAAGGUGGGUAUAAGGUUGUUGCCUAUAAAAUGGUGACUUAAUGGGUGUCCACUCUCACCCACCGCUUGCUUGAUCGGUGGAGGGUCGUUAGCCGAACGGGUAAGACAAGGACUUAUUAAUUCUCAUUCAAAGUAUGAUGAAUAUUAUAAAGUAACUAAAUGUUUUAUUAAAUUCCCAAUCUUAGUUACUUUAGGAAAAAUGUGAAUAAGGUGCUAUUCCAUGAAAUUACACUUUACACUUUGAUUAAGUCGUUGGUGGAGCGUGUGUGGUUAACCGGCACACUAACUUGGACUUAACAAGGUAGGUAAAGGGUGACUUAGGGUUUAUUAUAGUAUCGAUGGAGCGUGUGUGGUUAACCGGCACAUCGAUUGAGUGAUAAACUUUAAGGGUACCAAGUGAUUUGCAUGGUUACUUCACACCUCGUUUUGUGAUCCUCGGUAUCCCAGUCACAAAACUUGGAGGGCACACUCGAGAUUGAAACAUGCCUUUGAAAAGUUCAUUGAAUCUCAAAGAAUCUAGGAAUUUCUAAGAACCAUUCAAAAACCUAAUACUAAAAUAUUGCGGUUUUCGUGGUGGAAAUUGGUGAAUCGUCAUUCACCUACCUUUCAAAUAUGAUAUAGCUUAGAUUACGGCAUACCUCUUCUAAGUUAUAUUAUAUUGUGAUUGGAUCCUAGCCUUAAUAUUACAUUUGGGUGUUUUAUUAAGGACUCUCUUAUAUCUAAACUAAUCUUGUCCUCUUUCCUUCAGAUGUCUUUCAACAAUGCUUCUGGCUCUAAUCCUAAUGGCUCCUUUACCCUUAUGAACUUGUGUGGGAAAGUCACCUUUGAUGGAUCCAACUUCAAUGAGUGGAUCAGAAACAUCAGGAUGAUUACCCGCUACGAGGACAAAGAAUAUGUCCUUGACAAGGAGCUUAAGGAGAUUGAUGAGUCCACUGCAACUCCUCAGGAGAUCGCUGAAUUUCGGGCACAUGAAAGGGAUGCUACGAAAGUGGCUUGCAUCAUGAUGGCCACGAUGACAGCGGAACUCCAAAAGUCUUAUGAGGAUUUCUACCCUUAUGACAUGCACCAAGAUUUGAUGGAAAGAUACCAUCAAAGUGCAAGACAAGAGAGGUAUGAAAUCAUCUGCUCCAUGAUAACAACCAUGAUGAAGGACGGGGAAUCCGUCACGAGCCACAUGCAGAAAAUGCAAAGGUAUGUGGAUCGUUUGCUGAAGCUUAAUGUGAACUUCCCGGAGGAUCUUGCAAUAGAUAUUAUUUUGCAUUCCUUACCAUCGUGCUAUGAUCAAUUCCGCAUGACAUAUCACAUGAACAAGGAAGAAGUCACCCUCAGCAAACUUCAGGGACUUCUCAAGACCGCAGAAACAGGUCUUAAGGGGAAGUCGGUUGCUAUCACUCCUACUCAAAACUCUACUCCGGUUUUGGCAAUCGGGAAAAGUCGAGGGAGGAAGAGAAAGAGCUCUUCUAAGGGUACCAAGGCUCGGACCCUUGAUGGCUCUUCUUCAAGUGGAACCAAGAAAGGUUUCGUUACUCCUUCUUCUGACCCAAAAGAGGCUGAAUGCUUCUAUUGCCAUGAAAAAGCUCAUUGGAAGCGGAACUGCCCAAAAUACCAGCAAGAUGUGAAGGAUGGGAAAGUUAAACCCAACCAUGCAGGUAUUUACACUAUCAUUUCUAAUAACUCACCCCAUUCUAAUUCUUGGGUCCUUGAUACCGGGUGUGGUAUUCACAUUUGUUGUGACUUGCAGGGACUAAGAAGAAGUGAGGAUGUGGAGCAAGGAAGGAUAAACUUGAUCAUGGGGAAUAGGAAAGCUAUACCUGUUACCAAGAUUGGAGUUUAUACUUUAUCGCUAAGUAGUGGGUUUAGUUUAGAUUUGAAUAAGUGUUGUUAUUCGCCAGGAAUGGCAAGAAAUAUUAUUUCCUUUCAUGCUUUGUACAAACAAGGGUUUACCUUUUCAUUUAAUAAUGAAGUUGGUUCUAUAGAUGUUUUCUAUAAUAAUGUCUUUUAUUUUAAAGCAUUACCUUGUGAUGGUGUGUAUGAAGCUGUAUCUGUUGUAGAUAACUUGGGAAAUAAUGUUUUGUGUAUUGAUUCUACUAAUAAUAACUUGGAUAAAGCAUCUUUAUGGCAUUGUCGUCUUGGACAUAUAAGCAAGAAACGCAUAGGCCAACUCCAAAAGGAUGGAGUCUUGGAGUCGUUUGACCUAAAGUCAGAUGAUAGUUGCGAAUCAUGCUUACUUGGAAAAAUGACAAAGUCACCCUUCACAGGUUCGUGUGAGAGGGGUGAAGGUUUGUUGGACCUUAUACACACGGAUGUGUGUGGACCAUUCAAACAUGCCACAAGGGAUGCUAAUCGUUAUUAUUUGACUUUUACUGAUGAUUAUAGUAGAUAUGGAUAUGUCUACUUGAUCAAGCAUAAGUCAGAGACUUUCGAGAGGUUUAAGGAAUUUAAACAGGAAGUCGAGAAUCAAUUGGGCAGGAACAUUAAGAUGCUUCGAUCCGAUCGUGGUGGUGAGUAUCUUAGUUCAGAGUUCCUCGACUAUCUAAGGGAAUGUGGGAUAGUCUCACAAUUGACACCUCCCAGGACACCACAGUUGAAUGGUGUGGCUGAGAGGCGUAAUCGAACCUUGUUAGAUAUGGUUCGUUCCAUGAUGAGUCGAGCUACGCUACCAAUCUCAUUCUGGGGGUAUGCCUUAGAGACUGCCGCCCAUAUUCUUAAUCUAGUCCCUACAAAGAAAGUUGCCAAAACUCCUCACGAGAUGUGGACUGGUAAAGUACCUAAACUAGACCACAUCAAGAUUUGGGGUUGCGAGGCUUUCGUGAGACGCGAGACUCAUGAUAAGCUCGAACCUCGAAGCGAGAGGUGUAUUUUCAUCGGUUACCCACAGCGAUCCUUUGGUUACCUCUUCUACAGACCUAGUGACAAUGUGGUCUUUGUAGCAAGAAGAGGAGUCUUUCGAGAAAGAGAGUUUAUAAGCCAAGGAGACAGUGGGAGGCAAAUUGAUCUUGAAGAAAUUCAAGAAUCAAGCGGUGAAGGAACUUCAAACUCUAGCCCUCAACUUGAGGAGGAAACUCCUGUUGAGCCAAUUGACAAAUCUGUACCUCUGAGACGUUCCACGAGAGUUAGGAGUGCACCUGAGCAUUACUAUGGAUUCCAUAUUACUGCAGAAGGUGAGACACUUAUUAGUGAUGAGACACUAGUAAGUCAAGAUGACCCUAACAGCUACGAGGAAGCCAUGGCAGGCCCCGAGUCUGCUAAAUGGAAAGAGGCUAUGGAUAGCGAGAUACAAUCCAUGUAUGACAAUCAAGUUUGGAACUUGGUUGAAAAUGUACCAGGUCGUAAGACAGUAGGGUGCAAAUGGGUCUUCAAGAAGAAGACCGACAUGGAUGGUAAAGUACACACUUAUAAGGCUAGACUGGUUGCAAAGGGCUUCUCUCAAAUUCCUGGAGUGGAUUAUGAUGAGACCUUUUCUCCGGUAGCCAAGAUUAAGUCUAUUCGGGUUCUGUUAGCCAUAGCUGCAUUUCAUGACUAUGAAAUAUGGCAGAUGGAUGUCAAAACCGCUUUCCUUAAUGGAAAGUUGGCUGAAGAUGUUUACAUGAGUCAGCCAGAGGGUUUUGUCAGCAACGAGUACCCUAAUAGAGUGUGUAAGCUUGAGAAAUCCAUUUAUGGAUUGAAGCAAGCACCUCGCAGAUGGAAUCUUUGCUUUGAUGAAAAGGUCAAGGAAUUUGGCUUUUCUAGGAGUGAAGAUGAAUCUUGUGUGUAUGUCAAGGCUAGUGGGAGUAUAGUUAGCUUUUUGGUAUUGUAUGUGGAUGACAUACUACUCAUAGGAAACGACAUUCCAACCCUGCAGGAAGUAAAGUCCUGGCUUGGGAAGUGUUUCGCUAUGAAGGACCUUGGUGAAGCUGCCUAUAUUCUAGGGAUAAGAAUCUUGAGAGAUCGGAGUAAAAGACUAAUUGGACUUAGUCAGAGUACCUACUUGGAUAAGGUGCUGAAGAGAUUCAGCAUGCAGGAUUCCAAGAAAGGAGAGUUACCCAUCCAGAGUAACACCAGAUUGAGUAAGACACAAAGCCCUAGCACUGAGGCUGAGAUAGCAGAAAUGAGUCGAACACCUUACGCUUCGGCUGUAGGAUCGAUCAUGUAUGCUAUGACGUGUACUCGACCCGAUGUAGCUUUUGCCUUGAGCAUGGUUAGCAGGUAUCAGGCGAACCCUGGCAAGGCACACUGGACUGCGGUAAAGAAUAUCCUCAAGUACCUACGGAGGACUAAGGACUGGGUCCUUACCCUCGGUGGGAGUGAUGACUUGAGAGUUGUAGGGUAUAGUGAUGCUAGCUUCCAGACUGAUAGGGAUAAUUUCCGCUCUCAGUCGGGCUGGGUCUUUACCCUAAACGGAGGAGCAAUUUCUUGGAAGAGUUCCAAGCAAGAGACAGUGGCAGAUUCUACUUGUGAAUCAGAGUAUAUUGCAGCUAGUGAAGCAGCAAAGGAGGCGAUAUGGCUGAAGAACUUCAUUGGAGACCUUGGAGUUGUACCAGCUAUUAAAGAGCCAAUGGAAAUUUUCUGUGAUAGUGAAAGUGCUGUUGCCUUAGCCAAGGAACCAAGGGAUCAUGGGAGAUCCAGACACAUCGACAGAAAAUACCAUUUCAUUAGACAUCGGAUCGAAGAAGGACUCCUCGUGGCAAAGAGGGUAUCAUCGGAUGAGAACCCAGCAGAUCCCCUCACGAAGGGACUGAGUAGGGUUAAGCAUCUCCAGCAUGCUCGGAGCAUAGGGCUGAAGGAUGAUAUAAGUUUUAGUAGUUAGAUAACCCAGAAAUUUGUAAAGUGUAAUUGACAUUUGAUGAUGAAUAAAAGGUGUUUUAUUUAUGAGUAAAGUGUUGCUAUCUCUUGUCGAUCGUUUACUAUAUUUCUUUUGCAUGUUUUGACUUCCAGAAUAAUUUUGUUUGGUAUAACAUAUUAUUCAAACCUCCACAGUCGGUCAUAUGUUGGAAGUAGAUAUGAAUCAAGACUGUCAUGUUUGGUUGUAGAGGUCUUGGACAAGGCUACAACAAUCAUGAGUGCUCAUAAGUUCUGAGCAUUGGACUCAACCCACGCUCACUGGAAUCACUUCAUGGAAUUCUAUCUCGAGUGAUCGUGAGACGGUAAUAUCAUAUAAGUCUUCAAACCUAGAGAUAUGAUUUGUUACUUACAAGUUGGUUAUGCAUUGACUGUACGAAACCGCAUUGGUAACUCGAUGUUAUAAAACGUACUUUUGUGUGUAAUUCAAUGAGUGGUAGAACAAACAUAUGAGUCGAAGUUUAUCUGUUCCUUCUUGGAUUAGAAGCUGAUAUCUGGGCCCCUCGAUGAUUUUGUUUUGACCCAUGUACCGGGCCCGGUCAGAACUAAGUUGAUGUGUUCAAUUAAGUUCUAUGUCAAACAAAUCGGAAAUCGGGAAACAAAUGCUGGACAAUAAGCAAGACAAUGUUCCAUGUAUUUGUCCGGCUGAUAUCUAGAACGGAGGAUUAUAUGAUCACUUAUCUUAAAUGGCGUACCAUCAUCUUCUCAGUUCCGAGAGACCUUGAAAGAGCUACGAUUGCCGGUCGGUUCCUGAAGUACUAGAGAUAUAGUUAUUAGACUUAUCCAAGUGGGAGACUGUUGGAUAAGGUGUCUAAGUCCAUAACUAUUUCGGGCUUGUACUUGACCCGACCCGGCAUGGUCCAUUUGGGUUGCAUGGCACCAUGCAAUUGGAUAGACUAAAUGAGAGAAAUAACACUUGGAGAUUAUUAAUAUAUUAUAAGUUCUAAUAUAUUAAUAAUAUUAUUUGAUUAGUUUGAUCAAGAAUUAAUUUAGAAUUAAUUAAGUGAUCAAAAGAUAACUAAUUAAAUAUAUGGGUUGAUUAUGUAAAUCAUCCAUAUCUUGUAUAGUGGGCUAAGAGGCUCCAUGGAUUAUCAAGUUGGGUUCUACCCAUAGGAUGCUCAUUGGAUGCUCCAUGGGAGUUACAAACCCAUGGGUCAUGGAAAUGAAGAGUCAUGACACAUUAGGGUUUACAUGGUGUAACCCUAGAUGUGUCAACACUAUAUAAGGAUCUCAUUCUCCAACAAAAUCGGUUACACAAAAGAAACAAGAGGGCUAGGCCGAUUUCAAGAAGUGUGCAUUCUCUCAAAAGUCUUUCCAAGAGCAUUUGGUGUUGUGUGAAGCAUUUGAGGCAUCACACUUGGGGUGCUAGGCUCACAAGGUUUCAAGGAACACAAGCAACAACAAGGUAAGUUAUUCUAUCUAUCAUUCAAGUUAAAAUUGUUCCCCAUGUAUGCUAGAUAGGAAUAUAGCCUUGGAAUUCAACUUUGCAUGAUAAUUAGACAAACAUAGAUCCAAGGUUAUUAGGGUUGCAUGUACACUUAGGAAGUGUUAGAAUGCUCAAAACCCUUCAAUAUCUUGUCAUUUACAUCCCUCCCAAUAGCACAAAGCAAUUCCCCCUUAUAAACACCUUUAAGAAAACAUCCAUCAAGACCUAUUAUCCUUCUACACCCUUCAAUCCAACCUUGUUUAAAUCCUUGAAAACAACAAUAGAACUUGCUAAAAUAUUUCUUUCCAUCUGGACCAUCCUCCACAUCUAGUUUCACAAUUAACCCAAGAAUUGUCCUUAAAAUCUCAUGACCAUAUGACCAUAGCUUACCAUAAUGUUCAACAAGGCUACCUUCAACAAGAUUUUGUGCAUAAUUCUUUGUUUCUCCACAUUGCCACAUACUAACUUGGAUACCAAACUUGGCCAUUACCUUUACCCUAAGCUUCCUUACACUUAUUUUCUAACUUUGUACAAUCUCUUUGGUAUAGUGACUCCCAAUCCAUGCAUAUAUCACCAGUGAUCCAAACUUGAAGUUCCUAGAACAAUUAUGAUCAGCUUUUAGUGGCCUGAUUUGGAAACUCUCUUUAUCACUCAUCCAAGAAGCCCAUAAUCUAAAUGUGCAAGCACCCUUGCUACACCUCACCAAAAGUCUUUUCCUAUCUUUUUUUUAGAACAUAAUUAGUAUCCAUUAGCUACAACAUAGUUGCACAAAAUUCAUUUUACUUGCCUUGGACCCUUAAAUCUCAUCCUUAGAAUUGGUUUUUGUUUUUUCCAGUGUAAUAGCUCAUUAAAUAUGGAAUGAGUUUCAAUGUUAAGUUCAACUUGUCUCCCAUUAUCAUCAUCUACAAUGUUGUUAUCCUCCUCAUAAUCAACACAUAACUUACUCAAGAAAGGAUCAUUUGAUGUCCUAUUCAUAUACACUACAUUGUCAUUAAUUUCAAAGGCAACAUUCCUAAGUUCAUCUAUGUUAUAUUCAUUUUCACCAUCAAUACAAGACUCAUGUUCAUCAUCAUUGUUGGGUAUUAUGUGUUGCGUCAUGUGCCAUUCUUUUAUAUAUCCGGUUUGGGCCUGUCCAACCGUGAUUAUAGAUUAGGGUUAUGUAUUAUAUAGUGCAUGCAUGUAUGCCCUUAAUAGGCGAGUAUAGGAUUAUCUUUUGUAUUGUAACCCUAAGCACCUCUACAGUCGAAGUUCUUCAUUGAGCUCUUCUGGGGUGUUAAAGUUUAAUCAUACAACAUCUUCAAAGCCAUUCAUGUGUUCUUAAUUACAUCUCUAAUUGUUUCUCUGCUUAGAAUCUAUCGAUCCUACUAGAACUUUGUUCCUACAAUUGGUAUCAGAGUAGGAGACUGUGUGAUCAAUACACAUUCCUUCUGUAUUAAGAAUUCUUUAGGGUUUCCACUUUUAUCGAAUAUUAAGAAGUCGUCUUCUUCCUGUCGAAGGUAACUCUGGUGUUUGAUAAAACCCUAAUCACAGUUUACAGGUCUUAUUCUAGUGGUUCUAAGGAAAGGCUUACCAUGUCUCACAAAGAUUCUUAAACAAAUCCUAUCAACUUCUCUAACAACAUUGGAUCCACUACAAGGGUUCCCAUUCUCUACACACAAGACUAUGAAGUAUGGGCACAUCACUUUGAAGAUUACAUUGUUGGAUCUAAAGACAAUGGCUAUCUCAUUUGGGAAGCACGCUUGGGCCGUUUGGUCACUCUGGAACGAACAUGACUGUGAAGAGUCAAAAAGAAUACAACAAGCUUGUGACGGACGUAGAUAAGAUACCGCAGGAUGAGAAGGACAAGUUGUUAUCUAAUGUGAAGGCCAUGAUAAUGAUCAAAUUCACUUUGCAAUCUGAAACUUUACUGUUAGUUAGUUCAUGCACGAUGGUUAAAGAAAUCUGGGAUAGGUCGAAGGAACUCUACUCAACCGAUGAAGAUCUAGAACACUCUAUUCAAACCUUGUUGCUCUCUGAAUUUGUAGUUUUCAAAUAGAAACCAGAAGAGAAACUGAUACAAACAUUCGGUCGCUUUAAUCAUCUCCUAAGCAAGAUGAUCAAGCAUGGUAUAGAAAGGAAGUUGAUCGAGCAAAAAGUAACCUUCAUGAAUGGUUUGAGACUAGAAUGGAUGGCUCUGGUUUCAAUAGUGAAAGCACAUGAACAAUUUAAAUCUUACUCACUAGCAAAACUUGUGGGAGUACUUAAGUCCCAUGAGAGUGUGGUAACCAAGGAGGCGAAGGUGGUUUCAGGUGUGGGAUCAUUAGCCCUUGUUUCAAAAGGAGAAAGUGUUGCAAAAGAAGAGGAGGAGUCAGAUAUGUCUGAGUGUGACCUAACAAGCGAAGAAUAUGCUAUGAUGGUCACCAAUCCAAAGAAGAUUGCACGAAGGAAAUUUCCUGUCAAUAAGAACCGAAACUGGCAAGGAAGUUACAGUAUUGAGAAAGUAAAAGAUGAAACGAAGAAUACUUCUCAAAAGGAGGACGACAAAAAGCAGAGCAAGCUUGCAGGAGACUCUGGAUUCGACUGCAAUUACUGUCAUGGCAAGAACCACUUUGCCAAAGAUUGCAUGCUUAGGAAAAUGGAUGAGAAGAGAGAUGGUGAAGAUGAUGAGGCGUACUACAUGCGAAAGUUGGAAGAGAUCAAGAAAAAGAAAGCAACUAACAGUUCAAUGAAUGCCUUGAUUGUGCAGGAAAAUGCAAUGAGGAUGAAUUCGGUGGGGUUGAAGUUUGGUCAACCGAUUCUAAGGAUGAAGAGGUGAGAAAGCCAACGCAUGGAAGAGCUUAUGUGGCGAAGAAUGCAAGUUCGGCUGGAAGGUGUUUGGUGGUUACUACUGGUAGAUCAACCGAAAGUGAAAGUAAGGAGCCGAACCUAACUGAGGACAAGUGCUUUGCAGCCAAGCCUGUGAGCGAGAAGAUCAACGACUGUGAUCGGCUGAUCAAAAAGGUACAUUCUAUACUUGAGUCACAUAAAGUUACGGUAACGAAUUAUGAAGAAGAAUUAGAUGAAUUAAAAUUUAAACUUUCUAAUUUAAGUGGAAGUCUCAUGCAAACACGCUUAGUGAAAUCUAACCUAACUGACCAACUCAGCAGGGUGUCUUCAAAGAGUGAGGAGAGAAGGAUGUGGAUUGAGCUGAAGGAGGCGGAGUUAAAUAGGGCUAGGGAUGAAACUAUUUAUUUACAACAAGACAAUUUAAAGUUUUUAAAACAAAGGAAUGUUUUUUGUUUGAUUGCCAAGCGCUUAUACACUAAUAUUGCUCAAUUGCACUUAAAUUAUGAAAUAAGGAAAAAGAUUCAUAAGAUAAUCUUACCCUUCCUUGAAUUUAAAGAGGAUCAGGUUGUUGCUGAAUGUGAAUCAAUAGUGUCCUCAGAAGAGACAUUCGUCGCUUACAAAAUCGGAUUGGACAAGAUAGAGACCUUCAUUGACUCUAAGGAACAUAAAUGUAUGCUCAAAAAUCUUUUGGAUGAAAAUGAUAUGCUAAAAAUUAAGUCUGAGACCAUUCAAUCAUUUGAUUCAUCGAAUGGUAAAUUAAUUUCAGAACUUAAAAUGAACAUAGAAAACUCAUCUGACUUUGAUGAGGAAAGUGAGAUGAGCGAAAUCUUAGUUGAAGACGUGGUUGAUUGCUUUGAGUUUAUGAAGAGCGAAACCGAGAAUCAGAAACCUCUCAUUUCUGAAAAUUCGGUUGAAUACGCUCGCCUAUUAAAGGACAGGCCACAGAAACUGAAAGAGAAAGCAAUGGUUUAUCAAAAGGUUCAAACUGUGCCAAAUCAGGUGUAUGUUGUUACAGGGGUAACUGCAAAACAAACAACAUAAUUGAAAACCUUGGUCGACAAAGACAAUGCUAAAAGAUGCGAAGAGUACUUAUGGUCAGUCCUUAUUGAUAACGAAGAUGAAACCAUAGGCUUAUGUGAGCAAACCUCAUGGAGGGUAAAAGGAAGAUAUGUUGUUGAACCUAUCAACAAACCCUCGAGUUAUGACAAACCAAGCACAUGUGGAAAAAAAGAGAUCCCUGAAGAACCAAAGAGAGCACCAAAAGUUCUUACUUAGACAACCGAAGCUCAAAAAGAAAAGUCAAAGGCUAGUUUCAAUAUCCACAAUUCUCAGAAGGAGUUAGCUGAAUAGAAACGCCAAAAAAAUCAAAGAUACAUGAAAAAUCUAAAUGAGCAAAAACGUUAUUGGCAAUCUCAAAAUCCCAAUUAUGUACCUCGUAAGAAAGAAUCAAUUGCCAAAGGAAAGGAAAAGCUAAAAGAAAAAGGAAAUUUUAGUCUAAGCUCCUACUAUUCCAAAGCACAGAACUGAACAUCUACUUUCGGCUACAAAACUAGCGCUCAGAACCGAAUGUCUAGUUUUGGUCCCAACGUCAAGACCAACAACAAAACAUCUUGCUUUGGUUCCAAGCCAUGUUUCGGUCCUUCCUACUCCCAAAGUAAACCGACACCAGUGAAGGACAUCAAAGGAAAGGGAAAGCUUAACUCAGAAUCUAAGUUCAAUAAUAAGAAAAAGUCAGCUAACCCUCGGAUUCAAAAAAAUGUUCCAAAACCGUCUAACAAUACACCAUUAAAUACACUAAAAUUUAAACAAGACAAAACCAAAAUCAAGGUAUAUACCAUCAAAUGAAAAGAUCAAUCCACUCUAAUUAAAAGAACCUAUUUGGUUGAUAUUUCUACUACAAUUCCUUUUUCUUUAAAAGACUCACCAGGGCCCAAGAAACUUUGGGUUCCUAAAUCUACUUGAAUUUGCAGGUUAUUAGUGAUGAGCAAUUCGAUGACGAAUGGUAUAUAGACAGUGGCUGGUCGCGUCACACGACGGGAAGGAAGGAAGAGCUAAGGAAAUUUUGGUCCCAAAAAGAUGGCGGAUGCGUGAAGUAUGGUAAUAAAUCUUAUGGCACAAUCAAAGGAUAUGGAAUGAUAACCAAAGGAGAUUUCUCGAUUCGAAACGUAGCUUAUGUAGAAGGGUUGCAGCAUAACCUCAUAAGUGUAUCACAAUUAGUUGUGGGAACAGGUUUGAAGGUUUCAUUUGAUGAUGAGGGAUCAAAAAUUAUUGAGAAGCAAUCGAAAAAGGUUUUGUUAAAGUCUGAACGCAAGGGAGAGAUGUAUCCUUUGAAUCUCAAUACAAUUCGUGGAAAACCAGCAAUAUGCUUGCUGUCAAAGGCGAACACUGAUUUAAGCUAUUUAUGGCAUUGACGUCUAUCGCACCUAAACUUCAAAGACAUUAAUAAGUUGGUGCUUGGUGAUCACGUUCGAGGCCUUCCUCUUCUCAAGUUUGGUAAGGAACAUAUGUGUGCAGCGUGUGAGAUGAGCAAACAAAGCAGAAAGAGCCAUCCUACAUGAACCAAUACAAAGAUUGUUGAAGCUCUUGAACUUCUGCACAUUGACUUAUAUGGACCUUCGGCAAUCGAAAGCUUUGGUGGAAGUAAGUUCAUUAUUGUCAUAGUAGAUGAUUUUUCACGCUUCACCUGGGUUUUCUUUCUUAAAAAGAAAUUAGACGCUACUCCCAAGUUCAAGACGUUCAUCAAGCAAGUAGAAGUACAACUACAAAAGCUUGUGAGGAACAUCAGAAGCGAUAAUGGGCUUGAAUUCAAGAAUAAAGAUUUCGAGGAUUUUCUAGCUGAAAAAAGAGUUUCUCAAAACUUUUCGGCCCCUUAUACACCAUAAUAGAAUGGGAUUGUCGAAAGACGAAACCGUUCUUUGUGUGAGGCCGCCUGAACCAUGCUAAGCUUCGCUUCUCUUCCACUAUACUACUGGGAUGAUGCAGUUGCAACCGCAUGCUAUACUCAGAACCGAUCCCUACUCAACAAACGAUUCUCAAUCACUCAAUAUGAGAUUCUGAACAAUCAAAAGCCCAACGUCAAAUUUUUCCAUGUGGUCGGUUCAAGGUGUUUCAUCUUUAAUUCAAAAGAGAACCAAAACAAGUUCGACGUCAAAGCUGACGAGGGAAUUUUUCUUGGCUAUUCACUCUCUUCAAAGGCAUAUAGAGUUUUGAACAAACGUUCUAAACGAAUAGAAGAAACAUACUAUGUAACCUUUGAUAAUAAUUAUAUGAAGAAAGUUCAAAGAAGCGAAAGUGCCUUGGGGGAAAUAUUUCCUGAAUCAGGAUAAGUCUCAGUUCCUAUUUCAAACCUAUUAGAAGAGUACAUAAGGUUAUUUGAUGAACCAUAGAAGGCUGCACACUCAGAGGCGAAAGCAGUAGACAACAAAAUUGACAAUCUGAAAAAGAUUAUAGAUGAAGCUGAAAAAGAAAUGGAAAAUAAAUCUCCUAAACCAACUGGUGUUCAACCCUCAACUGACUCUCCAAACAACUACUCAAUGUUCAAAGGGGAGAGUUCAUCAGCACCAAAGACAACCGAUAUGUCUUUCGAGGGGGAGCAUCCAACUCCAACACGACCCAAUGAUAGUCCAAUGGAGGGGGAGAAUCCAACUCCCAAAGAGGAUGAAAACUAUGAACCUGACAAGGGUUACAAUUCACCAUUUAAGGGGGAGAAAGAGCAAACAACUGAUGAAGACGAUCAAUCAGUACUUGAAGAAGAAGUAAACGCAGAGUUGGAUCCAACUUAUAACCCUAAUUACCCUCCUCUAAAUAAAUGGACUAAGGAUCAUCCAAAAACACAAAUAAUUGGCGAUUCAUCUGAGAAAGUUCUAACACGUUCACAAUUGAAAGCAAAACAAACUGCAUUAUUCUCUAAGGUUGAAUUCUGUAUGUUUAACUCGUUUAUAUCCAAAUUCGAACCAAUGACGGUCAAUUUUUCAGUUGAUCAUGAUGAUUGGUUACAAGCUAUGCAAGAUGAACUCCAUGAGUUUGAACGUGAUCGAGUUUGGAGGUUGAUUCCCACUCCAAAGGAUGCUUCGGUGGUCGGCUUAAAAUGGGUCUUCGGGAAUAAAUUGGACAAAGAGGGGACUGUCAUUUGCAACAAGGCUCGGUUGGUCGUGAAAGGAUAUUGCCAAGAGGAAGGGAUAGAUUAUGAGGAAACCUUCUCUCCUGUAGCAAGGUUGGAAUCAGUUAGAAUUUUUCUAGCAUAUUGAUGUACACGAAAGUACCUAUUAAUUUUAAUAUUUAUAACCUAACAAACUUAGACUAACUAUGCACUUAUAGGCAGUGUACCUAGUCAGAUUACAAUAUAGCUUAGGUAAGUCGGGUGUCGAUCACAGGGAACGGUAGAUUAAUUUAAUACAUUUGAUUAUAGGUUACAGGUUACACGAAAAGAAUAAAGAAAUAAAUCUCAAACUAACAAUUAAUUAACUACUCUCGAUAAACUAACAGGAAAACAAAUCUCUUUAGGUACUUUGGUUUAGACAAAUUACACCUUAAAAACAUAGACAAUUGCAUACACAAAUUCAUUUAUUCAUGUUCACCGAUUCCUAAAAUGAUUAGAUUCGCGUUCACUAUAACUAAUCCUUUUAGCAAGCAAGUCAAUUCAAACAGUGAUCAGUUGGUUAAACUAACGUGCUUCCUAGUGUUCAGUUCGUAUCGAGCAAGACUUGUAAAUAUAGUUAAUGAAAUUAGACAUUCAAUUAACCUCUUGUUGAUGAUCAUCAAACAAGGCUCACACAUUAACUUACUUACUCCCAAGUUAAUCCUAGUUUCACAUUCGUUAUUCCUAGACUUAUAAUCUCGAUGGUCAUCAAAAUCAUAAGAGACAAGCAAUCAAGCAGAUGUUCAUACAACUCAAUUCACUUAACAAUUAACAGUAAAUAAUUAUCAUUAAUACAUAAGGAUCUUUUAACAAGCUCGGCAAGAUAAAUUAAACACAAACAAACUAUUUAGUAUAGCAAUUAGUCUAAUAAUCAAAGCUUCAUUCAAUCAUAAACACAAAGUAAAAGGUUUUUACACCCAAAUCAGAAACUAAAUACAGAAUAGUAACACAAUGGAAUGCUAAACAUGGUCACGUUAGCAACCCUUAUGAUUUCCGACACGUAUCCACUCUCCAAUCCUUCCGAUCUCCGCUCCCGUUAGCUUAACGGCCUCCCGUCCACCUUCUAGACCCUCAAAACGGCAAUUAUGAAGUUUUCUUGUCGCACAAGUCGAAGUGGAAUAUCAUAGAUUCUUCAAAAUGGUGGAAUGAUAUGGGGUAUUUAUAGUUGAAGGGAUAUGAAAUUAAUAUGGAAUAUUAGAGUUGUAUUAGAAUAAGGAAACUAAUGGUGGCUUAGGGAUUAAGCAUCUUUUCAGCUCCAUUCUCUUUCUUUUGCAUUCCAUCUCCCAUUUUAACUGUAAUUAAAUAUUUCAAAGAAUAUUAAGUUUAUUUGAGUUCUAAAUAAUAAUAAUAAAUGCUAAAAUAUUAAGAUAUGUUAUACAUAAAUAUAUACAAAAAUACACAUAUCAAAAUACCCCACACUUAGCCUUUGCUUGCCCUCAAGCAAAUUUACUUUUAUUUUACCAAUAUUGCACUAAACAAUCCAUUUAAAACUCAGCCAUUAUGCUAAGACCUCAACGCAUGCAUUUGUGUCUAAAAUUUUCCUAAAGUACCCCCCCAUACUUUAAAUACUCACAAUCUUCAUAAACACUCGCCCACUUUUUCCGAACAAUGCUCAUUUUAUGCAACCCUCCGAAUCCAUCCGCAGAAAACCUCCUAACCUCAAGGUAUUUUUAGUUGAGCAACCUAAGCAUGCAUAAUUUAGAAUUACAAUUUAUGAUAUCACUAUGGAGCUUUUUAGGAAUUCUUCACUUUCUUAACAAUUUGAUCUUUGAUUUCUUUGAAUUCACCACCUUAUUUGAUUUGAUUUCUUGGUAUCUUCAACUUUUUGAAUUUCUUGGAAUUUUGAUCUUUUGAUCUUCACUUUAUUUGCUCCAAAAUUCUUCAAACUUUUUCGUAAUUCUCUCUCUUUUUUUUUUUUUUACAUGUACCUCUCUUUUUUCACUCAAAACCUACAUGCUUAAGCAGAGGCGCUCAACCUCAACCUUUAUUGGUUAAUGAUAAUAAUUUUCCUGGAUACAUUUCAGGUUUAGGCUGCUAAACAUAUUGCAUCCUUCAAACCGAGCGGGGUUAUGUUUUUGUUCCAUGAUUUCACUAAAAUAAGGGAGGCCACAAAUGCACUAUAACGUAUAUUGGCUCAACUAAACAUUUGAGUUCUCAUCGGAUCAUCUCAUACAAUAUUAGCAAAAUUUUAAGUUAUCACUAGAUUUUUCUAAAUUAAACUAUUAUUUCAAGUUUUCUUUUAAAUUUUUAAAUUUCCCUAAAUCUAGCAAUUUCCAACUAUUAUUUCAUUUUUAUAAUUUACUUUUACCGACCCCCUACCCCACACUUAUUUCAUACAAUGCCCUCAUUGUAUGCUAAAACAAAUUAAGAACAUAAAAAGGGAGAAAAAGGAACAGACUCCCCUGGGUAGUUGUGGCGAGAUCGAAUGGGGCUGCUAUAGGUUGCUUCAAAUAUUGCUGAAAAACUGAAAACUGGAACUGCUGCUUCUGAAUGUACCGUAAAAUACAAAAGAACAUUGACUUAUGAAAUAUGGUGUGAACGAUUGCAAACUAAAGCAAUGUAUAGUGACCAUGCCGUGGGAAAGUGUCAACCACGUCGUGUCGUCGAGUGAGGAAAAAUCCAUAUCGCAAAUAAUAGCAUGGCCAUGACGUGGUAAGUGGUGGUCACGUCGUGGCAUGUAGAAUAGCAGCCUCCUCUCGCGAUGAAAAACUCCCCCAUGACAUAGGAAAGUGUCAACCAUGUCAUGGCAGUCGGGAUGAUACUUCUACAUCACGUCAAAAUAAAACUCCAUGGUGUGGGAACAACUCAUCCAUGCCAUGAGAAUCAAUGUAUAGUUAGAAACGCCACUCUUCGAAAUAAUAAUCCCUCCAAAUAUCGACGCGCACCCCACACUUAUUGAAAGUCAUGGCUCUCAAGUGUCAACUUCAAACCCUCACACGGUUUUUUCUCUCGUGACAAAUCAACAUUCGACCCCAAUUAUUGAAAUUUCUGAAAGCAUCUGAAGGGUAAAAGUUCUGCAAAGAUCUGAAACAUCAAGAGCAUCAACAUGGAAAACAAAUUUUAAACAAACUAAAAAUAAAAAUAAAAACUCACUAAAAUAACUAAAAAACCAAAAUAACUAAAAAGGAUAUCACGAUCACAUGUCUUCGUCAAAAUCAAACUACAAUUUAUGAUUAAAUCCCUUGCAUGCAAGGGGUGGUUUGUGAAAACAAAAACUUUCGGGACCUGUCAGACUAUUUCCUUUGUAUUCUUUGACCCAUUAACUAAAAGUAGAACAAGAGUUGACCCAACUAGUCAAGUGUAGCAAGAGUUCAGUCUUCCACUUAACCACCUCGAUACGCCUUGCUAUACUACGCCUCGUGGAUUGAGUUGGACAAAUCACCAAAGUAGUAGACUAAACAAGUCAAGAAUUCCCUAAUCGCUUGCAAUCUCGAAAUCCAUGCAAAAGGUAAAGCCAAUCAAUGUGUAUGAUCACAAAUUCCUGCAAAUAACAACAAGAACCUUCCCGACAAGCGAAAUGAUAUCAACGAAAAUAAAACUAAAAAAAUAAAAUACAAAAAACUAACUAAAAAUAAAUAACGAAUAAUCAAAUAAACUAAAUUAAUUGAAAGCCGUUCCCUGGCAAUGACGCCAAAAACUUGAUGUGCACGAAAGUACCCAUUAAUUUUAAUAUUUAUAACCUAACAAACUUAGACUAACUAUGCACUUAUAGGCAGUGUACCUAGUCAGAUUACAGUAUAGCUUAGGUAAGUCGGGUGUCGAUCACAGGGAACGGUGGAUUAAUUUAAUACAUUUGAUUAUAGGUUACACGUAACAUGAAAAGAAUAAAGAAAUAAAUCUCAAACUAACAAUUAAUUAACUACUCUCGAUAAACUAGCAGGAAAACAAAUCUCUUCAGGUACUUUGGUUUAGAUAAAUUACACCUUAAAAACAUAGACAAUUGCAUACACAAAUUCAUUUAUUCAUGUUCACCGAUUCCUAAAAUGAUUAGAUUCGCGUUCACUAUAACUAAUCCUUUAGCAAACAAGUCAAUUCAAACAGUGAUCAGUUGAUUAAACUAACAUGCUUCCUAGUGUUCAGUUCGUAUCAAGCAAGACUUGUAAAUAUAGUUAAUCAAAUUAGACAUUCAAUUAACCUCUUGUUGAUGGUCAUCAAACAAGGCUCACACAUUAACUUACUUACUCCCAAGUUAAUCCUAGUUUCACAUUCGUUAUUCCUAGACUUAUAAUCUCGAUGGUCAUCAAAAUCAUAAGAGACAAGCAAUCAAGCAGAUGUUCAUACAACUCAAUUCACUUAACAAUUAACAGCAAAUAAUUAUCAUUAAUACGUAAGGAUCUUUUAACAAGCUUGGCAAGAUAAAUUAAAUACAAACAAACUAUUUAGUAUAGCAAUUAGUCUAAUAAUCAAAUCUUCAUUCAAUCAUAAACACAAAGUAAAAGGUUUUUACACCCAAAUCAGAAACUAAAUACAGAAUAGUAACACAAUGGAAUGCUAAACAUGGUCACGUUAGCAACCCUUAUGAUUACCGACACGUAUCCACUCUCCAAUCCUUCCGACCUCUNCUCCGCUCCCGUUAGCUUAACGGCCUCCCGUCCACCUUCUAGACCCUCAAAACGGCAAUUAUGAAGUUUUCUUGUCGCACAAGUCGAAGUGGAAUAUCAUAGAUUCUUCAAAAUGGUGGAAUGAUAUGGGGUAUUUAUAGUUGAAGGGAUAUGAAAUUAAUAUGGAAUAUUAGAGUUGUAUUAGAAUAAGGAAACUAAUGGUGGCUUAGGGAUUAAGCAAAUAAAAUAAAAUAAGUGGAGCUUGGGGAAUAAGUAACUUGGAGGGAAUUUCCGCCCAGCUUUUAUGCUUCAUAUUCAAGGCCGAUUUUGGAUAAGAUAAGUGUCGAAUUAGCCAAAAGUUCCUCUCACAUAAGUCGUAGGAAAUUCCGUCUAGUUUUCAGAACAGUUUGAAACUCGUCAAUUGGACUUAUGAGUCAUCAGAUAUACCUGAAACACUGAAGAGGGGUCAAUCUGCCAACAAUAUCCUUUUUGCAUCUUUUCAGCUCCAUUCUCUUUCUUUUGCAUUCCAUCUCCCAUUUUAACUGUAAUUAAAUAUUUCAAAGCAUAUUAAGUUUAUUUUAGUUCUACAUAAUAACAAUAAAUGCUAAAAUAUUAAGAUAUGUUAUACAUGAAUAUAUAUAUANNNNNNAGAUAAAGUGCAUAUAUAUAUAUAUAUAAAUACACAUAUCACAUAUGUUGCUCAUAAAAAGUUCGAAGUUUUCCAAAUGGAUGUAAAAUGAAAUUUCUUGAAUGGAGAACUACAAGAAUAUGUGUAUGUUGAGCGACCACUUGGGUUCGUAAAUGAGAAAUUCCCUGAUCAUUGCUGUGUGUUGGAUAAAGCUGUAUAUGGUUUGAAGCGAGCACCAAGGGCUUGGUAUGAAACUUUAACUCGCUUUCUGAAAAUGUUGAAAAUCAAGCAAGGUUCGCUUGACCCAACCUUCUUCCGAAAGAAAGAAGGCGAACAUCUUAUGAUAGUCCAGAUUUAUGUUGAUGACAUCAUCUUCGGCUCCACGAAUCCUAGCUUAACAGCUAAAUUCAGGAAGUUGAUGGAGACUAAAUUUGAAAUGAGCGCAAUGGGUCCGAUUAAUUUUUUCCUUGGUUUAAAUAUUGAUAGGGAGCAGAAGGUAUAUUUAUCAACCAGGAGGCCUACACGAAGAACUUGCUAGCAAAAUUCGUUAUGAAGGGAGAUUCAAAAGUGAAGGUUCCUAUGGUGUUUGGCACAAAGUUAGCACCGUCUUUGGAAAAACCUGUUGUUGAUGUAACACUCUAUCGUGAAAUGAUAAGGUCCCUUAUCUAUCUAACAGCUAGUAGACCAGAUAUUAUGCUCUCUGUUUGUUAUUGUGCUUGGUUUCAAGCAAAUCCAAGAGAACCUCACAUGGUGGCUGUGAAAAAUAUUUUUCGUUAUCUGCAGCGAACCUCUUCUCUCGGUCUUUGGUACCCUACAAGAUUUGGAUUUUUUGUUCAAGCCUUUUUCUGACGCCGAUCUUGGAGGAUGUGGUCUGGAUCGAAAGAGCACAACUGGUGGAUGCCAAUUCCUUGAUCAGAUUCCAUCAUCUCCUCCAUCUCCACCCAAGACAACAGUUUAGGUUAUCGUUGCUCAUCCAUCCCCAUCUUCAUCACCACCUAAUUCUACAAUUGCUCCAUCACCGCCUGUCAGUUCUACUCAUGUCACCACUGCUCCUUUACAACCUCCUCUUGUCUCCAAAGCAACAUUCACCACUACACCUGUCAUGACUUCUACCACAAACUCUUCUAUCAACGUCAACACAUCUGAUGUGGAGGAAAAGACUGAAGAACCUCCUAAAGUCACAUCCGAGCCCCUUUCACCAACUCCUUCUAGUGAUUCUAAUCCAGUUCUUGGAGGAGCUAAAUUUGAGUAUGAUUUUAUUUACUAUAGUCCCUACCGAAUUCCUAGUGAGGAAGAUGAAUCUGCUCUGGAAACCAAGCAGCAAAUCGAUAGUAUUCACGAAAAGCUUGAUUCACUGAUCGAUUCGACAAAGAAGUAUAAUGAUGUCGUUCUCAAAGCAUUCAUGGAUACAGCCCUGCACCAAUAUAUAGAAUCCAUCGACAAAUGUACUACUGCUAUGGAUGAUUCUACUUCUCUAUGUAAACGAGCCACAUCCGAUGUUAAAGAUCUCAUCCAUGACUCCAAGGUUUUUCUUGACUCUUUCAAGGGUCAUGCUGAUUCAAAUGCUACCAAGAUCACAGAGUCCAUCGAUUCGCUUUCUUAAUCCCUUCAAGCCGAGUAAACCAAGUUUGAGACUAUCCGUUCUGACAUCUCUACUGGCAACAAGACCUGCUUGUCUUCUAUUGACUCUUGGUUCGAAAAGCUUACUGCUGAUCUUCUCAUGGAAAGGCAACUCAAAGAUGAUCUUGCUCAACAGACUACACUAAAUGCAGUGCAACAAGCAGCACUUGCCAAGGCCGAACAAGAGAUUUCUUUGUUAAAAAUAGAACGAGCUGUUUUUCGUAGCUGUGUUGGGGAUGUUCUUUCCAAGCUACAUAACGUGCUUCAGGCUCAUGAUCCCAUUCUAACGCUUACGAUUCACAAUCCUUUGACCUCCAAACUUCUUCCCUUAGUUGAACUCUUACGCGAAAUGAAGGGUCUUUUGGAGAGAAUUGUUCCACCGCAACAAGGGGAGAAGACAAGCCACAACCUAUUUCAAUUAAACCGAAGGUCAAAACCGAACCGAAGGAUAAUGUAGCUUCGGGUUCUGGUAUCAAAGACAAGAAAAAGCAUGACGAAGAUGAUGAAGAUCAAGAAACUAUUUCUAAGAUCUUGAACUGAAAGAAAAGGGAUGAGGAGAUAGAUGAAAAUCUUUGAAUUGUUAAGGAAGCUGAGGAAAAAGAAAAGAAGAAGAAAGAAGAGGAUGAUGCAUUAAGUUGCAAGAAAAUGUUGUUCCCUCCUUGGACUAGGGAGACACUGAUCAAAGAAGCUAUAAAGUCUCCAAGUACACUCUGGCUGGAACCUGUGACUUCAUUUGACUGUGAUAAUAUAAGGGAUUCACAGUUUGAUAUGCCUAUAACAUGAAAGGCAUUCGUUUUUCAUUGUUUUGAGCCAACAGUUGAAGUCCCUUUACCCCAUCCUCAGGUAGACCGUGAACUUAUUGAUUUUUAUCUCGAGUUCAGUCAGCCUCAUUAUCUGACUUGGAGUGCGCAGAAAAUUACUAUGGUCAAGGUGCUGAAACCAUUGCCUACAGGGAAGUUUGUUAAUGUCUCUUUCAGGAUAAACCGAGGUUCAAAUAACUCGGUUUCUAUCAUCUUCCUGGCAGAUCUUCCUAACUUGAAUCCUCAUGAUUGGAUUCUGCUCUUCAAUAUUUUUCUCACUAAUGCGACAGAGUAUGAACCAAUCUUAGGACAUCUGAAAAGGAUGUUAGCCUCUUAUAUCCACAAAUUUGCGAAGAUGGAUCAAGAAUUGGAGAAUGUCAUGAGGAAGAAACCAACGGUGUAGCCUACUGCCAAGUCAGGAGAUGUCAACAAAAUGAUGCUCGGUCAAAUUGAUUCUGCUCACCUCACAGUGAUGUUUACAAGAGCCAAAGGUGAAAGAUUCUUGUUUGCUCUUGUUGACAAACACUUAUUCUUGACCGACUGCCUGGAGCAUAUUAUUAAUAUCAUUCAUCGAUGCAAGGCGAAUUCCGACUCUGAUAAGAAGAACUUCACAGACAUGCUCCGGUGGUACAUCACUUUUAGACAAACUCUUUUGGCCAUCAUACCGAGCGUGUUCAAGACUAUCAAGAGGUCGGCUACAGAUCAACCGAAGUGAGCUCUCGGCUCCAUUGAUGCAAAGGGGGAGAUUGUUGGGUAUUAUGUGUUGCGUCGUGGGCCAUUCUUUUAUAUAUCCGUUUUGGGUCUGUCCAACCGUAAUUAUAGAUUAGGGUUACGUAUUAUAUAUAGUGCAUGCAUGUAUGCCUUAAAUAUGUGAGUAUUGGAUUAUCUUUUGUAUUGUAACCCUAAGCACCUCUACAGUCGAAGUUCUUCAUCGAGCUCUUCUGGGGUGUUAAAGGUUAAUCAUACGACAUCUUCAAAGCCUUUCCUGUGUUCUUAAUUACGUCUCUAAUUUUUUCUCUGCUUAGUAUCUAUCGAUCCUACUAGAACUUUGUUCCUACAAUCGUCAUUAUCUUCAUCAUCAAGCUACCUAUCAACACCAACCCCAAUAUGAUCCACAUAAAUCGAAAUUACACCAUCUGUUCCAUAAGCAUGAAAAAUAAAAGCAUCAUAUUCCACAUAAUUUGAAAUGGGAUUAAGCCCUUCCAUCAGAGAAUUCUCUGGUUCACAGUAGUAAAACUUUUUACACUCUUCAUGCAUGAAAUGUUCGCAUAAGGUCACAAACUCAGAAUAAGUCAUAAAAGAAAAUUCAACAUCAUUGAAGAUGGUUUUAACACCACAAGUGUAAGAUAAAUGAUUGCGAUUAAAUACCCAUUGGUAGUUGAGUUCCACCAUCGCAAAUACUCCAUUAGGUUCCAAUUGUGCCAUUGCUACGACUUCUUUGUUUCUUCAGCUUGAUCAUAGGAAUGCUUCACAAACCCUAAAUCAAUUUCUUUUACAACUGAAUAAUGAAGACGAGUAAAGUUCGAUAGCUAAAGACGAAAGGCUUUAAGCUUCUUAUAUCAUUAAUUGACUUGGCAUAUCUCACAUGGCAUCAGAUUAGCCAAAAAAUAUAUAUUAAUUGACAUAUAUAAAAUGUCAUCCAGGAAACCGAUUAAAAGUAGAUAAAAUGAAUAAAUUAAUAGAUCAUAUACAAGUUCAAUGGUCUAAUGUGAUGGGUUUUACACAAAAGAAACAUCCUAUGUGCUCAUGCAAACCCUAAAGUUUGGAUCUAGGAUUCUCUAUUGUACAUGCAAUUCAUCUAAGACUUAUGAACCCUAGAUCUAGCAUACAUAUUUGGAAUUUAUCAUAAGAAAACAGAUCUAGAUGAUUACCUCUUCAACAAUGGCUUGAAUCUUCUUGUCUUGGAGCUUAGAGACACAAAUGUCACUCGUCUAAUGGCUUACUAACACCACACAAGCAAGAGGAUGAUAUUGGAGAGAGGGAAGAGGCGCAAUUUCGGCUAUGAACUCUCUAGGGAUUCAAGUGGCCGAAAAUUGGAUGCCUUGGGGUCUUAUUUAUACUGGUGCUGCUAGGGUUUCAGCCAAAACCCUAAUGGACAACUUAGGCCUUAAGCAAUCUAAGAAGCUUUUGGAAUAGGGCCCUUAUGGCCAAAAUUAGGAUGGACACAUCCCUAAUUUCGUCCAUGCCUAGUCCACGAGGCUCCUCAGCCCAAUAUUCAACUAUCACACAUUUGAUAGUUUAAGCCCCCUUUAUUUAAUUAAUGUCUUUUAGUCACAUAAUUAAUUCUUAAUUACUUCCUGUCUAAUAUUGAUUAAAACAUAUGAUUUCGCCUUUAAUAUAUUAUUAAUAUAAUAUAUUAAUAAACCAUAAUAACCUCUCUCCCUCUCUUCACAAAUCACCCUGUCAAGUUGCUCUGGUGAAGGCAACCCAAAAGGACCAUGCACAACCGGGUCAAGUACUUACCAAAUAUAGUUACGGGCUUAUACACUAAUCCAACAGUCUCCCACUUGGAUAAGUCUAGUAACUAUAAAUGCAAAUACAAUCUGAUUAGCAAUCCUAGCUCUCAAAGACGUUUUCGAACUCUGAUCUCAUCAAUAACCUGUCCUUUAGAUAAGGGAUCGUAUAUUCCUCUGUUCUAGAUAUCGUGCGGACAAUCGAAUGGAACAUAGUCAUACUUAUUGUCCAGUAGUUUGUUUCUCGAUCUCUGACUCGUCUGACAUAGAACUUAAUUGAACACAUCAAUUCAUUCCUGACCAGGCCCGUCACAUAAGUCAAAAUAAAUCAUCGAGGGACCAUAUAUUUCUUAUAACCCUCUUAGGAUAAAAGGAACAUAUAAAGCUCGACUUAUAUGCAUUGAGCAUCCACAGAUUAAAUCACGCACAACAAUGUGUUUUAUAACAUCAAGUUACUGAUGUGUUUACGCAUUAUCAAUGCACAACCAAUUUGCAAACGACAAACCAUAUAUCUAGGUUUUAAUACCAUAUGAUAUUAUCAUCUUGCAAUCGCUGGUGAUAAAUUCCAUGAAGUGAUACCAGCAAGCGUGGGUCUAAUCCAAUGCUCAAAUCAAAUUCAUAAGCACUCAUGAAUGUUGUAGCAAACUUUUGCUAUGUCAUAUACACUUUAGACAAUCUACACACCAAUUCAUGACAGUCUUCUUUCAUACCUAUUUCCAACAUAUGAACGACUAUGGAGUGUUCGAAUAAUCUUAUUAUUCAGGAAGUCAGAACAUGCAAAAUGAAACAAUAGUUAAAUAAUUAACAUCAGACAGUAACUUUACAUAUAAAUAAUACUCCUUUAUUUAUUCAUUAAAUGUCAGUUACAUUUAUCUAUUACACGUUUCAAACUAUCUAAUCUAAACUAAUACCGUCCUCCAGCCCAAUGCUCCUAGCUUGCUGUAAGUGCUUAACCCUACUCUGUCCCUUCGUAAGGGGAUUUGUUGGGUUAUCCUCCGACGAUACCCUCUUCACUACGAGGAGUCCCUCUUCCACCCGAUGUUGAAUAAAGUGAUACUUUCUGUCGAUAUGUCGAGAUCUACCAUGAUCUUUCGGUUCCUUGGUCAAGGCAACAGUUGAUUCGUUAUCACAGAAUAUCUCCAUAGGCUCCUUUAUGGCUGGCACAACUCCAAGGUCUUCAAUGAAGUUCUUCAACUAUAGUGCCUCCUUUUCUGCUUCGCUCAUCGCUAUAUACUCUGAUUCGCACAUUGAAUCAGCUACGAUCUCCUUCUUGGAACUUUUCUUAGUCACUUCUCCUCCAUUAAGGGUAAAGACCCAGCCCGACUGCGAACGGUAUUUGUCCCUAUCGGUCUGAAAACUGGCGUCACUGUACCCUUGCACCUUUAAGUCAUCACUCCCACCAAGGACUAGAAACCAUUCCUUGGUCCUCCGAAGGUACUUAAGAAUGUUCUUGACUGCGGUCCAAUGUGCUUUGCCAGAUUUCCCUUGAUGUCUGCUGACCAUGCUCAAAACAAAGGCCACAUCAGGGCGAGUACAAGUUAUAGCAUACAUAAUCGAGCCAACUGCCGAAGUGUAUGGUACUAGGCUCAUUUUUGCUAUCUCAACUUCGGUACUCGGACUUUGAGUCUUACUCAACUUGGCAUUACUUUGGUUCGGUAACUCCCCUUUCUUGGAAUUCUCCAUACUAAAAUGUUUUAGUACCUUUUCCAAGUAAGUAUUCUGACUAAGUCCUAUUAGUCUUUUACUCAUUUCUCUCACUAUCCUUAUUCCCACAAUAUAGGCAGCUCUCCGAGGUCCUUCAUAGCGAAACAAUUCCCAAGCUAGGACUUGACUUCCUGUAGCGUCGGGACGUCAUUUCCUAUGAGUAGUAUGUCAUCGACAUACAAUACAAGGAAGCUUACUUUACUCCCACUAGAUUUGACAUAUACACAUGAUUCAUCCUCGCUUCGCAGAAAACCAAACUCUUUGACUUUCUCGUCGAAACAAAGAUUCCAUCUGCAAGAUGACUUGUUUUAAUCCAUAAAUGGACUUAUCAAGCUUACACACUCUAUUGGGAUGCUUUGCAUUGAAAGAACCCUCUGGCUGACUCAUGUAAACAUCCUCAACCAACUUUCCAUUAAGGAAAGCGGUUUUGACAUCCAUCUGCCAUAUGUCAUAGUCAUGAAAUGCAACAAUAGCCAACAUCACCCUAAUAUACUUUAUCUUCGCAACUGGUGAGAAGGUCUCAUCAUAGUCAACUCACAGGGUUUCAGUAAAUCCCUUCGCAACCAAUCGCGCCUUAUAAGUGUGCACAUUUCCAUCCAUGUCAAUCUUCUUCUUGAAGAUCCACCUGCACCCGACCAUCUUACGACCUAGAACAUUAUCAACCAAGCUCUAAACUUGGUUAUCGAAUAUGGACUGAAUCUCUCUAUCCAUUGCCUCUUUCCACUUUGCAGACUCUGGGCCUGCCAUGGCUUCCUUAUAGCUGUUAGGUUCGUCCAAAUUCUCUAGUGUACUAUCACUAAUGAACAUAUCCCCUUCUCUAGUAGUAUGAAAACCAAAAAACUGGGGUUGAAUCCUAACUCUUUCGGGAUGUCUAAGAGGUAAGGACUUGGCAAUCGGUUCAAUCGGAGUUUCCUCCUCAGGUUGAGUGCCAGCCUUAGAGGUUCCUUCAUCACUUAAAUUUUGAAUUUCUUCAAGAUCGAUUUGCCUCCCAUUGUCCCCUUGGCUUAUGAUUUCUCGCUCUCAGAAAACCCCUCUCCUCGCAGCGACGACAAAAUUGUCACUCAGUCUAUAGAAGAUAUAUCCAAAGGACUUUUGCGGGUAGCCAAUGAAAAUACACCGCUCACUACGAGGUUUUAGCUUGUCGUAAGUUUCUCGUCUUACGAAAACCUCGUAACCCCAAAUCUUGAUAUGUGCAAACGAGGGAGCUUUCAAUGUCCACAUCUCGUGAGGUGGCUUGGCAACCGUUUUUGUAGGGACUAAGUUAAGGAUAUGGGCGGCAGUCUCUAAGGCAUACCCCCAGAAUGAGAUUGGUAGCGAAGCACAGCUCAUCAUGGAACGAACCAUGUCUAGCAAGGUUCGAUUACGCCUCUUAACCACACCAUUCAACUACGGUGUCCUAGGUGGCAUCAAUUGCGAAACAAUUUCGCAUUCCUUGAGGUAGUCGUGGAAUUCAAGACUUAGGUACUCUCCACCUUGAUCGGAUCGAAGCAUCUUGAUUUUCCCGCCCAACUAAUUCUCCACUUCUUGUUUAAACUCUUUGAAUUUUUCAAAGGUUUCUGACUUGUGCUUGAUUAAGUAGAUAUAUCCAUAUCUACUAUAAUCAUCGGUGAAAGUCACAUAGAAGUAGUUCGCAUCCCUUGUGCUGGAUCUAAAGGUCCCACACACAUCGGUGUGUAUAAGAUCCAAUAAACCCUCACCCCUUUCACAAGUACUAGUGAAAGGUGACUUGGUUAUCUUUCCAAGUAAACAAUACUUGCACACGUCAUCGUCCCUAAGGUCGAAUGACUCCAACACUCCGUCCUUUUGGAGUUGGGCUAUGCAUUUCUUGUUGACAUGUCCAAGACGACAAUGCCACAAGCAUGCUUUAUCCAAACUAUUGGAAGAAUCAACACACAACACAUCAUUUCCUAAAUUGUCUACAAUCAUCACAGUUUCAUAUAUUCCAUUACAAGGCAAUGCUUCAAAAUAGAAAAAACCAUUAAGAUUAGCAUAAAUAGAACCCUUUUCAUUAUCAAAUGAAUAUCUAAAUCCUUGUCUAUAUAAACCAUGAAAAUAAAUUUUGUUUCUUUCCAUAUCUGGCGAAUAGCAACAAUUAUUUAAAUCUAAUCAUAAUCCAUUAUUAAGCACUAAAGAAUAAACUCUAAUCUUGGUGAUAGGCGACGAUCUUUUGUUCCCUAUGAUCAAGUUUAUCUUCCCAUGCUCCACAUCCCUACUUCUUCAUAGGCCCUACAAAUCAGAACAAAUGUGAAACCACAUCCUGUAUCAAGAACCCAAGAAAUAGCAUGCAACGAUUCAUUAGAUUUAAUAGUGUAAAUACCUGCGAAGGAUGGCUUGAUCUUUCCAUCGUUGAUUGCUUCCAGAUACUCUGGGCAGCUUCGUUUUCAAUGCCCUAUCUUGUGGCAGUAGUGACACUCUGCCUCCUUGGGGUUGGAGUUUGGUAUAGUAGAACCAACCUUGGUUCCACUCGAAGAGGUACCAUCUUGGGAUUUUCCCUUGUGGUUGCUCUUUAAGGGAGUCUUCUUCUUCUUACCCUUUCCUUGCCUAAUUGCCAAGACAGGGGCAACAGCAAGAGUAGGAGUUUGUGCAACGAACUUGUCUUUGAGGUUACUAUUGUCAGUCCUCAAUAGACCUUGCAGCUUGCUCAACGUGAUCUCCUCUUUGUUCAUGUGGUAAGUCAUGCAAAACUGGUUGAAGUAGGGUGGCAAUGAAUGAAGGACAAUGUCAAUCGCCAGAUCUUCAUCAAAGUUAACAUUUAAAUUCAGCAGGCGGUUAACAUACCUUUUCAUCUUUUGCAGAUGAGCAGUGACAAACUCUUCGUCUCUCAUCUUGUUCAUGAUCAUCGAAGUGAUGAUCUCAAACCUCUUCCGCCUCGCACUUUGGUGAUACCUUUCAGCCAAGUCAUAAUACAUUUCGUUGGGAUAAUAGUCCUCGUAGGACUUUUGGACUUCAGCAGUCAUAGUUGCUAGCAUGAUGCAAUGGACUUUCGUGGGAUCAUGCUCAUGGGCCUCAAAGACAACGAUCUCCUCGGGAGUAGCAAUGUUGAUGUUCACCUACUUCAGCUCCUUAUCAAGGAGAUACUCUUUAUCUUCAUAACGAGUGACCAUUCGGAUGUUACGGAUCCAAUCAUUGAAAUUGGACCCGUCAAAGAUCACUCUGCCACACAAGUUCAUGAGUGAGAACGAGUCAGAUGAGGUUGAGCCUGAAGCAUUGUGAUUGUUUAAGACAAAGUUGAUUAGACAAGAAUCCCUAAUUAAAUACCCAAAUGAGAAAUUAGGGCUAGGAUCCAACAAUGUUAUUUAAAAAUUAGAAGAGGGAUGUUGUAAUCAAACAUGCAAAUAAUUUAAAGGUAAGUGAAUGACGAUUCACAAAUUUUCCACUAUGAAAAACGAAAAAGAGAUUAGGUUUUAAUUGUAUUGAAAACUCCUAGAUCCUUUGAGAUUCAUUGAACUUUUCAAUGGCAUGUUUAAAUCUCGAUAUGCCCCUCAAGUUUGUGACUGGGAUGCCGAGGAUCACUGUAACAACAUAAAUUUUCAAAACAAUUUUUCAUUUUUCGAACAACAUAAACCAUCAAUUCAAUAUUCUCAAAUCUCAUGUUUAGCAAAUGUUAUCAUAAUAAAAAUACAUCCCAAGAUCAUAAAACAAAUCUUCCGUCAGUGUGUACAGAUCAUGCCUGCGCCUUCCCACGGUCCUCGCUCGUACCUGAAACACAUAACUCAACAACUGUAAGCAUAAUGCUUAGUGAGUUCCCCAAUAUACCACUUACACACAUACGCCCUUCCAGGCCAUGACCUUCCAGUCAUGUGUCUCANUGUGUCUCAGGGGACUUCCGUCCCAACCCGGUAAACCUUCCGGCGCUACCCGUGUCGACCUUCCGGUCCAUGACUCCCUGACCUUCCGGUCCACAUCAUAAUGCCUUCCGGCCCAUAACGUAAUGCCUUCCGGCCCAUAACAAGCAUAACAUACAUAACACAUACAAAACGGUUAACUAAUCACAUACAACGCAUACAUCUUAUAGCAUAUCUGACCUUCCGGUCACACAUAGGUACCCUUCCAAGUACAGUAUACUGAGAAGACUCACCUCGUAGGAUGUCUAGAAUCUCACGUGUUCGAUAUCUCUGAAUCUUGAAACGACGACCCAACCCCGCCUAUUCACAACGAAUAAUCAUUCUAAUUAAUAUAGGCUUCCAAGACUAAGCUACACCCUUUUUCACUAUCCCACAGAGGGGUAAAAGACCAUUUCACUCCUCCUUGACUCAAAAGUCCACAUGUUGACCAAAAUCCUAAAAGUCAACAAAAGUCAACAGCAAGCAGUACACGGGGCGUACCAGCUCCUGUAUGCGGGGCAUACUCUUGCAUUCCACAAACGGGGAAUGCGUCCCACUUCCUUCUUCUAAUGUCAUAAACGAUUAAGACACAACCCCAUAUUCCUGAUCUGGCUAAAAUAAUACCUCUUAGUCCAUAAAGUCGAAACCUUUAAGCCUUGGCAUGGCUAAAAGGUUCCCCAUACCUUCUAACACCUUUCCUUCCCCUCCAAGAGUCUAGAUCUCAUGCAUGGCUCAAUAUCCACGUCCAAGAUUGCAUUUUUAUAAACAUACAACUCAUAUAGUCCUGGAAUAUGACACAUCUAGGGCAAUGGAUACUACUUGUUCAUAAAGUCUCCAUCUUGGGACCAAAAACCCUAGAAAUUGGUCCAAGAAGCACACCAUAUAAACUAAAAGGCAAGAUCUGAACUUUUUACCUUAGGAAGAAGCUCCAACCUUUAUAGUCCUCAGAUCUACACUUGUUCACCAACUUUUAGCCUCCACAAUGGACUCCUCUUCUUUUUUACUACCUUGAAAUGGCACUUUGAAGCUUAGAACACUCACACCAAGCUAAAAACUAAGGAAAUGCUCUCUUAGGGUUUCUUUCUGAAAGAUGGUGACUGAGGGACAAGACCAUCUAAUUCCUUUUAUAGCCCUCAAGUCGUAUUAGGGUUUUGAGUCUUGGCCAGUUACGCCCGGUGUAACGUUAGGUACGCCCAGCUUACCUGGAUGGCACUGCAUAUAAAAUAAGCGUGCGAGUACGCGCAGCGUACUCUGUUUACACCCAGCGUACUCACUCAACACAAAGGACCAAAAUGACAUUUUGGAAAAGAUGAAGGGUUAAAUGGUCGUACCUGAAUUUCGGGCAGUUACAAUUCUCCCCCAAUAGAACCAGACUUUGUCCUUGAAGUCUUAAACCGAAAACAACUUUGGAUGCUGCUCCCGCAUUUCCGACUCGGACUCCCAUGUCAGCUCGGACCCCUUCCGAUGCUUCCACUGCACUUGCACCAAAGGCACUUCCUUGUUCCUUAGAACCUUGACCUUCCGAUCCUUAAUUGUCACCGGUCUCUCAACAUAGUUCAGGCCUGCAUCCACCUGAAUAUCCUCUAAUGGUACCACUGCCGACUCGUCGGCUAUACACUGUCUCAACUACGACACAUGGAAAGUAUCGUGAAUCUGACCCAACUCCGUAGGUAGAUCCAAACGUAGGCUACCCAACCUACCCUCGCGAUUACGCUGAAAGGUCCAAUACAUCGAGUCCCCAACUUGCUCCACUUCAUGAAUCAGAUCACUUCUUUCCAAGGAGAGACCUUUAAGAGUACGAGGUCACCGACUUGAAACUCGAGCUCGGACAGACGCCUGUCCGCAUAACUCUUAUGGUGACUUUGAGCGGUCAACAACCUCUGCCUGACCUGCUGUAUCUGCUCAGUCGUCUAAAGCACGAUCUACGUACUGCCCAUUACACAUUGCCCCACCUCUCCCCAGCAAAUGAAGGCCCGACAUCUCCUCCAAUACAACAGCUCAAAGGGUGGCAUACCAAUGCUUGAAUGAUGGCUAUUGUUGUACGGAAACUUCGACAAGGGUAACUAUGUGUCCCAACUUCCGCCAAAAUCCAAAACACAUGCUCGAAGCAUAUCCUCGAGUUUCUGAAUCGUCCGCUCACUCUGACCGUCCGUCUGUGGGUGGUAUGUUGUACUAAAAUGUAGCCUCGUACCCAACUCCUCGUAAAACUUCUUCCAAAAUCUGGAAGUAAAUCGUACGUCUUGAUCUGAAACCAAUCGACAUCGGAACCCCAUGCCACGAUACCACCUCCCUCACAUACAACUUUGUCAACCUCUCAGCAGAAGAGCUCUCACUGAUAGCAAGAAAAUGAGCGCUCUUCGUCAACCUAUCCACAAUCACCCAAAUUGCAUCGACUCCCCUUGCAGUCCUUGGCAAUUUGGUGAUAAAAUCCAUGGUAAUCUGUUCCCACUUCCACUCGGGAAUCUCCAGCGGCUGCAGCUUACCAUGCGGACGCUGGUGCUCGGCGUUAACCUGGCGACAAGUUAGGCACCUCUUAAUGAACCAUGCAACAUCCAUUUUCAUACAAGGCCACCAAUACUCCUUCUUUAGGUCCAGAUACAUCUUAGUGGCCCCGGGAUGGAUUGAGAAGUUCGAUCGAUGUGCCUCUUCCAUCAAAAUGGUACGCGUCCCGCCCACAAACAGUACCCAAAUCCAACCAUGAAAUGUCAUAAGUCCCCGACUAUCGAUAACGAACUCCGAUACCUGCCCGACAACUCGCUCCCUCUUUCAGUUUUCUGUUCUCAUAGCCUCAGCCUGGGCCCCUCGGAUGGUGUCUAAUACCGGAGUCAUCACUGUCAACCUCAUACAAACGUCUCGAAUCGGGGUGCUCUCCGCCCUACGGCUCAAAGCAUCGGCUACGACAUUAGCCUUGCCCGGGUGGUACAGGAUCUCACAAUCAUAAUCCUUCACCACAUCCAACCAUCUCCUCUGGCGCAUAUUCAGGUUGGGCUGAUCCAUCAAGUACUUCAGACUCUUGUGGUCCGUGUAUAUGGUACACCGAACCCCAUAUAGAUAGUGACGCCAGAUCUUGAGGGCAAAUACCACAACCCCCAGCUCCAGAUCGUGGGUGGGAUAUCUCGACUCAUGAGGCUUCAGUUGCCUCGAUGCAUACGCUAUCACGUGUCCCAUUUGCAUAAGCACUACCCCUAACUCAGAUAUUGAUGCAUCACAGUAUACCACAAAAUCCUCCAUCCCUUCCGGAAGUGCGAGCACCGGGGCUUCGCACAACUUCUAGCGAAGUGUCUCAAAUGAGGACUGCUGCUCCGGACCCCAUGAAAAUGCAACACCCUUCCGGGUCAUCUUGGUAAGUGGCACGACGAUCUUGGAGAAAUCCCUAAUGAACCUCCGAUAAUAGCCAGCCAAUCCCAGAAAGCUCCUGAUCUCAGUGGGUGAUCUCGACACCUCCCAUCUCAUCACCGCCUCGAUCUUGGCCGGAUCAACCAAUACCCCUUUCUGGUUAACAAGAUGCCCUAGGAACUGGACCUCUGAUAACCAGAAAUUACACUUGGAGAAUUUGGCAUACACCCUCUCCGAACUCAGAACUCCAAAGAUCUCCCUCAAAUGCUCCUCAUGCUGCUCUCUAGACCUCGAAUAAACCAAAAUAUCAUCAAUGAAUACGAUCAUCGAUCCUUGGUAACGGAUACCGGUUCUUGACCGUCAACUUGUUCAACUCCUGGUAAUCAAUACACAUCCGGUGUGAACCAUCCUUCUUCUUGAAAAAAAAAGGAUCGACGCUCCCCAAGGUGAGCUACUCGGUCAAAUAAACCCCUUCCCCAAUAGCUCCGGAAGCUGCAAGGAUAACUCCUGCAUCUCUAGCGGCGCGAGGCGAUAAGGCAUCUUGGCGAUAGGUGCUGCUCCCGGAACCAAAUCGAUAUGGAACUCCACUUGUCUUUCUGGAGGCACGCCCGACAGUUCCUCGGGAAAAACAUCCGGAAACUCGCACACUAUCGGGACCUUGUCAAUUGAGCUUGGCCUCCCCGCGACCACUCGUGUGUCCAUCACAUACGCUAUGAAUCCACUACAGCCUUGCUGCAAACUCUGUCUCGCCCAGGCAGCAGAACAAAACGCUGAACCACACCGGGUCCCUUCGCUAUACACAUUAAGCACUCCCCCACUAGGGUCUCGUAUGGUCACCAACUGUCUCUCGCAGUCAAUAACCGCUCCAAACUUACUCAACCAGUCCAUGCCCACGAUGACACAGACAUCUCCCAUCGCGAUAGGAACUAGAUCAAUUGGGAACUUGACGCCAAAAAUAUCGAGCACACAUCCUCGAAUCACCUCGGUGGCAUACACCACUUUCUCAUCAGCUAUGGAAACCCUCAGGGGUCGACUCAUCACCUCCCAACUAAUACUGAUGUGCUGACUAAAAGCCAAAGAUACAAAAGACCGACUCGCACCCGAGUCAAACAAUAACAAGCCGGGUACAGAAUUCACAAGAAAAGUACCUACGCAUAUCAUAAUAUAAGCACGAUAUCUCAACAUGAAAGUAAAUACACGAAAGAAUACAUACCAGCCACGACAUCGGGCGCCGCGCGGACCUCCUCCGUAGUCAACCGAAAAGCUCUCCCACGAGUCUUCGGAGCCUCGGCCUUUGCCGGUCGAAACUCGGUAACCCUAGCCGCAGGCGCAGAUCCCUGUGCUGAUCCCUGAUGUAGUAGAGGACACUCGGCCUUCCGAUGGCCGGUCUAGUUGCAAUGGAAGCAAACCAUAAAUCCCUUGGGGUAAUCCUUGGCGAUAUGCCCCUCCUUGCCACAUUUGUAGCAAGCACCCGAUCGGCAGACCCCCUCAUGUCCCUUACCGCACUUCCUGCAAGUGCGGCUCUUCUGGACUCCAGUCCUUGAAUCAGCGAACUUGGUCUGCUUGGCUGCCGGCUGAGACUGAGCCGGCCGCCGAUCCAUCCUCUGAGACUCGGCCUCCUCCCUAGCCUGAGUCUCCUACUCAAUCUCCCUCUUCCGGGCAUUUUCCUGGAGCUCAGCAAAUGUCCGGUACGUCGAGUUCGACACGAACUCCCGAAUGUCCCUCCUCAAAAUACCCAAAUACUGUCUCAUCCGUGCUUGCUCAGUAGACACCUGCUCAGGGCAGAACAUCGCCCUCUCAUCAAACUUCCGGGUGACCAUAAUAAUCGAAUCAUUACGCUGCUUGAGGGUCAAGAACUCCUGAAUCAACCGUUCCCUCUCCACCGGGGGAACAUAUUCAUCUCUGAACAUGAUGGUGAACCUCUCCUAGGUCACUGCUGAAAUAUCUGCAAGAGUGAAGUUCACUAUCACGAACUUCCACCAAUCCUUCGCCCCUAGGCGAAGCUGGUUCAAAGUGAACCGUACCCUCAGAUGGUCCGUACAUGAACACGUAUAGAAGCAUCCCUUAAUGUCAGAAAUCCAUCUCAUCGUAGCGAUCAGAUCCUGCGUCCCAUCAAACCCGGGUGGCUUCAUGUUGCUGAACUCCCGACACAACAACGAGUCACCCCCCUGAGGUCUGGCAGCAGCCACAGCUGCUGUAGCUACAGCGGCUGCGGCCUCAGUCACCGCGGCGUACCGCUCAUCAAAAGUCUCCAACAAUGUGGUCUUGAUAGACCCAAACAUCUUCAGAAUCUUGGCCCUGAUUGCCGCAGCCACCUCAUCGUUGAUCAUCUGACGAAGCUCCUCGUCACUCACACCGCUCGCCCCAGGUCUAUGGCAUGUCCCAACCAUGAUGCCUUUGAAAUACAACAUAAAAAUAUCAGAGACUCGAUCGAGCAUACUCGCACUCGAUAACGCAACCCUAAUCGGCCUCCGAUACCCAAAGGAUUCUUACUUGGGCUGCCCACUGAUCCGGUGUCUUCAGUAGUACGGGCCCUAUACUACUGAUUACACCGCAUCAGCAUUCACCCCAGGUCCUCCUCCCUGGAUCCUGGAACGCAAGUACUCUAUUUACGCUAUGCAUUGGCUACUUACUCACUCUCAAGGCAUCUCAUAGCAGUAGGAUUCUCCUAGACUAAGUCAUCAUAAAUCAGGCCACUCUAGUCCUAAUAUGAAUACCUAGUCUACUCUAGCAUGCAUAACAUAUCAUAGCAUAUCUCAUAACACAUAUUGUAAGGGUAUUUUGCGGAUUUUACCGUUCGGGCGCUGGCUGGCCGUACACACUGCUCCUUUUUUGGUUAUCUCAAAACCUCUUAUAAAAUUUUAUGCUUUUAUUAUUCGAAUUUUUUUUUCUCAAAUCCUCGGUUUGAGUUCAGUUACGCCCGAAGGUGCACCCGAAUCCCUCAAACCAAGGCUCUGAUACCAACUUGUAACAACGUAAAUUUUCAAAACAAAUUUUCAUUUUUUGAACAACAUAAACCAUCAAUUUAAUAUUCUCAAACUCUCAUGUUUAGCAAAUGUUAUCAUAAUAAAAAUACAUCCCAAGAUCAUAAAAUAAAUCUUCCGCCAGUGUGUACAGAUCAUGCCUGCGCCUUCCCACGGUCCUCGCUCGUAGCUGAAACACAUAACACAACAACUGUAAGCAUAAUGCUUAGUGAGUUCCCCAAUAUACCACUUACACACAUACGCCCUUCCAGGCCAUAACCUUCCGAUCCAUGUGUCUCAGUGGACUUCCGUCCCAACCCGGUAAACCUUCCGGUGCUACCCGUGUCGACCUUCCGGUCCAUGACUCCCUGACCUUCCGGUCCACAUCAUAAUGUCUUCCGGUCCAUAACGUAAUGCCUUCCGGCCCAUAACAAGCAUAACAUACAUAACACAUACAAAACGGUUAACUAAUCACAUACAAUGCAUACAUCUUAUAGCAUAUCCGACCUUCCAGUCACACAUAGGUACCCUUUCAGGUACAGUAUAGUGAGAAGACUCACCUCGUAGGAUGUCUAGAAUCUCACAUGCUCGAUAUCUCUGAAUCUCGAAACGACGACCCAACCCCGCCUAUUCACAACGAAUAGUCAUUCUAAUUAAUAUAGGCUUCCAAGACUAAGCUACACCCUUUUUCACUAUUCCACAGAGGGGUAAAUGACCAUUUCACUCCUCCUUGACUCAAAAGUCCACAUGUUGACCAAAAUCCUAAAAGUCAACAGCAAGUAGUAUGCGGGGCGUACCAGCUCCUGUACGCGGGGCGUACUCUUGCAUUCCAGAAACGGGGAAUGUGUCCCACUACUCGGCGCGUACUGGGAUUACGCCUAGCGUACAUCCCAGUUUCUCACAUCCUUCUUCUAAUGUCUCAACCGAUUAAGACACAACCCCAUAUUCCAGAUCUGGCUGAAAUAAUACCUCUUAGUCCAUAAAGUCAAAACUUUUAAUCCUUGGCAUGGCUAAAAGGUUCCCUACACCUUCUAACACCUUUCCUUUCCCCUCCAAGAUUCUAGAUCUCAUGCAUAGCUCAAUAUCCACGUCCAAGAUUGCAUUUUUAUGAACAUACAACUCAUAUUGUCUUGGAAUAUGAUAAAUCUAGGCCAAUGGAGACUACUUGCUCAUAAAGUCUCCAUCUUGGGACCAAAAACCCUAGAAAAUGGUCCAAGAAGCACACCAUAUAAACUACAAGGCAAGAUCUGAACUUUUUACCUCAGGCAGAAGCUCCAACCUUUGUAGUCCUCAGAUCUACACUAGUCCACCAACUUCUAGCCUCCAUAAUGGACUCCUCUUCUCUUUUACUACCUUGAAAUGACACUUUGAAGCUUAGAACACUCACACCCAAGCUAAAAACGAAGGAAUUGUUCUCUUAGGGUUUCUUUCUGAAAGAUGGUGACUAAGGGACAAGACCAUCUCAUUCCUUUUAUAGCCUUCAAGUCAUAUUAGGGUUUUGAGUCUGGGCCGGUUACGCCCGGCGUAACCUUAAGUACGCCCAGCGUACCCGGAUGGCACUGCGUAUAAAAUAAGCGCGCGAGUACGCGCGAGUACGCGCAGCGUAAUCUUUGUACGCCCAGCGUACUUACUCAACAUAAAGGACCAAAAUGAAAUUUUUGGAAAAGAUGAAGGGUUAAAUGGUCAUACCUGAAUUUCGGGCUGUUACAAUCACAAAGCGGGUGUGAAUAACCAUGCAAAUGUAAAUGGUGCCCCCAAUGUUACAGUCACCUAUUCGACGUGCCGAUUAACCACACAUGCUCCAUCGAACCAUGACAAACAUCGAGUGACCCUUUGCCACCCUUGCUUAGAACCCACUUAGUGUGCCGGUUAAUCACACACGCUCUACUAACGUCUUAGCAAGGGUACAAAAUGUAAUUUCAUGGAAUUGCAACAAAUUCACUUUUGCCUAAAGUAACUAAGAUUGGGAAUUUUGUAAAAUCAUUUUGUUACUUUAUUAUUCAUUAUACUUUUAAUGAGGAAAGCGUUUUCCCUAUCCUACCUGUUCGGCUAACAACCCUCCACCAAUUAAGGAAGCGGUGGGUGGGAGUGGACACCCAUUAAAUGACAAUUUUAUAGGUCAUAACCUUAUACCCCUUUAUAUAUAUAUAUAUAUAUAUAUNNNNNNNNNNNNNNNNNNNNNNNNNNNNNNNNNNNNNNNNNNNNNNNNNNNNNNNNNNNNNNNNNNNNNNNNNNNNNNNNNNNNNNNNNNNNNNNNNNNNNNNNNNNNNNNNNNNNNNNNNNNNUAUAUAUAUAUAUACAUAUAAAUCUUAUAAUAAAGAAAGUAUAAGAUUGAAUUUUAAACUUGUAAAAUUCUAGGGUUAAAAUUUAAAUAAUUCAAAUUAAAACUUUUAAUCAAAAAUUUAAAUUUCAAAACUUGAGGGCAAGUUUUGAACUUUUCAAAACACAUAGGAUCAAAUAGAAAAUAAUUUAAAUCAUACAAUUAAUUUAAUUAUUAUCUGAAUUUGACCUAUUUCAUUUUAUUCAAAAGAUAAUUCAUCAAAUAAAUUAAAUAACCAAAAUUUAUCAUAUAAGGAAUUAAUUAUUCAAUUAAUUGGUAAUUAUCUUUUAGUUUGGUAAGGAUAAUCAUGUAAUAACAUUAAAAUUCGGAUUUUAUCAGUUAAAAACAAUUUUGGCAAUUAUCCUUCAGUAAAACAACAAGAAAUCCCAAAAAUCCCUCUGUCUGACUCCCUGACUCGCCGAGUCACUAACUGGACUCGCCGAGUUGGGCUGAAUUGCCAAGUGCAGCUAGUGACUCGCCGAAUCAGGUCGGGCAGAGGGUAGAAAAAUGAUUUUCAGUUAGGAUGAACAUACAAGGCAUCAAUACAACAGAAACCAAUUAAGGAUCUGAUACCACUGAUGGAUUUUACUCAAAAGAAACAUCCUAUGUGCUCUUGCAAACCCUAAACCUUGUAUCUAGGGUUCUCUAUUGUACAUACAAUUCAUCCAAGACUUAUGAACCAUAGAUCUAGCAUACAUAUUAGGAAAUUAUCAUAAGAAAACAGAUCUAGAUGAGUACCUCUUCAACAAUGGCUUGAAUCUUCUUGUCUUGGAGCUUAGAGUCACAAAUGUCACUUCUCUAAUGGCUUACAAACACUACACAAGCAAGAGGAUUCAUAUUUGAGAGAAGGAAGAGGCACAAUUUCGGCUAUGAACUCUCUAGGGAUUCAAGUGGCUGAAAAUUCGAUGCCUUGGGGUCUUAUUUAUACUGGUGUUGCUAGGGUUUCAACCAAAACCCUAAUGGACAACUUAGGCCUUAAGCAAUCCAAGGAAGCUUCUGGAAUAGGGUCCUUAUGGCCGAAAUUAGGGUGGACACAUCCCUAAUUUCGUUUAUGCCUAGUCCAUGAGGCUCCUCAGCCCAAUAUUCAACUAUCACACAUUUGACAAUUUAAGCCCUCUUUAUUUAAUUAAUGUCUUUUAGUCACAGGAUUAGUUACUAAUUAAUUCCUGUCUAAUAUUAAUUAAACUAUAUAAUUUCUCCUUUAAUAUAUUUUUCAUAUAAUAUAUUAAUAAACCAUAAUAACCAAUAUCUCUACACAAAUCACCCUAUCAAGUUGCUUUGGUGAAGACAACCCAAAAGGACCAUGCACAACCAGGUCAAGUACUUACCAAAUAUAGUUACGGGCUUAGACACUAAUCCAACAUAAUGUACCAAAAAAAACUUUAAGGUCCAAAUGUAACAUCCCGGAAUUUCAAAAGGAAAAAGUGCAAGUUCAAAGGAGGGACUCGACGAGCAGGCACGCUUACUUGCGGAGUCGGAGCGAGAUUUUGUCACUAAUUAAGUGACCAACUCGCCGAGUCAGAAGCUUGGACUCGAUGAGUUGGUGCUGAAGGGAAAAAACCCUAAUUCUGAGGGUUUUUCCCUAUAUAAAGUGUGUUAUGUCCCUUCCUCUGCCUCCAUAUCAUCAUUGAGAGCCUACAAACCCUAGAAAUCGAGUGGAACUCCAUUGAUAGAGAAAUUGGAGCUUUGGAGGGGAAAUGCUUGCUAGUAUCCUGGUAGAUAGGAUAGUGAUAUGCAUAUAUGCUUGUUAGCUUAUCCCUAGAGAAAGGGAAAGUUUAGUGAUGGUUAGUUCUGUUAGAUCAGCACUCUAGUAGUUGAGUAGUGGUUAUGAGUACAGACCGAUAUUUUGGUCUUGUCUUAUGUGCGCUAGUCGGAGGUUACCGGCGGGUUGUGUAUGUUGAGCAAUAGCAGAGGGUAUUCCAUCCCGGCAGGAUGAUAGGGCCCUAGUAUGUUGGUUCUGUAGAAUGUUAUGUGGUUGCCUGUUAUGUAGGCAUUCCAACCCGAUGGUUGAGGGGCCUGGGGUAUUCCAUCCUGAGGGAUGAUUGGACCCAUAGUAAUAGUUAUUGUAUGUAUAGGAAGUGGGGCAUUCCAACCUGAUGGUUGUGGCCCAGGAGUAUUCCAUCUCGGUAGGAUGAUUGGACUCGUAGUAUGUUGGCAUUCCAACCCGAUGGUUGAGGGGCCUGGGGUAUUCCAUCCUGAGGGAUGAUUGGACCCAUAGUAAUAGUUAUUGUAUGUAUAGGAAGUGGGGCAUUCCAACCUGAUGGUUGUGGCCCAGGAGUAUUCCAUCUCGGUAGGAUGAUUGGACUCGUAGUAUGUUGGCAUUCCAACCCGAUGGUUGAGGGGCCUGGGGUAUUCCAUCCUGAGGGAUGAUUGGACCCAUAGUAUGUUGUUCUUUGCUGUAUACGUAUGUUUAUGUGUGUAUCGGUACCUUGGGGGAACUCAUUAAGCUUUCGGGCUUACAGUUGUGGUUUAUUGUUUCAGGUACUUCAGGUGAUCGUGGCAAGGCGAAGACGUGAUCAUACCACUCCUCAUGUUUUAUGUUUUAUGAUAUGGUUCUGGGAAAUACUCUGAUGUUUAAACUAUUUUGAAAACAAGUUGUAGUAAUUUAAUGAUGUUUUUAAAUGAAAUGACAUGUUUUAAAUUGGCUCAAAUUUUAUUAUCGUUACACCAAAUUCGCCAAAUUAUGACAAGUUUCAUGUGCUAUAGUGACAUUAUCCCAAUUCUAAUCACUUUGAAUGAAAUGAAAUGUUUUAAAUUGGCUCAAAUUUUAUGGUCGUUACAAGUUGGUAUUAGAACCUUGGUUUGAGUGAAUUGGAGGAACAUUCGUGUGAAUCCAGUCUCAAAUCAAGGAGAGAUUUUCAAAAAGGAUUUUCAAAUGGCUUUCAAAAUAAGAAAAAAAAAAAAGAGGACGCAGAGGGUACGAUCAACCAGAGCCAGUAAGUUACCCAAAAUUACCAUACAAGUUAUUUGUUUAUGUGAUAUGUUAGAACAACAUGCUAGUACUAGGCUAGGGAUCUUCAGCAAUUGCAUGAUAGAAUUGCCUGAUUACAUGAUGCCUGCUAGCCUAGGGUUUCCUUUGUAUGAAAUUGACAUCAUUACUGUAGAUGUUUAGUGUAUGCAUCACGGUUAUACAUAAUUAAGAUCUUAUAGCGUGGGAAUAUUUGAUUUGGCCUUAUGUUUCGUUCUUGUUUGAUUGGGAGCUUAGGGUAGAAUUGAAUAUUCGAAAGUCUAUAGGGUCCAACAUUAUGUAUGAUUAGCAUAUACUAGUGCUGCAGGGGUUGGUGGAAGUUUCAUGGUUGGGUGACUUGUGGGACCGGUAGGUCAGUAUGAGAUAUUCAAUAUUCCUCUAGUGUUGAGGAUUGAGUGCUUGCUAUGUAUGUUUGUGCUUAGGGCAUUGUGGUGAUACUUGAGACAAAUAUGGGUAGGCGUGGAAGGUAGUAUGGGCCCAUACUACUGAAAGCACAGGACCCAUACGUAUGUCAAGGAAGUCACAACCCCUAGGUUGUUUGGUUAGAGGUUAGUUCACGGUGGUUAUGCGAAGUAUCUGAGGAUCUUAUUGGUGCUUGUCAUUUAGUAUGGCGAUUACGAGGCGUAUCGGGGAAGGAUCCGGUUCGGGAUCGGGACCAGGAGAGGGUGGUCAGGAUGGCUUAGCACCGCCCGAGGUCGUUGGUUAAAUGAGUACGAAUGAGUUGGAUGCCAGGAUUUGUGAGAUCCUACAUGAUGAGGUUGCUGUUAUGUUCUAGGCUGAGUUGCCAGAACUGUUUGGGUCGAUCAAGACCACCAUGGUCGAGUAUUUUGAUGAGCGCUAUGCGGCUCUCAUAGAGACAGCAGCCGCGNGGCGGCUGUAGCAACGGCAGGGGGAGGAGCUAGUCGAGGCUUUUAGUAUCGGGACUUCGAUAAUACGAAGUCCCCUACUUUUGAUGGGGUUCAACAUCCGAUCAUUGCUAUGUGAUGGUUGUCAGAUGUGGAGGGAUGUUUCUUCACAUGUUCAUGCCCUGCUAAUCAGAGGGUGGGGUGUGCCCUGAACCUGUUGAGGCUCGGGGCGAAGGAUUGGUGGAGGUUGACCAUGGGAUCGUAUUCUGACGCGCAGAGGGCUGCGGUUUCUUGGGAUCAGUUUCGAGAUAUGUUCAGUACUCGUUAUGUUCCGCGGGUGGAGCGGGAGAGAUUGGCUCAGGAGUUUUUGGAGUUGAAGUAGGAUUCUGAGUCGGUGACAGAGAUCACCAAGAUGUUUACUGAGAGGGCGAUGCUUUGCCCGGAGUUUUCUUCGGAGCAAGCUCAGAUGUCCCGAUAUGAUACCUUAUUGGAUUUGCAGGAGGCCGCCAGGCGGCGCAAGUUAGAGAUCGAGCUCCAACUAAGGUAGCAGAGGCAGGCCUCGGUGCAGUCGCAGCCUGCACCGAAGCGGAUGAGGGCCGAUGAUUAUAGCCAGGGAGGNGCAGGCCUCGGUGCAGUCGCAGCCUGCACCGAAGCGGAUGAGGGCCGCUGAUUAUAGCCAGGGAGAUCCAAGGAGUCACACUUGCGGGAAGUGCGGUAAGGUGCACGAGGGAAGUUUUCGUUCUUCUUCAGGGUGCCACAAGUGUGGCAAGGAAGGCCACAUAGCCAGGGAUUACAGGCAGUCAACUCCAGCGGCAGGAGUCCGACUUUGUUUUCAUUGUGAUCAGGUGGGCCAUAUGAAGGCCUAGUGUCCUCUGCCGGCUGCUAGGUCAGUGUAGGCCCCAACGCCAGCCACUUUGAGACUUACUGACGGAAGUCAAGGUCGAGCAGAGCCUCCAAAGGCUCCAGGACGUGCUUAUCAGCUUUUGACUAAGGAGACCAGGUCAGCGCCAGAAGUGUCAACCGGUAUGUUUUCUGCCUUAUCUUAUCUAUGUUAUGAUUAUGUGUUGUUGCUUCUUGCAUGGGAUAUAAAGUAUUGUAUGUGUUAGAGGAGAGUUGGUAUUGAGGGUUAUUAGAGGGUUAUCAUCCGGUGUGGAUGCGUGAGAAGGGGGGUCGUGAUUCGGGAAUUUGGAAGCUUUCAGCAGGAGCUUAGGUUCUUUGAGGUUCGGUGUACUGGUUUGCUUAGAUUGAGCAGUGUGUUAGCUUUGCCGCCAGGGAUGGUGGUUAGUGCUCCAAGUGGGGGAGAAUUUGAAAUUUUCGGAUGAGCCGUUAGUUGUGGAAUGAUGCCUGACGCGAUUUAAAUGUUGGUUAUUGGAGUGGUGCAAUGAGGCGGUCCAGCUAUAGUAAGGGCUUGGCAUGUAUUGUAGAUCUUGGAGCAAGUAGGGAGGAUGCUGCUAUGUGAUAGCGGCUGGUGGGGGUUGUCCCCGAAUGGUGGAACUACUGAAGAAGUGCAACAAUCUAUGUAUGGAUUGCUGGUCAUGUGAUCAGUCUCGGGGUACGUAUGCAUGUUAUGAGCUAGCAGUGUGGGCCGCUAAGGGGUGAUGUAUAGUGAGGUUCUAUCGUUAUGGCAAUGCAGAUGAUGCGUAAGUAUGUUUUUAGUCUCCUUGGAAGAGGAGGAGGAUAGUGGUUCCAUAUUCGAGGUUCGGAUAGAGGAAAUUGAGAUGGCAGGUCGAUAGACCCGUGAGUGGUCUGGACUGGUAUUGAGGAUUGUGUAAGGAAAUUCCAAUAGAAGGUUGAGGACCUAGAGAUAGUGAUGAGAAGUGGUGCGUGGGUUACGCUCAGUUGUGUCGAACUGAAGGGUUCGAGGGUGACUCAAGGACAAGUCCCUUGGUUCCGAGUGUGGUUGUAGGGUUGAGUUAUGUGUAUGGAGGUAUUCCAAUAUGGGGGAUUACAUCAUGAGGAUGAACGGACCAUAUGAUUGAUUGGACCUGGUGCGUUUGGCAUUCCAACCUGAGGGUUGAUUAAGCCAAACAUACAUGAGGAUGCGAGGGUAUACCAUCUUGGGGAUGACUGGACCCGUUAGUGGUGUGCCUAGUAUUCCAGCCCGAGGCUGAUUGGGCCAGGUACGAGUGGUUACACGAUACGUUAGGAUGAUGGGUUAUGGGAGCUACAGGAUGCAGUAUCCUGUCAGCGCGUAAGAUAUAGAAUUAGAAGGGAAAUCAGGGUUUGUUCUAGGAUUGGAAGUUAUCUGGGUUUUCGCCAAUUUUGGGCGAAGGGAGAUGGAUCAGUGUCUCAGCAAAGCUCAGUAGGUGAUUAUAGUAUCUAGCGUUCGCAGGACACAAAGGCGUGUUCCUUAUAUGAAUAGAUGGUAUCAUUGGGUGAUACGUGGUUGAUAGGUUGUGCUACUAAGUUGAAGGGCCAAUGGUCGGCUUGGAGUAGUGGCAAGGAUGCCAUGCGAGAAUGAUUCAUUUUAAGAGAAAAGUAGUAGUAGGGUUGCAAGAACCUGCAUUAAUAGAGAAUUUGGAGUCUGCAGUGCCAAGGGUUUGUUUUGAAGUGUAUGUUACAGCAAGCUUCGAGCACGAAGCCUAAUUUAAGUGUGGGAGAGUUGUAACAUCCCGGAAUUUCAAAAGGCAAAAGUCCAAGUUCAAAGGAGGGACUCAACGAGUAGGCACGCUUACUCGCUGAUUCGGAGCGAGAUUUUGUCGCGAAUUAAGUGACCAACUCGCCGAGUCGGAAGGUUAGACUCGAUGAGUUGGUGCUGAAGGGAGCGAACCCUAAUCCCGGGGGUUGUGCCCUAUAUAAAGUGUGUUAUGUCCCUUCCUCUGCCUCCAUACAAACCCUAGAAAUUGAGUGGAAGUCCAUUGAUAGAGAAAUUAGAUCUUUGGAGGGGAAAUCUUGAAAAGGGAACUUGAAGACCAAGGGGAUUACAGUAUGGGAGUGGUAUAGAUCCGAGAUCUACUUCAGUGGGAGCUUUCAUUUGAGGUAAUAAUCUGUUGCUUGGGCUAUUGUGCUUCUAGAUUUAUUGUUAUUGGAGAUUUGGGACAUUUUUGGGGAUGAAUGAGACCUAUUUGGAGUUUGGAGUUAGAUCUGAGGUUGCUACCUCAGAUCUAGGCAGGUAAUGGUCUAGAAUGUCAUAAAGUUUCAGUCUUUGAAUGAUUAGUGAAGCCCCUUUGACAUAACCCUAGCUAUUGUGUGUUUUGGGCCUAUAUCUUUUUGCUUUCAUGUAAAGUUUGCAACUUUACAUGUGAGGCAUGCUCUAGGAGAGUGGAUCUACAAUUUGGAGCCCCUGCAUGGCUCGAAUAGCCUCUAAAUGGAUUGAGAACUGGAGAUACUCGGCGAGUCACAUGGGUGUACUCGACGAGUUGUAUGAAUAUGUGCAUGGACUCAGCGAGUUGGAAGAGCAACUCGGCGAGUAUGUUGAAGAUUACGUUGGACUCGGCGAGUCUGUUCUUGGACUCGGCGAGUCUGGUCGCGGAACCCCAACCUCUUUUGGGUUAAGCCUUGAAUCAGUGAGUCUUGGGGUGACUCGGCGAGUUGAGUCAUGUUCUAAUAGUUUUCAGGGCAUAAGGAUUCGACGAGUCGACGGGUCGACUCGGCGAGUAGAGUCAAUCAGGGAGUUGACAUUGGCUUGGACUUUGACUUUGACUUUGAGGGUGUUAUGGUAAUUGGUUAUUGAUGUCAAUGGUCCAUGGAUGGUGAUAGGUGUUGGAGUUUGGAGCAGUGCUUCGGGUGCGUGUUUUCGUGGUUUGGUUCUUCAUUCAGGUGAGUUAUCCUCAAUGUACCAAGGGUCUAAGGCACCAAGGCCGGCCCUUUGAUUUGUUGUUUAGAGUUGUUUAUGUUUAUGUGAUGAAAUGCUUGCUAGUAUCCUGGUAGAUAGGAUAGUGAUAUGCGGAUAUGCUUGUUAGCUUAGCCCUAGAGAAAGGGACAGUUUAGUAAUGGUUAGUUCUGUUGGAUCAGCACUCUCGUAGUUGAGUAGUGGUUAUGAGUACAGACCGGUAUUUUUGUCUUGUAUUAUGUGCGCUAGUCGGAGGUUACUGGCGGGUUAUGUAUGUUGAGAAAUAGUAGAGGGUAUUCCAUCCCGGGAGGAUGAUAGGGCCCUAGUAUGUUGGUUCUGUAGAAUGUUAUGUGGUUGCUUGUUAUGUGUAUAUGUUUGCUAGAGUAGUUGGCAUUCCAACCCGAUGGUUGAGGGGCCUGGGGUAUUCCAUCCCGAGGGAUGAUUGGACCCAAAAUAAUAGUUAUUAUAUGUAUAGGAAGUAGGGCAUUCCAACCCGAUGGUUGUGGGCCAGGAGUAUUCCAUCCCAGUAGGAUGAUUGAACUCGUAGUAUGUUGGCAUUCCAACCCGAUGGUUGAGGGGCCUGGGGUAUUCCAUCCCGAGGGAUGAUUGGACCCAUAGUAGUUAUUGUUGUGUGUAUAGGAGGGUGGGCAUUCCAACCCGAUGGUUGUGAGCCGAGAGUAUUCCAUCCAGGUAGGAUGAUUGGACACGUAGUAUGUUGGCAUUCCAACCCGAUGGUUGAGGGGCCUGGGGUAUUCCAUCCCGAGGGAUGAUUGGACCCAUAGUAUGUUGUUCUUUGUUGUAUACGUAUGUUUACGUGUGUAUUGGUACCGUGGGGGAACUCACUAAGCUUUCAGGCUUACAGUUGUGGUUUAUUGUUUCAGGUACUUUAGGAGAUCGUGGCAACGCGAAGGUGUGAUCGUACCGCUCCUCAUGUUUUAUGUUUUAUGAUAUGGUUAUGAGAAGUACUCUGAUGUUUAAACUAUUUUGAAAACAAGUUGUAGUAAUUUAAUGAUGUUUUUAAAUGAAAUGAAAUGUUUUAAAUUGGCUCAAAUUUUAUUAUCGUUACACCAAAUUCGCCAAAUUAUGACAAGUUUCAUGUGCUAUAGUGACAUUAUCCCAAUUCUAAUCACUUUGAUUGAAUCCUUUUAAAUGAAUGACACAUGCUUAGUUGUUUUAGUCUGCUCUUCUUAAUUUAAGCUAUAUAUCAUGGGGGUUUGGCAUCAUAUAUCAAGACUCCAAGAGAACUGUAAGCAAAUUCAAACACAAGAAAAUAUGUUUUCUUAAUUAAUUAAGGGGUAUAUUUGAAAAUUAAUUUCUUUUAAAUAACUAGUCUAAAUAGUUUUUGAAAACCCUAGCUUAUAAGCUACUUUUUGACUUGCCAAACAUGACAACUUAAAAAAGAUCAAAAAAUAAACUAGUUUAUCAGCUAGCUGUGGUGUGCCAAACAGAGCCUUAAUUAUUAAGACUUUGAUUAUUACUAAUCUUUUUUUGUAAUAAUGACAAAAAAAUUGUUAUGUAACAUUUCAAUUGAAAUCGUAGUUGUGGUGAAUGGAUGACUAAAAUGAAAAGAUGAAAUAAUGAAACUAUCUAACUAGAUACCAAUAUAAAUUGUAGAAGAGUUAGAUGAAAUGAUAAAACUAUUAAAAAUAGGGGCCUAAUGUGGAAAAAAUUAAAACCUUAUUACCUCUCUUUAAACUAUUAUAACAACCAUAUUGGUGUAAUACGUAUAAAAAAAACGCUAGGGACCUAAUGUGAACAAAAUUAAAACUUGAUUACCUUUUUUUAAAUGGUUAUAACAACCAUAUUGGACUAAUAUGUACCAAAAAAAACCUUAAGGACCUAAUGUGGACAAAAAUAAAACUUUAUUAUCCUCCUAGGUCAUUAAACCUAUGAUUAGCUGUAUCCACAUAUUAUAUGGAUUUAAUUAAAAAAAAUUAAAUAUGAAGUUCUAAAUAUCUAAGAGUUUUAGAUUUAUAAGAAAAUAAAAAAUAAAUAAUGAAUUAUUAAAAUUUAAAUGUCAUUUUUACAUUUUAAAUUUUAACAAAUAAUUUAGAUAAAUAAACAAAGGAAACUAAUGGAGUUUUAAUUUAGGAAUUUUGAAAUUAUAAGGCAACUUUAUUAAUGAAAUUGAUAUCUAUUUAUUAUUACAUUUAUUGAAAUUAUUAUAGUUAAAUACUAUGUGGAAUUAAUAAAAUAGAAAAAACCAUAAAAUAACAUGUAGAAAAAAUAAUAAUUUAAAUAACCACAAAAUUAAAUUUGGAAAAAUAAAUGAGAAUGUGACACAUGACAAACAUCUUUAUUUGUUAGGGUUGAUAUACAAAAAAACACACGCACACACACACGAUAUUAAGAGCGUGUUAGGCAAAACUAGCUGGUAGCAGGUAGCUUGUAGUUUGUAGCGUUUUAUUAAACGCUACAUGAAGUAGCUUUUAGAUUUGGAGCGUUUUGUUUAAGUUAAACAAUAGAAGCUUGUAGUGCCAAAUAAGGUUUUCUAUUCAAAACGGAGCAUUUUUCAAAUGCUAGAAACUAGGGGUGAGCAUAUUAACCGAAAAUCUGAACCAUAACCAAAUUAAAAAUAUAUAACAGAACCAUUACUAAAAGAUAUGGUGCGGCUUCUAAUUUUGAUUAACCGGAUACAUAUAGUUUUGUCUUUUGAAGUCUUUAUUCCUCAACUUUGACAUUAAUUAUUUUUGUUUUUGAUAUAUAAUACUUGAUACAAAAUAUAUGAGUAGACUGUAUUUUAAAUGUCUUUUCAUUGUUAUAAGUUUCAUAAAAUAAUUUAUAACACAAUAAAAAUAUUUAAGGUAAAAGUUGAAGAAUAAAGACUUUAAAAGUAAAAAAUGGAUAACAAAUAUGGGACAUAGUUGGUAUAUUGUAUGCAACUAUAUUAAGAAUUUGAAAUUUAAAGGGAAAUUAUCUGGAAUUAGAUAUGAUAAGUAAUCUUUUGUCAAUAUAAUUAUAUAUACACAAUCAUUCACUUUUUAUAGCAAUGGACUUUAUGAUUUUCAAUUUUUAUAGAAAAGUAUUUUUAUUUUUACAUCAUCUUGGACCAUUAUGGUUAACUGAUAAUAACCAUUAACCAACUAAAUUCGUUAACCAAAACCAAUAUUAACAGCUACCCAAUGGUUAUUAAAAUACAUUAACCAAUUAUAAUAGUUAUGGUUCGGUUUUAACCAAUAACCAAAGCAAACCACCCCCUACACACCCAUACUAGAAACUAGAAGCUCCCAAACGCUCCGUUUUUCUUCUUCUACUGUCAUCUUCAAUGUCGAUUUCUCAAGAUAGCAUGUUCUCUAUGAACACACUCCAUACAUGAUCCUUAUCAAGCUAUGUUCCAUAAACUAUCUCUCUUAUCAUAAAUUAUCGGAUCACAAUAAUCGAACCUCAUAAGCACCACCGGCUACCAUCACUGUAGACGGAAAAGAUGUUUCCAAUCCUGCCUAUUCCACUUGGUUUGACCUUGAUCAAAAAGCUAUCAUCAUCCUUAACUCCUCUCUUACUGAAUAGGCAAUGACUAAAGUUCUAGGGCUUAUAACAACUCGAUACAUAUGGGUUACAUUAGAGACUGCUUACAAAAAUUCUUCAGUUGUACGAAUUCAUUCCCUCAGAGACUCUCCCAGACGGAUUUCUAAAGGUACAUCUUUUGUAUCUGACUAUGUUCGAAAAUUUUAGAGUAUAUGUGACAAGCUUGCUGCUAUAGGUGUAACGCCCGAUGGUUCCAAGGUAUUAUUCUUUUUAAUCAUUUAUUUAAUUAUUUUUAAUCAUGUAAGUUAUUGUUGGGCUUAGAGGAUUGGGCCAUCAUGAGUAGGCUUCGUUGAGGUCGUAUGCUAGGAGUAAGCCUUGUGUACACGGGGCAUAGAAAGAUCAAAAAGAUCGUGGAGUCAUGCAGUACACACAACAUACAAGGUAGUACACGCAAUGUACGUGGCCAGACCCCAAAAACCAUAAUUUUAGGGUGCCAGCCCUGUAUAAUGUCAUUAAGCCCCAUGUGUUAGCUCCCUAUCAGCCUCCUCUUUCCAGAAACCCUAAAAUGGAGUCUUAUCUUCCAUUUUUUUAGUGUGUGAGCUUUUGGAGAGCUUUUAGUGUUCAUUUUUGUGCAUGUUGAAGGAGUUGAAGAAGCUAGAAGUUGCUUAGCCUGAAGAGGAGGUCUUGGAUCCAAACCCUCUACCCAUUUUGCAAGAAGUUUGAGGUAUCAAGCUCUUAUCUUGAUUGCUAGAUGCUAAGAUCUCCUUUUUGGUUAAAUAGUUAUGUUUUUAGCCAUGGUUUGGUUGAAUGUUGGGAUUUAGACAUCCCAAGGGCUUAAUCUUUCAAAUCCAAGGUCUUCAUGGACUCCUUUGACAUAAAGGUUCCAACUUUAUGGAAUCUCGGGGCUUCAUGCAUCCAUUAAGUCCUUCAUUAAGUCCUUUUUGAGCUUUAUAGCUUCUUAUGGUCAUGCAAUGACGUAAAGUUAGCAACUUUACGUGGUAUCUCAACUUAAAGGGGUCAGAUCUACAUCCUGGAGCAAGGUCUUAACAGGUUAGGAGAUUAAUAUUGAAGUUGGCAGAAUUUGUUGGGUAUGCUGGGCAUACACACCUCUAUGCAUAGCGUAUAAGUUAUAGAGCCAAUACGAUUAGUGUGGAAGCUGAGUACGCCCAUGCGUACUCAGUCUGAUAGUAUUUUAUUGUUGGGCUUUCGGUUUGGGCCUCGUUUUGGGCUUAUAAGGUUAGGGUUAAGUUGGGUCUUCUGACUUUGGGAGUUUUGGGCUAGGAAUAUCCUUGGGCCUUGGGCUAAGGCCCAUGUGAAAGGAUUGGUUCCAAAUGGAAAUUGGGCCAUAUUUUGGGCCUUGAUGGAUUGUUUAACUUUUGGUCCAAUUGGAUUGAGGUUAUGGACUUCAUUAUUAGACCAAGUUAGGAUAGGGGUAAAAUGGUCUUUUUACCCCAAAUAGAGACGUUUAGUUGUGCUGUAGAUCCCAAAUGUUAAUUAGUUUUUAUGUGGCAAUUGAUAGCUUGGGGAGUGGUAGAACCAGCAGUCAAGGAUCUUUCAUUGCAUUCAACUUUCCGAGGUAAGUUUCCUCACUGGGUUUAGCGGGUCGAAGGCAACAAUGCUAACCCAUGAUUAUGUUAUGUUAGUAUGCUAGCUAUCUACAUGACUCUUGCGUGUGUUAUGAGUUGAUAUGAUUAGUGGGUAGGGCCCGAUGUCGAGCGGGACCCGAUGAUGUUUUGUAUGCUAUGUAUCUUUUUGAUUAUUGCAUGUGUAUAUGUUUAUUUGAUAUAUGUUAUAACUUAUAUGUAUGUUAGGUGGGGACCAAUCUAUUAUCAAGCAGGGCCCGAUGCUGGACGGGGUCCGAUGCCGGGCGGGGCCUGACGAUAGGGCGGGGCCCAUUAUGUGUUUAUUGUAUGCAUGGUAUAUGGUAUGUUGUGGAACUCACUAAGCUUUGUGCUUACGAUUUUUAUUUGAUGUUUCAGGUACUUCUGGUUCCAAGGGGAAGGGCUCGGGUUAACUGCAUCGCACACACCAUUUGGAAUAUGUUUGUGGGACAUACUCUGAUUUUCAUGGUGUUUGACAUAUUUAUUCUUCUGGUUGUAUGAAUAGUAUUUUGGAAUACAGUUUUUACUUAAUGUGCUGAUCGUGCGGGAUUAUCCAGAUGUGUUCCCUGAGGAUUUGCCAGGGGUACCUCCAGAGAGACAGAUGGAGUUCAAGAUUGAUUUGGCUCCAUGUGUAGCUCCGAUAGCCAAGGCACCGUAUCGGAUGGCUCCUCCCGAGAUGAAGGAGUCAUCUAGACAGCCACAUGAGCUGUUAGAUAAGGGAUUUAUAAGAGCGAUCGGUUCGCCUUGGGGAUCCCCAAUUUUGUUUGUGAAGAAGAAGGACGGGUCUCAUCGGAUGUGUAUUAACUAUCGGAAGUUGAAUAAGGUAAUGGUGAAGAAGAGUUAUCCCCUCCUGAGGAUUGAUGAUCUUUUCGACCAACUUCAGGGUACAUCUUGGUUCUUCAAGAUAGAUUUGCGAUCGGCUUAUCAUUAGAUGCGGGUCCGUGAUAAGGAUGUGCAGAAGAUGACUUUCCGGACUCGAUAUGGUCAUUAUGAGUUCGUGGUGAUGCCUUUUGGGCUCACCAAUUCACCAGCCGCAUUCAUGGAUCUCAUGAACUGUGUGUCCAAACUGAUGCUGGAUCGACUUAUGAUAGUAUUCAUCGAUAAUAUUAUGGUUUAUUCCAAGACCUAGGAGCAGCAUAAGGAGCACUUGAGGGAGGUGCUGGAGACUUUGAGGAGGGAGAGACUUUCGCAAAGUUCUCCAAGUGUGAGUUCUGGUUGCACGAGGUGUAGUUUAUGAGUACAUUAGCAACCAGAAGGGUAUUCUAGUCGAUCUGGCCAAGGUCAAGGUCGUGAUGCAGUGGGAGGUUCCGAAGUCUCCAUCUCCGAUUCAAAUCUUUCUUGUCUUGGCUGGGUAUUAUCGGAGAUUCAUUUAGGAUUUCUCCAAGAUCAUUGUUCCAUUGACCUGACUGACCAAGAAGUCAGUGAUUUUUCGCUGGGGGCCUGAGUAGCAGGCAGAUUUUGAAACCCUUAGACAUCGGUUGUGUGAGGUGUCAAUUCUGACCCUACCGGAGGGUGUUGAUGACUUUGUGGUUUAUUGUGAUGCAUCGAUCACAUGUUUGGGGGCAGUAUUGAUGCAACGUGGUCGCGUGAUCUCUUACGCUUCGAGGUAGUUGAAGCCUCAUGAGGCGAAUUAUCUAACGCAUGAUUUGGAGCUGGCGGCCAUUAUUUUUGCCCUCAAGAUUUGGCGGCAUUACCUCUAUGGGGUACGUUGUACCAUCUACAUAGAUCAUAAGAGCCUGAGGUACUUGAUGGAUCAACUGAAUCUGAAUAUGAGGCAACAUCAAUGGUUGGAUGUGAUGAAGGAUUAUGAUUGUGAGAUCUUGUACCACCCGGAGAAGGCCAAUAUGGUGGUCGAUGCUCUCACCCAUGAGGCGGUUGCGGCUCCGAUCAAAGACCUAUGUUUGAGGAUGACCAUGUUCACUUCAUUAUUGGAGCGGAUUCAUGAAGCACAGGUUGAGGCUAUGAAGGAAGAGCAGAGGAAAAGCGAGUGGAUUGUGGGCCAGGCGGCUUCCUUUGAUUAUGACAGUCAUGGAUUGUUGACUCUACAUCGAAGGGUCUAGGUUCCGUAUUGGGGCGUUGCACGCCAAGUUCUGAUGGGGGAGGCUCACAAGUCGAGAUUCUGCAUUUAUCACGGGCCGAUGAAGAUGUAUAUGGAUCUUCGUCUUGAUUAUUGGUAGCCCUGCAUGAAGCAGGAUGUAGCAUUGUACAUGGAAUGGUGCUUGACUUGCAGGAAAGUCAAGGCCGAGCAUUAGCAACCUCACGACAAGAUGUAGCCGUUGGAGAUUCUCGUAUGGAAAUGGGAAGACAUCACUAUGGAUUUUAUCACAAAGCUUCCUAGGACUGCAUGCGGAGUGGAUUCUAUCUGAGUCAUCAUGGAUCGAUUGACCAAGAGCAUGCAUUUCAUUCAAUCCAGGAGAGUAUUUCUACAUAGAAAUUGGCCGAGAUUUAUAUCUGGGAGGUGGUGGCACGUCAUGGAGUUGGGAUACGUUUUACUUCCAAGUUUUGGAAGUGGUUUCAUGAUGAGAUGGGCACUCGUAUCCAUUUCAGUACAUCAUUUCACCCGCAGACCAAUGGUCAGUGUGAGUGGACUACUUAGACUCUUGAGGAUAUAAUGCGUGCAUGCGUGUUGGAUUUUGGUGGGAGUUAGGAUACGUAUCUUCCGUUAGCGGAAUCUUCGUAUAACAACAAUUAUCACGCUAGCAUCGAUCGACCUCAUUUUGAGAUGCUCUACGAGAGGAAAUGCAAGACCCUGAUCUGUUGGGGUGAGGUCGGUCAACGAGUUAUGGGGAGUACCGAGGAGGUGCUCAAUACCACUUAGCUGAUUCAGGAUGUUCGGAGCAGGAUCCAGACAACUCAGAGUCAGCAGAAUAGCUAUGCGGCAGGCUUUGGUCAGAUUUGGUAUUCUAGGUAGGAGACACGGUUCUCCUGAAGGUGUCACCUUGGAAAGAUGUCAUUCGGUUUAGGAAGCGGGGCAAGCUGGCCCCAGGUAUAUUGGUCCCUUCAGGGUUUUGGAUCGGGUGGGAUAGGUUACAUAUCGUCUUGAUCUUCCAGGUGAGCUUAGUCAAAUUCAUAGCAUAAGUCAUGUCUCCCAGCUGCAGAAGUGUUUAGCAGAUGAUUCCGCAGUUUUACCUUUGAUGAUAUUCAGGUGGAUGACUGCUUGAAUUAUAUUGAGAGACCGGUGGCAAUUUUAGAUCGGAAGAUGGAACCCUUGAGGAACAUGGUUAUGGAGUCGGUUAAGGUGCAAUGGCUGCACCACAAGGGGUCUGAGUGGAAUUAGGAGCCUGGAGAGGAGAUGAGGGAGCACUAUCUAGAUUUUUUUGGGACAACAGACUUCGAGGAUGAAGUCUUAUCCAAGUAGGGAAGAACUGUAACGCCUGAUGGUUCCAAGGUAUUAUUGAUUUUAAUCAUUUAUUUAAUUAUUUUUAAUCAUGUAAGUUAUUUUUGGGCUUAGAGAAUUGGGCCAUCAUGAGUGGGCUUCACCUAGGCCGUACGUUGGGCGUAAUCCUGGUGUAUGCGGGGUCUAGAAGGAUUACAAGGAUCGCGAAGCCAUGCACGUACAUGCAACGUACAAGGUGGUAUGUGCAACGUACGUGGCCAGACCCCAAAAAACCUAAUUUUACGGUGCAAUCCCUAUAUAAUGCAUUAAGUCCCAUGUGUUGGCCUCCCUAUCAGCCUCCGCUGUCUAGAAACAAUAAAAUCGAGUCUUAUCUUCCGUUGUUGAGUGUGUGAGCUUUUGGUGUUCGUUUUUGUGCAUGUUGAAGGAGUUGAAGAUGCUAGAAGUUCCUUAGCCUGAAGAGGAGGUCUUGGAUCCAAAACCUCUACCCAUUUUGCAAGAAGUUUGAGGUAUCAAGCUCUUAUCUUGAUUGAUAGAUGCUCAAAUCUCCAUUUUGGUUAAAUAGUUAUGUUUUUAGCCAUGGUUUGGUUGAAUGUUGGGAUUUAGACGUCCCAAGGGCUUAAUCUUUUAGAUCCAAGGUCAUCAUGGACUCCAUUAAGUCCGUUUUGAGCUUUAGAGCUUCUUAUGGUCAUGCAUAGAUGUAAAGUUAGCAACUUUAUGUGGUAUCUCGGCUUAAAGGGGUUAGAUCCACAUCUUGGAGCAAAGUCUUAACGGGUUAGGAGCUUAAUAUUGAAGUUGGCGGAAUUGGUUGGGUACAUUGGGCGUACAAGCUUGUAUGCGCAAUGGACAAGUCCUUGUGCCAGUACGCUUAGCGUACAAGCCGAGUACGCCUCACAUACUCUGUCUGAUGGCAUUUUGUUGUUGGGCUUUCGGUUUGGUCCUCAUUUUGGGCUUAUAAGGUUAGUGUUAAGUUAGGUCUUCUAACUUUGGGAGUUUUGGGCCAGGAAUAUCUUUGGGCCUUGGGCUAACACCCAUGUGAAAUGAUUAAGCCCAAAUGGAAAUUGGGCCAUAUUUUGGGCCUUGAUGGAUUGUUUAACUUUUGGGCCCAUUAGAUGAAGGUUAUGGAUUUCAUUAGUGGACCAAGUUAGGAUAGGGUAAAAUGGGUUUUUUACCCAAAAUAGAUAGCUUUGGUUAUGAUGUGGAUCCCAAAUGUUAAUUAGUUUUUAUGUGGCAAUUGAUACCUCAGGGAGCUGUAGGACCAGCAGUUAGGGAUCUUUCAUUGCAUUCAACUUUCCGAGGUGAGUUUCUUCACUGGGUUUAGCGGGUCAAAGGCACCAAUGCUGACCCAUGAUUACUUGAUGUUAGUAUGCUAGCUUUCUGCGUGACUCUUGCACGUGUUAUGUGUUUAUAUGAUUACCGGGCAGGUCCCAAUGCCGGGCGGAGCCCGAUGACGUUUUGUAUGUUGUGUAUCUUUGUGAUUAUUGCAUGUGUAUAUGUUUAUUUGAUAUAUGUUAUAUGUAUGUUGGGUGUGGACCGAUCUAUUACUGAGCGGGGCUCGAUGUCGGACAGGGUCUGAUGCUGGUCGGGGCUCGAUGCCGGACAGUGGCCGAUGCUGGGCAAGGCCCAUUAUGUGUUUAUUGUAUGUAUGGUAUGUGGUAUGUUGGGGAACCCAUUAAGCUUUGUGCUUCCAAUUUUUAUUUUAUGUUUCAGGUACUUAUGGUUCCAAGGAGAAGGGCUAGGGUUGACUGUGUCGCACAUACCAUUUGGAAUCUGUUUAUGGGACAUAUUCUGAUUUUCAUGAUGUUUGACAUAUUUAUUCUACUGGUUGUAUGAAUAGUGUUUUGGAAUAUAGUUUUUACUUAAAUUAAAAAUGAACUUUUUGGGUUAUAAUUUUUUGAGGUUACAAUUGGGCAGUCUGCUAUGAAAUCAAUAACGUCAACUAGUUCUAUGUGGGUUCAAUCCUUGCUGUGAAACCUCUUCUACAACUAUACGCACCACCAAGCGAGCUCUUGCCCUCCGUAACUUACUCUUUCAAGCUGAAAAUCAUGAAAUGAUUCUUUAAUCUAUUUAAGGUACCACUACUGUUGCUACUUUUGAUUCUCAAAAAUCUUGAAACAACUCUCCUAGAGGCUGACAACCCUCAUACAACCAAGGGGGUGGUACUCGUGGUAGCUCUAAUGGUGGCAUGGCAGGGGUCGUGGGGGUACGUAGGCAUCCUCCACAUUAUUGGUUGUGUAGAACUAAUGGACACUGUCACACCCCGAAAACCAAGGCGGAAAUAUUUCUGGGGCGGACUCCACGUUGUGUAUCAAAUCCAAUGCACAUAGUAAGCAAAGUAAACAACCAUUACAUUACAUAUAGAAAUUUACAUUUGUUCAAAAGUAAAGUUGUACAAGUGAUGAUACAUAUAUAUAUAUAUAUACACACACACACACACAAAAGUAAGACGCGUCUUCUACGUACUCCGUCUUCGCCAAAAGGAUCAUCAGGUACCUAUCUAAUGUGGACCUGAGAAUACAAGCAGUUUAAAAAUCAGCAUAAAGCUGGUGAGUUCAUAAGCGGUUUUGUUUUCUGAAAAUGUACGAGUUUCCUUUUGGUUUCUGAAAAUGUUACGACCCAAGAAAUCCCAAAUUUUCUUAUAUGUAAAGUUUAGUUAUCUGUUAUGUUACACGGUUCUGGUUAUGUUCAAUUGUUAUCGCAGGAAAAUCCCAUAUGUUCCUAAUGUGAAAGAUGUAUACUGAAAACCUGGUUAUCCUUGUAAAGUGUAUGUUAGUUCACCAAUCCAAAAUGUAAUGUAAAAGAUGUACACUGAAAAUGUAUUAGUUUUAACACGUAUAUAAAACUAAUAACUACAAAGUAAACUAGUUACUGAAAUCCAUUACUACUAAAAAGUAAAUCUCUGUUAUCCAAAUUGCGAGUUCCAUAACCAUACGAUAUACUAAUUAUGGCAAUAAGUAGUCCAUCUCAGUUUAUGACUUUCGUCACACUUGAACCUUUCAGUUCGGCUGUAGCUAGCAACCAGGUGCGGGGUAGUCAGCCCCGUAUAGAUUUAUACACUCAAGUCACGCUCCUUAUCUAAGAGAUUCUGGUUACAGGGGCGGUCCUCCACUCGCGUAUCUCUGUGGAGUGUUCUCCAAGGACGUGUCUCCAAUUUAUAGGUAUAACAAAUUUACUAGUAAUAAUAUAGAAAGAUCAAAUGACUAUCCUCCACUCGCGUAUCUCUGUGGAGUGUUAUCGAGGACAAAACAAUGUUUUAAGUUAAUGUUCAAAGUUCAACGUUAUGCUUUUAACUGUUAUGAUGUGGGAAAACCAUUUGUGAAAAUAUAAAUUACAGCAAUUUAUAAUAUUUUUCACAAAUAAUACGAUAGUGUGUUCUGCAAGUUCAACGGUUAUCUAUUAUGAUUGUCAGUGUUAAAAGCAUAUGUAAAAUGAAACAAAACAUAUAUAAAACAAGUUUUGAGUACAAGUAUCCCUUGUACUUUUCUUGUAUUCCCCCCCCCUAAAAACAGUGAAAACAUUGAAAAUGGGUAGGGGUAUGAACUCACCGGACGAGAAAACGUGUCGGUUUGGAUGUUAUGUGUCGGUUCGGGGCUUGAUAAUGUGUGAGGUUCCUAUGUAAUAUGAAAUGGUAUACAAAUGUAUCUAAUUAGACUUUAAAUCGCUAAUUAGAUAUGAUUAUACACUCCAAUACGAAAAAAACACUUCAAUCAAGUGUUUAAAGUGACCCGGGUGACAUCUACGGACGUAUAGGGCUUUGGAAAAUGAGUUUGUUCUUCAAGAGUAAACUCCUUAGGGAGUUUAUGGCCCUAAGACUAUCACCACAUGAGUUCACAGCCGUGAACUCAUGAAUAUGCGGUAUUAUGGUGUCAAAUGGUCAAAUAACACUUGGGAAGGGUUGCUAUGAUUUAAUCUAAGGCAUAGGAAUGAGCUUUACCACCAAAGGGACCAUCAAAGGGAGUUUACGGCCCUAAACUAGGAUUUUAUGGCCGUAAGCUCCUAUAUAACCAUUCCUUUCAUGAUUUGGUGGCCUAGAUCAUUCACAUGUGAUUCAAACCAAUUUUACAAGCCUUAGGAUGAAUUUAGGGCAUCAUUUGGUUAGUGUUUAUGAGUUUACGGCCCAGGAACCCAUUCUAGGGGGGUUUACCGCCAUGAAAACUCCAAGGGGUGGUUUUCAUCAAGUUUAAGGCCCCUAAAUCGAUUGUGAUUGAUUCUAGAAUUUAAUCCAAGCCUAUUGGUGUGUUUAAGUGGCUUUUAAACACUCAAAUAUGAGUUUACUCUCCAUGAAGGUGAGUUUAUGGCCCAAGCAUGUUCUUGGGCAGUAAACUCAUGUUUACUCCCCAAAAAUUGGAUUCAAGGUGUUCUAAGUCCAGUCCAUUAAGCCAUUUAGCCAUAUCUAAGCUCCAAAGGUCGAUUGGAAGGGUUUAAAGGCUUAAAAACCCAUUAUAUGUGUGUCUACGGCCCAAGCAUGUUCCAGGGCCGUAAACACAUGAAAAUGGUCCUAAAUCAUAGUUUGAACUCGGAUUUGAAGGUCUAAGAUGCUAUACUAAGAGUUAGGGAAGUUACCUUGGUGAUUUGGAGCUUAAAUUUGAUGAUUUUGGACCUUAAAUUUGGUUUGAGGAGAGAGGUUAGAGAGAGAGUAGUGAGAGAGAGAGAGAGAGCAAAAGCUUCAAAAGGAAGCUUAAACCACUUUAAAUAGGUUCCAAUUUUGGGACACAGUGGAAUUCUACCCGGUACCGACGUUAAACGAUGCUUUUGGUCGCACCCGAUUAAGUUGCCGUAACCUGAUAUGGUCGAUUCUAAAAUGUUUCCGAUUACUAAUAUGGAGUGUUAAUAUGAGUUCUAAACACGUUUGGACACCCAUUAAGUCAUAAUAUAAAUCCCACAAUUAUGACUUAAUUUAAUGACGUAAGGGAAACAAAAUUGAAAACGACGAAUAUAUUAACAAAAAGGGUUACAAUUGAUGGAACGAACUUCGGGUUGUCACAGACACUAUGCAUCAUCUUGUCACAAUCUUCACACUUAUGUUGCAGAUGACUACAACUCAUAUGAAAAUGUUGUUCAAUCCUUUCAGUCUUAAUGUCAUGUUACUUAAGGCAAUCUGGAUUGUAUGUAGACCAGUAAGGCAUGGUCUAAAAUAUGCUUCGUGACGAUUUUAUCGAUUCAUGGAAUCAUAAAUAUUUUGAGAUGGAGAUGAUCGUUAAACCAAAUUUUCAAUUGAAAUCGGGCAACUUCAAUACGAGGUUGUGUAUAAAGGAAGCGGGAAAAAAGGUAAGCAGGGUAUAAAUUCAUGCAUAAUAAAACAAAAAAAUGUAGAUGUACAAGCACCCACAUUUUGUCCCUUUAAUUCCCUAAAUGAGUAAAUAGAUGUAUAAUAAUUAAUGCGUAAUGUACAACAUAAAUUAUAAUAUUACAACAACAUAAAUUAUAAUAUUCCAAUUUCCAAAUCAGAAUUAUUGCCCUGUAUUAGGGAUGUCAACGGGACCAAACAAGAGCAGAAAUAGUUGUCCCCGGCCGCCUCAGCCCCUGAAUCAGUUAUUGCCUCGGAUCUUGCCCCCGCCCCUGCCCCCGAAUCCCUCGUUUACAUAUCCCCCGAUCCCGUCCCUGAAUACGUUCAUCAUUGCCGAUCCCCCACCUCCGUUCCCCCGUUUUAUAGACAUAAAAUUGACUCUUUUUUGCUAAAAAAUUUGUUAUAUUUUCGACUAAAAAACUAUUUUUCAUAACUUUAAAAGCUUAAAAUCUAGUUUUUUUAACAACUAAAAAAUUAAAAAUCCAUCGAUACAAAUUUAAUAUUACAAAACGACAAAUCCAACAAACUUAUAAAUAUGAAAUACGACAAAUCCAUCAUUACAAAAAAAAGUACGACACGUCCAAAAAUAUAUAACCAAUUUACUAUCUUCAUAUGAUUUGAAAUGGAACAAAGUUAAGAAACCCUAAAAUUAGAUAAUGUAUUGUCUAUGUAUAUUUUUAUAUUAAAUAUAUAUUUUUUUUAUAUAAAUAUACAAACNNNNNNGACCCUGAAUUGUUUAAAAAAUUAAUCCCGCCCCCGGUCCUGAAAAUUUUUGUACUUUAGCAAACUUCAAUCCAGAUCAAAAGCCCUUCAAAUUCCAAAAUGAAGAUAUAUUUCAAAAUUUGUUCAUACAAAUUCUAACCAUUCGCGUAUCUCCGUGGAGUGUUCUCCAAGGACGUAUCUAACACUUUUUGUAAAAAUAGUAAAAUAACAUAUUUAUAUGUUUGCGUUUUAAUGUAGAUUUUCUUGUGUGAUACUUGUAUCCCCCCCCCCCCCUAAAACAUAGAAAAAGUCUUGAAAAAUGUAGGGGUAUGAACUCACCUUAUAUGUAUUCGCGGUUUGAUAACCAAGUGAUGGUGACGAUCUUUAUGUUACGAACACUUGAAGAUGAUUGAAUCGUAAGAGUUUUAACACAUACUAAUGCGUGAAUAAGAUGAACUAGUAUGAAAAUGUUUACAUAAACACUAGAUUAUAAGAACUUACAAUGAUUCCUAAGGAAAUAGCUUGAAGAAUAAGGCUCCACGGGAUGUUUGAUCUUUGAGUUUGGAAGGAAAUGAGACUUGAUAUUUGAGAGAGAAUUUGUGAAGUGUGAAUGUUUAACUGUGAAUGAGGAAUGGCUCUAAUUCGUGUAUUAUAUAGGAUACAAGAGAUAAUGAAGUGACACUUACGUUGGUAAGUGUAGUAUAUCGCUUUGGGAAGAUAAAUAACCAAUCAAGUGGCACCAUAUCAUGAUAUUUAAGGGAGAUUUCGGCCCUAAGAGGGUGAUUUCGGUCCCAGCAUGACCGAAAUCAUCAUAAACACUUUUCACAAAUUAGAUUUCGGCCCUAGCUUCAACUAAGGAGGAGAUUUCGGUCUUGACAUGCUUCCAUGAAGGGUUUUCGGCCUUAGUGGGCCUUAGAUAGGUGAUUUCGGUCGUGGCUCUAUCCCAUGAAGGUGAUUUCGGUCCUAAUGGACCAUAAGCUAGGUGUUUUCGGUCUAACCCAAUAGAAGUUCCCAAGAUAAUGAGCUUACAACUAAGUAAUGUAAUUCAUUUGAUUUUUGUUGACUCUCCUAGGUUUAUCACAACAUGGAUUUCAAAGUAAUGCAUAUAAUAACUUAUAUAACCAUGCUUCGUGGAAUUCAUAGUUCUAUUGCAUCAAUUUACGUUGUGAAUUUACUGGUACAUGGUUGGAGUUUAGACAUUGAUUGUUCUAGCAUUUUUCCAGUUGUGACAUCCCCCCCCCCCCCCCCCUCGNNNNNNNNNNNNNNNCCCCCCCCCCCCCCCCGGUUAGAGGGAAUUUCAUCCCGAAAUUAGUUUUAAAGUGGGCACUUUUCAACUAGGGAAAAGAUGUGGAUACUUUUGUUUCAUCUGGUCUUCUCGUUCCCAGGUGAAUUCAGGUCCUCGUUUGGCGUUCCAAUAGACUUUUACUAUUGGUAUACGGCUUUGUUUUGUUCUCUUGAUUUCCCUACCCAUGAUUUCCACUGGCUUUUUGAUGAAAUCGAGACUCUCGUUUACCUCGAUCUCAUCGAGUGGGAUUACAAGAGUUUCGUCGGAUAAACAUUUCUUUAGAUUGGACACGUGGAAGGUGGGGUGUACGUUACUAAGUUCUUGUGGUAGUUGAAGUUUGUAAGCUACCGGGCCGAUUCUAACAAUGAUUUCAAAAGGCCCAAUGUACCAUGGAUUUAGUUUCUAUGCUUUUUGAGGUGUAUCACUCCCUUCCAGGGUGGGACCUUUAACACAAUGCGGUCACCCACCUGGAAUUCCAAGGGUUUGCGUCCCUUAUCUGCAUAGCUCUUUUGCUGGUCCCUAGAUGCUUUCAGCCGUUCACAGAUUUAAACAAUCUUCUAUGUUGUCUCCUUUAUGAUCUCGGGGCUGGUGAAAGUGCUAUCAGGAACUUGCCCCUUUGCUAGUUGCGUGUCACCCACUUUAGCCAAGCACAUAUGUGAUCUGCUGAUUUGCACUUGCGACCAUAGAGGGCUUUGAAUAGAGCAACUCUGAUGUUAGUGUGAUAGCUAUUGUUGUAUGAGAACUUGACGAGUGGUAAAUAGAUAUCCUAAGCUUUACCAAAGUCUAUCACGCAAGCUCUCAACAUAUCCUCCAAUGUUUGGAUAGUUCUUUCACUCUGCCCGUCGGUCUGUGGGUGGUAGGCUCUACUCAUGUCGAGUUUAUUUCCUAGAGAUUUUUGCAAUGACUCCUAGAGUCGUGAGGUGAAUCUACUAUCCCUGUUGGAGAUAAUGGAUAUUGGUACUCCAUGCAGCCGCAUGGUCUCUUUAAUGUAUGUUCUGGUCAGUUUUUCCAUCUUGUCCGUCUCUUUUAUUGGUAGGAAAUGUGCGGAUUUGGUUAACCUUUCAACAAUCACCCAAAUGGUGUCGAGUCCACUUGUCGUCUCGGGUAACUUGGUGAUGAAGUCCAUGGUUAUCUGCUCCCACUUCCACUUGGGUAUUUCAGGUUGUUUUAGUAAACCCGAGGGCCUUUGGUAUUCUACCUUGACCAUGGCGCAAGUCAGGAACUUGCCCACAUAGGUAGCAAUUUCGGCUUUCAUGUUUGGCUACCAAUAAAGUUUCUUGAGGUCUAGGUACAUCUUGUCUGAACCGGGAUGAACAGAGUAUAGAAUCUUAUGAGCCUCGUUUAUGACAACAUCUCAGAAUCUACUGAACUUCGGUGUCCAGAUCCGAUCCAUGAGAUAAUGAGCUCCAUCCCCCUUGACCUCCAAAUUUUUAUCCAUUCCUCUCAAGGAUUCUUCUGAGACAUUUUCAGGUUUCAAGGCUUCCAGCUGGGCCUCUUUGAUCUGGGUAGAUAAGUGCGAAUGGAUGGUCAUGGUCAACGACUUUACUCGGCAUCCUGAGUAUUCUUUUCGACUUAGGGCAUUUGCUACUAUGUUGGCCUUGCCCAGAUGAUAACGAAUUUCACAUUUGUAAUCGUUUAGUAGCCCCACCCAUCAUCGUUGCCUCAUGUUGAGUUCCUUUUGAUCGAAGAUGUGUUGGAGACUUUUAUGGUCCGUGAAGAUUUUGCACUUCGUACCAUAAAGUUAGUGCCUCCAGAUUUUUAGGGAAAAUACUACUGCUCCUAGUUCGAGGUCAUGUGUGGUGUAGUUAACUUCGUGAGCCUUAAGUUGUCUCGAGGCAUAAGCAAUGACAUUUCCUCGUUUCAUGAGCACGCAUCCCAAACCUUGCUUGGAUGCGUCAUAGUAGACCACAAAGUCAUUGGUUCCUUAUGGAAGAGACAAGAUCAGGGCGUUGCAUAGGGCUUGCUUUAGUGUCUGGAAAGCAGCUUCUUGUUUCUCCUCCCAAUUGAAGGUUACACCUUUCUUGGUCAAGGUGGUCAGUGGUUUAGCAAUCUUGGAGAAAUUCUGUAUAAAUCUCCUGUAGUAGCCAGCAAGGCCUAAGAACUGAUGGAUCUCCAUUGGUGUUCUUGGUGCUUUCCAGUUCUCAAUUGCCUAGAUUUUGGAGGGGUCCACAUGUAUUCGCUCUUUGCUGACAACAUGACCCAAGAAGUCCACCUCUCGGAUCCAAAAUUCACAUUGGGAAAACAUGGCAUAUAGCUUUUCCGUCUUCACUGUCUCCAUGAAUUUUCGUAGAUGUUGACUGUGCUCUUCCUUACUUCGUGAAUAGAUCAAUAUGUCAUUGAUGAAUACUAUCACAAAUUUAUCUAAGUAAGGUCGGCAUACCCGAUUCAUCAGGUCCAUGAAAAUAGUUGUUGCAUUCAUCAAUCCGUAGGGCAUCACCACGAACUUGUAGUGACCGUAGCAGUUCUGAACUGCCGUUUUGGGAACAUCUUCCUCCUGGACAAACAGUUGGUGGUAACCCGACCUCAGAUCGAUUUUUGAGAAGUAGCAUUCUCCGUAAAGUUGGUCGAAUAGGUCGUCGAUUCGGGGUUGGGGAUAUCGGUUUCUGAUAGUGAGUUUAUUCAAGUCACGAUAGUCAAUGCACAUGCGAAAAGAUGCGUGUUUCUUCUUAACGAGCAGAACUGGUGCUCCCCAAGGUAAGAAGCUUGGUUGGAUAAAUCCUUUGUUCAGCAGUUCGUGUAGUUGACUGGAUAAUUCCUGCAUUUUGGCCAGAGCCAUUCGGUAUGAGGAUUUGGCUAUGGGCGUGGCUUCAAGAAUUAAGUCGAUUCUGAAGGCGACUUGUCCCACAGGAGGUAUUCCCGGAAGGUCUUCUAGGAAUACAUCGGGAAAGUUAUAGACUUUCAGAAUAUCCUUGAUAUCCUUUACCUCCUUCUUCUUGUCAACAACGUGUGCUAGGAAUAUGUGGUACUUCUUGCGCAGAUAGGUCUGAGCCUUGAUACACGAGAUAAUUUUGAGAUUUGUGCUAGGUUUGUCACCGUAGAUGACGAGGGUUUCUUCAUUUGGUAAGAUGUGUUGGACAGCUUUUUCGUAACAUAAGAUAUCGAUGUGGUGAGGACUUAACCAAUCCAUACCAAUGAUGAUGUCGAAACUCGUUAUUGUGACCGACAUUAAAUCAAUUUGAAAGGAAUGAUUUUUUAGAGUUAGAGUGAACCCUAUGUACACGUCUUUAGUGCUUUUAGUUUUACCAUUUUGCAUUUCUACUGUGAACAUUUCGUCGAGUGAUUAUGGUUUUUGGUUGAGUGUAUGCUUAAACUUGUGGCUCAUGAAACUUCUCUCCGCACCACUAUCAAAGAGUAUGCAUUCAUAUGAGUUAUUGAGAAGGAACGUACUGGUAACCACCGUGGGGUCUUUCAGGGCUUCCUCAUGCCCUAACGUCAUAAACCUUCAUGUACCUCCAACAUUCCUAUUAUUGGCUUUUGGGCAUUCCCUCCUGAAAUUCCCCGUUUCCCCGCACUCGUAGCAUGUUUGGCUUACUCCGGUAUUUGUUUUAGGGAUGGCCUGUUGGGCUGGCUCUUUACAAAAAACGAACAGUGUGUCCUUUCUUGUUGAAAUCUGUGCAAUGCAUUUCCCUACAAGUUCCAACAUGGUGGAAGUUGCACUUGAUACAUUUUGGUAGUGUUCCUGCAUAUUGUUUUGUUGGUGUUGGAGUGGCCGGGACUGUGACAGUGUGGGCUGCCACUAAUUGUUCUUUCUUCGCAGACUCUUGCGUUGAUUUGCUCUUUCUCUUGUUCUAGGGUUUUCUUUUGUUUUUGCUCCCUUUUUCUUGUUCGGGAAUGACCGUCAUAAAGCCCUGGCGAACUCCAUGAUCUACAAGCAUUCGUGCCAAGCAUUUGGCACUAUCAAAAGUAGAGGGGUUUUUAGAUACUACAUUUCCUUGAAUCUGGGGGGAUAGUCCCUAGAUGUAUCGCUCAACCUUUUUACUUUUUGGGGUUACCAUCCCGGGACAAAGUACUACUAGAUCGCUAAAUAUGGCAGUGUAGGCUGUGAUGUCAGAGUCCUUCAUUGGAAGGUUCCCGAGCUCUUAAUCUAGUUUUUGUACUUCGCCCCUUAGGAAAUACUCUGCUAGCAUCAUGAUUUUUAGGUCCUCCCAGCUCAAAGCAUUGUCCACGGGGAGUGUUAGCGAUUUGACAUGGCUGUUCCACCAAGAGAGGGCCCCGUCGAUGAAUGUGCAACAUGCGAAUUUGACUUUACUCUCUUCCGGACAAGCACAUAUUUCAAACGCUGACUCAGUCUUCUCGAACCACCUUGUCAGGGCGAUGACACCUCCGUCUCCAUAGAAUGCUUUGGGUUUGCAGUUCGAGAAGUCCUUAUAGGAGCAUCCUCUUAGUCGACCAUGGCUGUCGCCUUCGUUAGAACUAUUAGUAUCAUUUCCAGCCCCAUUGGUACUGUUGGAGCUAAUCUAUGCUAUGGCAGCGGUUACAUCAGCUGUUAUAGCAACUUGAAAGACAACAAUAUCCAUCGGUGUGGGUGGUGGCGGUGGUGGUGGUGGCGGUGUUGUUGUUGUGUUGUUGAAACGUCUGUUAGAUUUGCGCGGUGGCAUUUUCUGCCAUAAAUUUGAAAGAUGAAAUGAUGAUGAGUGUUCAAUAAUGGGUACAAGUCGGGUGCGAACGGACUAGGUUAUUUUUGUUUCAUUUAUUUUGCGUUCCGAUUUUCGUGUAUUUUGUAAGUGCUUCAUGAUGGAAAUAUAACAUUGUUAAUUUAAAUGAUUACAAUCAAUUUAUGAAUUUACUAGCUAAGACUUUCCAAUGGAAUAAAAUGAAUGUCAAUUUCAUUGAUAUAUUUUAGUACAUAAUACUGGGAAAAUUUGGCCUUUUAAGCAGGCCUACAAUACAUCAAUGCAAAGGAAAAUUUUGAGAGCAUAUCGACUCCCUUGAAUAGUGUAAUCACUUAUUCGCAGGGUCGAUCCUACACACAAAAAAGAGUAGCACUGACGCUUACUCGAAAACACCUAAUCUAUAACAAAACAUGACUAAUAUAGGAACUACUCGUGGUGCAUGGUAUUCUAUGAGCCCUGGAAUGAAGUCAUGAAGGUCUACAUCUCUUUCACUCGGUGCUCAGUCAUGAAGUCAUGAAGGUCUGCAUGGUAUUCUACGAGGUUAGUAGUAAUGUCGUUUCAUGUAUUUAACACUUUUCAUAAAAAUAGUAAAAUAACAUAUUUAUAUGUUUGCGUUUUAAUGUAGAUUUUCUUGUGUGAUACUUGUAUCCCCCCCCCCCCUCUAAAACAUAGAAAAAGUCUUGAAAAAUGUAGGGGUAUGAACUCACCUUAUCUGUAUUCGUGAUUAGAUAACCAAGUGACGGUGAUGAUCUUUAUGUUACGAACACUUGAAGAUGAUUGAAUCGUAAGAGUUUUAACACAUACUAAUGUGUGAAUAAGAUGAACUAGUAUGAAAAUGUUUACAUAAACACUAGAUUAUAAGAACUUACAAUGAUUCCUAAGGAAAUAGCUUGAAGAAUAAGGCUCCACGGGAUGUUUGAUCUUUGAGUUUGGAAGGAAAUGAGACUUGAUAUUUGAGAGAGAAUUUGUGAAGUGUGAAUGUUUAACUGUGAAUGAGGAAUGGCUCUAAUUCGUGUAUUAUAUAGGAUACAAGAGAUAAUGAAGUGACACUUACGUUGGUAAGUGUAAUAUAUCUCUUUGGGAAGAUAAAUAACCAAUCAAGUGGCACCAUAUCAUGAUAUUUAAGGGAGAUUUCGGCCCUAAGAGGGUGAUUUCGGUCCCAGCAUGACCGAAAUCAUCAUAAACACUUUUCACAAAUUAGAUUUCGGUCCUAGCUUCAACUAAGGAGGAGAUUUCGGUCUUGACAUGCUUCCAUGAAGGGUUUUCGGCCUUAGUGGGCCUUAGAUAGGUGAUUUCGGUCGUGGUCUAUCCCAUGAAGGUGAUUUCGGUCCUAAUGGACCAUAAUGAGCUUACAACUAAGUAAUGUAAUUCAUUUGAUUUUUGUUGACUCUCUAAGGUUUAUCACAACAUGGAUUUCAAAGUAAUGCAUAUAAUAACUUAUAUAGCCAUGCUUCAUGGCAUUCAUAGUUCUAUUGCAUCAAGUUACGUUGUGAAUUUACUGGUACAUGGUUGGAGUUUAAACCUUGAUUGUUCUAGCAUUUUUCCAGUUGUGACAGUCUUUUCAUUUCUCUCAACCUAACCUAUUUAAUAAACAGGUUGAACACUUGUUAUUGAAGAUUUGUUACUUGAUGGAACCCUAGUUAUCGAUUUGUCACUUGAUGGAACCCUAGUUAUAAAAAAACCUUUAAAAUCAAGUAAUCCUUCAAAACAAAAUUACAUAAAGCUUAAAAACUCCAAUAAUUGUUCACGUUUCAAAAUAAUACAACGAUAAGUCUAUAAGCCUAUAACACAAAAACAAAUCAAGUGUUUACAACCGUAAUAACAUUUGUACACAGUAAAUGCUAAACAACUCGACUAUCGAUAGAGGUCACUAACCCAUUUUUUUUAUUGAUAAAAAUAAUUAAAAGAUAAUAAUCAAUNUAUAGUUUUUUAAGCAGGUUUGCAGGCUGUAAAUAAUUUGAGAAUUUUAAGCCUAACCUAACCCUUUUAAUUAAAUAGGUUGAACAGGUUGACUCGUUUAAUUAAACAUGUUAAAAAUCUCAACCCAAUCAACUAAUUACCAACCCUAGAUAAAUGGUUGAUGAUUGAAAGUGUUGAUAAAGACAAAAAUGUGUUACCUAAAGAAGUGAAGAUAGAGGAUUUCAAAAUUAACAAAAUGGAGCUAUUGAAAACAUCUUAUAGUGAAUUCGGGAAGCAUUCCUUGAAGGCAUAAGGUUAAACUUUUUGCAUAUUUGAUUCUAACCAUUGGAUGCUAAUAUGACGUUCACGUGGACGUUCUUUUUUACUUAAUUCUUAUUUUAUUAAACUUUAAAUUUAUUUUAAUAUUAAACAAUUAUUAAUGUAUAUUUUUAUUUAUUGAAAACUUAAAACUGAUAUUAUUGUGAAAAAAAUAAAUGAAAAUCACCCUCAUGAAUGUUGUCUAAGUGAUUUCAUAACCUGUGAAAGCCUUCAUCUUAUUCACAAUUUUUUUUGUUGAUGUAACUCAAAAUCCUAACAAAUUCAUGAUGCUAUAUAUUGUGGUGGUUGUUUUGAUGGAUGUAAUGUGCACAGAAUUUUGCAAAAAGGAUGUCAUGUUGACACCACAUCAUGUUUAUAACUGAUUUAUCUCAUUAAAACUGACACCAUUUGUGUAACACAUUAGAUUACAAUUAGUACCAAAAUGCAAAUAAUGUGGUGAAAUAGUGACAUUAUCCCUUGUAUAGAUGAUAAAUAACACAAGUUAAAUACUAGGCAAAUUCACAAUCUUGAAAAAAAAACAAAUAUAUUAAACCGGUAUACUCAUUUUGAUUUUGAGAGAAUUGUCCUUAUAAGAUUAGACUGUGAUGGUCUACCACCAAAUGACGUUCUUUGUAACUCAUGAUUUCCAUGGUUUCACCUUUAGAACCGCACCGUCGAUCUCCAUCUUCAUCCAUCUUUUCAUUUUCUUAUGGUCGGACUCCAAGUGCAGGCCUUCUCACACAACACCUAAGAACCCACAAGAUAAUUUGCAGCCAUUUACUCACCACAUGAGUAGAAAAUAGAAUAUCAUACCAAGUAAAAACUCAAACUAUAUAUAACGGCACUAACUAAAUUUUCUGCGUCGCUCUUUAUAUUAGAAUCAUCACAUGAUUCUCAUAAUUUAUUAAUUUACAACGUAGGAUAAAGAUUUCACAGUUAAAUUUGGAACAUUAGUAAGUCAUAUGUUCCAUCUUUUAGGAGAACAUAGGUAAAAGUGCAAGUUCAAACGGUAUCUAUUACCUUUUAAUUUCAAUCUUUUCAUUUUGAGAUACUUGUUCAUCUAUAGUCAUCUAGGGGCCAUGUGCUGCAGAUAAAAGGGGCAUUGCUGCAAAUACAAUAGAGAACUCAAUAAUAGAAAUGAUAAACUUAAGGGUANNNNNNNNNNNNNNNNNNNNUGGAAUCACUGAUGCAAAAAACCAAUACUAAUCAUGUUUCCCAUUGCGAAAUGUAAUGGAAGUUCAAUUACUACCAAAGUAUGAUAUCUAAUGGAUUCUCCGUUCCAUUAUUAAAUUGGUGGUUUGUUUCAAACGAAAUCAAUUUGUAUCAAACUGUUUUUUUCCACAUAGGUCUGGUUCCAUUUCCGAUUUGUUAUUGUACCUUUAAUUUUCAUCUUGUUUUUAGAUGCUACAAAUAUAUGAAUUUUUUUAGGAUAUCUUAUCUCAUACAAAACAGGGAAAAUGGCCACCCAUGGUGUUGGUGGCAAAUAUAUUGAUAUGGGAGACUUAAAAACCCCAGCCAAAUUACAUAUUGCAUACAGGAAAAUAAGAAAUCGGAAAUAUAAAAUUAGAUAACAAACUACAUCUGUCAAUGCUUUUGGAAACUUGUAAUGAACACAGCCACCUUGACAUAAACCCAAUCUUUGAAGCUAUCAAAAAAGUGAAAAAAUGCAUGUCUCACUCGACGGUUAAAAAGUAAAGUACCACAUACUAUCCAAAAUCCAGUAGCAAAACCCAUUCCCCCACCAAUAUAAAACCAUCCCCAGAGUUCAUCUAUGUCUUCCUCAUCGCCCUCACUUUUACCAAUAAGAGGUGGUGCUUUUGAUUCUUCAUCUCCAGGACAACUUUUGGUAAGGGGAGGUCCACAUAGACGUGCAUUUCCAUUGUAUCUUGAAGGUUGAAAGGAUUGAAGUUGAGUGCUGAUUGGGAUUCUCCCAGACAAGUUAUUAAAUGACAAGUCUAGGUCAUUCAGUAAACUCAUCUGAGACAUGCUUGAUGGUAUCCUCCCUGAAAAACGGUUUCUAGAUAAAUCCAAAGUCAAAAGGUUUUUUAUCUCACCAAUUUUCUGUGGAAUCUCUCCAGAUAGAGCGUUCUUUGACAAGUUCAGAGCAAUCAAGUCAUAAAGAUUGGUAAUUUCAUAUGGCAUUUGUCCUGUUAAAUUGUUGCUUGACAGGUCAAUGAUCUUCAACAAUUUCAGAGUGCUAAUGAAUUCACGUUCAUCUCCUUGCCACUUAAUCAUUGCGUGGUCAACAUAUGUCUCCACUCUAUAUAAACGAUCGGUUAUAAAUCUGUAAUAUUCUGCAUCUUGUGUGAAUCCUGGUUGAACCAUCCUCGUAAGAUUACUCAGACAUGAUGGGAUGGUUCCAUGGAGGUUGUUCAAUGACAGGUCGAGAAUUUGAAGAUUUGCUAAUUGACAUAACUGUAAAGGGAUGGUUCCAAAGAAGUUGUUUGAUCUUAGAAUAAGAACAUACAACCCUGUUAAGUUUUCCCCAAUUGAGACAGGCACAUUACCCGAAAACUUGUUGGCCCCCAAAUUCAAUGAGAUUAAACUUGUGCAAUUCUUUAAAGGCAAAGGCAAGUCUCCAGAGAAGUCGUUCUUGUAUAAAUACAACACCUUGAGUUCUAUCAAAGAUCCGAUAGAGGGAGGAAGCCUUCCAAAGAGAUUGUUGUGUCCAAGAUUAAGAACUUCGAGGUGUUUGAAAUGCCAUAAACAAUCCGGGAGUUUUCCGCUUAAUGAGUUAUGAGAGAGGUCAAGAAAUGAUAGGAAACCAUCAACUAUUUGGCAUAUAAAUGAGAUUCCCCCAGAGAAUUUGUUUUUGGAAAGAUUUAGUGAUGACAAAGUGGAAGGAACAUUCGGCACUGGACCAGAAAAGCUGUUUGAACUCAAAUCAAUCACUGAACGGUUGGCAAAAUUUGAUGAUAAAUCUGGUACUUUACCGCUAAUGUUGUUGGAAGAGAGAUUCAGAUAUUUUAAUUGAGAAGGCCACAUGUAUGCAAACUCCUGAGGAGUUGUGUCUGAAAUUCCAGUAUCGAAAAGAUCAUGUAUAUUUCCAUUUAACAGAUUAUUAGAUAAAUCCAAGUGUUCUAGGGAUGAAAACUUUCGGAUCUCACGGGACAAUGACCCUGUAAAUUGGUUAUAGGAAGCAGACAAGCGUUUUAAUGCAUUGGAUGUGCAUCCAGACAAGUUGUUGAGAAAAUCAGGAAAUUUGACAACAGCAGAGUUAUUAUCAAAGUACAAAGUUUCCAAACUACAGAGGUUACCAAGAUACUUGGGUAUUCCAUCUAACAUGUUGUAAGAGAGAGAAAGUUCGUGAAGCUUAUUGCUUGUCAAUGGGAACAACCAACGAUACAUGGAUGAGGUGAGACUGUUGUUUACGAGAUAAAGGGACUCAAUAGAUGAAGAAGAAGAGUUGAGAAAUGAAGAAUAUGGAUACAUGACCUGUGACAGCUCACACCCCUGUAAACUUAAAAUUGAUAGUUUUGGGAGACUCAGAAUUACAUUUACCCAGUGAUUUUGUUUGGAGAGGGAAAUCCCAUCCAUAUAAAGUUCCUCCAAAUGAGAGAGAUGAGAUAACCACUCUAUGUUUUCAACUCUAAAUCCUCCAUUAUCAGAUCUAAGGUUAAGUUGUUGCAAGUUGGUGAGGUUUCCAAACUCUGGAGGUAUGGUUCCAUAAAGAGAGUUAGAUGAAAGAUCAAGGUGCCUUAACCGAGUCAUGGAACCAAUGUAGGUGGGAAUGGUUCCAUUAAGAUUAUUGCGGCCGAGGUUGAGGUGCCUUAAUUCAGACAAGGAACCAAUGGACCUGGGAAUGGUUCCAUUAAGAUUAUUGUAAGAAAGAUCAAGAUAUCUUAAUCGAGUCAAAGAACCAAUGAAAGUGGGAAUGGUUCCAUGUAAAGAAUUGUAGAAAAGGUCAAGAUAAUCCAAGUAGGUUAAGUUUAGCAAUGAACGGCUAAUCUCACCUCUGAGAUCAUAGCCUUUGAUAUCAAGCCCUGUGACAUGACCGGUUGGGUUGCUACAAAUUACUCCACUCCAUUUACAGCAUUCAUCAUCUUCUUCUGUCCAUGUAGAGAGAGUAUCAAUGGGGUUAUCUUGAAGGGGAGCUUUGAAAAGAAGGAGAGCAUCUCUCUCCUUAUCCCAACACUUUUUUUUCAUAACACCAUUAUUAGUAUCAUCACCUCCUUCUCCCACUGCUACCAAUUGGCUGGCAGUUGUAGUCACAAUGAAUAGUAAGAGAUAUGAGAAAAUUAUAAAAACACAAUUAUUCAUAAUGUAAAUGUAAAAUGAAAAUCUUGGUGAUUUUUGGUUUGUGUUGAUGCCCUCAUGAGGCCAGGGUUUAUGUAGUCUACUAGUCUCCAAUGUGAACAUGAAUGAUUGUAAGUGGGUACGUAGGUGGCGUCAAAUUGGUGUCUGGUUGUGUGGGGUAUACAAUAUUUAAUUCCCAUUAAAUCUGAACCAAACUGUACUAAAAAAAAUUUAAAGAUGAAUAAUUGGAUCUAAUUGCCGCAAAUUAGAACGUUCAAACUUCAAAGACUUGCAAGUCUUUUCCCAUCUUGUGAUAUAAAUCCCAAGAAAACAAACUCAUGAAAUUAAAUACACAUCCGUAAUAACGUUAGUUGGGUCUAAUUAAAAUUCAAUGACUAUGAAAUGAACCUUUAUCGGAUACAAAAAAGUCAGAAUGUAAACGCAAACUUUGAAGUUUGAACUAUACCCUAAUUUAACACCUUUCAUGAAUUUCUCCAUAAUAAAUAAUUUAUGUUUAAGAUAACACCACUACAAAAAUAUGUCAUUUAGUGGCACAUAAGAAGUGCCACUAAAAACCAAAAAAAAAAAAAAAAAAAGAAAAUGACAAAAAUAGCCAUUUACACUAAUGACAUUACAAAAAUAGCUAAAAAAACCGAAAUUACAAAAUUAGCCCACAAUUUCGCAGAUGGAGAUGUCCCAUCUGCGAAAUCAGCAUCUCAUCUGCAAAUGUACAAGCAUCUAAAGCAAGCACCUAAAGCACAGUUGUGCUUUAGAUGCUUGUACAUUCGCAGGUGCUUUUAAAUUUUUUUUUUAAUUUUUUUUUCUGUAUAUAUAGGGGUAAAAUCGCAGAUGGAAUAGGUCCAUCUGCGAUUUACUCUCACUCUAUCUGCGAAAUUGUGGUUUUUUUUUUUGUUUUUUUUUUUUAGUUUGACUAUGAAAUGAAUUGGUUUGACUACGAAAUCAUGUUCAUGUAUAAAAAGUUUUGUAGAAAAAUAUCAUUUUGGUUGUUAUUUGUUUAGGAACUUUCUCUACAAUUUGCUCAAAAAAUGAUUGAAUAUUUGAUUUGUCAUGUAACCGGUGGGAGAUAACAAGUUAAUGGAACUAAUUUGGAAUACAUAUGUCCACAGGGAGGUUUUUCUGAACUUGCUUUGAUAUUUUCUGAGUAUAUUAGUUAUAGUGAUUUAGUAUCUUUGGUAAGAAGCAAAAUUGGUUUGUUAGAAAAAUAUAGAAUUAGUCUUCGUUUCCACCAUCCUGAAUUAAAUUAUUAUAUAGCUAUAGUUGAAGACAUGGAUGUUAGAAUGUUGAUAAACGUAAUCAAAUGUAGUGGAGGAAGGGCUGUGAAAGUGUUUGUGGUGGUUGAUGAAGUUGAGGAGGUUAAUGGGGGUGGUGAAAUUGGAAACCAGCUUGUUGGUAAUUUAUGCAGUUAUAAAGGGAGCAACGAUCCGAUAAGUACUUUCAAUACUCCCAGUGUACCUCAGUUUCACAGUGUUGCUGAAAAUGUUAAUGUUAGUUAUUCACCUAUUCACUAUGUGGAUCCUGAGAAUUACAAGCAUGUUGGUGAUGAUGAUGUUGGUACUUAUCUUGAUGAUGUGGGUGGUCGUUGUGAUGAUGUUGCCGAACAAGAAGUUAAAGUUAUAAGUAGGCGUGUGGUAGAUAAAACUAAAAAGAAAAAAAAAUUCAAGUCAAAAAAAUGAAAAAAAUCAUAUUUACGGGCAUUAUGUUGAUGUUGGUGAUGUAUGUUUAGAUAUAACUGAGCUACAAAGCAAUUCCGAUAGAGAUGAGUUGGGUGAUGAAGUUAAAGCUAAGUUUCCCGAUAACCUUUUUCACGGUAUGCCCCUUGUACCAGUAUGCCCAGUUGAUAUUAAUGAAGAUAUCCCAACACAGAUGGUAGACAUGAAUCUUCAAAAGAUUCAAUGUGAGAGUAUAUUUAAGAACAAAGAACUUUUAAAGCGGUGUAUUGGUAAAAAAUGUCUUCGAGAAGGUUUCCAGACGAGGACAAGUAGAUCCACCAAAUCAAGGUAUGAAGCUGUGUGUGUUUCGAAAAAUUGUUCUUGGUUACUAAGAGCAAAAGCAAUUAAAAAUACUGAUGGACUUUUCCAAGUGAAUAAAUUUGUUGAUGUACACACAUGUUCUUCAACAUUGUUGCAACCUAAUCAUCGACAAGCAAACAAAUAUGUUUUGGGUGAAUAUGUUGCUGAUGUUUUGGCUGAAGACUAUAGUAGAGUUUAUCGGGGAAAAGAAAUUGUUAAUGAUAUGAAUGCUCAAUUGAAUAUCAAUAUCUCAUACCAUCAGGCAUGGCGUGCGAAGCAAUAUGCAUUGUUGUCGUUAAGGGGUACGAAAGAGGAUUCUUUUACCAAACUUCCGGCGUAUUGUCACAACUUGGCCAAACAUAAUCCGGGUACUGUCACACAUAUUAAAACAGAUGCUGAUGAUCGGUUUGAGUUUUUGUACGUCGCACUCGGUUGCUCGGUUAGUAUUAUCAUGUCCUAUUUUUUUUUUAAUAUUUAUUUUGGUGUAUUUGAAUAGAUAUACAAUGUAUUGUAGGUACGAGCUUUUGUCAAUUUUUGUAAGCCGACCCUAGUAGUAGAUGGAGCUCACCUAAAGGGCGAGUUCAAAGGUACCAUGCUACUUGCAGUUACUAAGGACGGACAAAAUCAAAUAUUACCGGUUGCAUAUGGUAUAUGCAAAAAUGAGUGUACUGAUUCUUGGACAUGGUUUUUUCAAAAACUACGUGAUUGCAUAGGAAAUAUGCAGGAGCUUACAAUUAUAUCUGAUAGGUCUCCAUCUAUAGCAACAUCUGUUGCCAACAUUUUUCCUCAUGCUCAUCAUGGAAUAUGUGGUGUCCAUUUGUAUUUCAACAUAGUAUCUAGAUUCGGCAAGAAUAAGACGGUUAAAGGAAUUUUUUGGGAGGCGUGUAGGGCGUACACAGUUGAUGUUUUUGAUGUUGUCAUGGAUGUUAUGAAAAAGACAAAAGAACCAGUAUGGGAGUACUUAAAAAGUAUAAAUUCGUAAAACUUGGUCAAUGGCACAUUUUAAAGGGAACCGAUACAAUCGUAUGUCGUUCAACAGUGCGGAGUCUAUAAAUGCAUUAUCUAGACACGCACGUAAGGUGCUAAUACUUNCACGUAAGGUGCCAAUACUUAUGUUGAUUGAUUUUUUUCGUGCUACAAUGCAACAAUGGUGGUUUCAAAGACGUAACUUUGCAGGUAUUAAGUAAAUUUGUAAUAUUAAUGUUUUAUUAAUUUUGAUGUUAUUGAUCUUAACUUCUUCAUUUUGGCUGUUUUUUAGCGGAAGCAACAACAAUACUUACCCCUUGGGAGGAUGAAGUUAUAAAAGAAAACAAGAAAACUUUUAGCAAAUGGGAUGUUCGCAUGAUCUCAAAUACAAAAUGCGAGGUCAAAAAGGGGGCACAAAAUGUGAUUGUUGAUUUUCAACAUAUGACAUGUACAUGUAGGCAUUGGCAACUUGAUGGCACACCUUGUGGUCAUGUUAUAAGAUGUUUAACAGUGCACAAUUACCAAGACUGCUCGAGGUUUGCAUUAAAUGCUUACUUUACCGAAACACUAAGGAAAACAUAUGAGGAAUCAAUAAACCCUCUGCCAAAGCCAUCCGAAUGGGAGAUCCCCAAUGAUUUGAUGAUUGUUAAGCCACCUAUAAUGGAUAAACGUCAGCCAGGCAGGCCAAGAAACACAGACCGCAUUCCAUCCCAAGGCGAGGGUCCAAUUAUAAAAGAGUGUUCUACAUGUGGUCAACUAGGACACACGAGAAAUAAUUGUACUGGAAGGGCGUCUGGUAGCAGAGCAGGUCACAUAAUUUCUACUGCAGAAAUGGCAUAUAAUAUUGGUGGUUCAGCGGGUUGCUCACAAACCUAUAACGCUGAUUUUGAUAUAAAACAACCUUGAAAUUAAGAGUAAUGAUGACUUGUUUACUUAUUAUGUAUUGUAAAAUUUUUAUUAACUCUUACAAGACAUUGCUAUGCUUUCAUAUUUUAGUUAAGUUUGUUGAUUAUAACAAUGAAUGAAGCCUUUAUAUUAUAAAAUAUAGUUUGCAGAUUUUUUUUAACAGUUACAACGUGUUAUUUAAAAAAACAACAAACGAUCCUUUUGCAACCUAAUCUAUUUCAUGAUAAUAUUACAACAACUUUGUAACUAAUUUUUAAACUCAGGGAACUGCAAUGGGUACUUCUCUUUCUCCAUUGUUAUAUAGUCAUCCCUAAUUCUCAUUUUGUCUUCCAAACGAUCCUUUUUUACCAUAAUGUGUAUCAACUGCUCAUCCUUCUCAGCAAGCCAUUUUUCAGUCGUUUUGAUUGCCUUUUUACUCUUUUUUUAUCCAACCUUUAUGCUCUUUGAUUUUGUUUUUAUUGAGGUCAAUCUAUUCUUGAGCUUGUUUGCAUUCCGAUUCAAUAUCAUUAGCAAGUUGAGUGAGAAGUUGGGAUGACUCUUUGUCCUCUUCUUGUGUGCUUCAGCCUUCUUUAAUUCUUCAAGAUUUUCAUGUGACAUAUAUGGCCCGGCUGAAGAGGGUGUAAAAAAAGGGUCUACCGAAUCACAGUAGUAACAAUCUACUUCGUUGCAUGAGCAAACUUCGAAUUUGUGUGAGGAACUCAUAAUAAAGUCGAUAUUGUAUUAAACUGGAGCUAUAAGUGGUAUUUAUACAUACUAGACAGUAAGGACAAGUCCAACUUUGAAACGACUAGACAGUAAUGACAAGUCACUGUAGUAACCUGCACAUCGUAGUGGGACCCUUAAGUGACAAGAGAUAAAUGACAGUUUGACAUGAUAAAACACUGCAUAAAGCUGAAAAUCAUAGUCCAAAUAUAACCAUUUCGUAGUGAAAGUAUUAAUUUAUAGUCUAUUUAGUUAUAUAAAUAGAUGUUUAAGAUCUAAAAACCAAACACCCAAAUCACCUAAAUGAAACGAACUCCCAUUAUUAGAAAUGUCGUCGAAUGCAGCAAGUUCUUCGAAUGAAGUACCUGGUUCCAAUUCUGAAAGGCCAUGGACGACAAACGAGGUGUUAGUUCUAACACGAUGCUGGCUAAGUGUUAAGGAUGGUGUAUCGUUACUUGCUCCCCCGCAUUGCCUAAUUGGUGAUGAAUGGACUCGCAUAACAUCUUUGUUUAACCAUGAGAUGGGAGAAGGACAAAAAAGAGAAAAAUUAGAUGUUGUUACUAAGUGGAUGGAUGUAAAGGAAGAAGUGACAUGGUUCAAUCGAGCAUGUAAUUAUGCGAAAAGUAACAAUGUUCGUUAUCAGGACGAAGAAGAGUUCUUGGAAGUUGUUACAGAUUUUUACAUCUGUGAGCAUGACGGCAGACACUUCGAAUAUGAGGAAGUUUGGAAGGUUGUUAAAGAUAAACAGUAUUUCAUGUAGACCGCUCUAAUUUCUGUUAAGAAUAACCCAUGGACUUGUGUUUUACGUUAAUGCUUUGUUCGUAUUAUGUCGUUGUUUUUCAUGUAAUUGUUGUAAUGUUUGUAAUGGUUCAUGGAAUCCUUGUUACUAAUGUAUUCUAAUGUAUUGUGAAAACUAAUGUAAUGGCCAUUUAUUAAUUCAAAUUAAUCAUACGAGUUGCUCACAUAAUAAACUAAAAUAGAUUUUAAACAAACGAAAUAUAUACGAAAUACAUGAAAAUAACCUAGUACNNNNNNNNNNNNNNNNNNNNNNNNNNNNNNNNNNNNNNNNNNNNNNNNNNNNNNNNNNNNNNNNNNNNNNNNNNNNNNNNNNNNNNNNNNNNNNNNNNNNNNNNNNNNNNNNNNNNNNNNNNNNNNNNNNNNNNNNNNNNNNNNNNNNNNNNNNNNNNNNNNNNNNNNNNNAUAUAUUAACUCAACUUAAUCAUACGAGUUUCUCACAUACUAAACUAAAAUAUAUUUUAAACAUAUGAAAUACAUACGAAUUACAUACGAAAUACAUGAAAAUAACCUAGUACUCACAUAAUAAACUAAAAUAGAUUUUAAACAAACGAAAUACAUACGAAAUACAUAAGAAAUACAUGAAAAUAACCUAGUACAUGAAAAUAACCUAGUACUCAAAUAAUAAACUAAAAUAGAUUUUAAACAAACGGGAUAUAUUUCAAAAUAUUCCAAGGGGCUUCAAACUGGAAUUCCAACCCGUUACUUAAUGACUUGUAUUCCUCCUUAGCAGCUUCCAAGAUGACAUCCUCAGUAGCAUUUAAACGGGUGUCGUCAAUUUUGGUAUAAAGAUCGUUGAAUAAUAGAACUUCGGUUUUCAUUUCAUACCAUCUUGCUAAGAUGUCUAGUUCGUCACGAUCGUUUCUUGUAGCCAUUCGGUUUUCAGCAUUGAAAAUAUUUGUUAAACGGCUCCAAAACAUUGGAUCGUUCAACUUGCUUGUCUCGUACACAUGAAUAUAAGCAUGUGUAAGAACCAAGAACUCUUCAUUGCUCCAUGAUAUAGAACUCAUUUUGAUUGAAACAAAGAGAGUAGAAUCUAAAAAACAAUAUUUGAACAACUUUAUUGGUUAAUUUAAUAAAGUAUUGCAUGUAACUUAAGGUCAAUUUAUAGUAGUUUCUACACAAAAUCGCAGUCCAAUCUUCUAAUAUGUCUGCAAUUCAUAGUCAAAAUUAACUGACGAAUGCAGUGUACUAUACUUAUAACACAACAGAUCACUGUUCGAGUUGACAAUUCAUCCCCGGUUGAAUGACAACACAAUACAUUGCUGCUUGAGUUGACAAGUCAUUGCACCAGGAAAGUAAGGAGUCGUUAUAAAUAGAUUUCAAUAUCCGUUGUAAUUGUAUUCUAUUACUUCCCUCCUUGCAAUUAUGGACUCACCACAUAUAUGGAGGAACGCAGAGGAGGUCGCUUUGGUUCAAGCUUGGAUUACAACUGUAGAGGUGGAUUUUCCACCGGGUCCCCCACAAGUUCGUGCUGGAUCAUUUUGGUCUCGUGUCUGUCAUUUGUUUCACCAUUUAAUGAACCGCACUCAAUAUCGAAGAAGAAGAGAUGUCAAAGCGAACUUUUUGGAUAUGAAAAUGAAGGUGAAACAAUUUCAACGUAUUUAUAACGAGUUGGAUAACGAACAUGCAAAUACGGAUGAAGACAUUCUACGGCACGUGGCUUUGGAACUAUACCGUUUUGAAUAUGAUGGUAGCGACUUCACCCACUUAGAUGCAUGUAAUCUUUUAAAGAAUGUCCCUUAUUUUUAAUAUGCAUGUUGGUUAAGUUAAUUGUUUUUCGUUAUUUAAGUUACUUGUUGUUGUAUGUGUCUAGUCGUUACUAUUUAAUAAACGUCCAUUUCUUUUAAUGUAUGUUGUUUCGUCAAUAGCCAAUAUAUAGAACGCAAUAAAAUAUAAAUGGGGUACAUAAAUAACUAAUACAUAAUACGACAUAAAAUAUAAACUGGGUACAUGGAUAACUAAUACGUAACACAACACUAAAAUAAAAACGGGGUACAUAAAAAACUAAUACAUAAUACUACAUAAAACAUAAAGGUGCUACAUGAAUAACUACUGCAUUGAGGGAGGUAACAGGACCACCGUUUCAUUUGGUAUUUCCCAAUGCACAUGUGAUGGUAUAGCAUUCACCAACUCAGAUCCAUAUGCAAGUCGAUACACAUAAUUAGUGAACUUGUAAUCAACCAUUCUCUGAAUGGACUCAGAUGUACGAGUUCUUAGACAUGCUAUAGCGUGGCCACAUGGUAUACCGCUUUUUUGCCAUUUACCACAACUACAUACCCUUCGUUCAAGUUGUACGUUGCUGGUGGCAAAAUUAUCAUCAACUUCAAAUGUAUCCCCAUACAAACGUCUUGCAUUACAAUUAUAAGACUUGUUGAGACUUUUUUGAACCUUACUCUCAACGUAAGGGGUCAACCCACCAGACAACCUCCCUGUAAAAUUUGAUAUUUUAAUAAAAAUAGUAGCACAAUAAAAAAAACUAAAUAUAACAAUCUCCCUUACCAGCCAGUUCGGCCCGUUCAGCAUACUUUGAUUGUAUCGACGUGGUGGUUAACUCAAUUAUCGUUGUUAUAGGAAACUCACGUGAGGAUAUAAUUUGCAAAAUUUCAGGGACGUCAAUCGAUUUAACAUUGUAACGUAUUUUUGGGAAAAAUGCUCUUGUCCAUUUUGAAAUCGGUAUAUCGUCAAGCCAGUAAAUUGGACUCAUAAGCAAGGUGCAGAAAGGUGGUUUCCUACAUGUACUUUGCAACCUUUCCAAACACAAGUAAAAAUCAUCAACGCUAUAUGCAUUGCAUGACUUCCAAAACAACGAUUCGACUUCCGUAUUGUUAUGUCCGACAGACUCACGUAUCUUUCGAGCUAUAUCUUUAGGACAAUAUCCAUGAUAGGAAUCCGGGUAGGCACUCUGAACACCAAAGUCUAUUUUAUCACACAGGUUGCUUAUGAAACCAACCUCUAUGUCCUCACCUAAACAAUCUUUUAACCUCAUCAUGAACCAUCUCCAUGAUUCUUCACACUCUAAGGUUCCCAAACCAAUUGUUAAGAGUAGUGGUUCAUGAUUUCCAUCUAAAGCCACUGCGAAGUACAUUGUUGUCAAAUAGCUCCCAAGAAGGGGUAAAUAAUCCACAUAUAUCAGCGGUAUCAUCCACCUAAGGAAGGUACAAAUCUACAUAAAAACGAACACAUAUUAGUGAUAAGUAAAAACUAAUCGAGAUACAUUACCAUGAAAUAUUAUAUAACUCAAUAAAAGAAGUAUGUUAUACCACGCAACCUAAAGCCAUAAAACAGAAUUGAAAGCGGUUGGUAUCGGUUUUCUUAAUGCCUGUGAAGGUAUUAGGAUUUGUUCUUUGAAGGCUAUGCAAGAAAAUUGGUAGUUGAGAAAAGCUUCUUUCGCUGUAAGUACUCAUUUUCAAUACCGAUGAUAGUGCUCUACAAUCAUCACACAAAUGCAAUAUGAAACAAAUGCAAUUAUAAAUAGAAAAUAUUGUAUCUCUACUGUUUAAAAUUCAUAGUUUAAACUUUUAAAUUCAUAGUCAAACUAGUUCAUUUCAUAGUCAAAUUUCACUGUCCGACAUGACAAUACUACAUAAUGUACUUGUCUGGAUUUCGUGGUUCAACUUUUUGAAUUCAUAGUCAAACUAGUUCAUUUCAUAGUCAAAUUUCACUGACCGACAUGACAAUACUACAGAAUGUACUUGUCUGCAUUUCGUAGUUCAACUUUUUGAAUUCAUAGUCAAACCAGUUCAUUUCAUAGUCAAAAAGAUUUGUCUGUAAUAUGAUUUCUUCUAUAAAUGGGUGUCACCCAGUAUGAAAAUUUUAACUGAGAAAGUAACUCCGAUUUGAAAGAAAAAUAAGGCUAAUGGCAUACUGCAAUUGCGGAGGAGAACGUAUCGUUAGGAUUUCAGGUACAGCUAAAAACCCAGGAAGAUUGUUUUACGCUUUCCCAUAUUUGGUAUCAUGUUAUUACGUCAUUCAAAUUUAAACCCUCGUGUUUACAUGACAAAAUUUAUUUUCUUACUGUCAAUGUUAAAUUUAACAGGGACCAAAAUGCGGGUUUAUCAGUUGGGUUGAUGAAGAGAAGGACCAAUCAUCUAUGGUAAUAGCUAAAGUAGCUAACUCUAAUAAGCUCUUUCAAUCAGAAAAUAAGAAGUUAAAGAUAGCAUUGGUUUGUAGUUGGGUGUUGUUCUUGGCAGUUCUUGUUUACAAGUUGUAAGGUUUUCAAUAUUGUUUUUAUGGUUUUGAAGUUGUUAGGUCAAUAAAUUAUUGUAUUUGUAACGUUAAAACAAAUGUUGUAGUCGUUCUUAUGUUGUAUGUAUUGAUAAGUUAUUAGUAGGUCAUUAAUUUGUUGUAAUUGUCGUAACGUUAAAUUUUUUGUCAUCCGUUGAGUAAACUGUAAAAAUAAACUAAUAAUCAAAUCCAACAUUAAUUUAGAUAUACAAUUAUAUAAUCCAACUACAUAGGACCAAGACUAGACCCCCAAAAAAUUUUUGCCAUCCGUUGACGGAACUCUAAAGCUGCGUUCUUUGGGUCAAUAAGAACACGUAUUGGUUGACCUGAAACGAAUUGCUNGCAAGACUAGACCCCCAAAUAAUUUUUGCCAUCCGUAGACGGAACUCUAAAGCUGCGUUCUUUGGGUCAAUAAGAACACGUAUUGGUUGACCUGAAACGAAUUGCUCCAUAAACAUACAAACAAAAACACCGCAAUCUCCCAAAUGACUACUUUGUUGGGGAACAUUUUCUUCAUAAAUGAAUUGCAUAUUCAAUGGAAUCCUUGGGAUGUUCCUCCGGGCCCAAUACUUAAUCUUGUCCAAAUAAUUUGCCACCCGACGUUCAAAUUUGGAAAAGAUUCCUUCAGAUUUGAAUUUUUCAUAAGCCCCUCUACCAAGACUGUCAUAAAUAUGCACUUCCAUUGACGCUAAUUAUAGUUCCCCAAAUAGCCAAUGAUUAGGGGAUGAAUGAAUCGGCAAUAAGACCUGUAUAAGGAUCAUAAAAUAAAAUUAUGUUUUUUAUAUCACAAUACAAAAACAUAACAAAAAUAACGAUAUUAUUUUCAAUAUAAACAAUAAAGUUUACCGUAUCAACAUCCCACCAGGCAACCAUGAAGUUGGGGUACGUAGCAAUACCAGCCAUAAACGCUCUCCAGUCCUGUCCUUCUUCCAAAGCAUGAGAAACAAAAAAAUUUGGAGGCAUUAUUGUAUGUCGGUCGCUCUCAAACCGUCUCUCCAUCAAUAGUCGGUACCAAAUGGUUAUAUGCUGCACACAUGAUACUUUUGUUAUUGACUAAAAAACAAUUAACUUUUAAAAUAAUAAAUUAACAAUUAAUUUACCGAUGACUCCAACCAUCCGUCGUGUGUAUGCCCAAACAAUGAGCUCCAAAAAUCUCUAUCUAACACGAAAUUAAACAAACGGUGUUGGACAUCAUAUGAAUGCAAUACAUAAUUUUGGAUGACAUCCUCACCGCCUGCUACGUAAGGUUGCAGGCGCAACAUGGAGAAGUCAUGAGCAACACCAAAAACUGGAGGAGGAACGGAGCUUGUUGAUUUGAUAUCAACCUUCUUUUUUGUUCUUUUUUUUUUGCUUCGAUGUCGUGUGCAACUAAAAUCAAUAUUCAAAUGUUUAAAUCUAUAUCUUUCAGAUAAUUCACAUAAACAUAAAAUCAUGAGUUUAUAAAUAAAACGAAUACCUCGGUGUAAGGAGGGCACAAAUAUUGUGAUGGUUUUCGAGUCCUCGGUUUAUCGGGUGUAACUUCUUUGCCAUCAUACUCAUCAAAAUAAUCUACAAUUCCCGUAAUUAUUAUUUCAUCUUCGUCCGACACCUAAUUUAAUAAACAAUAAUCUCUAAUUAAAAAAAUGUUUCAAUAUACUAAAAACAAAAUAUAAAUUAAUGUAAGUAUAAGAACCUCUUUAGCUUCAUUAUAAUCAUUUACGUCAAACACAUCAUCAUCAAAUUUGUUCCCCGCUUUGUCAUUCCUCUCCUCCGACUCCUACAUUAAAAAUAAAACUUUAUACUUAAUAACGAAAUACACAUAAUUUAAUAAGCAAUAAUAUCUAAUUAAAUAAAUGAUUCAAUCUACUAAAAACAAAAUAUAAAUUAAUGUAAGUAUAAGAACCUCUUUAACUUCACUAUAAUCAUUUACAUCAAACACAUCAUCAUCAAAUUUGUUCCCCGCAUAGUCAUUCCUCUCCUCCAACACCUACAUUAAAAAUAAAACUUUUUACUUAAUAACGAAAGANACACUUUAUUAAAAAGUAAUUAUUAAAAUCGUAAAGGUAACAUCUAUAACAACCUUGUCGUCUUGAGUAUCACCAAAAACAUUUUCAGUUGUAUUGUUUUUAUUCAUCACUUCAUCUUGCACAACCUAUAUUUUCAAAUAUAAAAUAUGAACCCAUGUAUUCAUAUAUGUUAAUAAAAAUUUAAAAAAUAAUGUAGCGUGUAACUAACAUGUUCAUCAUAUUUUCUUUGUGACACUAUCGGAUCAUCAAAAGUAAUGUCAUUCCAAUAUUGUUCAGUUUUCACUUCUUCAACAAAAACCUCUGUAGGUUGUCGGUUCAUAAACACAUGCUGCUCCAGUGCAUGUAGCCGUUUCAACACCUCGUCUAGGUUGUGUUUCCCACUGCCCCUACCUCUACCAUGAGAGCGACCACUGGACGACAUACUAGACGAAGAUUCGUCUUGUCUCCUAAAAUGGUCCCGUACUGGGGAUGGAACUGCUUUCCCUUCACCAUAUACAUACUCUUGAAAUGACAUAUAAUAAAAAGAUGUCAUCUCACCAUCACCCGGUAACAUGUUUUGUCUUGGUGGUAGCCCCUCCUAAAAAAUUAAACAUAUUAAAAAUGCAUAUAAAACUAUAAUAAUCAACUUUAUUAAUAAUAAACGAAAUAUUUUUAAACCUGCAUCUUUGACCAAAUCUUGUUCACGUCAACCCAUUUCAAUUUUUUUGUUCCGCUCCAUCUUUUCAUCCGAGGCAAGUCUUUAUUUUUUCUCAAUGCAAAUCCACAUGCACGAACAGCCGGAAUCAUCUCAUAUAUCCAUAUCUACAAUUUUUUACAAUUACAGUAAUAAAAGUUAAAAUUAAAAUAAAAAACAUAACAAUAAAACAAUUUAAAUAUAAGAAAAUUUUUAUACCCUUAUUGGAGCCGUAAAUCCUGAGACGGAGUACUUUAAAGUUUGACCACGCUCAGAAAGUGAUAAAUAAUUAUGUAUUUUGUUCCAUGUAUCCUCAAGGUCAACAUAAGUAAAAUCCCAGAGAUAGCUACCCCAAGCGAAGCUAACAAAACAAAAAAACAAAAUUGGUUAUUAUAUAAAUUAUAACUUUAAUAAAAUAGAACUUUUAACGUAAACAAAAUAUACCUGUUCCAGAGAUCCAAAUUCUCAGCCAAAAAAAACCAAUCUUGUGGCACCCGAUCAUUAACUUCUUUUCCCAAAAAACCUUCACACAAAAUGUAUAUCAAACAUACUCUAACUGCAUCAACGUCGUCAAGUGCUAGGAAUGUUCGAUUUAAAAUUAAACGUUUCAGGUCGCCGAUUUUCACCGAACUAUUAGUAUGGUCCGGAAAUAGCCGUUCACGCAAUAAACAUCUUUUUUUACUGCUUAAUAAUUUUUCCGACCCUUUUCUCCCAAUGUUUUUUGGAUACUCCCCAAAAUUGAAGCCGGUUAUCAAACAAAACUCUUCCGGCCCAUAAACCAUUUUCGUAUUGCCUACUCGAAAAUAUAAUCGUUUUAUUCCAUCUGGAGAUAAAACAGGGUCCGGCCGGAUCUGAUGAAGGAACAUUUUAUGGAACAACAAUGCGUCCCCUUGUAAACGAGGGACAACAAUAAAAUAACCAAAUACGGUAUCUCUGAAAAUGGCACGUCUGACAUCAUCUAAAACUUCAAAUACUUCCCAUAUGUUACCUCCCGAACCUUUUAAGUUCGCAAAGGCUUUCAUAUUGAUAAAACUAAAAUCAUACUGCAAAAAAAACACAAAAACAAAUUAGAGAACUAAAAAAUAUUUUGUUUUUAAAAUAUAUGAUUACGAACUGCAAUAAGUACAUAAACAAUUAGUAAUGCAAAUACAAUUUCUUAAUUAAUAAUUUAUAUAUUUCCGAUAAAAAACAAUAACAUACACAUAUAUAAACAAUUUUCCAAGUUAUACAACAAAUAUAUUUACGAUAAAAAACAAUAUCAUACAUAAUUAUAUAAACAUUUUAUUAAACAAAUUUUCAACUUAAACGACAAAUAUAUAAACAAUUUUUAUCUUUUUAAUUAUAUAAACUAACAUUUUAUAACCAUAUAAACAAACAAUUUUUCAAAUAAAACGACAACCAAAUUAACAAUUUUGCAAGUUAUACGACAACUUUAUACAAAUUUUCAACUUAUACGACAAACACAAACAAUUUCUAACAAUAUAUAUAUGACAAAUUUUCAACUUAUACAAAUGUUAUACUUAUACAACAAAUAUAUAUACAAAUGACUAUUUUGCACAUACUAUAAUUUAACUAUUUUUCACAUUAUAUAAACAAUUAUACGAUAACAAUAUACAAGUUUUCAGGUUAUACAACAUCUAAACAAACAACAAAAAUAACAAAUUGUAAAUAUUAUCUACGCACUCUCUACUUGUACAUUCAAACAAACCCUCACAAAAUAGCAUUUAAACUUCAAGUAUACUAAAGAAAUAUUAAAACUAUCAAACACAACAAAAUUACCCUUUUUAACAGUAAAUAAUACAAUAAAUGAUAAAAAAAAUGUUUAAACAUUAAAAGAGUUAAAAUCUAACCAUAUUUGCGGGAUUAUAGACAUAAUCCUCCAUUUUCUUCAAAAACUAGCCAAAAUCGCGAGAAAAGCCCAAAGAUAGAGAGAGUUAGGGAGAGUUUUUGUGUAGAGAAGGAUGAAAAUGGAGAAAAAAAUACGUUUACAUAGUGAAAGGAAGGGGAUUUCGCAGAUAGCAUCUUAAUUUCGCAGAUGGAGUAUGCCAUCUGCGAAAGUACAAGCAGCUAAAGCACAGCUGUGCUUUAGCAGCUUGUACUUUUGCAGAUGGGAUGCUGAUUUUGCAGAUGAGGCAUUUCCAUCUGCGAAAUCGUUGGCUAUUUUUGUAAUUUCGAUUUUUUUUGGCUAUUUUUGUAAUGUAAUUAGUGUAAAUGGCUAUUUUUGUAAUUUUGGCAUCUCAAAGAAUCUGCGACACAUAUAAUAAGUGCCACUACAAAAGCUCCCACUAAAACCCCUUAGUGAUACUUUUUGUUUUUGCCGCUGCAGUUUUUUAGGCUUUUAGUGGCACUUUUUUGUUUGUCGCGAUAUAAGAAAAGUUUUUUGUGGCACAUAUUCUAUGCCAUUGAACGCUUGUAUUAUUGAAGAAUUCAUGCUACUUUUAGUUACACAUUUUAAGAUUUUAGUGACAUUUUUAUUUGUCACAAUAAAAAAGUAGUUUGUGGCACUUAUUUAUUUGUCACAAUAGAAAAAAUGGUUUUUGUGGCACAUAUUUUGUGCCACUAAAAGGUCAUGUGAUUGAAUGAUUUUUUUUAAAUAUUGGUUACAUAUUUUAUGAUUUUAAUGGCAUUUUUCUAUUUGUCAGCAUACAAAAAAAAAUAUUUAAUAUAUAUUUUGUGUCACAUUUUGUAUCGUUAACUAUGAGAAUAUAUAAUUUAAGCUACUUAUGUCUAUAUAGUUUUUAUAUUUAAUAUAAAAUAAAAAUGAAUAAUUAAGUCGUAGUACGCAGAAAAUAACAAAAUACAUCCAAAUAUGAUGGCAAAAUUGUAAUAUUUCACCUAAUAAGAGUCAUGUAAUAGAAUUAAAAAAAACUCACAAAUUACUAACAUAAUCUUCUUGUCUAAGAUUCUUUACAAUCUCAUUCUAGAAGGGUUAAUAUCUAGCAGCAUCAAACUUCUCUUUUACAAGGACCUGAUUAAUUACCUUAAGAGAAUUCUUGCAAAAUAUAAUUAAACAUUAAUAUAAUAGAAAAUUGAUUCAACAAAUUAUGUUACAGAAAGAGAUCAAAAAAACCUGUUAGAAAGAGGAAUGUGGAGAUUAUCCAUGAAUGCUUCGGGGAACCUCUCAAAGAUUUUGUGGACACAACUCAAAGACCUAAUCUUAAAGCAUUAAGAAAAAAACGAAUUAGUUUUUAGUCAAUAUGGAAAAAUAGAUUAUAAAUUAGUUUUUUAAGAAGUAUGCAUGUCUUUCUAGUGAGGUUUUACACAUUAUGUGUGCACACAAGGACGAAAAGGUAAAUUUACCUCAACAAGACAAUCUCUAGCUCCAAGCAAGAAACCAACAACAACAAAUAUAAUAAUGUAAAAUAUAUAGAUGUCUGAAAGAUAGAUCUACAAUUCAAACAUAUAUAUGAGCAUCAAGAGAAAUAAAGUAAAAAAAGCAAGCAAAAUACAAACAUAAUGUUUCGAUAAUGUGAAUUUUCCAAUUAAAUUGUUAUAUAACAAUUGAUUCAUUGAAAUUAAAUUUUCAUAGAAAAAUGUUUAUAACUUAUCAAUAUUAAAUUUUGACACACUAUUGGCAUAAUCCUAUUGUAGUAGUAACUAUACUAGUGUUAGAUUUGGAUUAGAGACUCACUAGCGAAUACCAUUAUUGUAGGAAUCGAUAGUGGUACGAGUGGAGCGUAGAUCAAGGCAUCACUUGUAUCAUCUCAAUGCAUUGUGAGUAUUCACACACUCCCUUAUUUUCAGUUUUUAAAUGUUUUGGGUUGGAAAAGCAUGUCCUAAACUAUUUUUAUGUUCGUUGUAUUUAUUCUGACUUGUAUGAAACUUGGUUGCUAUAUUUCGUAUGUAUGUGUAUGUUACUUUAAUUCAUGAGGACUGUAUCGCGGUUAAGUCCUUGGAAUCUCUAUACACAACUCAUUAACUCUUUUGAGCCUAUGCUUAUUAAGGAUAGCGUUAUCAGGAGGUAGACAACUCCUCACUCGCAGGAUUCGCUUGAGUGCAUUUUACCAAUUUAUACAUUACAUUUGCGAUACACAUAGUAGUCAAUAGGGCACGAUUCGGUCAUUAGGCUUGGGUUGUGAACUCAUGAAUGGAAACUUGAUGCACGUACUAUUCUUUAUGCACAUACGAAACAUGUAUUCCCAUGUGAGCAACGACAUUUGUAUACUUAUUUUAGCAAUGAAACUUGAAUACUUAUUUUAGCAACGAAACUCGUUGCUCAUUAUAGCAAUAAAAUUGUUUAUCAAUUAUAGCAAUCAACUUUGUUUCUCAUUAUAGCUAUAAACCUUGUAUCUCAUUAUAACAACGAACUUUUGUUACUAAAUACUUAUUUACUUGUUUUAGCAACAAACUUGGUUGCUUCUUAUAGUAACAAACUUGUUUGCUCCUUGUAGCAAUGAAACUUGAUUACUCAUUUUAGUAACAAACUUUAUUUCCCAUGAGGUUAUGAACGUUGCAUCUCUUUUGGGCAACAUACUUUAUUUCUCAUGAUGAGAACGAACUUUGUUUACACAAACUUAUUUACUCAUUUUAGCAAUAUCUUUUUAUCUAUGGAAACUUAUAUCAAAAUUUUGAUUUCGAUUUAUGAAACCAAUACUAUUUUUAAACUUGUGAGUACUCACCAACUAUUUUUAUAGUUGACUCUUGUUUUACAUGCUUUUCAGGAAUCAUCGAGUAAGUGGCACUUAGGGACACUUCACUUUUAGGAGCAUUCACAUGUGUUGUAUUUCAAUUUACAUUGUAAUUUCUUUUAAAAGUUGUUCAAACCCAUUGUAAAUUUGUAAUGAUUUUUAAUACUAUGGUUGGUGUUGUCUUUUAACUUUUGCUAUGAAACCCUUUAUACUGCCACGCCUCGUGUUUUUGCUUUAGCGGGGUGUGACAGGAAAUGGCAUCAGAGCCGAAGGUUAUAGAGAAUACCGGUUUUCCUUUGGAAAACCACAACUAUAGCCAAUAAUUUUCUAAACGUUUAUAAAGUACUUAAGAUACUACUGGUAUAACUAAUUCGAGUACGCAUUAUUGGACUCUAAUUAAGUAUAGCCUGGCCAACUAUGAUUAAUUAAGGAAAGUUAAUGUAAGGCUGGAAAUGGUUAUACAAGAAUUUUGUUCAAAACAAUUUUCAACUUAAACUUUUGAAAAAAAAAGUUUUUCGGUGUGCGUACGGGCAUUACAUAUUAUAGGCAUUCAUCUAGGUACACUUAGAAACUAAGUGCACUUUUACCACAAUGUCUUAUUUAGAAAUAUUCUUGUCCCUUAUCAAGUGCUAGGUUAACCACUUAGGUUAUAUCACUAGCCACUCUAGGAUCAAUGCACUUAGUACUAAGAAUGGGUAUUCCUUAGUAGCUAUUGACUUUAGAUGUAAGGUUAGUAGCUAGAUAUAUACUAGUAAUAAUCACAAGUCGAAACCUAUACCAAUUAUUCCUCAAUACCUCUUCAUCGUCUUUGUACUAGAGUUACAACUAUGAAAAAGUGUUUCGGUAUCGACACGAAUGAUAAUUGGAGCAUCGCGUAAGGAGGUAGAUGAGUCGCCACUAAGUAAUCACUUGUAUACCAUUGGUGGGCAUUCCGGAUUCAACUCAUGAGGAGACACGAAAGUUUAACCCAUACGUGAGACAUUAUUACUAUGCUACGAUUUAGCUCUACGUUGUUUCCACCUUGAGCUUAAAACUUAACAUAGAAUAUCCCUUUGACCUCUAUAAAAGGGUCAUAAACUGCAUUGACACCAUAACACGUUUUACUAACAAAUUUUCUUGUCGUUUAUCUUGGGGAAAAGACAUCGGUACUCGCAUUAGUAUUUAAGUACGAUUAGCUACACUAACAUACUUAUUCGUUACCUAUUAGUCUUCCAUCGAAAAGUUAUUUCGUUUCAUUGGUUUUAUUUAUCAUCGAUAAAAUAUUUUAUAUCCACUUCAUUCAACUUAGUAGACAUUUCCUAACAAUUUAAGCCAUAUUCUCGCUAAAACUCUUUUGACAACUUGCUUUAAUUUAAUGCUUUUCUCCAAAACUCAACUUAACCAAUAUUGGUUUUUACCUUGCUAUUUCAAUUUCAUUUCAAAUCCAUUUCAAUGGAUAGAUGUGCUUUUAAGGGCAUAGAAACCAUUUAAACCUUGAUUAACAUUUUGGCACGUUUUCGAAAAACUUAGAAACAUUUUCUUUUAUAAAAGUGUUUAAAUUCUAUGCUAUAAAACUUAAACAUAUGACAUUGAAGUUCUUAUUAUGUGAAAAAGUUUCAUCAAAUCUUUAAAACACUUUUGUUUUGACACUUUUAACAACUUUGUCAUUUAGACAUUGUAAUUUACUUUGAUGUGUUUUAUCUAAACCCAACAUGAUAUUUAUGCAAAUUUCUACUUCAAACACGUUUAUAAGACAUCUCUAAUGCUUGUAUUUCAAAACAUACCUUAUUUGUGUACUUUGCUUUAAUAUGGUUUUAUAAUCUAUAAAGUUUUUAAAAUUUAUAACAUUUGAAAACUUGGUGUUCACUUUUAAAUUUCCACUGAUACACUCUUAACAAUGAAUAAUUAUUCUUCUAAAUAUAUUGAGUCUUUACCUUAUCCAUUUUAAUCAUUGUUGGACUCAAGCCUAAAAGGGUCAAGACUGUCAGAUUUUCAAUUACCAGUUGUAGUGCUUCUUCUUUUUCACAAUUACAGUUUAACUUAAUAGAUAACUCGUGAAUUUUUAGCAAUCCUUAGCAAACACUUUAAAACUCUCAUAUGUUUAUUUAAUCAUCAAUAUACAUCAAAUAUUGAAGCUUGAAAUAUAUCUCAACCUGGUAUUAAAUCUACCUAUAGGUAUUGUUUUUAUAAUUUUAACAAUAACAAUCAUUGUCGCUGCUACCUUCCUUUUUCUUUCCUCCAAACUUUAUUUCUCCAUCUCCUUCUGAUUUUAGAUCUCGCACGCCAUAAUAUUAACAUAAUACAUUGUCUAACUCUGUUUCUAUCUAUUUUACUUCUCUUGGUACCAUGUUCGUACACAUAUAGACUAGAAGUCUACCCUUUCGUUUUGAGCGAUUAAUACGUAUAUAGUCGUGAGGCACACUUUUGAUUUAGUCAAUUUUAAUAUAUUCAAUUACGCCUUUUAUCAUAUACAUCUCGUUUUUAUUUUUAAAUCUACUAUAAACAAGUGAUCCUUAUUAACAUUUGCUCUUACGUUCUAAAUUCAGAAACUUGAUAUAAAAUGCAAUUUCCAUUAUAUUUUUCCUUAUAAUUAAUACACAAUAUGAAUACUCUUAUGCUUAGCAUUUUUCUACAUUCGGAAAUUAUAUGUGAAGGAUAUGUUUCCUUAUGUUUCUUCUAUUAUUUAAAUACAUCAAAAGUCUUGAAUUUUUAUUAUAUAUUCUCUAAAUGAUUGUUUUUGUAGUAACACUAAAUUAAGAAUCCCUUAUUUUCAAUGAUAGAUAUUUUUACACCUUUCUUAAAAUAGCAUUCUACUUUGUAAUUUUCAUUGAGUUCCUAAACUCUCAACUUUGUUCAUAUAAAUAUUUUGACUCGUAAGCUUGAAUUUGUCCCGACUUAGACAGUUGGACAAUUUCUCAAAAAUUUAAUACAAAUAUUUCUAUACAAAUUCCUUUAUUGAUGACUUAAACCUUUAAUUAAUCUUUAUACUAUUUUACUACUUUGUUGGAUUGCCAAACAUGUAUUUUCAUUAUCUUGGAAUUAUUACAUAUUUUGAUAACAAUGAGAUUUUUAUCACUUCUAAAACACUUAAAAGGCUAUCUGCACAAUGAGAUUUAAUCGCGUCCAUUUGCAACAUUGACUCUCUAAAUAUAUAUAUUCUUCGAAUAUAGAUCUAUUAUUGUAAGAGUAACCGUAGUAGUAACUAUAGCCUCGGACACCCUCAAUCAUUUCGUAACUUAUUUUGUAGACGACACUUAAAUAGCCUUUACAUUUGAGAUGUACCAAAACUUCGUUGCCUACCCUUAUUACGUAUUUUUAGGAACUUUCCCUCGAUCGCUUCUAAUUCAUUCGUGCUACCCCUUCUUAUUUUGAAAUAUAUCUUUUCCAGAUGUAGUAGCCAACCCGGAAGUGAACAAAUUAUUCCUAAUCUCUUCUUUACUAGGCGGCGAAUUUACACUUAGUGCUAAUUUAGAACGCGACUUAAGGAUCAAUGCAGACUUAACGCUGAAUGCAGUUGGUGCUUCAGCAAAAAUUAUAACUCUCUUGAUUCAGAUAAUAUCUAAAUGAAUAAUCUUUUCAAUUAGGUUGCCAUGGUUUGAACGUGAUUCCCAUUAUCCUAAUUUCUCGCAAUCAAGGCUGUAGAACACGAAUUAAGGAACCACUAAAUUGUUGAUAGCAAAAAGAAUUGGGCUUUUCCCUUGAGGAAUUAACCCAAAAUAAUCAAAGAACACUGAAAGUCACCACCUCUCCAGCUAUACAAUUGUAUUCGGCUGAGUUCUAAUAGAAUACGUCACGAAUCGAAUUUCGAGACGAAAUUCUUUCAACCGGGGGAGACUGUGACAACCGUCAAAAUUCGAGUCGGUUCUAGAUUUUACUAAACUUAGUUGCACAUAUAGGCACAAUACAUACUAGACUUAGUAACUAGAAACUAAGUUAUAACCUACUAGAAACUUGGAAACAAUUAGAAACAAUGGAUAGCGUACUUAGAUUUCACAUUGAUAGAUGAAUUCUACAUCCAUUUAACUAUAGUGACUAUCCAUAUUCGGAUCACUCUUUGGCUCGAACACCUUUUUCAUUAAUCAUAUACACACAUCAUGCUCUUGACCUAGAAGUAUAAAUUAGGUCAAAGUCUCAUAGAAACUUAAGUCAAAGUUGAAGACUAGGACUAGUAUACCUGAUUCCUCAAUUUUGAUUGAAUCUCGGACUCACUACAUAGAAUGCCAAUAAACCGAUAAAAAUAAAUUACAAACAUUAAUUAUAACUAUAAAAGAGUUAUAAUACCAUAAGAUAAUUUAAAGUCUCAAAUAUUCUAUUUAUUUUGAUAUCCAAAGAUUUACAAACUCUCAAAAACCCUAAAUGCCCUAAAAACUCACAUUUAUGAACUUUAACCUUAAAAAUUAUAUAAAAAUAAUUAUGAAACUUAUAAUAUGAUCUUAUAAUAAUUAAAAUUAUGAAAAUUCAUUUAAGUAAAAUAAAAUUGAAGUCAAUAACAAUUAGCCUAAAUUUAUAAAGCAAAAUAAAGGUUUUAUGAAUAAAAACUUGAUUUUAGUGUAUAUUUUAUAAAAAAAGUUUGAUAUUUUUAUAAAAGAUUUAAGUUUUUAUAAAAGAAACAAGAGAGAGGGAGCCUCUCUCACCCAAAAUCUCGGCCUCCCCUUUCCCAAGACCCUCCUCCUCUUCCCAAUACACCAUUUUCCCAAGUCAUUAAUCAAUUUCACUCACCUACUCCAUCUCUUUCUCUCACACUCCCUCACUUCAUUUUCUCUCUAUUCUCUCUUCCUCUCUCCCUCAACCACGAAAUUCUCCAGAAAAUGGGUCAGAGAGCACACCAUGAACUCUAAAUCUUAAUCAUCUUGAGGUGUUCUUAAAGGUAAACCCGAAAAUCAUUCAUUUUCCUUCUCUUUUCCUUCAAGUUUUACUUGUUUUUGAUGCAUUUUCUCCAUCUUGUACCCCAUUCUAUUGUAAAAUCAUGAACAUUUGCACCUACUCACGGUUUUCAUGAUGAUGAUUUCACCCAAAAACAAUAUGCAUGUUGUAAAUGGUGAAAUCCAAGGACCUAAACCUAAGUCAAAAUAAAGGAAAUGCACUUUUCUACAUGUUUUGGUGGAAAAUCACCACAUGCAUCCAAAGUUUUCUUUCAAAAAUGAAUUUUAAACAUUUCAAACUCAUAAAUGAUCUUCAAACAAACAUGCAUGUGAUGAUCUUCAAGCUUAGAUGCUAGAUCAUCAAAGUAUGUUGUUAAAAGCUUUCAAAUAUAUUCAUGAAUGAUUUAUUUCCAAAUAAAUAUCUAAAACUCAUUUUCUGACCAAAUCUGAUUUUUCCCAGAUUCCCAUCAACAAAAUAAGAUGCUCUGUAAAUUUCCAGAAGAUAAUUCAUUUAUCUCGAAUUACUAUAAUUAAUGCAAGAAAAUAGGGAAAUAAAUCAUACAAAAUAUGUUUUGAGGUCUAUAAAUACUAGGAAACUUUGCAGAUGACCCCAAUUCUAAAUAAUGACUUCAAAUUAAAUUUCAUGGAUUUUUGUUACUGUUUAACAUGGUUUUGAAAUUUCUUUUUGUUUGGCUCCAAUAAAUCAUAAAACCACUUUAGAGAAGGUUAAAGGGCUGCCUAGCAAUUUUCACAGCUUCAUCCAUAUGUUAAAGAUUUAGAAAAAUAUUUUCAGAAAUUUUCAUUAUGCAUUCCUAUUUUUCCCCGAUUUUUGUAUUUAUAAUGGCCUAAAAACAGAAAAAAUAAUUCUGCUCAUCCAAAAAUUAUGAACAUUUACCAGAACACCUUGUAAUACAUUAGGAGAGUACAUAAAAGUUUUGAUGAUUUUUCUCUUCUUUAUACUAUUUUUCUCCUAUUUUCUAAGAUUAAAUACACUUAAAUACACAAAAACGAAUUUCAAUAUACAAAAACCACAUUUGGUCUUUUUCUCAGAUUAUUUACACAGUAAAUGAACUUUACAAAAAAUUUGGUAAUUUACUUUAACUGUUUAAUAAUUAUUCUCCAAUUAAUGAUUAUUUAAGAGGAUAAAACAAUGAAAAAUAGAAAGACUAAUUGAAAAAUACCUUUUAUAUUUUUUGCAGGUUCUACAUGUAUAAUAAAAGUGUUAUGAAAACUUUGGGAAAUUUUGGAAACUGUUUCCUAUUUAUUUCAAUUUUUAUUAUGAUAAAUGCUCAAAAAUCAUAAAAUUUGGUUAAACAGUUUAGAAAUCAAUUUUUAUAUUUUUCCCAGCUUAACAAUGUUUAAUAACACUAACAAAAAAAGUUUGGGUAAUUUUGAAAACUGAUUUCUAUGUUUCAUGAAUUUGUAUCUAUUUAGAGAAUUAAAUAUAUGAAAAAUGGUUAUGCAUACUCAUAAUCCAUAAAAAUUUAUCUAGAAGUCUUUUGAUACAUUUAGAACGAAAAUCUGAAGUUUGGUAAUUUUUAUUAACUGUUUAGUAUUUUUCAUGAUUUUACGGUUAUUCAAGAAACUAAAAUGGUGAAAAAUAGUUAGACAAAUCAAAAGGUCAAGAAAACUUAUCUUGAGGUCUUUAACUUCAUUAAAAAGCUGAAAUGCAAAGUUUGGGAAAUUUUAGAAUUAAAUUGAUUUAGCUUUUGAAUAUUAAAACAUUGGAACACCUCUUAAAAUGUUAAAUAUUAGCAUUUCAAUAAUGUGAAUUUUCCAAUUAAACUGUUAUAUAACAAUUGAUUCAUUGAAAUCAAAUUUUCACAAAAAAAUGUUUAUAACUUAUCAAUAUUAAAUUUUGACACACUAUUGGCAUAAUCCUAUUGUAGUAGUAAGUAUACUAGUGUUAGAUUUCGAUUAGAGACUCACUAGCGAAUACCAUUAUUGUAGGAAUCGAUAGUGGUACGAGUGGAGCGUAGAUCAAGACAUCAUUUGCAUCAUCUCAAUACAUUGUGAGUAUUCACGCACUCCCCUAUUUUCGGUUUUUAAAUGUUUUGGGGUGGAAAAGCAUGUCCUAAACUAUUUUUAUGUUCGUUGUAUUUAUUUUGACUUGUAUGAAACUUGGUUGCUAUAUUUCGUAUGUAUGUGUAUGUUACUUUAAUUCAUGAGGACUGUAUCGCGGUUAAGUCCCUGGAAUCUCUAGACACAACCCAUUAACUCUUUUGAGCCUAUGGUUAUUAUGGAUAGCGCUAUCAGGAGGUAGACAACUCCUCACUCGCACGAUUCUCUUGAGUGCAUUUUACCAUUUUAUACACUAUGUUUGCGAUACACAUAGUAGUCAAUAGGGCACGAUUAGGUCAUUAGGCUUGGGUUGUGAACUAAUGAAUGGAAACUUGAUGCACGUACUAUUCUUUAUGCACAUACGAAACUUGUAUUCCCAUGUUAGCAACGACACUUGUAUACUUAUGUUAGCAAUGAAACUUGAAUACUUAUUUUAGCAACGAAACUCGUUGCUCAUUAUAGCAAUAAACUCGUUUAUUAAUUGUAGCAAUCAACUUUGUUUCUCAUUAUAGCAAUAAACCUUGUAUCUCAUUAUAACAACGAACUUUUGUUACUAAAUACUUAUUUACUUGUUUUAGCAACCAACUUGGUUGCUUCUUAUAGUAACAAACUUGUUUGCUCCUUGUAGCAAUGAAACUUGAUUACUCAUUUUAGUAACAAACUUUAUUUCCCAUGAGGUUAUAAACGUUGCAUCCCUUUUGGGCAACAUACUUUAUUUCUCAUGAUGAGAACGAACUUUGUUUACACAAACUUAUUUACUCAUUUUAGCAAUAUCUUUUUAUCUAUGGAAACUUAUAUCAAAAUUUUGAUUUCGAUUCAUGAAACCAUAUUAUUUUUAAACUUGUGAGUACUCACCAACUAUUUUUAUAGCUGACGCUCGUUUUACAUGCUUUUUUAGGAAUCAUCGAGUAAGUGGCACUUAGGGACACUUCACUUUUAGGAGCAUUCGCAUGUGUUGUAUUUCAAUUUACAUUGUAAUUUCUUUUAAAAGUUGUUCAAACCCAUUGUAAAUUUGUAAUGAUUUUUAAUACUAUGGUUGGUGUUGUCUUUUAACUUUUGCUAUGAAACCCUUUAUACUGCCACGCCUCGUGACUUCGCUUUAGCGGGGUGUGACAAUCUUUUAGUCACAAAAUUAAUUUCCUAAUUAAUUCUUGACUAAUAUUAAUUAAACAAUAUGAUUUCUCCUUUAGUAUAUUAUUCAUAUAAUAUAUUAAUAAAUCAUAAUUAAUCUAUUUCUCCAUAAAUCAUCUGUCACACCCCGUAAACCAAGGCGGAAACAUUUCCGGGGCGGACGCCACGUUGAGUAUCAAAUCCAAUACACAUAGUAAGCAAAGUAAACAACCAUUACAUUACAUAUNGAACAAAAGCAAGACGUGUCUUCGACGCACUCCGUCUUCGUCAAAAGGAUCAUCGGGUACCUGUCUAAUGCGGACCUGAGAAUACAAGCAUUUUAGAAAUCAGCAUAAAGCCGGUGAGUUCAUAAGCGGUUUUGUUUUCUGAAAAUGUACGAGUUUCCUUUCGGUUUCUGAAAAGGUUACGACCCAAGAAAAUCCAAUAUUUUCUUUUAUGUAAAGUUUAGUUAUCUGUUAUGUUACACGGUUCUGGUUAUGUACAAUUGUUAUCCCAGGAAAAUCCCAUAUUUUCCUAAAAGUUGACUACCGAUCUGAAAUGUAAUGUGAAAGAUGUAUAUUAAAAACCUGGUCAUCCUUGUGAAAUGUAUGUUAGUUUACCAACCCGAGAUGUAAUGUAAAAGAUGUACACUGGAAAUGUAUUAGUUUUCACACGUAUAUAAAACUAACAACUACAAAGUAAACUAGUUACUAAAAUCCAUUAUUAUUAUAAAGUAAAUCUCUGUUAUCCAAAUUGCGAGUUCCAUAACCAUACGAUAGACUAAAUAUGGCAAUAAGUAGUCCAUCUCACUUUAUGACUUUCGUCACCCUUGAACCUUUCGGUUCGGCUGUAGCUAGCAGCCAGGUGCGGGGUAGUCAGCCCCGUAUAGAUCUAGACACUCAAGUCACGCUCCCUAUCUAAGAGAUUCUGGUUACAGGGGCGGUCCUCCACUCGUGUAUCUCUGUGGAGUGUUCUCCGAGGACGUGUCUCUAUUUUAUAGGAAUAACAAAUUUACUAGUAAUAAUACAGAAAGAUCAAAUGACGAACCUCCACUCGCGUAUCUCUGUGGAGUGUUACCGAGGACAAAACAGUAUUCUAAGUUUCAUAUUCAAAGUUCAAUGUUAUACUUUUAACUGUUAUGAUGUGGGAAAACCAUUUGUGAAAAUAUAAAAUACAACAAUUUAUAAUGUUUUUCACAAAUAAAAUGAUAGUGUGUUCUGCAAGUUCAACGGUUAUCUUUUAUGAUUGUCUGUGUUAAAAGCAUAUGUAAUAUGAAACAUAACACAAAUAAAACAAGUUUUAAGUACAAGUAUUCCUUGUACUUUGCUUGUAUUCCCCCUAAAAAUAGUGAAAAACAUUGAAAAAGGGUAGGGGUAUGAACUUACCAGACGAGAAAACGUGACGGUUUGGAUGCUAUGUGUCGGUUCGGGGCUUGAUAACGCGCGAGGUUCCUAUGUAAUAUGAAAUGGUAUUCAAAUGUAUCUAAUUAGACUUUAAAUCACUAAUUAGAUAUGAUUAUACACUCCAAUACGAGAAAACACUUCAAAUCAAGUGAUUGGAGUGACCCAAGUGACAUCUAUGGACGUAUAGGACUUUGGAUAAUGUGUUUAGGCUUCAAGAGUAAACUCCUUAGGGAGUUUAUGGCCCUAAGACUAUGAUCACAUGAGUUCACGGCCGUGAACUCAUGAAUGUGAGGUUUUAUGGUGUCAAAUGGUCAAAUAACACUUAGGAAGGGUUGAUAUGAUUUAAUCUAAGGCACAUGAAUGAGUUAAACCACCAAAGGGACCAUCAAAGGGAGUUUACUGCCGUAAGCUCCUAUAUACCCAUUCAUUUCAUGAUUUGGUGGCCCUAGAUUAAUCAUAUGUGAUUCAAACCAAUUUUACAAGCCUUAGAAUGAAAUUAGGGCAUCAUUUGGCUAGUGUAUAUGAGUUUACGGCCCAUGAACCCAUUCUAGGGGGGUUUACGGCCGUGAACUCUCAAAGGGGUGGUGUUCAUCAAGUUUAAGGCCCCUAAAUCGAUUGUGGUUGAUUUUAGAAUUUAAUCCAAGGCUAUUGGUGUGUUUAAGUGGCAUUUAAACACUCAAAUUGAGUUUACUCCCCAUGAAGGUGAUUUUACAGCCCAAGCAUGUUCUCGGAUAGUAAACUCAUGUUUACUCCCCAAAAAUUGGAUUAAAGGUGUUCUAAGUCCAGUCCAUUAAGCCAUUUAGCCAUAUCUAAGCUCUGAAGAUGGAUUAGAAGGGUUUUAAGGCUCAAAAACCCAUUAUAUGUGUGUUUACGGACCAAUCAUGUUCUAGGGCCGUAAACACAUGAAAAUGGUCAUAAAUCAUAGUUUGAACUCGGAUUUGGAAGCUAGAAAGGUUGUACAACAAGUUAGGAAGGUUACCUUGAUGAAAUGGAGAUUAAAUUUUAUGAUUUUGGACUUGAAACUUGGAUUGGAGGAGAGAGGUUAGAGAGAGAGUAGUGAGAGAGAGAAAAAGCUUCAAAUGGAAGCUUAAUCCACUUUAAAUAUGUUCCAAGUUCGGGACACUGUGGAAUUUUACCCGAUACCGAUGUUAGACGUGGCUUUUGGUCGCACCCGAUUAAGUUGCCGUAACCCGAUAUGGUCGAUUCUAAAAUGUUUCCGAUUACUAAUAUGGAGUGCUAAUAUGAGUUCUAAGCAUGUUUGGACACCCAUUAAGUCAUAAUGGAAAUCCCACAUUUAUGACUUAAUUUAAUGACAUAACGGAAAUGAAAUUGAAAGCGACGAAUAUAUUAACGAAAAGGGUUACAAUUGAUGGAACGAACUUUCGGAUUGUCACAUUAUCCCCCUGUUAGAGGGAAUUUCGUCCCGAAAUUCAGAAUUAAGACACAAAUCAUGGAUCUGGGAAGAGAUGCAGAUACUUUUGUUUAAUCGAGUCUUCACGCUCCCAAGUGAAUUCCGGUCCCCGCUUGGCAUUCCAGCGAACCUUCACUAUCGGGAUGCGACUUUGUUUCGUGCGUUUGAUAUCUCGAUCCAUGAUUUCGAUUGGUUCCUCCACGAAGUUCAAAUUUUCUUUGAUCUGGAUCUCAUCUAGAGGAAUCACGAGGGUUUCAUCGGAUAAACACUUCUUAAGAUUAGAGACGUGAAAGCCGGGGUGGAUGUUGCUAAGCUGGUGAGGUAAUUGAAGUUUAUAGGCUACCGGACCGAUCCUGGCGAGGAUCUUGAAGGGCCCAAUGUACCUCGGAUUAAGUUUCCCACGCUUUCCAAAGCGUACAAUGCCUUUCCAGGGCGAGACCUUCAACAGGACAUGGUCUCCAACCUGGAACUCUAGAGGUUUCCGUCGUAUAUCAGCGUAACUCAUUUGGCGAUCUCGUGAAGCUUUCAAUUGUUCCCGGAUUUGGAUAAUCUUUUCGGUGGUUUCGCGGAUGAUUUCAGGACCAGUGAGAGCACUAUCGCGAAAUCGACUCUUGGCUAGCUGCGUGUCCUCUACCUCGGUCCAUCAUACAGGGGAUACGCACUUGCGACCGUAGAGGGCCUCGAACGGAGCAACCUUGAUACUGAUGUGGUAACUAUUGUUGUACGAGAAUUUGAUCAAAGGCAAAUGUGUGUCCUACGACUUUCCGAAAUCGAUGACACAUGCUUUAAGCAUGUCUUCCAAGGUUUGGAUAGUUCUCUCACUCUGUCCGUCGGUCUGAGAGUGAUAAGCCGUGCUCAUGUCUAGUUUAGUUCCAAGAGCCUUCUGAAGAGACUGCCAAAAUCUGGAGGUAAACCUGCUAUCUCGAUCAGAGAUAAUGGACGCAGGUACACCGUGCAGUCGAACUACCUCCUGGAUGUAGAUCCGCGCAAGUCUUUCCAUCUUGAACAAUUCUUUAAUCGAGAUGAAGUGAGCGGACUUGGUUAAACGAUCGACAAUUACCCAAAUGGUAUCGUACCCACUCGGACAUUUGGGUAACUUGGUGAUGAAAUCCAUGGUAAUCAUUUCCCAUUUCCAUUCGGGUAUCUCGGGUUGUUGGAGCAGACCCGAGGGUUUCUGGUACUCAACUUUCAUUUUGGCGCAAGUCAAGCACUUGCCCACGAAUGUAGCGAUUUCGGCUUUCAUGUUUGGCCACCGGUAUUGUUUCUUGAGAUCCAAGUACAUCUUGUCUGAACCUGGGUGAACAGAGUAUCUGGUCUUGUGUGCUUCCUCCAUGAAAACUUCCCUAAAUCCUCCGAACUUUGGGGUCCAAAUUCGGUCUAUGAAACAGUAGACUCCAUCAUCUCUGAUCUCAAGUUUCUUAUCCAUUCCCCUCAAGGCUUCGCUUGAUAUGUUCUCGGGUUUGAGGGCUUCUAUCUGGGUGUCUCGGAUUUGCAUGGAUAAAUGGGAAUGAAUAGUCAUUGUCAGUGUCCUUACUUUAUGGCUUGAACUUUCCUUUAGGCUAAGGGCAUCUGCUACCACGUUGGCCUUGCCGGGAUGGUAGCGAAUCUCGCACUCAUAAUCGCUGAGCAGCUCUACCCAUCGCCGUUGCCUCAUGUUUAAGUCUUUCUGGUUGAGGAUGUGCUGCAGGCUCUUAUGGUCAUUGAAGAUCGUACACUUGGUUCCGUAGAGAUAAUGUCUCCAAAUCUUUAGUGCAAAGACUACGGCUCCGAACUCCAAGUCGUGUGUGGUGUAGUUGACCUCGUGUGCCUUCACCUGUCUUGAGGCAUAAGCAAUUACUUUUCCUCUUUGCAUAAGCACACAGCCUAAGCCCUGAUUAGACGCAUCGCAAUAGACAACGAAGUCUUCUGUCCCUUCGGGUAGGGACAGAACUGGCGUGCUGCACAAGGCUUGCUUUAAUGUUUGAAACGCUGUUUCUUGCUUUUCACUCCAACAAAAGGGUACACUUUUCUGUGUUAGAGUGGUUAGGGGUUUGGCGAUUUUUGAAAAGUUUCUGGAUCAAUCUUCGAUAAUAGCCGGCGAGACCCAAGAAUUGACGGAUUUCUGUUCGUGUUUUCGGUGCCGACCAAUUCUCUAUCGCUUUAAUCUUAGAAGGAUCCACAUGAAUACCCUCCUCGCUUACCACGUGACCGAGGAAAGUCACCUUCCAAAUCCAGAAUUCACACUUGGAAAAUUUCACGUACAACUUCUCGGAUCUAAGGGUUUCCAAUACUAAUCUCAAGUGUUGUUUGUAAUCUUCUUUGCUUCUGGAGUAGACAAGGAUGUCAUCAAUGAACACGAUGACGAAUUUGUCUAAGAAGGGACGACUCACCCGGUUCAUCAGGUCCAUGAACACUGCCGGUGCGUUAGUUAGACCGAAGGGCAUCACUACGAACUCGUAGUGUCCAUAUCGAGUCCUGAAAGUUGUUUUGGAAACAUCACUCUCAUGAACUCAUAGCUGAUGGUACCCUGAACUAAGGUCUAUCUUUGAGAAAUAGCUGGCUCCUUGGAGUUGAUCAAAGAGGUCAUCUAUUCGCGGAAGAGGAUAUCAGUUUUUUUCGGUCAACUUGUUCAGCUCACGGUAGUCGAUACACAUCUGGAAGGAUCCAUCUUUCUUCUUUACAAAUAAAACCGGAGCUCCCCAGGGUGAGGAACUUGGUCUGAUGAACCCUUUGCUGAGUAAUUCAUUGAGUUGGCUAGAUAACUCCUGCAUUUCUGCUGGAGCUAAACGAUAUGGAGACUUGGCUAUGGGGGUAGCUCCAGGAAUUAGGUCAAUGCGAAAUUCGACCUGGCAUUCAGGAGGAAUUCCUGGGAGCUCUUCCGGAAAGACAUCAGGAAAGUUACAUACUUCGUGGAUGCUCGCGAGGUCUUUAAUUUCCUGUUUCUCGUUGAUUACAUGGGUUAGGAAUGCUUGACAUUCCUUUUGCAAGAGUUUCUGAGUUUUGAUGCAGGAAAUGAUGCGAAGGUUGGAGAAGAGUUUAUCGGCAUAGAUCAUGAGAGUUUGACCUGCUGGAAGAUUGAGACGGAUGACUUUUUCAUAGCAAAGGAUAUCAGCAUGAUUGGGACUCAACCAAUCCAUGCCAAUGAUAACAUCAAAUCUCUUUAUAGAGACUGGAAUAAGAUCAAUGGGAAACGAAUAACCGUUCAAGGUAAGGGUACAACCUAUGAAUAUAUCGCGAGCGCUUUCUUUCUCACCAUUAGACAUGUCGACGGUAAACGUUUCGGUUAAUGGUUGAGGAUUAGGUUUUAGAUUAUGUUUGAACUAAUGACUAACAAAACUACGUUCAAAACCCGAAUCGAAAAUAAUGCUAGCACAAGAGUUGUCGAGAAGGAACGUACCCGAAAGAAUGGUGGGAUCGGCGACUGCCUCUUCCCGUCCCAUGGCUAGGACUCUUCCGGUAUUAUCAACUGUCACCUUCUUGGGGCAGUUUCUCUUGAAAUGCCCAACUUCUCCAUAAUUAUAGCAGGCUUGACCAACACCAGCUCUAGAAGAUUGAUUUGCGGAUUGGGCUGGUGCCUUGCAGAAUCGGACCGUAUGACCCUUUUUGCCACAGUUGGUGCAUGAAAGAUCAUGGAAGGGGGCCGGGGUUAUGGUGGUAUUUGCACUUUUCACACUGGGGAAGGUUACCAGCAUACCUACUAGUAGGUGUUUGAGCUGUAGAUCCCACAACAGAAGCAGCAGCAAUAGGGGUAGUAGCAGCGUGGACUGCUACUGUCUGCUAUUUCUUUGAGGAUCCUUGAGAAGAUUGACCUUUCUUCUUCUUCCAGAACUUUCUUUUCUCACCACUCCUCUUGGUCGUUUUAGGAGUGGUGGUUGUUUCCUCAACCUCAUCACUGUGAUCUGGGCUAAGCUUUUGGCACUAUCAUAUGUAUCCGGCCUCGCAGAUAAGACAUUUCCUUUAGUUGGUUGUGUCAACCCCCAAAUAAAUCUCUCUAUCUUCUUACUCUCCGGGGUAACCAUUCCUGGACAGAGUAGUGCUAGGUCAUCAAACCUUGAGGUGUAUGCGGCAAUAUCGGAACCCUUCAUCUUCAGGUUCUAGAGCUCGUGCUCUAACAUCUGUAUUUCGCCUCGAGGGUAGUACUCAACUAGAAGAAGUUCUUUCAUGGCUUCCCAACCAUAUAAUUGGCUACAGGUAGAGUCAAGGAUUUGACUCGUCCGUUCCACUAAGUCAGGGCUUUGUCGAUGAAGGUACAGGCUGAGAACUUUACUUUGUCAGAUUCCGAACAGGCACAUAUUUCAAAAAUGGAUUCGAUUUUCUCGAACCAUCGGGUGAGGGAAAUGACACCUCCAGUGCCAUCAAAGGACGUGGGUUUCGCGUUCAUGAAAUCUUUAUAGGAACCCUCUUUUCGGUGUCCCUGGCUAUCUUCUGGGUUUUGGGGCUGGGGACCACCUCCUGAACUACUGGGGUUCAUUUGUGACAUGGCGGCUAUCACUGCGGCAGUAAUAGCUGUCUGAAGCGUUACAAGAUCAAUUUGAGGAGAAGGUGGUGGUGGAGGGUUGUUGGUCUUUGAGCUGGGUCUCUUUCUUGGAAGCAUCUUGAUCUAGUAAGAUCAGGAAAGAGAGGAUGAUAAGUCCUCUGAAUUAAAUCAAGAGAUAUGACAUUUAUAUAUAUUCUGUAUAAGCGAUAAAGCAGGAAGGAGUUAUCAAAAUAGAUAAAUUAUUGCUAAAAGAAUGAUUAGGGAACAACGCUUGAAUGAGGAUUUCUACAAAGGAUUGGCUCGAGAAAUACUCCUAUAGUAUUUCAUGAUUCGCUACGACCAUGGUUCAAUGUUUGGGGUAUUAGGGUAAGUUUUAGGCAUGCUGAACACCACAGUCACUCCCAAGCACAUGUUGGCCAUGUCUCGAAUGAAUAUAGUUGGCCAGGCUAUAUUGAUCCUAGACACGACUACAUAACUAUCCAGGUUUAACCGCAGCAUACAACACCCAUUUACUUACGUUUCGUUCUACUUGUAGUUACGAAUCUCGACAGUUAGGUAUACUUGUAUACUUUUGAAAAUACUUAUACUUUGAAGUAUACUUUUACUUUAGAGCACUUAGGCCCCUUAGUGUUUAUGGUUUUAUACCAUGUAAGGUUUGGUAUACUUUAUUCACUAUUAACAAGGGCUCUGAUACCAAUCUGUCACACCUCGUAAACCAAGGCGGAAACAUUUCCGGGGCGGACUCCACGUUGAGUAUCAAAUCCAAUACACAUAGUAAGCAAAGUAAACAACCAUUACAUUACAUAUGAAAAUUUACAUUUGUUCAAAAGUAAAGUUGUACAAGUGUGAUACAUAUGUAUAUAUAUAUAUAUAUANUUAUAUAUAUAUAUAUAUAUAUAUAUAUGAACAAAAGCAAGACGUGUCUUCGACGCACUCCAUCUUCGUCAAAAGGAUCAUCGGGUACCUGUCUAAUGCGCGGACCUGAGAAUACAAGCAUUUUAAAAAUCAGCAUAAAGUUGGUGAGUUCAUAAGCGAUUUUGUUUUCUGAAAAUGUAUGAGUUUCCUUUCGGUUUCUGAAAAAGUUACGACCCAAGAAAAUUCCAUAUUUUCUUUUAUCUAAAGUUUAGUUAUCUGUUACGUUACAUGGCUCUGCUUAUGUACAAUUGUUAUCCCAAGAAAAUCCCAUAUUUUCCUAAAAGUUGACUACCGAUCUGAAAUGUAAUGUGAAAGAUGUAUACUGAAAACCUAGUUAUCAUUGUGAAAUGUAUGUUAGUUUACCAACCCGAGAUGUAAUAUAAAAGAUGUACACUGGAAAUGUAUUAGUUUUAACACGUAUAUAAAACUAACAACUACAAAGUAAACUAGUUACUAAAAUCCAUUAUUACUAAAAAGUAAAUCUCUGUUAUCCAAAUUGCGAGUUCCAUAACCAUACGAUAGACUAAAUAUGGCAAUAAGUAGUCCAUCUCACUUUAUGACUUUCGUCACCCUAGAACCUUUCGGUUCGGCUGUAGCUAGCAGCCAGGUGCGGGGGAGUCAACCCCGUAUAGAUAUACACUUNCUAUCUAAGAGAUUAUGGUUACAGGGGCGGUCCUCCACUCACGUAUCUCUGUGGAUUGUUCUCUGAGGACGUGUCUCCAAUUUAUAGGAAUAACAAAUUUACUUGUAAUAAUACAGAAAGAUCAAAUGACGAUCCUCCACUCGCGUAUCUCUGUGGAGUGUUACCGAGGACAAAACAAUAUUCGAAGUUUCAUAUUCAAAGUUCAAUGUUAUACUUUUAACUGUUAUGAUGUAGGAAAACCAUUUGUGAAAAUAUAAAAUACAACAAUUUAUAAUGUUUUUCACAAAUAAAAUGAUAGUGUGUUCUGCAAGUUCAAUGAUUAUCUUUUAUGAUUGUCAGUGUUAAAAGCAUAUGUAAUAUGAAACAUAACACUAAUAAAACAAGUUUUGAGUACAAGUAUUCCUUGUACUUUGCUUGUAUUCCCCCUGAAAACAGUUAAAUGUAUUGAAAAAAGGUAGGGGUAUGAACUCACCAGACGAGAAAACGUGACGGUUUGGAUGCUAUGUGUCAGUUCGGGGAUUGAUAACACGCGAGGUUCCUAUGUAAUAUGAAAUGGUAUUCAAAUGUAUCUAAUUAGACUUUAAAUCACUAAUUAGAGAUGAUUAUACACUCCAAUACGAGAACACACUUCAUAUCAAGUGUUUGGAGUGACCCGGGUGACAUCUAUGGACAUAUAUGACUUUGGAUAAUGUGCUUACUCUUCAAGAGUAAACUCCUUAGGGAGUUUACGGCCCUAAUACUAUGACCACAUGAGUUCACGUCCGUGAACUCAUGAAUGUGAGGUUUUAUGGUGUCAAAUGGUCAAAUAACACUUGGGAAGGGUUGUUAUGAUUUAAUCUAAGGCAUAGGAAUAAGUUAAACCACCAAAGGGACCAUCAGAGGGAGUUUACGACCCUAAACUAGGAUUUUACGGUCGUAAGCUCCUAUAUACUCAUUCCUUUCAUGAUUUGGUGGCCCUAGAUUAAUCAUAUUUGAUUCAAACGAAUUUUACAAGCCUUAAAGUGAAUUUAGUGCAUCAUUUGGCUAGUGUAUAUGAGUUUACGGCCCAUGAACCCAUUCUAGGGGGGUUUACGGCCGCGAACUCUCAAAGGGGUGGUGUUCAUCAAGUUUAAGGCCCCUAAAUCGAUUGUGGUUGAUUCUAGAAUUUAAUCCAAGGCUAUUGGUGUGUUUAAGUGGCAUUUAAACACUCAAAAUUGAGUUUACUCCCCAUGAAGGUGAUUUUAUGGCCCAAGCAUGUUCUUGGGCAGUAAAAUCAUGUUUACUCCCCAAAAAUUGGAUUAAAGGUGUUCUAAGUCCACUCCAUUAAGCCAUUUAGCCAUAUCUAAGCUCUGAAGAUGGAUUAGAAGGGUUUUAAGGCUCAAAAACCCAUUAUAUAUGUGUGUACGGCCCAAUCAUGUUCUAGGGAUGUAAACACAUGAAACUAGUCAUAAAUCAUAGUUUGAACUCGGAUUUGGAAGCUAGAAAGGUUGUACAACAAGUUAGGAAGGUUACCUUGAUGAAAUGGAGCUUAAAUUUGAUGAUUUUGGACAUGAAACUUGGAUUGGAGGAGAAAGGUUAGAGAGAGAGAGUAGUGAGAGAGAGAGAAAAAGAUUCAAAUGGAAGCUUAAUCCACUUUAAAUAUGUUCCAAGUUCGGGACACAGUGGAAUUCUACCCGAUACCGACGUUAGACGUGGCUUUUGGUCGCACCCGAUUAAGUUGUCGUAACCCGAUAUGGUCGAUUCUAAAAUGUUUCUGAUUACUAAUAUGGAGUGUUAAUAUGAGUUCUAAGCACGUUUUGACACCCAUUAAUUCAUAAUAGAAAUCCCAUAUUUAUGACUUAAUUUAAUGACGUAAUGGAAACGAAAUUGAAAGUGACGAAUAUAUUAACGAAAAGGGUUACAAUUGAUGGAACGAACUUUCGGGUUGUCACAUCAUCCUAUCAAGUUGGUUUGGUGAACGCAACCCAAAAGGACCAUGCUUGCAAUCGGGUCAAGUACAUACCAAAAUAGUUAUGGACUUAGACACUAAUCCAACAACUAGUUUCAACAUCCCCCUUCUUGCUCCUUGCUUGGUAUCCCUUUCUUCUCCUCAAUUGAUAUACUAAAAAUCUCAAGAUUAGAUUAUCUUUCACUCUCUAGCUCAAGUGGACGAUUAGGGUUUCGCUCAAAGAUGUUGGGCAACUGGUGAGGCACAAAUGUGGGUAUAAGUUCUCUUAAAUAGGCCCCAACCCCAGAGAUUUAGGGUUUCAUCCCACAACACCAACUCGGCGAGUCGGGUCUCCGACUCUUCGAGUCAGUUCAUUAACCCACGUGGCCAACUCGACUCUACUCGACGAGUUGGGGAACUAACUCGUCGAGUCACCCAGUCAACUCAUAACUAACAUAUAAAAAUGAUGUACCUCAGAGUCAGGAUGUUACAUUUAUUAUUUCACUCAAGAAUGACUAAGUCAAAACUUAAUCAACCAUAACCUUAAGUUAUUAAGUCCUUAGUGGGUUAAGUGUUCUUACUUAACCCUAAUCGUCAUUUUAUGUGAAACCCUAAUCGUCAUUUCAUGUGAGAUGGUCAUUGUUGCAAGUGACUAGGACUUGUGAUCGAGUAUUGACUCAAGUAUCUUCCUGUAGGUGUUUGGAAGUGAGUUGAAGUUGGUAGAGACUUUCGUUGUUAUAGUGGUUAUCUACGCGCAUAUUGAGGUGAGUUUUGCCUCACUGCACCCAUUGGUGGAAGGCACCAAUGACGGCCCACUAGUUUUGGUUAUGUGUUAGUAGAGAGAUACCCUAGGGACUAUAUAUAGUCAAAUAGGAUAGACUAAUGACUCUUGAUCUAAGCUCACUUUCGUGUUCCUUGUUUAGUUGUGGUUCUAGAGCAGGAGCACAUGUCCGGGUGACUAUCUCAGCUCUGAAUAUAUACGGCCAUGCAUUCUUUGGAUUGUUGAUAUUUAGUAUGCUGCUAUGCUGUAGUGAACUCCUAGAUUUGCGUUCUGGUUUUGAGUUUUGUUAGAUGCCAUUUUAUGUAUCUUUUAGUGUAGUUUUCAUUAUCAUUUAGGAUCAUAUUUUGUACAUAUGCAUGUCGUUUAUUUAAAUAAUGUUCAACUCAUGUCUUUCGUUAGAACUCCCGUACUGCUCAUGUUUUUAUGUCAAUUUUGGAUAGUUCGAGUGGAGCUGUGCUUUGGCAGCAGUUGGAUGCGUGUUUGGAGUUUAAAAUGGAUUUGGAACUAAAGGAGUAUGUUGAGGAAUGCUUGGAAGAUGUUUUGGUCAAGAAACAUUUGAUUGAAUUUGAUCACACGAAGAUAGAAUCUACAAUAUGAAGUUAAAGGAUGUUGCUGGCAGGUUUGACCCCUUGUCAGUAUUUCGACCAUAUCUCAUGAAUCGUAACUCCGAUUGAUGCAAAUCAAAGAGAUAUGAAAAGUAGACGAAAUUCCGAACGUCUUAGGCAAAACAUGCGAUCGCAACAUAGAUACAUGCGAUCGCAUGGAGCCUUUAUGCUAUCGUAACUUUGGUCGCAACUUGUCUUCGAGGGUUUUUUAGUGCCAAAAAUUCAUCCAAGAGUAAAAACUUAUAACAUGUGAUCGCAACUUUGCCAAAAAGUGUCUAAAUAGCUUCCUGCUUCAUUAAAAAAGCCUGUGACACUACUAGAAAAACAGCCUUUUACGACGCUCAUUGCGCGUCGUAAAAGGCUCAGACGACGCGCAAAUGCGCGUCAAGGAAGGCCCUGUCAUAAAGAGAGACAACGCGCUUUUGCACGUCGUCUAUAGAUGACGCGCAUUUACGACGCGCAGUUACGAUGUGCGCUUACGACACGCAAUGCGUAUCAAGGAAGGCCCUGUCAUAAAGGAAGACGACACGCAUUCGCGUAUCGUUACCUUACGACACGCGUGUUAAUGACAUGCAAUGCGUAUCAAGAAAGCCACUGUCAAGAAAGGCCAUGUCAUAAACGAAGAUGAAAAACAUUUUUGCGUAUCAUAAUUUUAAAUGUUUAAAAAAAAAUUAUUUAUAGAUUUACUUAUUUUCAAAUUAAAUUUAUAUUUAAUGUUUCAUAGUAGAAAAUAAAAUAUCAUAUACAAAAAAUAGAAUCCAUUGCAUAAAUUUAAUGUCAUACAAUUCUAUUUCUUACAAUAAUAAAUUUGCAUCUAAUCUACUAUGUACAUCGAAUUCCAACUAACUAAAGUUGCAUCUUGCCUUUCAUAAUUCUGUAAGACUAAUGCUCCAAGCAGCUGAUUAUAUGACUUAGCAAAAUUCAACUCCAAGUCUUUACUGCAUCUUGCUGAUAAUGCUGCAAGAUUUAAAUAAAAUUCAACUCCAAGUCUUUACUCAAUAAUCAAAAUCCCAAGAGCAACAUCCAUUGUAGAGGCAAGUUCAUUUUCAAAACAAAACAUAGUAUUUAUAAUGAUAAGGAUGUGGAGGGUACACUAUAAAAACUCAGACAUGGCUAUAAUGUAGAUAACAAGGAUAGAUAUAUAUACCUUAAACAAAUUAGCUUCCAGAUCAGAUUAAGAGCUGCAAAAAAACUAAUAUAUGUUAAGGUAGUAUUUGGAGGAUGUAAUAUGAUGGCAUACAUGUUCAGAAGGCUAUUAUCUAUGAGCUUGACCAACACCAAGGGCAUUAUUGGUAGAAAUAAUGUUACUAUUUGUAGGGUUGAUAGGGAUAAUGUCUCCUCACUUUGUUCAUGUACUGAAGCUCCCUGUUGAAUAUAUUAUAUUUUUCUAUGCAUAUGGGAACUUGGGGAGGCGUCCUAUGGGGAUAGAUUUGUCAUUAGACAUACCGGUGACUGAACUGAAGGUGAAGACAAAAGCAUUUUCAUGAAAUUUUUUGUUCAUAUGAAUUCCUUCUACAUAGGGCAAUUAAGCCAACUAACUUGACUAAGUUGACAUGGUUUCUAAUUGAAACUAGUUUCUAGAUGAUGAAUGGAAUAUAAAUUCAAGUAGUGUUUUGAAGUUUGAACAACAGAUAUGUUGUUACCUUAACGAGUCCAGGUGGAAUUACUAACCAUCAACACCAAUAGGCCAAUGCGGAGCCUUAGCUGCAACAUCGAGGCAUUGCAGAAUUGCUUGCUCUGCCUUGAUUAUAGAUAUUGAAAACGCUACACCACAGCACAACACAAAGAUAUUAACCACUUUUUUUGCAUCAGAAAACAAAAUGAACUUAACAAACCUCCCAUAUCGGUUAUGGUUCAUAUGAGGUGAGAUAUCGCUUAAUCGCUUAACCCGCAAAAAAUCCAUGUCACAAAAUAUAAAAAAAAAAAAUAAAGAAAAAAAAUAGAAGAUAUCUUCCCUAAAACAACCAAUUCUGCAAAUAUCCAAUAACAAUGGUAGAACCAAUGGUGAUNNNNNNNNNNNNNNNNNNNNNNNNNNNNNNNNNNNNNNNNNNNNNNNNNNNNNNNNNNNNNNNNNNNNNNNNNNNNNNNNNNNNNNNNNNNNNNNNNNNNNNNNNNNNNNNNNNNNNNNNNNNNNNNNNNNNNNNNNNNNNNNNNNNNNNNNNNNNNNNNNNNNNNNNNNNNNNNNNNNNNNNNNNNNNNNNNNNNNNNNNNNNNNNNNNNNNNNNNNNNNNNNNNNNNNNNNNNNNNNNNNNNNNNNNNNNNNNNNNNNNNNNNNNNNNNNNNNNNNNNNNNNNNNNNNNNNNNNNNNNNNNNNNNNNNNNNNNNNNNNNNNNNNNNNNNNNNNNNNNNNNNNNNNNNNNNNNNNNNNNNNNNNNNNNNNNNNNNNNNNNNNNNNNNNNNNNNNNNNNNNNNNNNNNNNNNNNNNNNNNNNNNNNNNNNNNNNNNNNNNNNNNNNNNNNNNNNNNNNNNNNNNNNNNNNNNNNNNNNNNNNNNNNNNNNNNNNNNNNNNNNNNNNNNNNNNNNNNNNNNNNNNNNNNNNNNNNNNNNNNNNNNNNNNNNNNNNNNNNNNNNNNNNNNNNNNNNNNNNNNNNNNNNNNNNNNNNNNNNNNNNNNNNNNNNNNNNNNNNNNNNNNNNNNNNNNNNNNNNNNNNNNNNNNNNNNNNNNNNNNNNNNNNNNNNNNNNNNNNNNNNNNNNNNNNNNNNNNNNNNNNNNNNNNNNNNNNNNNNNNNNNUUUUACACAAACUGAGGUUCUUAUAUGCCCAUAUCCUGUCAACAGAAGUCAUGUAUUUUUGAAUUAGUUAUGAAAAAUAAAAGGUCAGUAAAACGCAAAUAAAGUUACCUUGAUAGGAUUAAGUUUUGGAAGACCUUGAGGAAAAUGUUUUUGAAGCUCAGGAUUUAAAAUUUGAAAAACCUUACCAGUCUUGAUAUUGCAAAUAAUGGUAUUUCAGAUACUAUUCCUCUCGAGUUUUGGGGCUCGUGGCCUUCCCGGUUAACAUUCCUGAAUCUUUCUUCCAACAACAUAAAGUGGGAAAGUACCAGAUCUGUCAUCAAUAUUUCACAACAAUUCAGUGAUAGAUUUAAGCUCCAACAGCUUUGAUGGUCUAAUAACUAAUGUCUCUUCCACUGUGGCUUUACUAAAUCUUUCUAGAAACAAAUUUUCUGGAGGAAUCUCCUUUUUAUGUGAGGUUAUCCAUGGCUUUUUAGUUAUACUUGACCUCUCUCAUAACUAUCUAAGCGGACAAAUUCCAGACUGUUUGUGGCAUUUCAAAGAACUAAAAGUUCUUAAUUUAGAACACAAUAAUCUGUCUGGAAGGCUUCCUGCUUCUGUUGGAUCUAUGAUUAAGCUCGAGGCAUUGGAUUUAUACAAGAAUGAUUUCUCCGAAUCUGUCCCAGCUUCUGGAAGGCCCGACUUUUUCACCACAUUUACAACCACCCCCACCCCCAAUCUGUCCCAGCUUCUCGAACCUUAACCUGAAAAAAAAAAGACGAAUAUAACCUUAUCAUUUUCUCAAGUAUUUGACACUGCCCCAAGUACAAUCUCAAUUUUAUGAAUAAGUUGAUGAACAAACACUUAACUGAGCUCAAACAGUUCUUCAUGAUCAUGGGAUCCAUGAUGACCUCCCUCCACUAAUGACUCAUCUGUCCCUUCAAGUGCCACAUAGGAAUCACCUUUGUGUGCCUGGAACAUUAAAUAAAAUAUAUAAUAUGGUCUUUAAAUAUUAAUCAAAAAAUAUAAACAUGAUUAAAACAAUAAAAAGAACAUGACAUACUCUGUUAUGAUGUGCCUUUAAACUGAAAGGCUUGGGUAGCAGCAUCCAUGGGACAACAAUUAAGGAUAGAAGUAGUAGCAUAAGCUGUCAUUGCCAUUGCCAAUCAUAUCAUUUCUAUUAGUUGUCACCUUCAGUAAACUUUAGAUGAAUACAGUUUAUUUUUAUAAAAAAAUAACAUUUUUUGCUUUAUUCAUUAACUUAAUUUACUUAGUUUUCUAGGAUACAUGACUGUCUUUCAGCGGUGAUGAGUGAUGACCUAAACUCUUUGCUAUUCAGUGUUUUCAUUUUUUAUAUUACUUUCAAGUUAUGAUAUGUAAUUACUUUUGCACCAAACUUAGUAUAUACUCAUAUGCACUCGUCAUUAGCCCAACAUUGCAACAUGCAUCUCAUGAUUUCUUUUAUGUUGGAUCACAUUGAAAAGAACAGAAAUAAAUAUUCUUAGCUAAAGAUUACUUUAUAAUAAAAUCCAAUAACACAAGUGAAGGAAUGUAGUGGUGAACAAAGAAGUAUGAGUUGAAAGUUUGGAAAUGGAAGUUAACCUCUACUGUUCUUUUAGCUAAAUCAAAUUCAUUUUUCAAAUUCUCAACAUUUGUACGCUUGACAACUAGCAUCUUAAUCACACAUCUAGUAUUAUAAAUAGAAAAUCGUUAUUAAAAGAUGGAUAUGAUAAAUAAAAUAUUAGAAAGAGGUUAAAAGCUAUCUCCAUAUUAGGUGAACAUGAAAGGUAUGUUCAAGCACAUUUGGCAGCCAUCUACCAAAUGAGUAAGCAUCAAAAUUAAAAAAGAAGAAAAAACUCAACUGUGAAAAGGAGACAGACCCAUGACAACUCUAAGAUUCUUUUGAGCAUUUAUACAAACACAUUGUGUGCAUAUCCAUGUUCCACAUAAUCAUAUAAAAAGUUUACACUAACAUCGGUCCAUGUGGUUAGAAAUUAAUGAAUUACAAUCCACAUACAAAAAAUUAAUUUUUCCGUUUCAGUUGAUGGAUGAAUCUCACUGACACUCAAAAAUUGCUUUGAUAACAAAAUUUAUGAAAACAUGAACCUGUAAAAAGAUGUAUCGAUGAAAGAGAUGAGAAUAACACCUCAAAAUUUGGUACAGUUCACACAAGUCAGCCAGCAAGUGAUUAUAAAAAUUGAUUUUAGGGAUGCCAUUCAUCAAAAUACUUGCUCUAUAAAUGAAAAAACCCUAAUAUCAGAGAGAGAGAGAGAGAGAGAGAGAGAGAGAGAGAUCACGAAGAAUCAAAACAGGACCUGAAUGUUCAAGUUGUUAGCUCAACCCGUCUUUUUCCAUCCUCGUCCCAGUUUAGAGAGAUGUGCUUGAAAUUUCACAAGAAUAUAGGGUUAGAAAACCUUGGACGACCUAAUUCGAUUGUGGACUUGAUUUUUUUUUCUAAUAGAAUCGCACAAUAGGGAUGUGAAUGAGUAUCUGGUGGAAGCUCUCCAAUCUUCGUUCCCUUAAUUUUAUCGUCAUCUUUGUGUGCGUGAAGAUCUGAAAAAAGAAAAGUAGAAAGAAGGAGAACAAGGCGGGGUUUUCGAAUUUUCAGGGAUUUCAUUUCCAUCUUAGCUAUUAAAGGUCGGAAAACGCAUGUUUCAUCGAUUUUUGCAUCUAGGUUAGAACGAAGAAGGAAGUGUGGGGAGCAAAAAACCCUAAAAAAAGGGGGUGAACGAAUUAACUGGAGAUCGAUUAACAUCUAGAAAGAGAUCAUUAGCUAAUAAAACCAAUGAAGCCUUGUUAUACGAUGAACUUGGAAUGAUUGAAAUAGAAGAGGGUAGUGAUGCAUAAAAGAAAAUCCCCAAAUUUAAUAGUAAAUAUGCAUCCAAUCAGACGAACUGAUACAUUAUCGGAAUCAUCUCUAUCUCUCUCUCUCUCUCUCUCUCCCAUUUGUUGUGGUUAAUGGGAGAGAGAGAGAAAGAGAGAGAGAGAGAUUUGUUAUAGAUAGGGCGGAGGUGGUGAAUGAGAUGUUUGGUGAUACUGAUAAGAAGGAGAUCGAGUAGAGAUCCGAUGAACGAGAUGUUUGAUGAUACUGAAGAUGAAGAUGAAGGACCUAGGGCUUUUUCUUGCUAAGUAGAAGAGGUGGGGGGAUUAAUUUUGGGAUUCAAUAGGUGGGGGGAUUAAUUUUGGGAUUCGAUAGGCGGGGGUAAUUUUCGUCGAUUUCAUUUCCCGCCUAAAACGUGUGUUUCACUUAAAAUUAUAAAGCGACACAUUCACAUGACGCACAUUUUAUGAAAGGUGCCCUCCGCAUUUCUUUUUUUAUCUUUUUUGACACUAAUUUUAGGGUGUGCAAAAAUGCGUGCCCUCUAUCCUUCAAAUUUUGCAAAACUGACAUUAUCUUUUAGGGCACUUACAAAUGCGCAUCGUCUAUCAGCAAGUGUCAUUGUUUGCGCGUCAUUAAAGGGCUAUUUUCUUGUAGUGUGAUGCGAUUAUUUUCAAACCUGGGAUCGCAACCUCAAUACAUGCGAUCACAGGUUAUCCGUUUCUUGUUCCGGAAGCUUCCAACAUGAGUAUAAAUACACCCUCAUUGUAACACCUAGUUCUUGUUUAACUAUUUCGAAAUAGGCUCUUUUUGAUGUGAAGAAUUAUUUAUAUAAUUCGAGAUUAACUAUUCAGAUAUGAUGAAUACAAUUAAUAAUUUUAAGGCAUUAUAAAGACGUAGUGAGGAGACGAAUUAAUCUUAUUAAAUAAUGAGAUAUAUUAAACAUAUUAUUAAGGUUUAAUGGUUAAUAAUAAUAUUAUUAAUAAUGAUAAUCGAAAUAAAUUAAUUAAGGAUAUUUAAGUCUAUGGAUCAAUCUGUAAUUUAAGAAAACUUAUACUGAAGAGAAAUGAAGGAUUAGGGGUGUAAUUUGUGCAUGACUGAAAAUUAAGGGAUUAAUCAUGCUGUUUCUGGAAACUUGGCCAUAUGUUGCCUCAUUUCCCGACAAUGUACAGGAGCCCUUCUUCCCCCAUUUUGUUUAUAUAUGCCUCAGGUCCUCCAUAAAAGAAGAAAACCUACAAUGAUUCACGAAAAAGGAUACCGGUUAUUGUCCAUGAAAACACUCCCCUCUGUCAUUUCAUACUGGAACCAAAUAGAGAAAGAAGGUGGAUGCAAUUAGAAGAGAUAGACGUUGGAGAGGAUUAAGUUAUGGAUCUUUAGCUAUUUUUGCAUCAUUUCCAGUUCGAGUGGGAGGGAAGGGGUUCAAUCAAUUGUAGGAGGUUGAGAAAGCUAACGUCAAUGCUCCCAACUUUAUCUUCGUCCAUUUGAUUCAAGAAGAUUGUAUUUUCCCAGUGAAGCUUAUAAGUUGUUUUCAGUUUGUUACUCUCCGACAAGUUCGUGAGUGAGGUUUUUCGGCGAAACCUCAGUUGGUUUCCGCACGCAAGGAAGCGACAUUGAGGCCUCUGUGUUUUUGCUUUAGCUAAGAUAGUCAGGUCGGAGACUAAUAUGAAACUCUAUUCUCAGUUGUUGCUUCUCUAACGUAGUUGGGGUAUACUUCCAAUGAUAUUAAGCAUGUGCGUCUGUCACACCCCAAAACCAUUAACGGCGGAAACGUUCUGGGGCGGAGGACGUCAUGUACAAUAACACAAAAGUGAAAAGUAGUAAACAAGCAACAACAUCAUCCAUUGCAUUAAUAAUAUAAUUUUAAUACAAGUGUGUUCUGUCAAAUUAUAAUAGACACUAAAGUGUAAUCAAAAUGAAAUAUGAGUCUUGAUCGAGCUCCAUAUUCACUAAACCUUGCAUCGGUACCUGUCUAUCGUUGACCUGAGGAUACAAGGUAUUUUGAAAGGGAGUAUCAGCUUUAAAGCUGGUGAGAUCAUAGGUAUUAAUGUGUACUAAUUUGUAAAACUUGUAAUGAAAGACUUGAAAUUGUUUUGAAAGGAAGCUCGUAUAAGUAUGAAAAUGUUUGUAGAACAACUGUAAACAUUUGAAAAACCCUAGAAAUCCCUAUGAUUCCUACUAUUAUAAAAGGGAGUCUUCUACCAAAACCUAACUGCUCUGAAUGUAGCCUUCUACCAAGACCUAACUGCUCUGAAUGUAGCCUUCUACCAAGAACUAACUGCUCUGAAUGUAGCCUUCUAUCAAGACCUAACUGUUCUGAAUGUAGCCUUCUACCAAGACCUAAGUCCUCUGAAUGUAGCCUUCUACCAAGACCCGACUGUGUUACUAUUAUUAUUAUUAUAAGAAAUUGUAUCCUUUGGUACUAGGAUACUCAAAUAUAAUUCACCUCAUCGGUUAUGUAAAUGAGUCACAAGAUAAAGGUAAUAAUAUAAAUAACCUAAGUAUUAUCCUUUGGUACUAGCGUAACUAACAAUGUUAACUUAACACAUCCGUAGAUGUACAUUUACCUCUUUUGCUAAUAGAUGGGUGUAGGAAUAGUUAAUCCCUUAAAGUAUACCUAUAAAGGUAUCAACCGUAGGCAUCCAUAGAUGUUCAUUAUCCUCUGUAGCUAACCGUGGCUAUAGGAAUGGUUAGUCCCAAAAAGUAUCCUUUGGUACUAGGAUAUUAAAUCCAAUCUAUCUCGUCGAUUAUGUGAUUGUAUCACAAGGUAAAGAUAAGAAUGAGGAUUAUAUAACAAAAUAUAUACAUAUAAAAUAUAAUGAUAACUCGUCAUAUAUUAUCUAUGUAAACGUACUCAUGUAAAUGUAAUCAUGUAAAUGUACUCACGUAAAUGUAUAGUAAUGUGCUGUAAUGUUCUCUGUAUGCUAGCUGUAACGUGUGUUCUCUCUCUAUCUAGCAAGUAUUGAAUCAUGAAUGAACUGACUCAUUGUAUGAUAUCGUGUUCUAAUAAUAGUUCUAGUAUCUUCCUAAACUACCCAAAUGGUAGCUUACUAGUAAUGUAACUGGUACGUAUGAACAUGGAAUUAUAUCCUUGCUACCCAAGGGUACUGAAUGAACUGGAAGAACCUUUAUGACUAUAUAUGUACACAUGAUCUAUAACUAAUAUUUGAACGACCUUCGGACGGGUACCCGAUAUCCCACCAGACCACAUCUCAAGCGCAAAAAGGAAAUGAGGCGGAUAGGCCUUCCUAAGCCUUUUAAACAUUGCUUAUAUAACUAUAGAUACAUAGACAUGCAAUUGAUAAUAUAAAAGUAUAAAAUAAGUUUUAUAAAAGCAUUUGAUAUGUAAACGAGUUUUUAAGACAAUUUGAAGUAAAACAGUUUGGUAAAACAGUUUGAAAGUAAGAGAUUCACUUGUGUAUAGUUAUUAAUUACAUGUGAUUGAGAUAAUAACUAUUGUAACUUUACUUGUAUCCCCCCAUUCGAGUAUUUAUAAACAUUUGAAAACAUUUAAAAGGUUAAUUUAGGGGUAUGAACUCACCUGUUGUGAGUGGUACAGAUGAACUGAAGAGGUAGGAUGGCUAGGUUUCAAGUGAAGUCUUGAACACACUCUAUGAUCCUAGUUAACAUAUAAUAUAACAUAUAUGUAUACCAUUAGUCUUUAAACAACUAAUAAACAAAGUUAAGACACUCUAGGACAUGCUAAACACCUUAUACAAUUGUUAUAAGUCUCAAGGGUUGCAUCUAAGUGUUGUAGGGAAAGGCUAGUGUGUUUGGGGUUCAAGGGUAAACUCCCUUGGAGUUUACGGUUUUUGAUGACCAUUACCAAGGAGUUUACGGUAGUAAAAUCAAGGGUUUAUGGUCGUAAACUCUACACUUUAUGACCAUAUGUUGUUUUGAAGUUUUACAAGUCCUUUGAAGCAUUUCUACAUGGUGGUUAGGCCUUUGGAAGGAUCUAGGGCACCAUUUCACUCCUUAAUGGAGUUUACGGUCCCUUUUCCAUUUUUCUUUGAGUUUACUACCUUAAACUCAUGAGUUUACUACCUUAAACUCAUGAUUUUACUACCUUAAACUCAAGUUUAUGAUGUUUGGGAGUUUUCAAGUCGUUAGCUCAAUCAUGGUAAUAAUCUAGGUUAGAUUUAGACAUAAGGAAGAACCAUGGGACUUUUAUGGGACUUUUAUACACCUUUUGGGGUGUCUACGGUUUUGGGACAUCCCCAAACCGUAAAAACAUAAAAAUGUAAGGUUUUGGUGCUUUUUGUGUGAUAAACUCAUCAAGGAUGAAUGUAGAUAAGUCCCUAAGGCAUUGUGAAGCAUCUAGGCACCCUAACACACCAUUUUGGCCCUAUUCUUGGUGUUUAUGGUUUUAGGACCUCCAAAACCAUGAACACCUUUAUCUUGGUGUUCUUGGGACUUUUCUUUGAAACUAACAAGUAAUACAAGCUUAAUAAGACUCAGGGAUGGAAGUACUUACUAUAAGGAUGCUUGAAUUGAGCUAAAAGUCCAAGAACACUUAGUGUGUGUUCUUGGUGUUCUUGGUGAUUUUGGAAAUCUAAUCAAAACACAAAAAUGAAUGGAUAAAAAGAUGUACAAUCACUAGAUUAAGUGUUAUAUCAACUUGGAAUGGCUAGAACACUUACAGGUUUGAGAUCUUUAAUNAUCUUUAAUUAAAUCUUGGAUGAUACUUGAGAGUGUUUUUGAGUUUACUCUUUUUGAGUUUGGGGAGUAAACACAAAAUGACUAGUUUUUGGGGAGUAAACUCAUGCUUAUGCAUGAGUUCACGAUUUUCGGAAGAAUUUUCGGCCCAAACAUAAAAGUUUGGCUGUGAAUUUCUAAGACACGAGGUAUACGCGGUUUAGAAAUUUCAAGUCUCGAGACGGCCCAUCCGUAUCUCAACGAACCUUCACUAAUGGGCGACAACGUUGCUUCGUCUGCUUGACCUCUCGGUUGAGGGUCACUAUGGUUCUAAUAUGAAGGAGAGGGUCUCGUUAAUCUCAAUCUCGUCGGGUGGACUUACGAGCGUCCGAACGGAAAGGUACGGUUUCAAGCUCGAGGCGCAAACGGUAAAAUGUACGUUACUAAGUUCGUGGAGUAGGUCUAGUUUGUGAGGUACAGGACCGAUUCUGGUAAGAAUCUCAGGGGUCCUAACUAUCUUGGAUUAAGCUUUUCAUAUGAUACGAAGCGUAUUAAGCCAUUCCCAGAGUGAGUUUUCCUAAAGAACUUGGUCUCUCACUUGGAAUUUCCAAGGUUUCUUUUUCUUUCUUAACUUCCCAAUCAAAGGCCACCCUCUGCUGGGUCAAAGUUGUACGGGUUUCUGUAAUAUGCGAGGAGUUAUGGAUGAACUAUGACAGUAGGUCUAUAAGACCUAGAAUUUGGCAAAUUUCUGUUGGUGUUGAAUCAUAAAAGUGACCCUCUUGAACUCAACUACCGCAACCUUCUCUCUACUACCGCAACGGUUCAGUACCCACAACCAAUCCAACACCCGGAGUCAAUUCUGUAACUGCAACCACAACUAGUCUUUUGCUACCGCAGUCUACUAGAAUACUUUUACAUGUCUAUUAUGUAAUUCACUCUAUUAUCCUGUAUGCCUUGCACGGCUGCUUAUAGAUUCUUAGUCUAGUUCAGAGUCUCGAUAAAUAGAGACUCAUUCUCUUGUAUCGAAUACACUUCUUACCACUUACUAAUAACUUAUGAACUUAUUCUGAAUAUAUUUCUCUAAGUUAUCUUCUUCAUUUCUCUAUCUUUAUACUCUUCUUACUCUCAACUGUUACUUAAACAUAUCUGAAUAUAACCUCUCUCCGGAGCAAGUCUGUAAGACUUAAUCACUAAGUUUGAUCUUCCUUAUUAACUUGGAGUGAAUGCAUUCCUUGUUACGAAUCAGCUUAAGUGUAUUCUUGAUAUAACAAUUGUUGUCAUUUCUAUUUCUUUAAAUUCCGCAACUAACUCCCUAACUCUAACUAUAUUAUUGUUGAGCUUUUAGAUCCUUGGAGAUUAACUCUAUUCCGCAAUAUACUUGUUCUAACUUUCGUUCAAGUGUGUCUCCAAAGUUUUUCUCUCAACAAUUGGUAUCAGAGCCACAGUGGUUGCUUUUUGAAUAUCAGAACUUUGAUUUUUCAAAGGGCCUUCUAUACCACUAAAGCUCAUUUCUUAAAAAAAACAAAAAAAAACUUCAAAUGGCACAAUCGUUAUCUCUCAAUGUCUCCAACAGUGUUGGUGGUUCUAAUCGAGCCCCAAUACUGGUUGCAAAUGAAUAUCAUCACUGGUCACAAAGAAUGGAGAGGUACUUAAGAAAACUGGGAAGAGAUGUAUGGCGAUCCGUAGAAGAAGGACCAGAUGUUCCAAUUCUUACGGCAGUCCAAACUGACGACACUGCAACCAGGCUAGGAGGAGGUCAACCAGCAAUGAACUGUCCUACCAAGGAUGACCUCGAUAAGAUGGAAAAUGAUGUUGUUGCUUUUUAUGAAAUCUCCUACGGAGUUGCUCCUGACAACUUCGAUAUCAUCAUAAAUUGCAAAUCAGCAAAAGAAAUCUGGGAUGUUCUCAAGAAUCUUUUUGAAGGCAUAGAACAAGCACAAGACAAGAAGCUCACUACCGCACUCAAUGAGUUCAACAACUUCAAAGCUUAUACUGGUGAAAGUUUGGAAGACUCCUUCAAGAGGUUCAACCUAAUUUUCACCAAAUUAUCCAAUGUGGGCACCGUCCGCAGUAACCAUGAAACCAAUCUUCAGUUUGUUAAUGGUUUGGGAAGACAUUGGACUACAGCCAAAAUGAUAGUCCAAGGCGAUAGAAAGAUUCACUCUUUGUCUCUUUACAAGCUCUAUGGAGAGCUUCAAGCACAAGAAUCAACCGUGCUCAAGGAUUGUGCUGACUUCGGAGGACUACUUACUCUCAUAGCACAAACUCCACCGCAGUCACCUUAAUCUACUUCUUAUGACGCUCCACCAUAGUCAUACGAGGCUAAUUCAGAAUACGACGAUGAAGAAGAAUUUCAGAAGGCUAUUGUUCUUGUUAGCCAACAGUUCAAUCGUAUUCCAGCUCCUUCUUUCUGCAAAAACCAGCAGUUCAACAAACCUCCAUUCAACUGUAACUUCGGUUCUCAAAACAAUCACUCUCGUUAUCCCAAAAGUUCUCAUCCACCACCGCAGUCUCAAAUCAAUCAACCAAAGGAGGUACCGCAGUCUCCUCAGACCAAUGACUCUGGUACUCCACCAGAAGAUAAGAAUGAUGUUGUGAUUUGUCACAAAUGCAACAAAGAAAACCACUUCGCAAGAGAUUGUAAGGCCAAUGUAAUCAAAGAUAGAGCAUUCUACCUUAGAAUGGCUCGAGAGUUAGAAGAAAAGGAAAAAGCAAGGGCACAUGUGGCCCAUGUAAAAAGAGACCAUCAAGUGUGGUCAUUCAGAGAUGAAGAAGAGGCCAUUAGCAGCGUCAAAGAAAAGGGGAAAAUCUGCUUGCUGGCCACUAUGGAUGAUGAUGAAUCUUCAAUGUUGAACAAGAACUACUGCUACAUGGCUAAAGAUGGAACUUUGAGCAUCGUCGAACAGGUAAAACUCAUGAUCCAAACUCUAAAUUAUAGCAUGCAUGACUGGUAGCCCUACAUAGACAAUCUUAAUGACACUUGUGUUGCCAUCCUUACAGACUAUAAUAAAGCCUUUGAUGAGAAGAACAUCGCAUCCCAAGAGAUGUUUCAUGUGAGAGGAUGCCUGGAUAACAAAAGAUUUAAGAUGGCUAUGUUAGAAAAGGAUCUAGAGUUGGAAAAAGAUGCUAGAAUGUUAAGUGAAACCCAAUUAGAAAUAGCUUUAAACCAGAGAGAUUUAGCUCAGAGAGAAAUUGUAUGAUUAAAUCUCCUUAUUGAAAAACUUUUUAAUGAAAGUGAAGCUAUUGAAAAUUUGGUGAACAAUGGAACUGUGGACAAUACUUACAACUAGGGUUGGUCAAAUGGAUAUCCUACCACAAUCGAUUCCUCACCCGGUUUAACAAAAACAGACUGUAUGUCCCUCCGGAUAGAGAAUUUCAUUUCCCUGUCAAUCAUAAGACUUUUCCUGAAGAUAUUAAAACUCACUUCGGUAGACUGCACAAUUUAAGCAAUAAUUGUGUCAUUGAGGAAAUUGUGCCUGAGGUUUCGGGUCACACAUGUGAUCAAAUCCCGAUAUGUGGCACCAUCUAUCCAAAAUCUCAAACCUCAUCCGUAGUUGAUGAAGAGAUUGUUGUCGGAAGUCCGAAAGUGUCAAAAGACCUUCCAUCAUUGUCCUUAGACCGCAGUGUCUCACACUGUAUUCAGAUGUCCAACAAGUGCUCAAACGAAGUCCCAUCCAAGACUUACUCAGUGGUUGUUAAGUCAUCCCUAUCGCAGUCAUCAGUUCAAGGGAAUGUAAUCCUUCAUCCAAUCUUUCAUGAGUUGCCCAUAGAACAUUUUGAAGUACGGCAAUGCUCUCAGGUCCUUGAAUCUUCAAGUUCAGAUGAAUCAAGCCCACGUUUUCAAAAUCAUUCAAAGAAUUCCAGGAAACCGCAGUUGAACAACAAUGACUGUGGUUCUCCAAAAUCAUUGGCAAAAAAGGAUUUCAAAGAGGAAAUUAGAUCUCGUGACAUAAAAAGACAAAAUUUUUCAAAAAACAAAAAACAUAUCAGAUUUCCAAAAUCUAAGAGUCCUGAAAAAUUUGUCUUCACACACUAUCUUUCAAGAAACUCUUCUAUCAAGAAAGUCAUCAAAAAGGAAUGUUCAGUUUCAAAAGUCAUUCCUAGCGUUUCUGACAAAACCCAAAAAUGUGUCAAGUCUUUUCGAAGCCAUGUUUUUCAAGUCUAUUCCUCAGACAACCCCAAAUGGAAAGGUAUUUUACCCACCCCACAACCUUUAAAGUCACAUCAAAAUUUCAACAAAUGGAAGGGUGUUUUACCAAAUCCACCAAAAAGGAACUUUUCACGUGCUAAACCUCUUUCAAAACAAAAUUUUCAGAAAACAAAAAGCACACAUGUCAGAAAUCACCCACCUCGGACCGGUAACAAGUCCAAUUCACUCUAUAAACCGCUGACCAAGCACAGUGUCAAAUCAAAUGAUAAAAUCCCUUUGUGUAAAUAUCAGUGCAGUUGUCAAAAGAUUUUAUCUCAUUUCGAAUCAAGUCAGAAUCAAAAACCUCGUCCUUUUUCAAAACCUCACAACACUCCAAAUCUGAACAAACACCCCGGACUAGGAUCAAAAAUUGACAAGAGACCCAUCACUGAAACCUUGGACUAUGCAUCAUUUUCUAGAAAUUCACCAAUUGCCCCAGGCUCCAAGCUAGUUUGGAUGCCUAAACUAACCGUGUAAUUGUCAGGCUUUGUGCAAGGAGGAUCAAGAAGAAGAGUGGUUAAUAGACAGUGCCUGCUCCUUGCACAUGACCGGAAGGUUAGAGUACCUUUGGGAUUUCAGGCCUAUUUGCAAUGGUGGAAAUGUCACGUUUGGUAACAAUGCCAACGGUGUCAUCCGAGGUUACGGUGUUCUCACUACCAGGAACUUCUCUAUUUAGAAGGUUGCUUAUGUAGAAAGCCUUAAACACAAUCUCAUUAGUGUUGGCCAACUACGUAGAGCAGGACAUAGAGUUGAGUUUGAUGAUCAAUUUUGUUACGUGAUGACUGGUGAUAGGAGCUCAUGCCUAAUCAAAUCUCAAUCCAAAGGUACCGUGUACCUUUUGGAUGUCUCUCUCAUCAUUGGAAGACCGCAGCUAUGUUUCCUAUCCAAAGCCAUAUCUGAAGUAAGCUGGCUAUGGCACCGCAAGCUAGCUCAUUUCAACUUUCGGUACAUCAACAAUUUAGUCACUGGAGAACUUAUUUGUGGUCUCCCCAUCCUCAAAUUCAGCAACGAUACUCUUUGUCCAGAUUGUGAAUGUGGAAAACAAUCCAAAGCAAGUCACCCUCAGAUAAUGGACUCUUCCAUUUCUGAACCACUGGAACUACUACACAUUGAUCUCUGCGGUCCUUCAACCAUAGCCAGUCUCCACCACAAGAAGUACAUACUGGUUAUUGUUGAUGACUAUACACGCUUCACUUGGGUCUUCUUCCUCAGACUCAAAUCAGAGACACCGCAGAUCUUUAUCAACUUCAUAAAAGAAAUCGAAUUGUAGAUCAAGCUCCCAGUCAGACGCAUCCGCAGCGAUAAUGGAACCGAGUUCACCAAUCGUCUUCUCAAUAGUUUCUUGGUGUCCAAGGGUAUUUCUCACAACUUCUCAGCACCCUACACACUGCAAUAAAAUGGUGUAGUUGAAAGAAGGCAUUAAACUCUAGUUGAGGCUGCCAGAUCUAUGCUUAACUUCGCCCACCUUCCUCUCUACAUUUGGGCUGAAGCAGUAGCAACUGCAUGCUUUGUCCAAAAUCGAAGCAUUGUGUGUAAACAUCUAAAAAAAACACCUUAUGAAGGCCUCAACAACCGCAAACCAAAUGUUCGCUUCUUUCAUGUCUUUGGGUGUAGAUGCUUUGUGAUCAACAACAGAGACCAACUCAACAAAUUUGCACCGAAGUCUGAUGAAGGCAUCUUCCUUGGUUACUCCACUAACAAGGUUGCUUAUCGAGUGCUCAUCAGGCAUACAAGGCUUAUCAUCAAAAGGUUUGACGUGAAAUUUGAUGAUUCACACAUCCGUAACGCCCCUCCAUCCAAUGAAACUACCGCAAUUAUGGAAUGUGAUAUUCCUGCUUCUUCAGGUCCAUUAAAUGUAGUUGAAGUCAACUAUGAAGAUCUCUUCGAUCCUGUUGAAACAGCGAAAUUAUCCGAAAUUCUUGUGUCACCCACAGCUCAACAACAACAUGCUGAUGUUUCUGGACCACCUCUUUCUGAAGUAGUAUCACUUAAUACUUCCACCUCUCCGGUUGAGGGGGAAAGCUCUACUUCGGAUCUAGCCGCAACCGUCGAGGUUCCAGUACUUGAUGUUGUUCAGAUUCCUGCCCGCAGAGAAGUCUUACCAUUAAACGUAUCUUCGGAUUUGGAUGAUGAACUCACAGAGAAUAUAGAUACUAGAACUGAUCCAAGGAUUGUCACUCUCCUAUCUGCAGUCCAGGGGGAACCUUCUCAGAUUCCAUAGGAACUCCCAUCCGUAAUCCAGGGGGAACCUCUCCCAAACGCUCAGGGUAAUUCAAUUCUCGUCCCCACAAUCCAAGAUGACUCAGCUGGUUGUUCUCAAAUCCAGGGGAACUGCCUUCUCCUACCGCAAAUUCUCCUAACAUUCAAGAUAUCCCCUCCACCACAUCUGUUGAUCAUCUGCAGCCCCUUCUACAUGUAUGGACGAAGGACCACCCACCAGGUCAAAUCAUCGGCAACCCAUCCGCAGGUAUUCAGACUCAAUCCUCCAAAGAUUUAUCUGAUCAUUGCCACUAUGCAGCUUUUAUGUCCUCAGUAGAGCCCAGAUCAAUCAAAGAAGCAUUGCUUGAACCUAAUUGGAUAGCUGCAAUGCAAGAAGAGCUUGAAGAAUUUCAAAGAAACGAAGUUUGGCAGCUCAUACCGAAGCCAUUGGGCCAUUCCAUUGUUGGCACUAGAUGGGUGUUCAAAAACAAGCUGGAUGAAUCUGGUGUGGUAGUCAGAAAUAAAGUAAGGUUAGUUGCAAAGGGCUAUAGUCAACUUAAAGGUAUUAACUACGAUGAAACGUAUGCUCUGGUGGCACACAUGGAAGCUAUCCGGAUCUUCCUGGCAUAUGCAACCCACAAGAACGUCAAAGUACACAAGAUGGAUGUUAAAAGUGCUUUUCUCAAUGGGGAACUAAAAGAGGAGGUUUAUCUUCAGCAACCUCCGGGCUUUGAAAAUGUUGAAUUCCCUGACCACUGCUAUAAACUUGAAAAAGCAGUCUACGGUCUAAAGCAAGCCCCAAGAGCAUGGUAUUAGACACUUUCUGAAUUUCUUGUCUCAUCCGGGUACAAAAGAGGAGUGAUUGAUCCCACAUUAUUCAGAAAAGAAAAUGGUGACCACCUUAUGAUGGUACAAAUAUAUGUGGAUGAUAUCAUCUUCGGAUCGACUGAUCAAGGCAUGGUGGAUGAAUUUGCUAAGCUCAUGACCAACAAUUUCAAAAUGAGCAUGAAUAGAGAGAUUAACUUCUUUCUAGGUAUUCAAGUGAAACAAGUACCACAAGGCAUAUUCAUUCAUCAAGAGAAGUACACCACCGAACUGUUAAAGAAUUAUUCUAUGGACAAUUGUUCAUCUGCUAAGGUCCCCAUGGCCUUCGAUUAUAAGAUCUCUGCUGAUCCCUCAUGUGAAUUUGUGGAUCACAAGACUUAUAGAGGCAUCAUAGGCUCUUUGAUGUACCUCACAGCAAGCAGACCAGGCAUUGUCUUUGCAACUGGUGUAUGUGCAAGGUAUCAAGCUGAUCCUAAUGUAUCCUAUAUGACCGUAGCCAAACAGAUACUCCGGUACUUAAAAGGAAGCAAAUCUCUCGGUCUAUGGUACCCCGCAAGCAAUGACUUCAGCCUACAAGCCUUCACAGAUGCGGAUCAUGCCAGAUGCAAGCUCGAUCGAAAAAUCACUUCCGGUGGCUGUCAAUUUUUGGGUGAACGUAUGGUCAGUUGGUCUUCAAGGAAACAAAGUUGUGUCUCUCUAUCAACUGCAGAAGCAUAGUAUGUGGCCGCAGCCAGCUGUUGCUCUCAAGUCCUUUGGAUGAAAACUCAACUAAUGGACUACGGGUAUAAAAUGUUGCGGAUACCGAUCUAUUGUGACUCUGAAAGUGCUAUUGCUAUUUCUUACAAUCCAAUUCAGCACUCUAAGACCAAACACAUCGAACUAAGGUAUCAUUUCAUCAAAGACCACAUCUUGAAAGGUAAUAUCGAACUCAUCUUUGUUCCCUCUAAUGAAGAGAUUGCUGAUGUGUUCACAAAAGCACUCGACUCCACAAAGCUUAGCACCUUCCUACAAAUGUUGGGAAUGAUGAAUCCAGACCCACAAUUCUUUUUGAAUUGUUAGCUACCGCAGACCUUUUUUGGUCUCCAUUGCGGUUCUAAAUAAGAAUUACAUAUGAUAGAUGGUUUUGGUACCGAAGUCUAGGUACCGCAACCAUAUAUCAUACGUAGUUCUCAUGGGUCUUUAUGGUUUGUUAUUUUCUAACCUUUGCAUAAGUGCUUCUCUCAGUUUCUCACUGCAGUCUUUACUUUGUUCAUUCGUGAUGACGUUUCCAACCGCAAUGAAGUUUCUCAUCCGCAAUGACGUUUCCAACCAUAGUCAUCAAAUGUUUUAUCAACCCUUGUCCCUUUGUGUGCUAUUUAAUGAUCCCUCAUUAAAUAAAAUAAAACAUUCCCCAUUAGAAACUGUCACCUUCCCUUUCUGAAUAAACCCUUUUGUUAGACCUAUUUUGGGAUGAUGACAAAAAGAACGUUUUUCCAAUUCACUCAACCUUAAUUUGUCCUUUCCUCUCCCCAACCCGUCCCAUUCGUUACAACUUCCUCUUCCAUCACCCCCACGACCACCUGACGUAUUGACAUGCGUCUGACCUUACAUUAAAUGCAAACCCCUUUUUGGAAAUCUCCCAAAAUCUUUUUAAAUGCGUUAUAUUUUUCUGUGUGGCUGAGAUUUAAUCUAGAAAUCAGAAAUUCCCUCCAAAACCCCAAUCGACGUUUCACCCUCUUCUACCUUUUACCUAGGGUUAAAAUUUUUUCACCCCUAUUUAAACCCAUCUUCUUCCCCAAUAAUCUUUACGCUUUCUAAUUAUCGAUUGAUUUCUCUCAACCUUCAAAAUCUCCAUAGCUCUCAAGGACUCUGUUUCUCUUCUCUCAAAUCACUUCCAAAUCAUUCGCAAUGGUGAAAUCCGGUGCAUCUAAGAAGCAAUCCAAGGCUACAGGUUUAGAAAACCCAAUAGGUUCCGAUUCUCCCUCAAUUGCAUCCAGCAAUUUCAGAGCAAUCUUUGAAGAUCAUCCCUCUUACAAUUCCCCCACCAAGCUAAUGAUCAAGUUUCUCAAGAACCACAUUCUGUUUGGUCCAUUCGAUGCGUUUAUAGACGUAGUUCCAACCUCUACACUCUUCAAAUGAGCGUUUUCUGCAUAUCGACCAUUGGAGAACCCCCAAGAAGUGCAUCUCAAUCUUAUCAACGAUUCCUUGGUCAUCUUGACCAAAGAAAUAAUUGUCUCCGCCAUUAACCUUCUGGUUCACCCCUCCAUCAAGUUCUUCUCACCAUCGAUGACUGACGUCACCACCGCACUAUACCAGAUGGGGUAUCAGAAACCAAUCUGGGGGAUUGGUGAAUUCAAAAAGAACCAACUGCCUGCGGUUUGGCAAUUUGUGUGCCACUACGUCAUCCACAGUCUAUCCGGCAGAACCGGAGGCAUCGACAACAUGGGUUUAAAGCUACUAGAACUGGUCUGGAGCAUUUUCACAGGCACAAUGUCAACUAUGGGAAAAUCCUUUAGGACGAUUUUCUCCAAUACAUUCCCAAGGAGCACCCGAAGGAAAACCCUACAGGGCUCACUUUUGCACGCUUUUGGUCUCUCUGCAUCUCAGAUUUGCAUGCGGAUGCCGACAUUGAUAUGGGCAGUGACAUCAAUUUCUUUGUCACCAAGGAGCUAAAAAGGUACAAUCCUUCUUCUGACCAAGCUUUAUUUGGCCCUAUCCACAGGCUCCCCACACAUAUUCUUACUCUCCUUAGUCUUGAGACUGCUAAUGUAUCAGACCACAUUGAGGCUACGGAGGGUAUUGCCCAAUACCCUUCUACCCCGCCUCUUCCAUCCACAGCCAUUAACCCUGAGGGUACCGCAGUCCCCUCUGCCACCACUUCAUCCAAUAUUUCUCAAAGAAGAAAGAAGUUGGCUUCCAAGAGGAAGAACAACACACCCAAGAAGGGUGCUUCUAAACCAUCCGCACCCACCAAGAAACGCAAGUCAAAACCUUCCCCAACCAUAUCUAUCAGUGACGAGGAUAGACAACCGAUUUCUAUCCUCAAGAAAAGGAAAACAACCAAAGUCACUAGCUAUAUGCGUGAUAGGACAGAUGCUGAAGCCUCUCAAAAGGCUCCAGUAGUCCUUGGGGUUCCCGCAAACCCAUUCGACACCACCAUCAUUUUUGAUUCAGACUCAGAAACUGAGUCUGAUUCCCAUUUACAUGGAGACUCCCCCCCAGCGAAUUCCCAAGAGGAUGACACUGGUUCUUGCCCUAAAGUCUCCAAGGAUUCCCGACUGCAUACUUUUUCCCCAGAGGAGGUGCGCUCCAUCCUUCUUUCAGUUACCCAAACACUACAAACACCAUCCCAACCGCAGGGCACUUCUUUCGCCCAUGCCAGAACUGGCCCGAGGCCAGACUUGACCACGGGUCAAGGAGACCGAGGAAGCCCAGGAAAUCCUACUCUGCUUACAUCUUUAUUAGGUGUUUUAGGCAUGGUGAGCACUAAUGUGCAAGGAGCCAUGGACCCGAAGGACACUUCAGUGUGUGUUACAGGUUUUGAAGAUGUUGCUUCAAAUGACUCAUAGUUGCAGUACAAUCCAGUCACUGAGUUAGACAAGAAGAAAUAUGAAGCUUUCAAGAGGGCCUUCUAAGCCCGCAAGGAGCAACAAGUCAAGCAGCAGCGACAAAAGGAACAAGAAAUUCAAUCCAUCGCUCGGUAUUGGGCAAAUGCCAUCAGCAAUGCCAAUACCGUAGCUACUAUGCAAAAGGUUCAAAAUCUGAUGGAUCAGCUGGCAGAAAAUAUGUUGAAAGCUCAAGCUUCGGCCGCAGCAGCGGGUACUUCCCAGGUUCCACCUACUCCAACUCCAGUUCCAUCUCCCAAUCUAACAGAAAACCCAUCUCAAGAAAAAGGGACCGCAAUUGAACUCAGCUCAGCCCCUACCUGCGGUCUUGACGAUGAAGAUGUCCAAGAAAUUAACAAGCCAAAUCCUUUAGACGACGAUCUGAUGAUGUUUGAAGAAGAAGAGGAGUCCAGUGGCUCACAGCAUUCGACUUCCAAGCCGAAAACAAAGAAGAAAAAGAAGAAGAAUGUUGUCACCCGAAAGGAGUUCCUAAGCCUUCAAGCCAAAGUGGAUCAAAUAUUGGCUACGGUUAAACCCCCUCAAACUGAAGACAUUCCAGGACCACAGUCAGUGAUUGAAAGAAUUGAAAGGCUGGAGACAAGGGAGCAUAUGGCUGCUGAGCGCAUCUCUCUCAAAGUAGAGAUGGGGAUCUGGUCCAUUGACAACUCACGCAAGGCUGACCACAAGGACUUCAUGGCUGUAGCGGAAUGCCUCAUUUCUGAGGUGACAGCAAUUAAAAAGGAUCUUCAAGCAGCCAUUGCGGAUCAAGCUGCACAAUCUCAGAAAGUGAUCGAUGAGACUCAUACUGCUUAUGAGUCCACUAUCUCUGUUCUUCAAGCUACAAUUAAUAGACUGAAGAAAUCCCUUACUUCCAACUUCCAUGGCCCUGAGAUCCUCCAGCUUACAAAAGACAUACACAAGCUGCUAUUCCACCCAACCAUCCCAAAUAAUUCCCAAUUGUCAGAAACACUCAAAGCUCAAUUCCAAGAAGUUUGUGCCAAGGUGGAUGGACUAAAGAAAUGGCUUGAGGAAGCACCGGGGUUGCGUUCCUCAAGAGGGGGAAGUGAAGAAGAAGAAGUCCACCACUCUAAUUCCUCUUUCCAUCAGAGUCCCCUCAUCACCACUAAAAAAAUUCCAACACCUCGGCCUUCACCGCAACCACCUCAACAUAUUUCAACUCCCCCCACUUCACCUCCUAAAGACACACCCAAAAAGCCUGAGACUCCUCCUCACUUCAAAAUUUUGGAGGAGAACAUAUCAUCCGAAAGAUCCAUAGACUCCCAUACUACAGCUUAAAGAAAACAAGAUUGGAAAGCAGCCAAGUUAGCCAAACUCAUCUGGAGAGAGUGAGGAUUCGACACCAUGAUUGAUCAGUGACUAAUUAACUCAUGGGUCAAUCCGCACCGCAAGCUGCUAGAUGAAGACUAUACACCGCAUCUGACAUAUGCUGAACCCCCUGAUGAUGGGUACUAGGACAUUCCAAUUUCACCAAAUGCCAAAUACUUUGCAGUGUUUGAGCCACUUGACAGCAGCCUUCCUGCCCACAAAAGACUGUCGAUGGAGUUUAAGAGAUUAAACCGUUUUUAUGCCAAACAUUCCUCCUCCAUUGACAAAAUAUGGUCUAACGACAGACCAUCCGCAAUCAAGAACUACAAAAUGCGGAAGUUCCUGAACGCUGAUUUUGUCCAGUAUACUCUCACCAGAAGGGAGCAUGACUACAUCCGCACCCAGGCAGACUUCCCAUGCAUGAAUCCAAAAGAAAAUUUUCUUAUUGCUAGGGUGUUCCAGAACAAGGCAGAAAAGCACCCCAAGGUGCAAAUAGCGCUUGAAAAAAACCAACUCUUUCGUAAGGGACACAGUCUGUGACAUUGCGAAGAUUGACACGGACAUCUACCCCACCAUCCUCAAUAGAUUUGACCUUCCACCACUUGAACCUGUGUUAAUGCUUAUCGAAGGCUACGAAGAAUGAUCACUAGGCGCAACCAACUUCCCGGAACUUGGCAUCAUAUUCAAACAGAAGACAGACAACGUCAAAUACUUCAUUCCGAUGAAUGCCAUGCACCGUCUGCCAAAGAAACAACUUGACAUUUGCCAGAGCGCAGUGGAAAAAUCGAAGCGUACUACUGUAGAAGUCAAGUUUGAGAUUACAAGGAGAAUUACAUGGCUGGAGAAUGUUAGGAAAUUUUGGUGGAUUUUGAUCAAGUUCCUCAAACUUGAUAGCUGAACUAGAGUUAAAGAGGUCACUUAGGGGGAAAUUGUUGAAUCAUAAAAGCGACCCUCUUGAACUCAACUACCGCAACCUUCUCUCUGCUACCACAACGGUUCAGUACCUACAGCCAAUCCAGCACUCGGAGUCAAUUCUGCAACUGCAACCGCAACCAUUCUUUUGCUACUGUAGUCUACUAGAUUACUUUUACAUGUCUUUUAUGUAAUUCACUCUAUUAUCUAGUAUGCCUUGCACGACUGCUUAUAGACUCUUAGUCUAGUUCAGAGUCUCUAUAAAUAGAGACUCAUUCUCUUAUAUCGAAUACACUUCUUACCACUUACUGAUAACUUAUGAACUUAUUCUGAAUAUAUUUCUCUAAGUUAUCUUCUUCAUUUCUCUAUCUUUCUACUCUUUUACUCUCAACUGUUACUUAAAGAUAUCUGAAUAUAACCUCUCUCUGGAGCAAGUCUGUAAGACUUAAUCACUAAGUUUGAUCUUCCUUAUUAACUUGGAGUGACUGCAUUCCUUGUUACGAAUCGGCUUAAGUGUAUUCUUUGGCGUGACUGCAUUCCUUGAGAUUAACUCUAUUCCGCAAUAUACUUGUUCUAACUUUUGUUCAAGUGUGUCUCCAAAGUUUUUCUCUCAACAGUCGGCAUCUUCGGUGUCGACAAAUUCCCAACGGUUUUGGAUAAAUGGACAGAGUACUCAAGGAUUUCCACAUCACUAAUAGUGUGCCUUCGGAAUUUGAUUCUCUAAUUCCAAAACUCAUGUUCAGAGAACUUUGCGAAAAGUAUCUCCGAAGGUAAUGUUUCCACGGGUUCCUUCUUAUUACGAGGGUAGAUAAGUAUGUCGUUUCAUAGACAAUGACGAACUGAUCCCAGUAAGAAAGAUGGAAUCUAUUUAUUAAACUCAUGAAUGCUUCGGGUGUAUUGGUCCUAUCCGAGGGGUAUCACUACAGACUCGAAGUGUCCGCAUCGAGUUCGGAAGGUAGUCUUUGAGUCAUUCUUCCCUAGCACUCGAAACUGCUGAUAUUCGGAUCUCGGUCCAUUUCUGAAAGGUAACUCGAUCCUUGCGUUUGCUCAACCGAUUCAUCUAUGUGAGGCAGAGGCAAUGAUUUCUAACGGAAAUCUUGAUGGAGUCCUCGAUAACCGAGGUACAUACAAUGCAAUCCGUCGACCUCUGGAAGAAUAAGACCGGAUCUCUCCAGGGUGAGAAACCUAGUCUUCUAAUUCUAUUUAUUUGCAGUUCGCUAAGUUGUCCGUACUGUUCUUGUAUCUCCGUAGUUGUUUAGACUGUAGGGAGAUCUUUUUACGGGAGUCAUACCGGGUACUAAGUUUGUUCGCAUGACGAUGCGAUUACUCGUAGUCUUGGGCAGUUCUCCAUCCUGAAGUUCAUAUUAUAAUUCAUACAUGGUUUGACGAUCACCAUCUCGUGUAUACGAGUCAUAUAUAAUUAAGAUUGAAAAGAUAGUCGAAUAUAUGAUUUUUCUUUACGUUCACAUCCCGAUGGGAAAGGAAAUUAAAGUGGAAUCAUCACUUCUAAACUUGUAGCACCUUGAUUAUAUAUUACCCUUAUGUAUACAUUCUUCAGUGAUAGAUCAACCGUUUGAAUCUUUGGAUUGAACUUGACGUACUGCACGAGUAAUACUGCGGGGAUUUCUUCGGAAAGGAAAAGAACUAUGAGGUACUCCAAGCAUGAGUACUUCGGUGUUCUGAUAUGACGACUUCGCUAGAAAGGCGAUUUCGAAGAAAGAGAUGUACAUAUGAAACUGGUUUCGUGCGGAUCAAAGUGAAUCUAGUUGUAUGAUAAUGUCAGAAUCAUAAGGAAAAUUUAAGACGUUAGAUUUGAAUAUGAGGCGUUAUAGACAAAACACAACCGUGCAACCAUCAAAAGAGUUACAAUACUUUAGACUUACUACAAGACUAUUGCUGCGAAUAAGGUAUACUACCAAAGACAAAUAUACGCGGCACGAGCAUCCCUAUACCGACAGGAUCCCACAAAAGAUAAGACUCUAGUUGCACUAGUUUUAAACAUGUUUUAAAAACAUACAAAAUACUGAUGAUUGGGAGGGAACCUAUACUAUAGUAGGUUCCUUAACUGCCUCAUUCCAUUCUGAGCUAAAACUCCUCCGUAUUCGCCGUUGUCCUCCUCUGUUGGACAGUCCCUCUUGAAGUGUCCAAUGACGCCACAUAGAUGGCAUAUCUGAGAGGUUUGGACAUUGGUGGUUGAAUUAAUGUGUUGGAUCUGGGUCCUGCAGCAGCUGGUAGUAUGUCCAUUCCUGUUGCACUUAAAGAGUGUAACGCACGGCAACUACCUAGAUGAUGAAAGCUACACUCAUAGCAUUUCGGUAGGUUUCCGGCAUAUUGCCUAGCUGCUGUAGGGACAAUUGGGACACCAGCAGGAAUGGUAGUAAGAGGUACAGAUGUUGUAGCUGUGAAGAUCGUUACCGGUGGUUGUUUCUUGUUCGCUCCUCGAAGCAAUUUGUCCUUCCUUUUAGCCCAAAACUUCCGUUUGUUACUCUUGGUCUUGUAACUAGGAGCAUUGUGAUAGUUUUUUGCUCGUUGAAGUACUUGAUUGUGACCUAGAUUGGAACUGUUGUCAACAAUCCUGCUAACAUUCGCGUUGUUAGCGCUAAGGUGGUUCAGAAUAGCUGACACGACAGCCGAGACUGCAGCUUGAAAGGUAGCUGCAUCAAUCUGAAGAGUUGGUGUUUGGUUGAUGGGUUGAUCGUUUUUCUUUGGCGACAUGAUUCUAUUUCGCGGAAAGAAAAAUGAAUUUGUAAGCCAGCAUGGUUGAACCUAGACGUAGUUCGACUGUUUAUGUAAAGAAUAAGAGUAUGUUCUCGAAUGUUUGACCUACAUCCCUAUGAUGCAGUCCUAGCACGGAUUGGAAGUAUGUUUGUGAAGGUUUGACCUACAUCCCCAUGAUGCAGUCCUAGUACUCAGUGGAAGUGAGUUCGUAGAAUGGUCUCAAGACGCUUGUCGUUCAAUCCAAGGUAUCGUUGUUUGGUGAAUAACAUGAUGCAACCACUGAAAGAGACAUGGAAAUGUCUCCGGAGUUAAAUUACUAUAGUCCAAUGACUUGACUAAAUCAUGUUUCAGAUAGACUCCAAUGAAAGUAUGAUAAGAUUUCUUGAAUAAAGAAUGAAUCAGAAGUUAGCCGACUGUCAAUAUCUUUGGUAUUAAUGACUUAAAAGUUCGGGAAAAUGACCUUGUAACAGGUCGUACAUCAUAUCCAGAGGUGAUAGUCCUUGACAGAAUAAAGGCCUAACUAAAGUACUUAAAGUACAAGGUAGUUUCAUAGAAAAUGCCAUAUCGGGCAUUGAUAGAAAAACGAUUCCUUUUUAACAAGGAAAAAAAUAAAGUAAAUCAUCUAUUACUGGCGACGGUCAUCCCUCUGGUGAACUCUCAGUUCAGCCAGUUGAUGUUCCAUAUCAAGCAGGUAUCUUUCGUAUACCCUCUGACGUACUCGAAGCUCUAUGACUUCGGCUUGGGUUUCAGCUAGUGCUUGUAGUAGGGUUUCAUGGUCUCUCUCUGAUCUCUCACGAGCAUGUUCAAGGCUGUUGGUGCGAAGGAUAUGCAUCCCUCCAUUGGUGUCAACUUCAGUGAUACGACGUAGAGUUGUCCUGCCCUAAAUUUCAUUUCAGGCAACUCUACGGAUCAGGAUUGGUAGAACUCUAUCUGCUGUGCUCCCUUCAUUUAUGUUGUAGAAGCUUCAGUCUCGAUUAAACGGCAUAGGUUGAUCUUGAUCUUCGCUCCAUGCUUCCAAACAUUCGACCCAUGGAGGUGUCGGGCCAUGAAAAGCCAGACGAGGGUCGGGAUUUGGAAAGGGAGCUGUCUGGGGCAGGUUCUCAACCUCGGGUUCGGAGUUAGCACCAUCUGAAAGGUCUUCAUCAUGGUGAUCAUUCACAGGGGUAGGAUGAUCAUUCUCUGGUUCUUCUCCAAACCAUCCAGCGAUGACUUCAUUCGGAAGGUACUGGUUGCCAUGGGGAUGGAGUCCAGCCAUGUUAUCUACGCGAGAAUUGGGGUAAGAAAAUAAUUAUUAGACGAACUAUCUAGAUAAUUAUUUAGAAAAUCUUCAUUAUUUACAUCACUAUUUGUGAAGUGCAUACCAGUUAUAUGUAAUUGAAACAGGAUAGGCCUUCGGAUAAGUGACCUUAACUCCAAAUUCAUAAAGAAUAGGGGUAAAGCAAAAUUUUCACAGAUUCUAAGUCUAUAAUAUCCUAGUUACAUAUAACUUUAGUGUAUCCACUUAGCAACUAUCAACUUAGUAAUGAAGAUCCCUUUUAGUUCUCAAUUAUAAAGUACCUAUAGUAAAAACAAAUACCCCUAUAGUAUUUUAAGUUUAAUGUUAUGUUAUACUAUUCUCAUUGUGGUAUUGUUGGUAGACUUUUAGACUUGUUGCAACCACACAACUACACUUAGCCACAUGCUAGUCAACCCUCGGAUAAUAUAGGUGAUCAAGCUAUAUCUUCCCAGUUUUGAUCAUAUGUCUCUAAGUCCACCUGUGUUUCCCAACAAUCGUAAUUCUUUUGUACUGUCCUAGUGACGCUGAUUUUAGUAUGAAUGCAGCACGUAUACUUAAUUAAAUAUUUUAUUAUUUAAAGUAUUAUACUCUAAAUCAGAGUAUUUUAAUCCUGCUUGUGUUUAUAGUUUGUAUAUCUUUUAUGGGUUGAUACACUCAAUUCACUAUAAACAGUGCUCUGAUACCAAUUUGUCACACCCCAAAACCAUGUACGACGGAAACGUUCUGGGGCGGAGGACGUCAUGUACAGUAUCACAAUAAUGAAAAGUAGUAAACAAGCGACAACAUCAUCCAUUGCAUUAAUAAUAUAAUUUUAAUACAAGUGUGUUUUGUCAAAUUAUAAUAGACACUAAAGUAUAAUCAAAAUGAAAGAUGAGUCUUGAUCGAGCUCCAUCUUUUCUAAACCUUGCAUCGGUACCUGUCUAUCGUUGACCGGAGGAUACAAGUUAUUUUGAACUGGAGUAUCAGCUUUAAAGCUGGUGAGAUCAUAAGUAUUAAUGUGUCUUAAUUUGUAAAACUUGUAAUGAAAGACUUGAAAUUGUAUUGAAAGGAAGCUCGUAUAAGUAUGAAAAUGUUUGUAGAACAACUGUAAAUGUUUGAAAAACCCUAGAAAUCCCUAUGAUUCAUACUAUUAUAAAAGGGAGUCUUCUACCAAGACCUAACUACUCUAAAUGUAGCUUCUACCAANUUCUACCAAGACCUAACUGCUCUGAAUGUAGCCUUCUACCAAGACCCGACUGUGUUACUAUUAUUAUUAUUAUAAGAAAUUGUAUCCUUUGGUACUAGGAUACUCAAAUAUAAUUCACCUCAUCGAUUAUGUAAAUGAGCCACAAGAUAAAGGUAAUAAUAUAAAUAGCCUAAGUAUUACCCUUUGGUACUAGGGUAACUAACAAUGUUAACAUAAGACAUUCGUAGAUGUACAUUUACCUUUGUUGCUAACAGCUGGGUGUAGGAAUAGUUAAUCCCUUAAAGUAUACCUGUAAAGGUAUCAACCGUAGGCAUCCGUUGAUGUUCAUUAUCCUCUGUAGCUAACAGUGGCUAUAGGAAUGGUUAGUCCCCCAAAGGAUCCUUUGGUACUAGGAUAUUAAAUCCAAUCUACCUCGUCGAUUAUGUGAUUGUAUCACAAGUUAAAGAUAAGAAUGAGGAUUAUAUAACAUAAUCUAUACAUAUAAAAUGUAAUGAUACCUCAUCAUAUAUUAUCUAUGUAAACGUACUCAUGUAAAUGUAAUCAUGUAAAUGUACUCAUGUAAAUGUAAUCAUGUAAAUGUACUCAUGUGAAUGUAUAAUAAUGUUCUUUAAUGUUCUGUGUGUACUAGUUGUAACGUGUGUUCUCUCUCUAUCUAGCAAGUAUUGACUCAUGAAUGAACUGACUCAUUGUAUGAUAUCAUGUUCUAAUAAUAGUUCUAGUAUCUUCCUAAACUACCCAAAUGGUAGCUUACUAGUAAUGUAACUUGUACGUAUCAACAUGGAAGUAUACCCAUGCUACCCAAGGGUACUGAAUGAACUGGAAGAACCUUUAUGACUAUAUAUGUACACAUGAUAUAUAACUAAUAUUUGAACAACCUUCGGACGGGUACCCGAUAUCCCACCAGACCACAUUUCAAGCGUGAAAAGGAAAUAGGGCGGAUAGGCCUUCCUAAGCCUUUUAAAUAUUGCUUAUAUAACUAUACAUACAUAGACAUGAAAUUGAUAAUAUAAUAGUAUAAAAGAAGUUUCAUAAAAGCAUUUGAUAUGUAAAAGAGUUUUUAAGGCAAUUUGAAGUAAAACAGUUUGGUAAAAGAGUUUGAAAGUAAGAGAUUCACUUGUCGAUAGUUAUUAAUCACAUGUGAUUGAGAUAAUAACUAUCGUAACUUUACUUGUAUCCCCCCAUUAAAGUAUUUAUAAACAUUUGAAAACAUUUAUAAGGUUAAUUUAGGGGUAUAAAAUCACCUGUUGUGAGUGGUACGGAUGAACUGAAGAGGUAGGAUGGCUAGGUGUCAAGUGAAGUCUUGAACACACUCUAUGAUCCUAGUUAACAUAUAUUAUAACAUAUAUGUAUACCAUUAGUCUUUAAACAACUAAUAAACAAAGUUAAGACACUCUAGGACAUGCUAAACACCAUAUACAAGUGUUAUAAGUCUCAAGGGUUGCAUCUAAGUGUUGUGGGGAAAGGCUAGUGUGUUUGGGGUUCAAGGGUAAACUCCAAGGGAGUUUACGGCAGUAAACUCAAGGGUUACGGUUGUAAACUCUACACUUUAUGACCAUAUGUUGUUUUGAGGUUUUACAAGUCCUUGGAAGCAUUUCUACAUGGUGGUUAGGCCUUUGGAAGGAUCUAGGGCACCAUUUCACUCCUAAAUGGAGUUUACGGUCCCUUUACCAUUUUUUAUUUUGAGUUUACUACCUUAAACUCAUGAGUUUACUACUUUAAACUGAAGUUUAUGAUGUUUGGGGGUUUUCAAGUCCUUAGCUCAAUCAUGGCAAUAGACUAGGUUAGAUUUAGACAUAAGGAAGAACCAUGGUACUUUUAUGGGACUUUUAUACACCUUUUGGGGUGUUUACAGUUUUGGGACAUCCCCAAGCCCUAAACACUUAAACAUUUAAGGUUUUGGUGCUUUUUGUGUGAUAAACUCAUCAAGGAUGAAUCUAGACAAGUCCCUACGGCAUUGUGAAGCAUCUAGGCACCCUAACACACCAUUUUGGCCCUAUUCUUGGUGUUUACGGUUUUGGGACCUCCCAAAACUAUGAACACCUUUAUCUUGGUGUUCUUGGGACUUUUCUUUGAUGCUAACAUGUAAUACAAGCUUAAUAAGACUCAAGGAUGGAAGUACUUACUAUAAGGAUGCUUGAAUUGAACUAAAAGUCCAAGAACACUUAGUGUGUGUUCUUGGUGUUUUUGGAAAUCUAAUUAAAACACAUAAAUGAAUGGAUGAAAAGAUGUACAAUCACUAGAUUAAGUGUUAUAUCAACUUGGAAUGGCUAGAACACUUACAAGUUUGAAGAUCUUUAAUUAAAUCUUGGAUGAUACUUGAGAGUGUUUUUGAGUUUACUCUUUUUAAGUUUAGGGAGUAUACACAAAAUGACUAGUUUUUGGGGAGUAAACUCAUGCUUUUUGGAUGAAUUUUCGGCCCAAACAUAAUAGUUUGGUCGUGAACUUCUAAGACACGAGGUAUUCGCGGUUUAGAAAUUUCAAGUCUCGAGACGGCCCAUCCGUAUCUCAACGAACCUUCACUCACGGGAGACGGCGUUGCUUCGUCCGCUUGACCUCUCGGUUGAGGGUCACUACGGUUCUAAUACGAAGGCGAGGGUCUCGUUAAUCUCAAUCUCAUCGGGUGGAAUUACGAGCGUCCUAACGGAAAGGUACGGUUUCAAGCUCGAGGUGCGAAGGGUAAAAUGUACAUUACUGAGUUCGCGGAGUAGGUCUAGUUUGUGAGGUAUAGGACCGAUUUUGGUAAGAAUCUCGGGGGUCCUAACUAUCUUAGAUUAUGCUUUUCACGUGAUACGAAGCGUAUUAAGCCAUUCCCAGAGUGAGUUUUCCUAAAGAACUUGGUCUCUAACUUGGAAUUUCCAAGGUUUCUUUUUCUUUCUUAACUUCCCAAUCAAAGGCCACCCUCUGCUGGGUCAAAGUUGUACGGGUUUCUGUAAUAUGCGAGGAGUUAUGGAUGAACUAUGACAGUAGGUCUGUAAGACCUAGAAUUUGGCGAAUUUAUGUCGGUGUUGAAUCAUAAAAGUGACCCUCUUUAACUCAACUACCGCAACCUUCUCUCUACUACUGCAACGGUUCAGUACCCGCAUCUAAUCCCACACCCGGAGUCAAUUCUGCAACUGCAACCGCAACCAGUCUUUUGCUACCGCAGUCUACUAGAAUACUUUUACAUGUAUUUUAUGUAAUUCACUCUAUUAUCCUGUAUGCCUUACACGGUUGCUUAUAGAGUCUUAGUCUAGUUUAGAGUCUCUAUAAAUAGAGACUCAUUCUCUUGUAUCGAAUACACUUCUUACCACUUAAUGAUAACUUAUGAACUUAUUCUGAAUAUAUUUCUCUAAGUUAUCUUCUUCAUUUCUCUAUCUUUCUACUCUUCUUACUCUCAAGUGUUACUUAAACAUAUCUGAAUAUAACCUCUCUCCGGAGCAAGUCUGUAAGACUUAAUCACUAAGUUUGAUCUUCCUUAUUAACUUGGAGUGAAUGCAUUCCUUGUUACGAAUCAGCUUAAGUGUAUUCUUGAUAUAACAAUUGUUGUCAUUUCUAUUUCUGUAAAUUCCGCAACUAACUCCCUAACUCUAACUAUAUUAUUAUUGAGCUUUUAGAUCCUUUGAGAUUAACUCUAUUCCGCAAUAUACUUGUUCUAACUUUUGUUCAAGUGUGUCUCCAAAGUUUUUCUCUCAACAAUUGGUAUCAGAGCCAAAGUCGUUGCUUUUUGAAUAUCGGAACUUUGAUUUUUCAAAGGGCCUUCUAUACCACUAAAGCUCAUUUCUUAAAAAAAAAACUUCAAAUGGCACAAUCGUUAUCUCUGAAUGUCUCCAAUAGUGUUGGGUCACCUAAAUAAAUAAAUUGCUAAUCGACUAAAUUAGUUGUAUUUAAGAGAUAAAUGUAUGUAAAUGAUAUAAGUGGAGAGACAAGUUACUACCCGGAAUCUCUUAUUAAAUACGAGGUGUGAAACAUGAUUCUGAGACAUUGAAUUUAUAUUUUUAUAAUUGAUGUUAUAGAGUAUUUAUGCAUGAGACGGAUGUCUUGGACCAAAGCACUUCCAAAUGCGAUUAUAUUAUCUCUUUUGAGUUUGGACCUUUUAGUCGACAUCGAGGAGUCGAUCUGAGAACCCAUCUAAUCCACAAUUUUGGUUUUAUUACGUGUUUGCUGCUUCAGGUGAGUUAUCCUCCUUAUAUCAAUAGGAUCUAAGGGACCAAGGCUGGCCCUUUAUGAAUUUAUAUCCGGAUUAUUAUAUGGUAUGUUUAUUGAUUUGCAUCCUGGUAGUUAGGAUGGUUAUAUGCUUAUGCUUAGUGACCUAGUUAGGUCGGUAUCCUGGUUAUAGGAUGUUACUAUGCUAUUUGAUCUGUUAAAUCAGUUUGAUUGUUAUAUAUAUGCUAGCGUAUGAUAUUUAUGUGCACAUGCCUGUUUGGUGGGGGUUGGGUUGACGUGGACCUGCUUUGUGCUGAAGGUCAACAUACCCACGACGAACCGGAUAGACUACAAACCCAAAAGGGUAUGAUAGUCAGACCGAAGGCCCGACAAGGGGUCCGGAUAGGCUGAAGACCCUGUAAGGCGGUCCAGACAUGUCGAAGGCUCGGAGAGCGGUCCAGAUAAACUAAAGGCCUGCGAGGCGGUCCAGUCAGGCUGAAGACUCGUUAUGCAUGUUGUUCUGUGUUUGUUUAUAUGAUGUGAUUAUGGUUAUAUGAGGUUAGUAUUUGGGGGGGGGGGGGUAACUCACUAAGCCUUCGAGCUUACAUCUAUCUAUUAUUGUUUUAGGUACUUCUGAGGAUCGUGGGGAGGCAAAGGCGUGAUCGUACACCUCCUUAUAUUUUCAUGAUUUGAUUCUAGGGAUACUAUGAUGCUUAAACUAUUUUGAAAAAAAUUGCAAUUACUUAAUGGUUUUUAAAUGUUUUAAAAGUUUUAAAUUGGCUUAAAUUUUAUGGGUGUUACACUCAUAAUCAGUUGUAAGGGUUGGAUGCUUCCAGAUGAAGAAAACCACUUCAGAAGACGAUUUUUGAAUUAUUUUAGCGACUUUUGGAGAUCUGAAGACUGCGAAUCAUCUCAUCCGUUUAGUUUAUCUAGAUUGAUCAGUAAAUGUUUCUUUUAUCUAUUUUGAUUUUGUUUUUAGCCAUGUCUGGCUAAAAUUUAGUUUUUAGUUCUGCAUAGAUUAGUACUUUUCGUGUGAUUAGCUUUCAGAUUUGACUUUUGUUUUGUGUUUCUAUCUAGAUUCUUCAGUUUUGUUCUUAAUGAAUGUUUGGUUUUAAAUUCUUGUUAGUGUGAUCACCUAGCUAGGGUUUAAUCAUUCCAGUUAACCAGUUAAUAGAAUCCGUAAUUGUUCUUGUCAACUGGUAAAAGUAACAAGUAUCAGAUUGGUUACGUGUUGGGGAUUUAACUCUGAUAUAAACUGAAAAUGUCAUAUAUUUACGCUUCCGAGCUUGUGAGAAGUAUUGGGUAUUGUUGGGAAUUUACAUAGAACCUAAUGCAACUUUUCUGAUUUAAUUAAGAGCUUGUUUAAUUGAACACUAAAAAAUUAGGGUUAAUUGAAAAGCUUAUUUUGGUUAACUAAAUAAGGUAAAAGAGAAUUUACUAGAGUUUUUUAGUUUUCUCAGUACCAGCUUAGAUAGAACGCAUCUCAAAUAAUCAGAUCUGGGCUAUUUGCAUGAUUAGGAAAGUCGCAGCAGAACUGAAACCAUUUUUAUUAUUGAUUUUCAUUUAGUUUAAUAUCACUGCAUUUUUAGUUUUUAGUUUAAUUAACCCUCCCCCCCCCCUUCUUAAUAAUUUAUGUUUUGACUAAAUGUGUCUGAUGCAAAAAAACAUUGACUUUAAGGCUGUGUUCCUGAGGAUUCGACCAUGCUUUCCAUGUGCUAUAUUUUUAGUGCAAACAGCAGUAAUAAUUUAUUUGUUUAAUAUGCAUGCAGACAAUGUGUUAACAAGUAUGCUGCUAUGUUGUAGUGAACAAUUAGAUCUGUCUCCUGGUAUUGAGUAUGUUGCUUUAUGGUAAUAACCUAUUGAACUAUAUGUGCUUUCUGGUUAUCAUCUAUGGUGUGCCCUUAAGUACUGUCAGUGGUCAAGUAGGAUAGCCUGAGAACUCUUGGUCUAGGCCCUCAUGUCUAUUCCUUGUUUGGUUAUGGCUAUAGAGUAGGACCAUCUUUUCGGGUGGCUAUCUCACCUCUGGUUACUUAUGGUUACACAUUCUAUGGAGGUUGGCUAGUAGUGGGACUGUAUGUUGCGAGGGGAUUAGUAGGCAGUAGUGAGACGUAUGACUGAUGUUUGCCUAUAUUAUGUGCUUGCUUGAUCCUGGUUGUUUAUAUGUCAAGAUAUUGUGUUUGGUUUGGGUUGAGGCGGUCAUGCUUUGUACGGUAGGCCAAGAUACCCAGUGCGGGUCGACUGUAAGCCAUAGGCACUGAGGAGUGGUUUGGGUUGAGGCAAACCAGUGUAGACUGAAACGCCAAAAUACCUAGGCGUCCUGGAUAGACUGUAGGCCUGAGAGGCGUACCAGUCAGGCUGAAGGUCCAGAUAGGCUGAAGGCCCAGUGAGGCGGUCCAGUCAUGCUGAAGGUUUUGUGAGCGGUCCAGAUAGUCUGUAGGCCUGCGAGGUAGUCCAUUCAGAUUGGAGGCUCUGUAUGCAUGUUGUUUGUUAUUAUGUUUAUGUGGUGGUAUUUUGGGGGAAAUCACUAAGCUUUGGGUUUACAGUUUUAGGUUUUAUUUCAGGUACCUCAGAUGAUCGCGGGAAGGCGAAGGCUUGAUCGUGCACCUCCUUGUGUUUUAUGUUAUGAUUUUGGGAAAAACUCUAAUAUUAAACAUGUUUUGAGUACUAUGUUGUAAACAAAUAUGUUUUCUGGUUGGUUUUAAAAAGUUUAAGUUUUCAUGAAUUUUAUGGGUGUUACAAGUUAGUAUUAGAGCCUUGGUUUGAGUGAACUAGAGGAACACUCAUGUGAAUCCAGUCUCAAACUAAGGAAAAAGAUUAAAAAACAAUUUUCAAAUAGUUUUCGAAAUAAUCAAGGAGGAUGAGAUGUGUACCAGCAGUCGGAGCUAGUAACUAGAUCCUAAAUUACCACAUAGUUAUUUGAGAUUAUAUUAUGUCAUUUUAGAACAACAUGCUAGAGAUAAGAUAGGGAUGCUCAGGAAUCGUAUGAUAGAAUUGCCUAAUAUUUGAUGCCUUAACUCUUGUAGAAUACCUUAUUGAUUGUUGUAUGACUCUUUCAUGUGUGAACUAGGUAUUGAGUGAAUGCGCUAACUCACAUACUGCAUGGGUUAAAUGGUCUUAGGGUGGGGGAUUCGGUCCUGUUACACAGCUCUUGUUUGAGUCCAACCAUUGUAGGAUUGAAUCUUUUAGCCUAAGAUUGUUUAAUUUGUGUAUUAUGUGAUAAUGUUCAUGCAAUAGUUAUCUGACACCAAUGGAGGGUCGUGUGGAAGCUGAUGGUAGGAUGAGUUAUGUAGGGUCAGCCGACCAGUCGCGAUAUGGGUAGCCUUCCUCUAGGAAGUGAGGAUAGAGUGCAUAAGUAUGCUAGAGUGCAGUGUACUGUUAAGGUUGUUGUGAUGAUCGUCUGAGAAAACUACGGGUAGGUGUGGAAGGUAGUAUGUGUUGGAUGCGGUGUCUAAGCCCAUAACUAUAAUUGGUAUGUACUUAACGCGAUAGUAGCAUGGUCCUUUUCGGUUGCCUUGACCCAAAGAAGUGAUGACCAAUCGAAGAUUCGCGACAGAACCGACACGACGCCAAUGACGUAAUAAGUGAGUUUAAAGACUUAACCCGAUAGUAGCAUGGUCCAUUAGGCUUUGUAGAAGGAUCCUAUGGACUGCUUAAGGCCUAAGCAGUCAGAUUAGGGUUUUACCUGGAAACAAUAGCAGCACAAUUAUAUAAAUACCCCUUGGAUAGUUGAAAUCAACUCCUAUGCAUUCUUAGAGAACCCUGGUCGAUUUCCAUAGCCUCCAUCCUCUCUCUCUUGUUUAUCCAUCGCUAGUUGGUGUUUGUGACUCCAUUAGAGGUGCAACAAUUGAGGCAUUAAGCUCUUGAAGGUCAAGAUCUAUAAUAAACCCAGAAAAGGUAUUCUUCUAACUAUGUUUAAUUAUCAAUUUCAAAAAAUUGUAUGCUAGAUUAGGGUUUUGUUUAGAUAACUUAAUUUGCAUGUAUAACUUGAGAAAAACCUAGAUCCAAAGCAAUUAGGGUUGCAUGUGCACCAUAGGAAUGUUGUAAUGCUCAUACCCCAAUAACGGUAUCAGAGCUUAGGGUGUUUUUCUGUUAUAUUUGAUGUUAUUGUGUUUUGCGAAAUUUGAAACAUAAUCAAUUUUGGUCUCUGACUGGUGGACUCGACAAGUCCUAUGAAGGAACUCGACAAGUUGGACCUACUCGACGAGUUGGUAUGUUAGAUGGUAGAUUUUUCUUAUUUCAGGCCAAAAUUAGAUUAGGAUCAUUAACUUAAAUUGUUUUAACUGCUAAAAUUCAAAUUUUCUGUUAUGGUAAUGAUUAUCCUCAUCUAACUAGAAGAUAAUGGUCAAAUUUUAAGAUAAUCUUUAAAAUUAUAUGAUUAGUUUAGUUAUUUAAAAUUUGAUUUAGAAGUUUUAAAUAGUUUCCAAAUUUUCCCUAAAGUUUUGGAAUUUAAAAUUUAAUUAAAAGGUUUAAUUUCGAAAUAUUAAAUUCUAACACCCUAGUAUUUUAAAAGUUUAAAAUACAACCCUUAUACUAUUAUAUUNNNNNNNNNNNNNNNNNNNNNNNNNNNNNNNNNNNNNNNNNNNNNNNNNNNNNNNNNNNNNNNNNNNNNNNNNNNNNNNNNNNNNNNNNNNNNNNNNNNNNNNNNNNNNNNNNNNNNNNNNNNNNNNNNNNNNNNNNNNNNNNNNNNNNNNNNNNNNNNNNNNNNNNNNNNNNNNNNNNNNNNNNNNNNNNNNNNNNNNNNNNNNNNNNNNNNNNNNNNNNNNNNNNNNNNNNNNNNNNNNNNNNNNNNNNNNNNNNNNNNNNNNNNNNNNNNNNNNNNNNNNNNNNNNNNNNNNNNNNNNNNNNNNNNNNNNNNNNNNNNNNNNNNNNNNNNNNNNNNNNNNNNNNNNNNNNNNNNNNNNNNNNNNNNNNNNNNNNNNNNNNNNNNNNNNNNNNNNNNNNNNNNNNNNNNNNNNNNNNNNNNNNNNNNNNNNNNNNNNNNNNNNNNNNNNNNNNNNNNNNNNNNNNNNNNNNNNNNNNNNNNNNNNNNNNNNNNNNNNNNNNNNNNNNNNNNNNNNNNNNNNNNNNNNNNNNNNNNNNNNNNNNNNNNNNNNNNNNNNNNNNNNNNNNNNNNNNNNNNNNNNNNNNNNNNNNNNNNNNNNNNNNNNNNNNNNNNNNNNNNNNNNNNNNNNNNNNNNNNNNNNNNNNNNNNNNNNNNNUUAUAUAUGUAUAAGAUGAGUCUGUCUUACCGUUAGUAGGUCUCAUUCAUGAAGCUGGUCUAUAAGGGAUUUUUAAGGAAGCGGCAUGUAAAAUGACCGCCAUUGGGUAUCCACUCUUACCCACCGCACUCUUGACUAGUGGACGGUCGUUAGCCGAACGGGUAGGGUAGGUCAUUAAAUCAUCAUUAAUAAGUAUAAUGAAAACUAUAAAGUAAUUAAAUGUUUUUUAUAAAUUCCCAAUCUUAGUUACUUUAGGAAAAUGUAAACAAUGAUGCUAUUCCAUGAAAUUACACUUUGCAACUUGCCAAGUCAUUAGUGGAGCGUGUAUGGUUAACCGACACUCUAACUUGGACUAACAAGUGUGGCAAAGGGUAGCUCGAGAAUUAUCAUUGAUCAAUGGAGCGUGUGUGGUUAACCGGCAGAUUGAUUAGGUGGUAAAUGAAUCGAGAGUGCCAAGCUAAUCUGCAUAGUUAUCCACACCUUAUUUGUGAUCCUCGGUAUCCUAGUCACAAACUUGAAGGUCAUAAUCGAGAUUAAACAUGCCAUUCAAAAGUUUAAUGAAUCUCAAAAUAUCUAGGAAUUUCAUUUCAUUUAAAACCUAAUUCUUCAUUUCCUUUUUCGUAGUGGAAUUGGUAAAUUGUCGUUUACCUACCUUCAAAUAUUUUGCAAUUGGAUUACGACAUCCCUCUCCGAAUUGUGAAAUAUUUUGUUGGGUCCUAGCCUUAAUAUUUUAUUUGGGUGUUAUGUUAAGGAUUCUUAUCUAAUCUAAACUUUCUUCAUUUUCUAUUUCAGAUGGACCAAACAACGCUUCAAGCUCGAACUCCGACUCCUCAAGCUCCUUUUCUCUUUUGAACAUUUGUGCGAGGGUCACCUUCGAUGAAUCCAAUUUCAAUGAUUGGAUUCGCAACAUUCGAAUGGCCCUGUGAUAUGAAGAAAAAGGAAUAUGUUCUCGACAAGCAACUCAACGAGAUCGAUGAAACCAAAUCUACUCCUGAAAAGAUAGUUGAGUAUAAGGCUCAUGAAAAGAGGUGUCGUGUAUCAUGGUAGCCAUUUUGACUCCUGAACUACAGCUAGCGGUUCUAUGAGGACUACUGGCCUUACGAGAUGUGUCAAGACUUGAUGGAAAAGUACCAUCAAAGUGCGUGUCAAGAAAGGUACAAGAUUGUUGCCUUGCUAAUAACAACCAAGAUGAAGGAUAGAGAGUCCAUCAGGAGCCACAUGCAAAGAAUGCAGAGAUAUGUGGAUCGUUUGCUCAAGUUGAAUGUCAACUUUGACAAAGAGUUAGUGAUUGAUAUAAUACACUCUUUAUCAUAUGAACAAGGAGGAGGUCACCUUGAGCAAACUUCAUGGUUUGUUGAGAACUGCUGAAAGUGGACUCAAAGAAAAAGGCGUCGAGUCCACUCCUGCUGCUGCUGCUACCCUAGUCCUGGAAAUUGGACAUGGAAAGGGAAAGAAGAGGAAAGCUCCCUUUAAGAGCCACAAGGGAAAUUUUCAUAAUGGAUAUUCUUCAAGUAGAUCUAAAGAUAAAGUUGGCUCGGCCCCUCCUACGUCUGAUCCAAAAGAAGCAACGUGCUUCUACUGUCAAGAAAAGGGGCAUUGGAAACGAAGCUACCCGAAAUACUUGCAGGACAUCAAGGAUGGGAAGAUAAAGCCCAACUUCGCAGGUAUUUAUACUAUUCAAUCUAAUAAAUCAUCACAUGCUAAUUCUUAGGUCCUUGAUACAGGAUGUAGUUUUCACAUUUGUUCUGAUUCGCAAAGGCUAAGACUAAGGAUGUGGGUGCCUGUCACCAAGAUCGGGAUUUAUUCUUUAGUGAUUAGUAGUGGGUUAGGAUUAGACUUGAAUGAUUGUUGUUACUCGUCAGAAAUGACGAGGAAUAUUAUUUGCUUUCCUGGUUUGUACAGACAAGGUUUUAGAUUUUCAUUUAAUAAUGAAUUUGGUUCUAUUAAUGCUUUCUAUAAUGGUACCUUUUAUUUUGAAGCAUUACCUUGUAAUGGUGUAUAUGAAACUGUGAUGGUUGUAGAUGAAUUAGGAAAUAAUGUUUUGCAUCUCGAUUCGUCUAAUGGUUUAGACAAGGCGUACUUAUGGCAUUGUCGUCUUGGACUUGUCAACAAGAAGCGCAUAGCGCAACUCCAAAAGGAUGCAGUCUUAGAGUCAUUUGACAUAAAGUCAGAUGACAUGUGCGAAUAUUGUUUACUUGGAAAGAUAACUAAAUCACCUUUCAAUGGUACUUGUGAAAGAGGUGAGGUAUUGUUGGAUCUCAUACAUACAGAUGUGUUUGGGCCCUUCAGAUCCACCACAAGGGAUGCUAACCACUUCUAUGUUACCUUUAACAACGAUUAUAGCAGAUAUUGAUAUAUCUACUUAAUCAAGCACAAGUCGGAAACCUUUGAAAAGUUCAAGGAGUUCAAACAAGAUAUGGAGAAUCAAUUGGGCAGGAAGAUAAAUAUGCUCAGAUCCAACAUGGGUGGUGAGUAUCUUAGUAUCAAGUUCCACAACUAUCUUAAGGAAUGUGGAAUUAUUUUGCAAUUGACGUCACCCAGAACACCACAGCUCAAUGGUAUUGCUGAGAGGCAUAAUCGAACCAUGUUGGACAUGGUUUGCUCUAUGAUGAGUCCAGCUUCGUUACCUAUCUCAUUCUGGGGGUAUGCCUUAGAGACCGCCGCCCACAUCCUUAGUCUAGUCCCAACAAAGAUGGUUAACAAAACACCUCACGAGAUAUGGACAUGGAAGGUUCCCUCGUUAGCACACAUCAAGUUUUGGGGUUGUGAGGCUUUCGUAAGAUGAGAAACUCAGGACAAGCUUGAAUAUCGUACGUAGUGAGCGAUGUAUUUUCAUUGGCUACCCGCAAAAAUCUUUUGGAUAUCUUUUCUCCAGACCUAGGGACAACGUGGUCUUCGUAGCAAGGAGAGGGGUUUUCCGUGAAAGGGAAUUUAUAUGCCAAAAGGGCAGUGGGAGGUAAAUUGAUCUUGAAGAGCUUCAAGAAUCAAGCGAUGAAGGAACUUCUAAUACUAGCUCUCAACCUGAGGAAGAGAUUCAUGUUGAACCAGUUGGCGAUUCAUUAUCUCUUAGGCGUUCUGCAAGGGUUAGUGUUCCACCUGUGUUUUAUGCACUAUUAGAAAAAUAGCUUUUUACGACACGCAAUGUGUGUCGUAAAAUGCUCAGACGACGCGCAAAUGCGUGUCAAUGAAGGCCCUGUCAUAAAAGAAGACGACACCCUUUUGUGUGUCGUCUAUUUACGACGUGCAUUUACGACAUGCGCUUACGACACGCAAUGCGUGUCAAGGAAGGCCAUGUCAUAAAGAACACGACACACAUUUACGUGUCGUAACCUUACAACACACUUUUACGACUUGCAUUGCGAACCAUUAAAGCCUGUGUCAUAAAGAAAGAUGACACACAUUUUUGUGUGUCAUAAUUUUAAAGGUCUUANUAUAUAUAUAUAUAUUUGAAAGAUUUACUAAAUUUCAAAUUAAAUAACACAUUUAAAAGUUUCAUAAUGCAAAAUAAAAUACUUAUAUUACAAAACAAUCCAUUUCAUGAAAUAAUUAUAUUAAUAUUCAAAAUAAAUCACAUUUAACUAUUAUUUUAUUAACAUAAAGUCAAACCAGAUAAACAAAUAUUCCUAAUCCAAAUAACAACAAACAUAAAACGCAAACUAUUUUGGAAAUAUGGAUCUUUGACUUGUGUAGAAACAAUGUGAUUGAUUAGUUUCAAGAUAUGUAAUAGUUGCUCUGCACGACUUCUUCCAUAUCCUGGCGUCAAUUACAGUUGAAGGAGCAUAUGUUGUAGCAUAUCCACAAAUGAGAGCUAAUUCAGCAUGAAUGUCAUCAGAAUCUUUAAUCUUAGUUUUAUCUGAGAAGAAGGAUAGAAAUCUACAUUUCAAACAGUCUUUUGUUAUCAAGAAGAUUAAACAUAAAAUAAGCAUAAACAAUAAAUAAAAAUUAUAUAAUAUAAAUAUAUACCUUUGGAGAACACUUUUUCUAAUGUUGUUAAAAAUGUCUUUAUGUUUGUCUAAAACAGUUUCCAAGUGGGAUGUUGCAACCUGAAAACGAAUUGACAUGGACUUAAUUUACUUCACAAGGGUAAUUUGGUAAUUCCAUACAUACCAAUCCCACGGCUUUAGCCAAAUCAAUUUUCAGGAAUGGUGAUAUUUGCUUGUUUGUACAUCCAGUCAAUUUUAUCACGAACAUAGGUCAUGUUAUCAACUUUCUGAAGAAGUAUACCAAGACAUUUGUAGGAGAAGAAUACUCUCAAUAAGAUAAUUUUAUUAAAAAAAGUAAUGAUAAUGAUAAUGAGUUCAUACCUGUAAAGUAGUGCAAAAUGCUCAUCAUGUAACAUCCGGAUUUUCAGGUACAUUACUUAUUCAUUCAUUUUUGGAGAUUUUCGGAGGGACUCGGCGAGUUGAUGCUUAGACUCACCGAGUAGUGUCGCGAUUUUCCAUCCGCAUUAAUGACCGGACUCGGCGAGUCGACUAGUGGACUCGACGAGUCAAUGUUGUUUAAUGAAACCGUAAUUUCCGGGGUUUGAGACCUAUUUAAAGGCCCUUAUAGCCUUCAUUUGCGGUUACCAGUUGAUAGACAGAGACCCCAUAGUGUGUAAGCGUUUUGAGAGAGAAAGGAAGGCAUUUUUGAUCCUUGUGUGGGUGAUUUUGCAAGAAGAAGGUGACCAAGGCAAGAGGAAACUAAAGAAGGUGCUAAUAUGUGGAUUUCAGAGCUUAAGGACUUCAUCUUGAGGUAUAUAUUCGAUCCUUCUUCAGUUUUGGGUGUUAAUCCUUGAGAGUUAGGGUUCCUAGCCCAUUUAGAGUAUGAUUGUUAGUGCAAUUGUUCCCUUCUUGUGUUGAGGCUGCGGAUCUGGAUCCAAAGAGGCUUGAGAUCUAAGCCCCUUGAUCUUUAUGGGGUGUCAUUGGGUUAUAUGAGCUUAGGGUGGCAUAUUGAGGCCAUUUCUUCAAAUAGAGCCAUUAGGUCUUUGCAUGGGCAUCAAGAUCCAAACUUUACAUGUUUUUAUUGCUUUAGGAGGCCAUAUCUAUGAGUUAGAGGAACGGAUCUGACCUUAGGAGCUCAUCUGAGCUCGAGCAUGGCAUGAACUCAUCGAGAACCAAGAGCAGACUCGGCGAGUAGGGUUAGGGUUUCCCCCUAGUUCACUCAGUAAGUACUUGCCGAGUUGGUGGAAUGACUCAGUGAUUCAGAAGGAAUUAAAGGACUCGAGUUCAAGGCGGAACUCACCGAGUUCAUAAUGAGACUCAGCGAGUUUAGUCGGGGUGGCCCUGCGAUUCAUGCCAGGUGUAACCUGUCGAGCAAGGGAAAUACUCGACGUGCCAUGUGGGACUAGAGGGAUAGUGGACACACGUAGACUCGCCGAGUCACCCAAGUGCACUCGGUGAGUCGGGUCAAAGUCUAAUCGUUGACUUUGUUGACUUUGAAGGUUUGGUCAACAAUGGGGUCUUUGUGUCAAGAGAGGGUUGAGUCUAGUCUCGAGAGUUAUAUUUAUGAUAGUAUUUUAUUAGGCGGAGGCUAGACCAUAUUUUCACCAAGUCGGAGAUUUACUGAGACAUCUGAUGUGAGUCUUCUCACUAUACUUUACCUAGAGUGGUAAUCAGAGCUAUGUGACAGUGUAUCUUAUAUGCUAUGUAUGUGUUGUGAUUUCUAUGUGAUAUGUGAUAUGCAUGAUUCAGAGUUACAGAGUUAGGACCAGUGGGUCCAUAGAGUUAUGGGACCAAGAGGGUCCCACAGAGAUAUUUGACUAGAGGUUCAUCAGAGUUACAACCUUGAGUGGCUGAUAUGUGUUUAUGUGGUAUUUUGGGGAACUCACUAAGCUUUAUGCUUACAGUGUUAUGUGUUAUGUGUUUCAGGUACCAGUGAUGAUCGCGGGACGGCGCCAGCAUGAUCUGUACACACACCCGCGGAGUUAUUAUGAUUUGAUGUUGGGAUUUGUAAUGAGAUAAUGUUGAUACAAUGUUUUCUUGAAAGUGAUUAUGAAUGAAGUUAAAUGGUUUCAAAAAGCGAAAAAUUGUCUUAAUUUUUACGGUGUUACAAGUUGGUAUCAAAGCCUUGGUUUGAGGGAUUCGGAUGCAUCUUCGGACGUAUCUGAACUCAAACUGAGGAUUUGGGAAAAAAUUGAUUACAAAACAAUCUUAAAAAGAGUUUUGAGAAAAAACAGAGCAGAGUCGUGUGUACGAUCAGCCAGCGCCCGAACGGUGAUUUCCCAAAAUACCCUUGUAAUAAGUGUUACGAGAUAUAGUGUGUUAUGUUAUAUGAUGAGCUAUAUUAUGCAUGCUAGAGUACACUAGGUAUCCUUAUUAGGAUUAGAGUGGCCUGAUAUAUGAUGCCUUAGUCUAGUAGCUUUGCUGUUAGGGAUGCUUGAGAUUGUUUAGAUAGUAGCGAGGAGCUUAUGAGAGAUCAGCUAGCGAGUAGCAUAUGAUUUAAGAGAGUAGAGUGCUUGGAAUUUGGGGCUCUGGGAGGAGGACUUGGGAUGAAUGAUGGCGCGGUGUGGUCGGUAGUAUUGGGCCCGUACUACCGAAGGCACCAGGUCAGUGCGCAGCCCAAGUAAGAAUCGUUAGGGUACCAGAGAUCAAGUAGGAUUGGGAUAUCGAGUGUGUGUACACCCGAGCGAGUCUCUGAUAUCUUGUGUUGUAUUUCAGAGAGGCUUCAUGGUAGGGACGCGCCAUAGGCCAGAGACUAGUGGAGGGGGUGUGAGCGACGAGGAGCUCCACCAGAUGAUUCAUGAUGAGGUGGCUGCUGCCAUCCGCGCUAAGAUUCCAGAGAUGUUCGGGUCUAUCAAGACCACCCUGAUAGAGACAUUUGACGAGAGAUACACUGCUCUUUCUGAUGCUNGCAGCCACUACAGCUGUAGCUGCGGCUAGACCUCAGGGUGGUGGUGCCUUGUUGUUCCGGGAGUUCAACAACACAAAACCACCUGAGUUUGAUGGGACUCAGGGCCCGAUUGCAGCGAUGAGGUGGAUUUUAGAAAUCAAGGGGUGUUUCUUCACCUGCUCAUCUCCAGAGCAUUUGAGAGUCCGGUUCGCAUUGAGCAGCUUUGCUUGGGAGCGAAGGACUGGUGGAAGUUUGUGACAACGCAUUAUUCGCCUGCUGAGCUUGCUGCAGUGACUUGGAAGAGGUGCACUGCUAUGUUCCAAGCUGAGUACGUUCCCUAGGUGGAGAGGGAGCGUUUGGCCCAGGAGUUUCUGACCCUCAAGCAGGGUACUGAAUCUGUCACGGUGAUUACGAGGAUGUUCCAUGAGCGGGCGAUGUUUUGCCCAGAGCACAUGUCCUCUGAGCAGGCACGUAUGAGCUGAUAUCUGAGCAUUUUAAGGAGGGAUAUACGGGAGUUCGUGACGAACUCGAUGUACCGGACAUUUGCUGAGCUUCAAGAAAAUGCCCGGAAGAAGGAGAUAGGGCUGGAGACCCAGGCUAGGGAGGAGGCUGAGUCUCAGGGGAAGGAUCAGCGACCGACGCAGUCUCAGUCGGCAGCCAAGUGGGCCAAGCCCACUGAUUCGAGAUCUAGGAGUCAGAAGGGACGCACUUGUGGCAAGGAUUUCCCCAAGGGGUUUGCAGUAUGUUUUCACUGCAACUAGACCGGAUACCGCAAGGCAGAGUGUCCACAAUUGCGAGGGAUAGCCCAGGGAGCAUCUCAGGGAUCUGCCCCUGCUGCUAUCAGAGCCACUGAGAGCCGGCCCAGUGAAGGCCGAGGCACCGAAGGCAUGAGGGAGAGCCUUCCAGUUGACUGCGGAGGAGGUCCGCGCAGCGCCCGAUGUUGUGGAUGGUAUGUAUUCUUUCAUGUAUUUAUUUUGAUGAUGAGAUAUUGUGUUUAUAUUAUGUUAUGCAUAGGUACUUUUCUUGUGAGUUUUGUACCUGCCUUGGUGUUAUUUGACUCGGGUGCGAGUCGGUCUUUUGUAUCUUUGGCUUUUAGUCAGCAUAUCAAUAUUAGCCGAGAGGCGUUGAGUCGAACUUUGAGAGUUUCCAUAGCUGAUGAGAGGGCGGUGUACACCACCGAGGUGAUCCCAAGGUGUGUACUCGGGAUUUUCGUAGUGGACUUUCCGAUUGACUUAGUUCCUAUUGCGAUGGGAGAUGUCUGUGUCAUCGUGGGCAUGGACUUGUUGAGUAGAUUUGGAGCGCUUAUCGACUGCGAGCGUCAGCUGGUGACCAUAUGAGACCCUAGUGGGGCAAUUCUUACAGUGUACGAUGAGGGUACAUGUUCUGGGUCAGCAUUUUGUUCAGCCGCUAGAGCGAGACAGAGUCUACAGUAGGGCUGUAGGGGUUUUGUAGCGUAUGUGAUGGAUACGAGGGUUGAUUCAGAGACACUGAGGUCAGUUGAUGAGGUUCCGAUAGUGCGUAAGUUCCCAUAUGUAUUUCCGGAGGAGUUGUCAGGCAUGCCUCCCGAGAGGCAAGUGGAACUCCCACUACUAGAAAAAAAGGCCUUUUACGACGCUUAUUGCGCGUCAUAAAACGCUCAGACGACGCGCAAAUGCGUGUCAAGGUAGGCCCUGUCAUAAAGAGAGAUGACGCACUUUUGCGUGUCGUCUAUAGACGACGCGCAUUUACGAUGCGCAUUUAUGACGCACAUUUACGACGCGCGGUUAUGACACGCAAUGCGUAUCAAGGAAGGCCCUGUCAUAAAGGAAGACGACACGCAUUUGCGUGUCGUAACCUUACGACGCGCGUGUUUAUGACACGCAAUGCGUAUCAAGGAAGCCCCUGUCAAGAAAGGCCAUGUCAUAAAUAAAGAUGACACACAUUUUUGCGUAUCAUAAUUUUAAAUUUUUUAAAAAAAAUAUUAUUUAUAGAUUUACUAAUUUUUCAUAUUAAAUAAUACAUUAGAAAUCUCAUAAUAAUAAAUAAAAUACCAUAAAUAACAAAUAUAAUUCAUUUCACUAAUAUGUCAAAUACAAAUAAUUAUUCCAAUAGUGAGUAAAUGUUAUAAAAAAAUGAACUCAUUUAUAUACAAUUGCAUUAAUUAUCUAGCUUACUAUGUGCCAACAAACUUCUAUCUUUUUCCUUCUCUGCAUAAACUUCAUUAGCAGCAUCCUAAAGAACCUCUAUCUUUUUCAUCAGCAACAUCCUCAAAAACUUCUAUCUUUUUCCUUCUCUGCAUAAACUUCUAUCUCACACUCAAUGUAGUUUUAAACAUCAGGUUUAAAAAAUCAACUUUAAGGUUGCCUUGUUAAAGAGAAUGACUAGAAUAGAUUUCCCUUUUUCACAAGGCAUGUGCUUGCUUGCACAUAUAUAUGGAAUCAUUCUAAAAAAAAAAAAAUUGUUCAUGUCAACUACUCCAAGGACUAUUACGUAAUUUAACAUGAAGAAUUUUGUCCAGAUGAAAGGAUUGACUUUAAACUUUAUAAAAAUCAUUUAAAUGAACUUACCUGACCAUGAAGCGUGUUGAUCCAGGAUCUCCUUGCCUUCCUGCUCUGCCACGAAGCUUUGUAAAGCAAGAAAUAAAUUAAAAAAGUGAGUCUGAAAGUAUAUGCUAAAUUUAUGUAAAACCUUAAAACACAAUAUUGAUGCAAAGUUACCUGAUUAUCAAUUCUUCGGGACUCAUGCAAAGAUGUCCCAAUGACAUGGAGACCACCAAGUCGUUUGACUUCCAAUCCUUCAUGAAAGCAAUGAAUCUCACAGUCCUUUAGAACCGAUAAAUAGGCAAUUGCAAUGCAAGGACCCAGGGCCGGUCCAAAGAAAUAUGUUGCCCGGGGCAAUAAGACAUAAUGAUGCCCUAAUUAUAUAUUUUCAGAAACUAAUAUCAUAAUUCAUAAAAUUUACCCUAGUUCACUGUUUUUCAAUCAUAACUCAGAAAAAAAAAACACUAAUAAUUUUAGAAAGUAAGAAAAUUAAUAUAAAAAAUCAUAAUAUUUACCUCAGUACUUUGAUAGGUAACAGUGAGAAUGCAAUGACAUGCAAUGACAUGUAGACUACUGAUCCACCUUUAAACAAUGCUUUAGGUACCUAGCUAUCAUCCAGAAAACAACAAAACAGACAAAAAUUUACACUAAUCCCAUCACAAACAAAACCAGCUGCUAUUAUCACAAAUAACAAAUAUAAUAUACUCCAGACAGUAUUAAAAUGUAGCAGCAUCCAAACAUAUUAUAAGAUGAAAAAGUUAAUAAGACGAAGAAGUAAGAAGUUCUGAAAUAAAGAGAGAAUAUUAUCUGUAGUGUAAUAUUCCAAAUGGACUUGAAAAGUUCUUGUAUCUUGACCAUCUACCAUUAUCAAACCUGUCAUUUUUAUACCAAAUUAAAUUCAAAACCAAAUUUUAGCUUGACCAUCCAUCAUUAUUCCGUCCCCUGAGAAUUGGGGACAAAAAUAGCCUCAGGGGUAUUUUGGGAAAGUUCCAAUUUAAUUAAGUUUUUGUAAUAAAAUAUGAUUGUAGUUCGUGAAUUGCCAUAAUAUCACCUCCAUUGUUGGCGUAAUUCAGGAAAAAGCCCACAGGGGCAUUUUAGGAAAAUGCUUUUAUUAUUUUUGUUUCCCGGUUUUAGACUAUGAGUCAAACUCUUUUUCUUUUAGUAUAAAUAUGCUACGUUAUAGGUAUUUAGAAAGAAGUUUUUCAGCAAUAAAAGUUUUCUUUUCCACCAAGCAAAAUAAAAAAUCCCAUCUUUUUCUUCCCCUGUUAUCACCUGUUGCCAGCCAUGUAGUUUUUUUUUCCUUUUUUUCUUCCUGUUCUGUUUUGUUUUCUGUUCUUAGGCAACAAGGUUGCAGCAAGGUAUCAGGUAGAUACCUUACAUCCAUAACGUUCAGGUUCUUUGAGAAUAUCUUCUUUCAGUCGAGCUUCCAUUCUCUCCACUCUUUCACAGUAAAUUCCCUACAUUAAACCACUUGACACUUGAGUAUAUUUAAAUAAUAAACAUUAAAAAUGAGAGAGGAUUAUUAUUAUAUACCGUAUACUCGAGCAUGUUUUUGUAGGGUCUUUCAACCUCACGAAGCAGAAAGGGCUUUCCAUUAAUGUAAAUAACAGGUUCUUCUCUCAUGUUGUGCCAAAAGACGGGUCUACCCAGGCCACCUUUAAAGCUACCUAUUCUUUGCAUAACAGAUUUAAUUCUUUCCACAGUUGGAUUUGUAACACCAUAGACUGGGAACCCGCCCUAAAGCAGAUUUAGUUCUGCAUCGAGGCACACUUGUCAAUCACUUUGUCCACCUGUCGUUUGCCUUCAACACCACCCUAAAACCAUGUCAAUCAAAAAGAAGUUACUCAAGAAUGUUGUUGUAAUGGGAAAUUUAUAAGGAAAAAGGUUCAUUUGCAUACUGUAAAAGCAUGCAAUCAUAAAACAUAAACUUCACAGAGAAAAAAAAAAAAGUACCAGAAGCUCCUAUUCGAUUUAAAUAGAUCAAUGUGGCAAUGACCAUCCCUGUGGUAGUACGCCCAUGCCCCAUUUGGCAGUUAAAGAUUAUUUCUGUCUUAAGAUCAGCUCUUGAAAUUCUAUCAACCUAUAAAGAUCAUAAAACACAAAUCAUAUAUAAAGUAUAAUCUAAGUUAAAUAUUUUCAUUUUGUUAAAUGAAAAUAACACUCACCAACGUAUCAAAAUCAUGUUCCUUGGGUGAUUUUUCAUCUGUUGCUGGAAUGCGUUCGUAGUCAACAAGGAAUUUUCUUGUUUGGAUUUCUAAAUAGACCUACAAUAGUGAAAGGAAUUAUGAAACAGAUAUUCAAAAUGAACAUUUAAUUUCAUAGUAUGGUGAACCUGUAGUGAUGUUUUGACAGAGUCGGUGUGACUGGCUCCCAUUGAUCCACCAUUUGACCAUCUGGUAGUUCAUCAGUUACUAGGAUCUUAUUUCCAUAUCUGUAAUCGAGAUAGGUAUUGAGAUGAUAAGAAAAUGGAUAUCAAACACAGAAACAUGUUAAAAAGAAUACCUUGCAGCUUCUAGCAAUAUGUCUUCCUUUAACCGGUCUUCCAUUUGCUCCACCCUAGCCCUAUUGAUACCCUAUUCAUAACAUCAAAGUUUAGGUAUAGAAUGGGAUAAAUCAGCAUGUUUAUGAAGAAAAAAAUAUAGAAAAAUACUGUAAAUCUGAAGUGGAAGUUGGGAUUUGAGCAGAAAAAAUAAGCACACACCGUGUACUCAAGAUUGAAGAAGGGCAGAAAAUCGUUGAAGACUGGGACGACUGGUCAGCGUGGAUCAGAAACCACGGUGGAAUCGGUGUUCCGGCGAACAAAAGCUGGGAAUCAUGGUGGGAGGAAGAACAGGACCACCUCCGAUCCACCGGUACAGUCGGUCGUCUGACGGAAAUCCUCCUUUCUCUCCGAUUCUUCAUUUACCAAUACAGUAUCGUUUACCACCUCAAAGUCGUCCAAAACGAUAAAUCAAUCUUAGUGUACGCUCUCUCAUGGCUCGUAAUCGUUUUUGUUAUCGCAUUAUUGAAAAUCGUGUCCAUGGGUAGAAAGAAAUUCAGCGCGGAUUUCCAAUUAAUGAGAGCCCAAUCUAGUGGAGUGUGAAUGAGUUUUUAGGGUUCAAUGGUAGUGACGAUGGCUUAGGGUUUGCAGAUGGUGGUGUGGGGGUCGUCGGUUGCUUUACAGAGAGAUAUGAAGUCGAGACGAAAAGACGAGAUUGACCCACCUGGUAAUAAACGGACUCGGGAAGCUGAACAAAAUGACCCGAGAUUGACCCAUCUAGUAACAACGCUAUUGAUGCCAUUCCUUCCAUUUUCGACUGUUCAUCCUCCACUUCCUCUACUGCUACUUCUUCACCAUCUUCUAUUUUUUCUGUAUUUAGACUUGAGAGUAUAAUUAGGGCUUUUUCUAACAAUUUCAACAUCGAGUGGGAGAUAUGGUGGUUCCAGUAGGUAGAAGUGAGGGAAGAAGUAGGCAGCAGGAGGGGGAAGGAAGGAGCGUCCAUAAUUUGGGCAAGAGGGAAAGGAGAAAAAAAAGGAAGGCGGGAUUUUUAAUUUUUUCAGAAUUUCAUUUCCCCCUACUGUUAAAGGAUGGAACGCGCGUUCCAUUAAAAAUUAUAAAGCGACAUCCUUAGACGACGCGCAAUUUAUUACAGGUGCCCUCCGUGUUUUUUUUAGACACUAAUUUAAGGGCGCGCAAUAAUGCGUGUCUUCUAUCCUUAAAUUUUUUGAAGAGAUGACACCUUUUUAACGUCACUCUCCAUUGCGUAACAUAAAUCAAUGAGUGUCGUGGUUUGCGCGUCGUAAAAGGCUAUUUUUCUUGUAGUGUCCGUAUCGAUUUGGUUCCGGGAGCUACACCUAUCGCCAAGGCGCCCUAUCGCCUUGCGCCUCCAAAGAUGCAGGAGUUAUCCUCGCAGCUUCAGGAGCUGUUGGGGAAGAGGUUUAUUCGGCCGAGCAGCUCGCCGUGGAGAGCGCCUAUCCUUUUUUCAAGAAAAAAGAUGGUUCACACCGGAUGUGCAUUGAUUACCGGGAGUUGAACAAGCUGGCGGUCAAGAACCGUUACCCGUUGCCGAGGAUCGACGAUUUGUUCAAUCAGUUACAGGGAGUAUCUUGGUUCUCCAAGAUCGAUUUGAGGUCUGGAUAUCAUCAAGUGAGGGUGCGAUAUGAAGACAUCCAGAAGACAACAUUCAGGACUCGUUAUGAGCAUUACGAGUUCGUGGUGAUGCCUUUCGGGCUCACUAAUGCACCGGCGGUGUUCAUGGAUCUCAUGAACAGAGUGUGCAGGCCGAUGUUGGAUCGCUCAGUGAUCGUGUUCAUCGACGACAUAUUGGUGCAUUCGAGAUCCAGAGAGCAGCAUGAGGAACAUUUGAGAGAGAUCCUCAGAGUUUUGAGAUCGGAGAGGCGUUACGCCAAAUUCUCCAAGUGUGAUUUCUGGUUACGAGAGUUCCAGUUCCUGGGGCACCUCGUUAACCAAAAAGGGAUAUUAGUCGAUCCGGCCAAGAUUGAGGUAGUGAUGAGUUGGGAGGUGCCGAGGUCACCUACCGAGAUCAGGAGUUUCCUAGGGUUGGCUGGUUAUUAUCGGAGAUUUAUCAUGGAUUUCUCCAAGAUCGUCAUGCCACUCACCAAGUUGACCCCGAAGGGUGUUGCGUUUUCAUGGGGCCCAGAGCAGCAGGCCUCCUUGAAGACACUUCACCAGAGACUAUGCGAAGCCCCGGUGUUAGCCCUUCCGGAGGGGAUGGACAACUUCGUAGUGUAUUGUGACACGUCGAUAUCUGGGCUGGGAGCAGUGCUAAUGCAGAGGGGGCAUGUGAUAGCAUACGCAUCAAGGCAGCUGAAGCCUCAUGACAUGAGGUAUCCCACCCACGAUCUAGAGUUGGGGGCAAUGGUGUUUGCCCUCAAGAUCUGGCAUCACUAUCUGUAUGGGGUUCGAUGUACCAUAUACAUGGACCACAAGAGCCUGAAGUAUUUAAUGGAUCAGCCCAAUCUGAACAUGCGACAGAGGAGAUGGUUGGAUGUGGUGAAGGAUUACGAUUGUGAGAUCCUGUACCACCCGGGCAAGGCUAACGUUGUAGCCGAUGCCCUGAGUCGCAGGGAGGAGGGCACCCCGAUACAGGAUGUUUGUAUGAGGCUGACAGUGAUGGCCCCAGUAUUUGGUGCCAUUCGAGGGGCCCAGACUGAGGCUGUGAGACCAGAGAAUCGUAAGAGGGAGCGGGUUAUCGGGCAGGUAUCGGAGUUCGUCACCGAUAGCCGAGGGGUUAUGACCUUUCAGGGAUGGAUUUGGGUGCCGUUUGUGGGCGGAACGUGCACCAUCUUGAUGGAGGAGGCGCAUAGAUCGAAGAUUUCGAUCCAUUUCGGGGCCACUAAGAUGUAUUUGGACCUAAAGAAAUAGUAUUGGUGGGCCUGUAUGAAGAGAGAAGUUGCAUGGUUCGUUGAGAGGUGUUUGACCUGUCGUAGGUUUAAGGCCGAGCACCAGAAGCUGCAUGGUAAGCUGCAGCCGUUGGAGGUUCCUGAGUGGAAGUGGGAACAGAUUACCAUGAAUUUUAUCACCAAAUUGGCGAGGACUGCUAGGGGCGUCGAUGCUAUUUGGGUGAUUGUAGACAGGUUGACGAAGAGCGCUCAUUUCCUUGCUAUCAGUGAGAGCUCUUCCGCUGAGAGGUUGGCAGAGUUGUAUGUGAAGGAGGUGGUAUCACGAGCAUUGGUAUGCCACCCUUUGAGCUGUUGUAUGGUAGGAGGUGUCGGACUCCCAUUUGCUGGGGUGAGGUCGGUCAGCGUGUGAUGGGUAGUACAGAGAUAGUCCUUCAUACGACUGAGCAGAUUCUGCAGGUCCGGCAGAGGUUACUGACGGCUCAGAGUCGUCAGAAGCGCUACGCAGACAGGCGUCGCUUGGAGCUCGAGUUCCAAGUUGGUGACUUCGUACUCCUGAAGGUAUCUCCUUGGAAAGGAGUGAUCCGAUUCAGGAAGAGAGAUAAGUUGGGGCCUCGGUAUAUUGGCCCUUUCAGGGUGACCGCUUGGGUAGGCAGGGUAGCGUACAGCUUGGAGUUACCUGCUGAGUUGAUUCAGAUUCACGAUACCUUCCAUGUGUCUCAGUUGAGAAAGUGCAUCGCUGAUGAGUCAACAGUGGUUCCAUUAGAGGACAUUCAGGUGGAUGCAAGCCUGAGCUAUGUUAAGAGGCCGAUCGCGAUUCGGGAUAAAAGGAUCAAGACUUUGAGAAACAAGGAGGUGCCAUUGGUUCAGGUUUAGUGGCAACAUCGGAAGGAUUCCGAGAUGACCUAGGAGCCAGAGUUGGAGAUGCGCGAGCAGCAUCCAGAUUUAUUUGUGAAAAGAGACUUCGAGGGCGAAGUCUGAUUCUAGUAGGUGAGAAUUGUAACAUCUGGAUUUUCAGGUACAUUAUUUAUUCAUUCAUUUUUGGAGAUUUUCAGAGGGACUCAGCUAUAUGAUGCUUAGACUCUCCGAGUAGUGUCGUGAUUUUCCAUCUGGGUUAAUGACCGGACUCGGCGAGUUGACUAGUGGACUUGGCCAGUCCACGCUGUUUAAUGAAACCCUAAUUUCUAGGGUUUGAGACAUAUUUAAAGGCCCUUAUGGCCUUCAUUUGCGGCUACAAGUUGAUAGAGAGAGACCCCAGAGUGUGUAAGCGUUUUGAGAGAGAAAGGAAGCCAUUAUUGAUCCUUGUGUGGGUGAUUUUGCAAGAAGAAGGUGACCAAGGCAAGAGGAAACUGAAGAGGGUGCUAAUCUAUGGAUUUCAGAGCUUAAGAACUUCAUCUUGAGGUAUAUAUUCGAUCAUUCUUCAGUUUUGGGUGUUAAUUCUUGAGAGUUAGGGUUCCUAGCCCAUUUAGAGUAUGAUUGUUAGUGCAAUUGGUCCCUUCUUGUGUUGAGGCUGCGGAUCUGGAUCCAAAGAGAUCCAUAGAUCUAAGCCCCUUGAUCUUUACGGGGUGUCAUUGGGUUAUAUGAGGUUAGGGUGGCAUAUUGAGGCCAUUUCAUCAAAUAGAGCCAUUGGGUCUUUGCAUGGGCAUCAAGAUCCAAAGUUUACAUGUUUUUAUUGCUUUAGCAGGCCAGAUCUAUGAGUUAGAGGAACGGAUCUAACCUUAGGAGCUCAUGUGAGCUCGAGCAUGGCAUGAACUCGCCGAGUACCAAAAGCAGACUCGGCGAGUAGGGUUAGGGUUUCCCCAUAGUUCACUCAGUGAGUACUUGCCGAGUUGGAGGAAUGACUCAGUGAGUCAGAAGGAAUUAGAGGACUGGAGUUCAAGGCGGAACUCGCCGAGUUCAUAAUGAGACUCGGUGAGUUGAGUCGGGGUGGUCCCGCGAUUUAUGCCAGGUGUAACCCGUCGAGUAGGGGUAAGACUCGACGUGUCAUGCAGGACUAAAGGGAUAGUGGACACGCGUAGACUCGCCGAGUCACCCAAGUGCACUCGGUGAGUCGGGUCAAAGUCUAACCGUUGACUUUGUUGACUUUGAAGGUUUGGUCAACAACGGGGUCUUUGUGUCAAGAGAGGGUUGACUCUAGUCUCGAGAGUUAUAUUUAUGAGAGUAUUUUACUUUAUGUGAUUAGGCGGAGGCUAGACCAUAUUUCCACCAAGUCGGAGAUUUACUUAGACAUCUGAGGUGAGUCUUGUCACUAUACUUUACCUAGAGUGGUAAUCAGAGCUACGUGACAGUGUAUCUUAUAUGCUAUGUAUGUGUUGUGAUUUCUAUGUGAUAUGUGAUAUGCAUGAUUCAGAGUUAUAGAGUUAGGACCAGUGGGUCCAUAGAGUUAUGGGACCAAGAGGGUCCCAUAGAGAUAUUCGACCAGAGGGUCAUCAGAGUUACAGCCUUGUGUGACUGAUAUAUGUUUAUGUGGUAUUUUGGGGAACUCACUAAGCUUUAUGCUUACAUUGUUAUGUGUUAUGUGUUUCAGGUACCAGUGAUGAUCGCGGGAAGGCACCGACAUGAUCUGUACACACACCCGCGGAGUUAUUAUGAUUUGAUCUUGGGACUUGUAAUAAGAUAAUGUUGAUACAAUGUUUUCUUGAAAGUGAUUAUGAAUGAAUUUAAAUGGUUUUAAAAAGCGAAAAAUUGUCUUAAUUUUUACGGUGUUACACAUCAUCAGAUGUAUAAAGCUCAUACUGCUUUGCAAAAGCAUUUCCAAGAGAAAUGACCCAAUCAAUGUCUUGAACAACAUCCAAAGUUUCUGCAAGAAACUACAAACAAACAAAUAAAUAAAUAAUAAUGACAUGAAAAGUGAAAUCUUUAUCUAUGUUGAACUUGCAGAUCUCUACUCACAAAGAGGGAUCUACAAAAAAACAAAGGGAAUUCAUUGUGGCAUUUUAUCAUUGUGGCAUUUACCUCAAAUAAGAAAAUAUUGCAAGUUUGUGAUUAAAAUUCAUCAGGCACAACUGCAAUGAAAAGUUGAGUAGACAACCAUAAAAUAAAACCUCCAUGUCAGCAAAAAAGAACCAUAUGCAGCACCAUAAAAUUUCAAAGAGUAACAUCUACUUAUUUCAAUCACCAUCCAAGAUAAUAAAACUCCCAUUGUAUGAUAUAUGAGCUUGAUGAUUUAGCGCCAAAGAAAUCAAGAACUACCAAGCAACUUUGGUAAACCCAUUAAGACAUCAACAAAUUGUUCUUUCAGACAGCAAGUUCUUUAAAGUAUUAGCAAAAAGAAACAAUGAACCUUUUCAAUUAAUCAUUAUUCCAAAAUCAAAUUUUAUUUGUAAUAAUUGGUUUGUUUGGAAAGAACUGAAUGGUAAAGCUUACCUGAUUAUAUCCAUUUAUGUGUGUAUGAGAGAGAAAGAGAGGGGUAGCCAUAGUUAGCUCUUAAAAAAAAAAACCCAAAACAUCUAUCAAUUCCUUUUACACAUAAGAGUCAACAAGCUUGCAACUACAAGCCCUCCAGACCUGAUUACAUGUGUAGAAUUGAUUAGGUCGAUGGUAACAGCAACAAUUUUACUGUUUAGAUGAUUUCACUUUGUAACAUCAAUGGUAGCAGCAAGGAUUUUACAACUUGGAUGAAUACUGAAAAUCAAUGUAUAUCCAGGUAUGCACUCAAGACUGACAGAUCUGCUUAACAAUAAAAACCAAGCAGAAGCAAGAGGGUUAAAUCCAAAACUGAAAAAUCUCUAAUAACCCCACUUUUGUCAUGAUAUAUGAAGUAUACUUUAGUAACUUACAAAGUCAUGAGCAAAGGAUAAAUUGAACCUCUCUAUAUGAAAAGCUAUACAAGGAUAAAUUUGUAAUCACCAAUCUUUCUGGAAAACCGAGAAUGUUAAGUCGCUGGAGAGAGUUUUCAGGCUUAGAUGUGGAGUGAUUGAAUCUGCAAGAUUCUCCAUAUUUGCAAUGACCAAUUUGGUAAAACUACAACACUGGGUAAGCAUGUAAAUAUGGUAUAUGGAUAGACAACAGUGAAAGAAUAUAAUAUCAAUAAAGCAAGAAGCAGAUACUAGCAAUACAAGUUUGUAGGUUCAUUAGGCACAUUAAUUUACUCUGCAGGUUCCCAAACUAGCCCUACUGAUGGGAUGUGGAUCCAUAAACACUGACAUGGAGACUUCAUAUUGGGUCAUGAGACUCACAUGUCUCUUGCUACCCAAGACAUACAGUGGAUUGAUAUGGACACUAUCCUACCAACACUUUUUCUUCUUUUUUCCUGUCUGUUGCUAAGUAGAUUGAUUAUUCAAUCACAGUAACAAACAAGUUACUUUAUUGAUGAAAAACUCACUUGAAACCCUCUUUCGCAUGCCUUGGUUUGAAAAUUGUCAACAUCACGUACAAAUAAAGUCGGUGACCAAAUGUCUCACAAAAUUAAAGGAACCAGGUUAUAUUUCUGCCAUUUAUUGGUGGAAGCACCAAUAAAUCGAAAAUCGUGUCAUACUUCUGCACCUGUAAAGAUUAUAACCAAAUAAAAUAAGGAAAAAAACUAACCAAAAUAAGAAAAACAAAAAAGAUAAAUUGGGAAUCAUGUCUAGACGAAAGCUAUACUAAUUAGCCUUUGUAAGCUCGGAUGCUAUCUAUAGGACAAUCCAAAAAUACAUUAUAACAUGGCAUGGAAGGAAGUUGAGUUUGACCAAGUGCUGACUCCUUUAGCAUCUAUUUCUUCUACAUGCUUCAAGUCAUCAAUGGAGAAUCCUAUAAAUGAUGAAGCUGUGUAGACAUCUAUGUAUCUCUUCACCUACAUGAAUAUCUGAAAAAAAAAAAGAGUGGCUAGAAUGUAAUUUUAAAAACUUUAAUUUUAAAAUUUUAAAAUUUUAAAAUGUAUUCAAGUUAAAAUUUACUUGGCAAGAAUUGACACAAAAUACUUUUGCAUAAUUUUUCAUCCAUUCUUUGAAUUUUUGUUGACUGAGGCCUUCUUCAAGAUUCUUCCAUGUUCCAGCUACUAAACCAUAUAGCAUUGGAUUAACACGACCAAUGUUGUUUCAGUAAAAAAAAACAAAAAAGAAGUUUAAUUGGUGAAAUAAUAACUUCAUAUGUAACAAUGAUCAAAUUAUAUAAAAAGUUUAUAUCAUUCAUACCUUCCAUAAGGAAAGGAGAUCCCAAGUAAUGCUGACACUGUUGCAGCAAAAUCAAGUUGUAGAGUUUAAUUAAAUUAAGAUUUGCUUUGUAACAAAACCUGAAGAUCAUUAUAAAGAAAAUCCAAUACAUGAUAUGCAAUUAUGAAUUAAGAAUAUAGACAAUCAUACAUGUUCAAUAGAACUAACACAAACCUUCCUUCCAUCCUGUGAACACAAUACCAAAAUGAGUACUGUUAUAAUAAUAGUAGGGGUAAUGUUGUCAAAAACAAUUACUUAACAGAAUAAAUAGGAUAUAGUACCAUACCUAGUUUACAAUAUGAGGCAUCAAAAUCUGAUGGAAUAGGAAGUGAAGGCUUUUUCAAACUCAUUGCAAAAAUUGAUGUUUCAACUUGUAUAUAUAUAUAUAUAUAUAUAUAUAUAUGUGUGUGUGUGUGUGUGUGUGUGUGUGUGUGUGUGUUACUUUUUAAAUUAUCAUACCUUACAGUUUACACAAUGACAUUUUAAGAGAACUACAAUUACAAAUUUACAAUAUUACAUACCUCUUCAGGACUUCCACACCAUUUAUAGUUUGUCCAUGAUCACCCAUAACAAGAAGCAAAGUAUUUUCAUGGAGGUCACCUCUGCCAAAUUGGCUCUGCAGCACUUCCACAACCAUGAUCACCAUUUAUAGUUUACCAUCUUUACUCCAUAUUCUGACUUGCCCAUCAUAAGAACCUAUUCCAAGUAGUGUUCCAUACCCAUACAUUACAAAUUUCAUUUAUCAAUAAAAUCAAAAGCAUGAGAUGUAACAGUAAAAAGUAAAUAAAAAAUAACAAUGAAAAAAACUCACAUUCCAGUCAUGUGUGGUUUUGUGGUUACAUCUUUGCUCCUCUCGUUUGUUUGACCUCUGUAGUGCUUCAAAACAACAAUAUCUUUCGGUCCUUUUUGUAAAUUUGAGCUACAAUGUCCAUCAGCAAUUGUCCAAAUUCGAGCUUUCCAGACCUAAAUACAUAUAUCCAAUUCAGAAUCUAGAAUUUUGGCCUAUUUACUAUAAUAUUUUUGUUAAAAAUAAUAAAAAUAUCAUCAUAUAGGCACCUAGAUGCCAAAAGAGAGCGACCUGGAAUCAAUGUGAAUACAGAAACCUGAUAAAAUGGUUAAAAGAGUUGUAUUAAUUUAAUAUAAACCAAUGAAAACUUAUCUCAAAGCAUUUCAAAACCACUUUUUUUUCACUAUUAUCAGUAAAAAUAUUAUUUGAAGACCCUGUAUCAAAAUGAGAUUAUAUAAAAAGUUAAGAAUUUACACAGACCUCAGAAUUAUGACUUUCUAAAAUUGUCACAUCAGAGCCCAGAGCUCGGGAUAACAGAAGGCAAAGUUGUUGAGCCUUGUCAAUCUCCAUUGGUUAUGCUCCUAUUUCACAUUGGAAGGAACGUAUUGUUGAGGAAAAACAAUAUAUAAUAUUUAUAUCUCUAGAUUCAUAACCAUGGUAAAUCAGAUUUAUUUAACACAACAAAUGCAUAUUACCUUCUACAAUCACAUUUUCUUCAGGUUGAACUCAUAUCUUAUCAUCAUGAUCUUGUAGCUUCAAUUUCAUAUCUUAACACAACAUUCUCGUUUUUUUUUCUCUUUGAGUUUACCCUUUUCUCUUUCUUUAUCCCUUUGUAUCUUCUUUUUCUCCAACUCACAUUAUUUGUCACGUUGUUGCUUUUCCUUCUCUUUUUCUCUAUGUUCUUCUUGCUCAAAUCUCUUUUCUCUUUUCUCUGUGUUGUCUUUCAUGUUCUUUUUCUUUUUCUCUAGAAGAUUCAUGUUCAUGUUCUUUCUCUCUUUCAUUCACAUGUUUUUUCUCCCUUGCUCUAGCAUGUCCAUGGUCAUGUUCUUUGUUUUUUCUCUAGUUUUAGUUUUCUUAAGACUUUCUUUCUUCUCCUUAAUCAGUUUUUGUAGUUCAUAAACACCCUUUGUGAUAAGAUCCAUACGUUAUAUAAAAGAAAAAUUUUCAUCGAUGUCUGAAUCAUUCUGUAGACUCCAAUAGAUAGUUAUAUGAACAAAAAGGAUUACACGCAGUAAAAGGUAUAAAUAUUGUAAAUGUAUGCUUACCAUGUCAGGUUAGAUUAUAGUGCAAGAUACUGAAUUUCUCUAUGCAUAAACAUAACAAGAGGUUUUUAGGCUUAGGACGUUAAUAUAGAUUAUUCAAAAGGUAUAUUUAUUAUACAAUAGAAAUAGAAGGGGUAAAAAAAGUAAGCUUUUUAGGCUUCAUUCUAACAGAUACGCUAAAAUCACCAAAACCCUGAUUGAUUUCUACAAGGUCUAAAAAAUGAAGAGAAAAUAACUACACAAGGAGUACCGCGGGAACACUGAUCGUUCUGAGGCAUCGUUGAUGAACGAAACCCUAUAGGAGGGCUUUUUGGCUUAUGCGGUACAUAAUGAGGUUUUAUAAGAUUUUUUUUGGUGGAUUCAUCUAACUUGAUCUGUUUGUAAAGACUGGAGUACAAGUUUUGGCAUGAAAUCAAUUUUUAGUGAUCUAAUGAUGUUACAAAUCAUGGUAAAAGGUGGCGAAGAAACAUUGGAAAGAAACAAAACAUACCUUAAUCAGACCUGGGGCUUGUAAAUUUGAUCAUGGUAGUCUCCAACGAGGUUAGGUGAGCCCAAGGUCGUCAGCGAGGAGAAGAUAGCCUGAGGUUGUCGGAGGGGAAGUAACCCUAAGGUCUCCAAAGGAGAAAUGAGCCUGAGGUUUCCGACAAGGGGAAGAGAGACGAGGCGAGAUUGCCGAACGGAUUGAUUUUAGAGAUCACGUACAGAGCGAGUGUUUAGAGUGUUAUUAAAAAAAGCCCUAGAAUUAGUAGUCUCUGCGAUUUUGUGAUAAGAGACGCACGUGAUGGGGUAAAUAUAUAAAGCGACAUUUGUAGAGGACACUCGGUUAAGAUAAAUGCCCUCCGUGUUUGUAUUAUUUUUUUUAGACACUGAUUUUAGGGCACACAUAAAUGCGUGUCCUCUAUACUUCAAUUUUUGGAAAGCUAAAAUUAUUUUUAGGACCCACAGAAAAUGCGUAUCGUAAAUCAGUGCGUGUCAUUAAAUGAUUGUUUUCUAGUAGUGAUGGAUUCCAUAUAACAGCUGAAGGUAAUACGUUAAUCAGUGAUAACACAUUGGUAAAUUUGGAUGAACUUACUAACUACAAGGAAGCCAUGGCGGGCCCCGAAUCUGCUAAAUGGAAAGAGGCAAUGGACAACAAGAUUCAGUCCAUGUAUUACAAUCAAGUUUGGAACUUGGUUGACAUUGUACCGGGUCGUAAGACGGUCGGGUGUAAAUGGAUCUUCAAGAAGAAGACCGACAUGGAUGGGAAUGUGCAUACAUUCAAGGCAGGGCUGGUUGCGAAGGGAUUUACUCAAACCCCGAGGGUUGACUAUGAUGAUACCUUCUCACUAGUGGACAAGAUCAAGUCUAUUAGGGUUAUGUUGGCUAUUGUUGCAUUUCAUGAUUAUGAAAUUUGGCAGAUGGAUGUCAAAACCGCUUUCCUUAAUGGGAAGCUGGUUGAAGAUGUUUACAUGUGUCAGCUAGAAGGUUUGGUACAUGCUAAGUACCCUAAUAGAGUAUACAAGCUUGAUAAAUCCAUUUAUGGAUUAAAGCAAGCAUCUCGCAGAUGGAAUCUUUAUUUCGAUGAGAAAGUCAAAGAGUUUGGAUUUUCGAGAAGUGAGGAUGAGUCAUGUGUGUAUGUCAAGGCUAGUGGGAGUAUAGUUAGCUUUCUAGUUUUAUAUGUGGAUGACAUGCUGCUCAUAGGAAACGGCAUCCCGACCUUGCAAGAGGUUAAGUCUUGGCUUGGAAGUGUUUCUCUAUGAAGGAUGUAGGGGAAGCUGCUUGUAUUCUAAGGAUAAGGAUUUUGAGAAAUAGGGGUAGAAGACUGAUAGGACUCAGUCAAAGUGCGUACUUGGACAAGGUGUUGAAAUGUUUUAGCAUGGAGAAUUCCAAGAAGGGAGAGUUGUCUAUCCAAAGAAAUACCAAGCUGAGUAUGACUCAGAGUCCGAGUAGCGAUGUCAAGAUAGCGGAAAUGAGUAGAGUACCAUAUGCUUCCGCUGUUGGCUCGAUCAUGUACGCUAUGACAUGUACUCGCCCUGAUGUGGCUUUGGUUUUGAGCAUGGUAAACCGAUAUCAAGGGAACCCUGGUAGAGCUCACUGGAUAGCAGUAAAGAACAUUCUUAAGUACCUGCGAAGGAUUAAAACUGGUUCCUUACACUUGGUGGGAGUGAUGACUUGAGAGUGACAGGGUAUAGUGAUGCCAGUUUUCAGACCGACAGAGAUAACUUUUGCUCUCAGUCGGGCUGGAUAUUCACCUUAAAUGGAGGGGAAGUUACUUGGAAAAGUUCGAAGCAGGAGACUAUGGCUGAUUCCACGUGCAGAUCCCUGCAUAUAGCAGCGAGUGAAGCAUCGAAUGAGGCGAUAUGGUUGAAGAACUUCGUUACAGACCUUGGAAUUAUACCAGCCAUUAACAAGCCUAUGGAGAUUUUCUGUGAUCAUGAAGGAGCGGUUGCCUUAACUAAGGAACCAAGGGAUCAUGGUAGAUCUAGGCAUAUUGACAGAAAAUACCACUUCAUCAGACAUCGGGUAGAAGAAGGACUCCUUAUAGUAAAGAGGGUAUCGUCUGAAGAGAAUCUUGCGGAUCCCCUUACAAAGGGUCUGAGUAGUAUCAAGCAUUUGCAACAUGCGAGGAGCAUUGGUCUGAUGGAUGAUAUUACUUUUAGUGAUUAGAUAGUAUGUUUAGAAACUUGUAAUAGAUAAAUGUAAUUGAAAUUUGAUGAUUAAGUAAUUGAGAUUUAUUUAUAAGUAAAGUUUAGUGUCUUGUGUCGAUUGUUUAAUAUUGUUUCACUUUUGCAUAUUUUACUUCCAGAAUAAUUAGAUUGUUCAAAUUAUCCAGAGUCGAUCAUACUUUGGAAGUAAGUAAUGAGGUUAGACUGUCAUGAAUUGUUUGUAAAUUGUCUAAGUUGAAAGACCCCAACUUUCAUAUGAAGAAACAUUAUUACUCCAAAACAUGCUACAUGCAUAUUUAUUAAACAAUAUCUUACAUUGAUAACGUUAUUACAAAAGACUGAAUACAAACCGACUAUGUUUUAAUAUUUUACAUAACUACCCAGGAUAUUGUAAUUUUAUACAAACAUAAACCGAAGUACAAAAGUAAUAAUAAAAACUAUUCUAAUUCUUCCGACAGUACAUAACUAUACUGGUUGCUUAUUGCCUGCAAUUGUUAAACAUUGAGUGGGGUAAGCAGUGACGCUUAGUGAGUUCAAUAAUAGAUNAUAUAUAUAUGUAUACACACACACACACACAUAUAUAUAUAUAUAUAUGUAUACACACACUUCAGUAUGGCAGAAGCAAAGAGGAACAAGGAACAACAAAGGUAUAUGUGAAUCAUGCGGCAAGCUUUCCAUAUCAAUCGAUGAUUUGAUUCAUUGAUAAACAAUCAGUGAGAUAUAACAAUUUCAAUACUUGAUAUACAUCAAUAACAUUUCAGCGCAAAUGGCACAGAAGACAUACAAUUUUUGAUUAAACAUUUUGGUAGAUUUCAGGCUUUCAGCCCUGUCUAACCUUCUACCAAUGCCAUAGAAUAGAAGUCAUUCUCUUACCAGACAUGCUCUACAUAGCCAGAGGCUACAUACCAAUACCAUCGUUAAUCUAAGUCCUUUCAUUGAUCACAUGGUAAAAGGUAUAACUUUGCUAUCAAAAUAGCUGAAAUAAUAACAUGGAAAAACACAUGGCACAUAUAACACAUAACAUACAAUUGUUCCUAUGUAUUGAACUCACCGUGAAAUAAACCAAAGGAAUAAAUGAUAAUUCGGGCAGCACCUCGGCUCUAAAUAUGACUUUCUGUGAUGAAACCCGGGAUUUUAGUUGAAAACCGGCCUUACACGGGCAGAGUUUCGACUUUAAAAUAUAAUUUUCUCGGGAACUUCGGACCGUCGGGACUUGCUUCGGGUGUCGGGGAUGACACCGGGACUUUGGGGGGUGAAAAGUGUGUAAAAGGGUGAAAGAGGGUGUGAAAGUGUCAAUUAUGUAAACAUAAUACGGCUGCCCUCACAUGCCUUAUAUAGGGUGCAAAGCACCUUACUACGCGGGGCGUAGUCUCGCUGUACGCGGGGCGUACGAGGCUACGUGUCUGAUUCUCGGAAGGGAAGGCACGUGGCUCGGACGUGUCUAAUACGUAGCUCGCAUGCGAAGACCGGAAACGUGGUUGAUACGAGGCCCUUCCAGGCGAACGCUGGGCGUAGCUCUUGUACGUAGGGCGUACCUCCGCGGGCUAGCCUUGAUAUUUGUGACAAAAACUUGUAAAAUUCAUAUCUUUUGCAUAUGAACUCCAUUUUUAACGUUCUUUAUAUCCAUGUGUAGGUGAAAUUAUGCUCUACAACUUUCGUGUAGAUUCCUUCAGCAAAUUUUGACUUUAUUUUUAUUACUAUAUUUUUAACAUGUCGGGACAGGAUAAGACCGUUAAAAAUUUAUAACUUCUUCAUCCGAUGUCCGUUUUGUCUGUCUUUUUACCGUUGUACUACUAUUGAUGAGACCUAUGUUUGUUAAAUAGGUUGCGUCGGCUAAAAAUCACUCGAUCUUUAUUUCGAGUUUUUAGCUGUGUACUGCUAUAACGAAACUUAGAAAAAUCAUAACCUCUUCAUACGAAGUCAGAUUUGGACGUUCUUUUUAUGGAAAUUCUUGGUUUAACGUAUACUAAGACUUUCAUUUAGAUCACUAAGGCUAAAAAGUAGCUAAUCGAAAACUCACUUUUUAUGUCAUUGGCGUCGUGCCGCUUCUGUCGUGAAUCUUCGACUGGUCAUAACUUUUUCGUUAUAACUCGGAUUUCGAUGAGGUUUUCAUCUAAAUGUUUCUAACGAAAUUAUCUACAAUUUUCAAUAAUAAAAUUUUACUUAUUUCAAAUUUUAUAUUUUCGUUAAAUUUUAAUAUUUUCCUAUUGAUUGGAAUCUCAUAAGACUUCCAAUAUCCUCUGAGUGAUUCUAAACAUAGUUUUACUUCAAUUCUAGUAAAAACUAUCUGUUAGAACUCAAUACUCAAUAUCACAUAAUAUUUCAUAAUAUUAUUCAUUAAAAAACAUGAUUUCAAAACGUGUAUGUUACAUAAGUGCUUAGACAUAGCAAAGGGUUGCUGCAACAUUCAUGAGUACUUCUGAAAUAAGAUUUGAGUAUUGGAUUAAACCCACGCUCACAUGAAUCACUUCAUGCAAUUUAUCACGAGUGAUUGUGAGAUGAUAAUAUCAUAUAGUCUUUAAACCAAGAUAUAUGAGUUGUUGUUUACAAGUUGGUUGUGCAGUGAUAAUGCGUAGACGCAUCAAUAACUUGAUGUUAUAAAAUGUGUUGUUGUGUAUGAUUUGACGAGCAAAUAGUACAAGCAUAUAAGUUAAAGUUAUCUGUUCCUUUUAUCCUAAGAGGGUAAAAGCGAUAUCUUGGGCCCCUCGAUGAUUUUGUGUUGACUUAUGUGUCGGGCCCGGUCAGGAGUGAAUUGAUGUGUUCAACGAAGUUCUAUGUCAAACAAAUCAGAAAUCGGGAAACAAACUGUUGGACAUGAAGAAUGAUCAUAUUCCAUGUCUUUGUCCACAUGACAUCUUGCAGAAUGGAGGAUUAUAUGAUCCCUUAUCUAAAGGACACGUCAUUGACUAGGUCAGAGUUCGACAACGGCUUUUGAGAGCUACGAUUGCUAAUCAGAUUUUGAAGUUGUACUUGCGGUUAUAGCUAUUAGACUUAUCCAAGUAAGAGACUACUUGAUUAGGUGUCUAAGCCCAUAACUAUAAUUGGUAUGUACUUGACUCGAUACUAGCAUGGUCCUUUUGGGUUGCCUUAACCAUAGCAAUUGAUAGGAUGAAUAAUAGAGAAAGAGGUUAAUAAAUGAUUUAUUAAUAUAUUAUAAGAAUAAUAUAUUAAUUGGGAAAUAAUAUUAUUUAAUUAGUAUUCAUGAGAAAUUAAUUUGAUGAUCAAUAGAGAUUGAUUAAAUAUAAGGGUGUUGAUAUUGCAAUUUAGCGAUUGUUGCAAGUUAGGCUAUUGGACUCCUAAGGAAAGGAGUUAACGAAAACUCUAUGGGAAGACCACAUAGUGUUCGUCCAUAAGGCUUUCUAGAAGGAUCCUAUGGACCACUUAUGGCCUAAGCAGUCAGAUUAGGGUUUUACCUGGAAACCCUAGUAGCACAACUAUAUAAAGACCCCUUGGCUAGUUGAAAUCGGCUCCUAUGCAUUCUUAGAGAACCCUGGCCGAUUUUCAUAGCCUCCAUCCUCUCUCUCUUGUUCAUCCAUUGCUAGUUGGUGUUUGUGACUCCAUUAGAGGUGCAACAAUUGAGGCACUAAGCUCUUAAAGGUCAAGAUCUACAAUCAACGAAGAAAAGGUAUUCUUCUAACUAUGUUUAGUUAUCAAUUUCGAAAAUUGUAUGCUAGAUUAGGGUUUUUCUUUGGAUAACUUAAUUUGUAUGUAUAACUUGAGAAAAACAUAGAUCCAAAGCAAUUAGGGUUGCAUGUGCACCAUAGGAAUGUUGUAAUGCUCAUAGCCCAACAGUAUGGGCCCAUACUACUGAAAGCAUAGUACCCGUACACGUAUCAAGGAAGUCAUCAACCCUAGGGUUUGGGAAUUGGUUCCCCUAGUUUUAUGUGUGCUUUGUCUGAUAUCUCCCAGGUUUAUUAUCGAGUAUGGAAAGUAUGAGAUGAUUUGAGUCUAGAUCUGGAUCAGGAUCAAGAGCAAAUGGCCAAGAUGGGCCAACAUUGGCUAAGGACCAUGUCAGGGAGAUCACUCAUGAGGAAGUUAUUUCUUUUGUUUCGGGGCAUAUUCUGGAGCUAGUUGAGUCUGUUAAGGCCGCUAUGAUGGAGUACUUUGAUGACCGAUAUGCUACACUUUCUGAGGUUGUUGUUGUUGCAGCCAUUGCAGAUGUUGUUGCCUUUGGGGAUCAAGGAGAGAGAGAUUUCCAGUAUCGGGACUUCGAUUGUCUGAAGCCCCGGAGUUUGAUGGGGUCUUAGACCUGAUUGUUGUGAUGAGAUGGCUGUCUGACGUGGAGGGUUGUUUCUUCACAUGUUCUGGUCCAAAUGACCAGAAGGUUAAGUGUGCCUAAACCUUCUCAGGUUGGGGUAAGGGAUUGGUGGAGACCGGUGACUAGUUCUUCUACUCCUGAGUAAAGGGACACGAUGACCUUGAAAUAGUUCUCAGAGAUGUUCCAUGCAAGGUAUGUUACCCUAGUACAGAGGGAGAGACUGGACCAGGUGUACCUAGAUCUAAGACAGACGAUCGAGUCGGUGAAGAAGAUCACCAAGAUGUCCACUGAGAGGGCCUUGUUGAGUAAUGAGUUUGCUGCUACAGAGCAAGCUCAUGUGACUCGGUAUUUGAGCAUGAUCAAGAUGGAUAUUCGACAGUUUGUGUCCAUCCAACGCUAUGGCUCUCUCGUAGAGCUUCAGGAUGCCAUGAGGAGGCGAGAGAUUGAGAUAGAGACCCAGGUGCGGGAGCAGUGUCAGGCUCCAGAUCAGUCCCAACCUGCAGUAAAGCAGUUCGAGUCCAUUGACCAGAGAUCAGGAUCAGUUGAAGGGAGACGUAGACCUGUUGCAUGUCGCCGGUGUGGCAAGGAGGGUCAUUUUGGAAGAGACUGCAGGCGGAGUGUGCGAGUUUGUUUUCAAUGUGGUCAGGAUGGCCACAUCAGGGAUCAUUGUCCUUUUCCUAGUGAGGUGCUGGAUCCUACGCCUUAGCUUGGCAGUUACCCGAUGGUCAUCAGGGGACCGCCGGGGUCCCGAGGACCGAGAUUUUAGUUAGCAGUUCUCCUAUUUAGCAAUUGUGGUAGUAUUGGUAUCUAUCUGUCAUUUUUGUUGUGUUUCAAGGUUCAAUUAAAAUUUUGGAUGAUCAGUUAAAUGGAAUUAUCUCAUUUAUCUUGUUCCAGUUGAUCUCUUGUUAUGUAUGGAUUAAUUAUCUUUGGCAUCGAUUGCAUGCGAGUUGAAAUGUACGAUUGUUGUGUGAAAUCAGAUUCUCCUAUGUAUGUGGAUAUCAAUGGUUGAGAUCAAGUAGUAGAGUUCAAGUUAGUCGGGUAUCGAAGGACUAUGAAGUUCUCAGUCUCUAGUAUAUUUCAAGUGGGGGAGAUUGGAUCCUUGCAGAAGGAAGACUCUUAGCCAAGAUUCGAUACUCUUUUGGAUUUCUCUAGGUUCUAGAUUUCUGCACAAUUGAUAACUCUUCUGGUUUUGCGAUAAGAUCAUCAUCAGUUGUUGGAAUUUCCCUUUAAUUCGUGUUAGUAUUGGUUGUGAUGACAUCUGUAGGGCCCUUGUGCUUCGAUCCGAAGGUUUUAGUAGCUCAGGUUGAGGGUUAGCGUGUUUUUUAUCGUUUGAUCAGGGGUGAACCCCAGUGUUAAUAGUGGGUAGCUUAGCUGGGCAAUCGGAGCAAAGUAAGAGUGUGGUUUAGUUCAACAUGAGAACAAUUAGUUUUCAUUACGGUGAUGCCUUUUUGGUGUGGGAUUAGAGUGUCGACGUUGGGCCGAGAAGUUCAAAGAUCGAUUGAUUCUGCGGAUUUUGGUUCAUCGUGGUUGUUGUGGGGGAGUGCAUCAUGAAGUAGAAGCAUGAGCUGAUUUCGAGGACGAAAUCUAAUUUAAGUGGGGGAGAAUUGUAACACUCCAUUAAAAAUAAAUAAAUAAUAAUAAUAAAUUAAAUAAAAAUAAAUAAAUAAACAAAUAAAUAAUCCAUAAAACCCAGAGAUGUAUUUUAUAUUUUAUUUUAUUUUAGCCUUAAAUACGUAAUAAUUUAUUAGUGUUAUCCAUAGGAGUUGAAAGUUAUAUUUUCUUGAUGUUAAGGGUUAAAUGGUAACCUAUGGACUUGUAUUUUAUAGCUUUUUAGAAGCACGGGGCUAAAGAGUAAAAUAUGGACUUAAUUUGAAAAGAAAUUAUAGAGGCAGGGACCAUUCUCGUUAAAAUGUGACCAAAAAGUUAGGCUAACCCUUCUCUAACUCUUGGAAAGGGUGAAAGACCAUUUUACCCAUCUAUGGUCUCCAUAAUUCGUGUCUUGACCAAACCCUAAAAGUUAACGGAAGUCAACACUCGUGUUAACACCCCAUGUUGACCCAACUCGUUGAGUGCAUUUAAGCGACUCGUCGAGUUCAUUCAUUUUUUCUGAAGUAUCGGGAAAAUCCAACUCAACUCGUCGAGUUGUCUCACCAACUCGCCGAGUUUUAACGCAUCCAGACUAUCGGGGAAAACCCUAGCCAACUUGUCGAGUUGACUCAUCAACUCGUUGAGUCCCUUCAGUUUAUUCUCUCAUUCAGAAGUUGUUAAGAAGAACUAAGGCCUCAUACUCUAUAUAUAGCCUUCUAAGGCUGAAGUAUUACAUAAAGCUGCAAGCUUUACGUCGAUGCAUGACAUCUAGGGCUCAAAAUGCCAAAACAAGCUAUAUAGAGGAUUUAAUGCAUGAAAGUUGGCCAAUAGCUUGAUAAAUCUUGAAACUUUAGGCCCAAGGAACCUCAUGUUGGAUUAGUGUCUAAGUCAAUAACUAUAAUUGGUAUAUACUUGACCCGACCCGGCAUGGUCCAUUUGGGUUGCAUGGCAUCGGAACAUUUGGGUAGACCUUUUAAUGAGAAGAAGAUAUUUGUGACAUACUAAUAUAUUAUUAUUUCUAAUAUAUUAAUAUGAGAUCAUAUUAGUAUUGACCAAGAAUUAAUUUGGAAUAAAUUUAGUGAUCAAAAAGAGACUAAUUAAAUAUAUGGGGAUUGAUUGUGUAAAUCAUUGAUUCUUAUAUAUGUGGGCUUAUAAUCAAUGAUUCCUUAUGUUGGGUUUAACCCAUGUGGUGGCCCAUGGAUACUCCAUGGAGGUUAAAACCCAUGGAGCAUAAGGAAUGCGUAAAGUCAUAGAUUACAUGGUGUAACCCUAAUAGCCACACUAUAUAAAGACCCCAUUGGUUGGAGAAAUUGGCACUAGUGCAUAAUAUAGAGGGCAAGCCAAUUUCUAUGAACUCACAUCUUCUCUCAUGGUUAUUCCAAAUUUUCAUGGUGUUGUGUGAACUAUUUGAGGUGUCACAUUUGGGGCACUAGGCUCUUGAGCUCCAUGGAAUCAAGCACCAACAAAGAGGUAUGUAUUCUACUAGNUAUAUUAAUUGUACUUCAUAAUAUGCUAGUUAGGAUAAUACCUUGGAAAAUUGAUAUUUUCAUGUAUAAUAGAGAAAACAUAGAUCCAAGGUAUUUAGGGUUGCAUGUACACCAUAAGAGUGUUAAAAUGCUCAUAACCCAAUAGUGGUAUAAGAGCCUAGGGUUGUUUUCACUUAUACUUGAUGAAAACUACUGAAAAAACAAAGAAUUGUGCUGUCUGGACAGGGGACUCGGCGAGUCCAUGAAGGGACUCGAUGAGUCCAAGGCAAAGUCCAUCCAACUUGCCGAGUUGGUUCAUGCACUCGAUGAGUUGGACCCCCAAACAGCAUAUCUUUGAGUUUUGGUGCUGGAAUUGGUCUAGAAUCAUUACCUUUGAUUGUUUUGGAGUUAUAAUACCUGUUUUAAAUGUAGUAAUGAUUAUGUUAAACCAAUUUCAAUUCUAUAAUCAAAGUUUCAAGUUUAUAUAUGUUUAUGUAAUUCUUGAAAAAUUGUUGAUUUAUGAAUGUUCAUGCUUGUGAAUUUUAGUUAGAUCAUACGAAUUAUGUGCAAAUUGUUUUGUUAGUAUAAUUCUUGAUCUUAAUGAAAUUGUAUGGACUCCAUAACUAGUCCUCAAGUUAUGGAUCACCAAAAGUUUUUUUGUGUUACCUUGUUUAUGAGUUAAUUUAGAUUAAUAAAAAAAUUAUGUGUUAGUUGUUUUCAAUCCAUAUUGAUCUAAAAGAAGUUCAUAAACUAUGUUUUUGUAACUUGUCUUCAAGUUAUAUGAAAAUUCAUAUUUAUGAAUCUUAAAACUCAUAAUUAUUGCCAAAGGUUACACAAAAUGAAGAGUCUUAUUCAUUAAAUUGUUUUAUGAGUCCAUAACUUGUCCUCAAGUUAUGGAUAUUUAAGAGUCACUUCUUUAAAAGUGUUAUUAAAGAAUAAGGAGUUACAUAAAAUGAAGAGUCUUCAUUUUAAUGUACAUUAAACUCAUAAGUUAUGAAUAUGAAAGGUUUUGAAUAGUUUCAAAACUUGCCCUCAAGUUUUGGAGUUUGUAAAGUCUCACACACAUUAAUGCUUUAAUUCCAAACUCUAAAAUUUUAAAAGUUAAAAUUCAAACUUUAUGGAUUUCAUUAAAUCAAUUAAAGUGUUUAAUUAAAAGAGUUAAUAGUUCCAUAAAGACAUGUUUCAAGUUUAAUUAAAUUAAGAGUAUAGUUUAAUUAAUAAGAUUAAACCACCAAGUGUUUUAAUUGUAUAAAAUACACUCUUAUACUAUUAUAAUAUUAAAAGUUAAUACUUAUAUAUAUAUAUAUANNNNNNNNNNNNNNNNNNNNNNNNNNNNNNNNNNNNNNNNNNNNNNNNNNNNNNNNNNNNNNNNNNNNNNNNNNNNNNNNNNNNNNNNNNNNNNNNNNNNNNNNNNNNNNNNNNNNNNNNNNNNNNNNNNNNNNNNNNNNNNNNNNNNNNNNNNNNNNNNNNNNNNNNNNNNNNNNNNNNNNNNNNNNNNNNNNNNNNNNNNNNNNNNNNNNNNNUACAAGUUAAAAAUUCAACCCUAUACUAUUAUAUAUUAUUACAAGCUUUAUAUAUGUAUAUAUAUAUAUAUGUAUAUGUAUAUAUAUAUAUAUAUAUAUAUAUAUAUAUAUAUAUAUGUAUAUAUAUAUGUAUGUAUGUAUGUAUGUAUAAGAGUGAAGUCAAUCUUAGCGUUAGUAGGCCUCAAUCACAAAGCUAGUCUCUAGGGGGGGUAUAAGGUUACUACCUAUAAAAUGACGGUUUAAUGAGUGUCCACUCUCACUCACCGCUUCAUUGACUGGUGGAGGGUCGUUAGCCGAACGGGUAGAAUAUGACUAUAAUUCUCCCUUCAUUAAAAGUAUAAUGAUAAAUACUAAGUAACUAAACACUUAUAAAUUCCCAAUCUUAGUAACUUAGGAAAAUGUGAAAAGGUGCUAACCCAUGAAAUUGCACUUUGCACCUUGUAAAGUUGUUAGUGGAUCAUGUGUGGUUAACCGGCACACUAACCUGGGACUGACCAAGUGUGGUAAAGGGUAACUUAAAUUUAUCAUAGAUCGGUGGAGUGUGUGUGGUUAACCGGCACAUCGAUUAGGUGAUAAAUAUUAAGGGUACCAAGUAUAUUUUCAUGGUUAUUCACACCUUUGUUUGUGAUUUCGGCAUCCUAGUCACAAACUUGAGAGGGCACAAUCGAGAUUCAAAUAUGCCAUUGAAAGUUCAAUGUAUCUCAAAAUAUCUAGGAGUUUCAAAUCCAAUUAAAACUUAAUUAUAUUUUGUUUUUCAUGGUGGAAAUUGGUAAAUCGUCAUUUAGCUACCUUCAACUAUUUUAUAACUCGGAUUACAACAUCCCUCUUCCAAAUAUAAGUAGGUUGUUGGGUCCUAGCCUUAAUAUUUCAUAUUGGGUAUUAUAUUAAGGACUUUAAAUCAACUAACUUGAAUUUCUCCCUUAUAGAUGUCUCUUUCAGACAACUAUGGUCUUCCUAAAUUUUUAGGAACAAGCUUCCUAAUGAAGAUGAUAUCCCAAAUGGCAACCAUGGUGAAAGAUCAAUCCCUUUGUUGUGCAUUAGUGGGACUGGAAAUCAUACUUCAUUUCCUCCACCUCCUCCAAUAAAUCUCCUUAUCCCACAAGUUUCAAGACUUGAUAAGUUCUAAGUCACUCAAUCCUUAUUGGCAAGAAAAGUCUAUAUGUCCUUACAUCUUAGAGGUUAAGUCACAUAUUGACAAGCCGGUGUAGUCGGGUGUCGAAGUCUCGAGGUAGCUGGCUGUUGACUUGGUUCUUCAGUCACUCACUGAUGAGAAAUCACGACAUGACCCUUAAUGAUCUUACCUAUUUGCUUGAUGAUGCUGAAUCAGAAAUGAUUUGGAGCAUUGGUAAAGCAAAUUAGACUGGAAGAUCCACUUCACAAACCUAUUUGGACAAUGACAAUGGUGACACUGGAAGUCUAGAAAAACUUUCUCUUCCCAAUUCAAAGGGAUCGGCCAUGGUCAAGUCGUUUGACCUAAUAGUAAGGAGAAAUUUGAAGUCUGUGAUAUUCCCAUACACCAUUUCCAAAGAGUCCAUAUAUUUCUUUUGCCAAUAAAAGGGACACUGGUUCCGAAGCUGCCCAAUUUAUUUGGAAUAUCAUAACGAAGGUAAAGUAAAAAAAGUUUGACUUUGCUUCGGGUAAACUCUAUUAAGUCUCUUUUUGAUAUUCUUAAUACAUGAUGUAAUGUAAUUACAUUUUGAAGUUUUGGAAGAAUCAAAUGAAGCUUAAAGUAUGAUUAUGUGGAUUCUGAUCGCGAAGAUGGAUUUCAAUCGCAUGGUCCAAUGAUCAGAAUUUUGAGCUGCUGCAUAAGAGUUAUGAUAUAUAUUGCUUAGGAAUAGACAAAAAAUGUUUUUCAUAUGUAUUUGCAUUGUAAGGAUAAGUUUUUUCCGCAAGUUUUAAAAUAAAAGAAAAUUUUUGUUUUAUUUAUUUUAAGUAUCCUUACAAUGACAUUUGUGAAAAAAUUGUUGUUUAUAUGUUUCCAUUGAUAAGCAUUAUUGGUAAAUGGAUUUGAUUCUUUCAUUUGUGGUAGUAUCAUAAUUUACCAAAUAAGGAAAGAUUCUCAUCACCCAGGGUUCAGUUGGAUAGAAACUUGGAAUCAUGCAACUUGUAUUGUAUGAUGAAUGAGAAAUUUUCAUCAUUGGGAAAUUAAGACUAAUUCCUUGUUCACAUGUACAUGUGAGUCAGUAAAAGGACUCAAGGAUUGGGUACACUUGGGUGUGCGCUGAUCAGGUCCACCACAAAGACUAUUCCUCAUGAUUUACGAAAGUUUAGUAAAUAUGGUUAUGCUUACAAGUUUAAGAGUAAUUAUGAAACAUUGGAAAGGUUUCAAUGUAUGACAGAACGGAUAAGAAGAAUCAAAUAAGGCAGGAAGAUAAAAGUUUCUCCAAUAUGAAGAGAUGGGAGAGUACUUGAGCAUCUUGUUUUAUGAUUAUCUUAGUGAUUAUGAAACCAUAUCACAAUUGAUCCUCUAAGGACACCUUAGUUCAUUUGUUUGGCUAAGGAGAGGAAUCAUGAAUUGUUGAAAUGGUUAAAUCAAAAGACAAAUCAUACUUCGUUCCAAAAUCAAAUCUUAGAGUCAUACUCCAAGACUGAGCCUUGAGUGACAUAAUCUUAAGAAAUGUUUAAAAAACUUGUCAAAUGUAGAGUAAAGUGUUUUCUUACUCUUGUACAUUUGAAAUUGGUAAGUUGUGAUGUUUUGGAUAAAAUAAAGACCAACUAAGGCCAAUUGUGUGAAUUGUUUGUCUUGAUUAGAAUCUACACUAUCUCUUAAAUAUUUGGCAAGAGAGUCUUAUAUGUCAAGAGGACAAUGGGGGUCUAAAAGAUCCUGAAAUAGUUUGAAGAACUAAUCAAUAGUAUUGUUAAUCACUAGCCCACGACCUUCAGUCCAUAUGUGUUUGGAUUUGCCACUAACCUUGUCUUGUGAUUAUGAUUAUGACAAAUUCACAUGGAUGGGAACACUUACACCACAUAAAAUCUAAGUGUCAUAAGGUUUCUCUCUGAUUCAUGAAAAUGAUGGUGAUGAAACGCUUUCACUAAGUAGAUUUUAAGUAGAUAGCAAUUGUGAUAUUUGCAUUCUCAAAGUCGUUAGUGGAGCGUGUGUGGUUAACUGGCACACUAACAUGGACUUGUGAGAAAUGGCAAAGGUCUAAACAAUUGAGACUAUGAUUAUGACAUCCAUUUUCAUAGUUCUGAAGUUUUUUAGACACACAUGUGUGCUAUCUAAGGAAAGGUGUAUGAUUUUGAUAAAGUUUUAUCAAAGCAUCUUGUAUCAGAAAUCUGAACUUUGGUAAGGAAGUCAAUAAAGUAUUGUACGUUUUUCAAGAAGUCCAGCUGAUUUCUGAGUACAUGUCAAAGCUAGUGGGAGCAUAAGUGUUAUGCUAGUAAGAUAAUAAUCAUUAUGCUAGUGGGAGCAUGAUGAUUAUAGUUAGCAAUGUUAAUUAUUGACAACAAAAUUUUCAAUUCUCUUUGAAAAGUUGUUUUUCUAUAAUUAAGGGAGAUGAUUUUAUACUUCAUUCCAAUUCUACAAGAUUAGAUUGAGAUUUUAAUGAACUUUAGUCAAGGAUAUAUAUGAAUGUUAUGUUGGAAUGGUUCAACAUAAGGAAAUUCUAUAUAUGUUGCUUUUCCAAAAUUCGAUUAUGAUUACGGCCUACCUCUUCAAAGUUUGAAUUAUCUGAACAUGGCAAAUAAAUUUUUUUAUAGCAAAAGAAUGGUAAAGUAUCAUGUCUUUAUGUAAGACAUCAUGAAUUGUGUCCCAUAUGCUUCAGGCAUAGGAUCGAUUACAUGUGCUAUAGUAUUCAUCCAUUCUAAAUUUUCCUAAUGCUUAGGGCAUUAAGAAGGAAAAAGGGAUUAGAACUGGAUAUGACUAAAAUGAUUAAGCAAUUGUCGAGGACAACUUGAGGCUUACCAAAGAUUGGUUACUUAUAGACAAUUGGAAGUAUAUAGUAAGGACCAUAUUGACAUAUUUUGAAAAGAGACAACUCUUGUUCAGAAGUGAUAGUCAAAAUGGUAAUGUGGAAUUGUUUCCAUAGGUGGAAGUUAUUCUUUGAAUCUGUGAAAGAUUAGAAAACUUAAUGCAAAGAAGGAUGUUCAAAGGAAUGUACUUUGAAUUUGAGAUUUCAUUUCCAUGGGAUUGCUUUCCAUUGGAGUACUCUGUAAUAUAUGUUGCCAAGUCUUUGUGACUUUGUGCAUAAUCAUUACAAGGGGAUCAUUGCAUAUAAGUUUAGAAUCUAAUAGAUUAUAGUGAAUGGGAAGAGUUUGGUAUUCUUACAUUUACAAUAAGGAUUGGAAUUAUGAAAUAAGCAUGAUUGAAAUGAUGUCAAUCGAUCUGUUCUAGAAAGAGAGGACCAUAUGUAAACAUAGUAUGCAUACUUGGAGUAUGGCAUAGCUGUUGUUUAGACAAACAUAGUGUGCAUGCUUGGAGCAUGGCAUCACUACUGUUUUAAUUCAAGCAUUAAGUUGAUUAAUCGAAACAUGAAUAAUGAGUAAUCUAUAUGGUUCUUAGAUAAAAUAUGUUUUAUUUACACUCAAAGUGUUGAGGCCAUACAUGAUUAGUAUUAUUUUUGUGUUUUACUUUGCAUGUUUUGACUUCUAGAAUAACUAGUUCAUUCUUCCCGAAUGACUAAGUUAUUCAAACCAUCCACAGUCGGUCAUAUGUUGGAAGUAGAUAUGAAUCAAGACUGUCAUGAAUCUAGCUUGUAAGAUUUGUCUAAUGUGAAUUAGACAUAGAAAUGGUUGCUACAACAUUCAUGACUGCUCAUAAGUUCUGAGUAUUGGAUUAAACCCACACUCAUUUGAAUCAAUUCAUGGAUUUUAUCAUGAGUGAAUCAUGAGAUGAUAAUAUCUUAUACUCUUCAAACCUAGAGAUAUGAGUUGUUGACUAUGAGUUGGUUAUACAUUGAUUGCACGAAAACGCAUUGGUAACUCGAUGUUAUAAAAUGUGCCUUUGUGUAUAAUUCAACAAGUAGUUAGUACAAGCAUAUGAGUCAAAGUUUAUCCAUUCCUUUUACCCUUAAUGGGAUAAAAGCGAUAUAUGUGGGCCCCUCGAUGAUUUAGUGAUGGCACCCAUAAGUGCUUGGCCAAGCCUGGACUGAUUUAAUUUGUUCAAUUAGUCGGUCGUCAUAAAUCAGACAUCGGGAAACAACAAAUGGACAGAGAGAAUGAUUAUAAUCCAUGUCUCAGUCCAUAUGAUAUCUAAAAUGCAGGAAUAUAUGAUCACUUAUCUAAUGGACAUGUCAUUGAUUUGUUCAGAGUUUGCCAGUAGCUUUUAAGAACUACGAUUGUCGGUCAUGUUGUGAAGUUAUACUUGCAAUAAUAGUUAUUAGACUUAUCCAAGUGGGAGACUGUUGGAUUAGUGUCUAAGUCCAUAACUAUAAUUGGUAUAUACUUGACCCGACCCGGCAUGGUCCAUUUGGGUUGCAUGGCAUCGGAACAUUUGGGUAGACCUUUUAAUGAGAAGAAGAUAUUUGUGACAUAUUAAUAUACUAUAGGUUCUACUAUAUUAAUAUGAGAUCAUAUUAGUAUUGAUCAAUAAUUAAUUUAGUGAUCAAAAAGAGACUAAUUAAAUAUAUGGGGAUUGAUUGUGUAAAUCAUUGAUUCUUAUAUAUGUGGGCUUAUGAUCCAUGAUUCCUUAUGUUGGGUUUAACCCUUGUGGUGGCCCAUGGAUCCUCCAUGGAGGUUAAAACCCAUGGAGCAUAAGGAAUAGGUAAAGUUAUAGGUUACAUGGUGUAACCCUAAUAGCCACACUAUAUAAAGACCCCAUUGGUUGGAGAAAUUGGCACUAGUGCAUAAUAUAGAGGGCAAGCCAAUUUCUAUGAACUCAUAUCUUCUCUCAUGGUUAUUCCAAAUGUUCAUGGUGUUGUGUGAACCAUUUGAGGUGUCACAUUUGGGGCACUAGGCUCUUGAGCUCCAUGGAAUCAAUUACCAACAAAUUGGUAUGUAAUUCUUCUAGUUUUAUAUUACUUGUACUUCAUAAUAUGCUAGUUAGGAUAAUACCUUGGAAAAUUGAUAUUUGCAUGUAUAAUAGAGAAAACAUAGAUCCAAGGUAUUUAGGGUUGCAUGUACACCAUAAGAGUGUUAGAAUGCUCAUAAGCCAACACCUCAUACUGUCCAGAUCUGAAGUUUCAACUCCAUGUCAAGAUCAACAAUUUAAGGACCUAAAGAAAGAUGGAAAAAGGGCCAUAAACUCCCAAGUGAAGAGAUCUAACCAAACAAUGAUCAAGGUGAUAGCUUUUUACCUCCAAUUAGCAUCUAACACUAAAAGAACAAUGGAUCCACGGGACUUCAUACUGUCCAGAUCUGAAGUCUCAACUCCAUGGCAAGAUCAACAACUUAAGGACCCAAAGAAAGAUGGAAAAAGGGCCAUAAACUCCCUAGUGAAGAGAUCUAACCAAAAAAUGAUCAAGGUGAUAUAUUUUUACCUCCAAUUAGAAGCUAACACCGAAAGAACAUUGGAUCCAAGGGUUCCUUCUCGCUCUAAGCCUUUUGCUCCUCAAUCUUCUUCCAAAAAUGCACAAGAACAUACAAUAUUAGCCUCUCUUUCUCUCACAGAUGGAUAUAGCUCGAUUAGGGUUUCUCUCAAUGUGUCAAGGUGAUAAGGGAAGCGGAAAUGAAGGCUUAAGGUCCUUUAAAUAAAGUACAAACCCUAAAAUUAGGGUUUUCACACUCAGCUCCUACUCGUCGAGUUGGGGUCCUCCUACUCGUUGAGUUAGGGUCCUCUAAUUCAUCGAGUAGACUCUAAAAUCACGUGGCCAUUAAAACUCUCUACUCGGAGAGGUCGUGCCUCCAACUCAUCAAGUUGCCUUAACAACAUGAAUAUUAAUUAAUUAAUUAUUAUACCUGGGAGUCAGGAUGUUACAAUUAGCUUAUCACGGUAUUCUCCUUUUGCAUGUUUGAAACCCACUUCCCGAGUAUUAGUUUACUCAAACCUCCACAUUUGGUCAUACUUUUAGAAGUAAGUAGUGGUUUAAUACUGUCAUGGAGUUUUAGUAUAUUGUCUAUAUUAUACUGAUUAGGCAUAGCAUAGAGACUGUGACUAACGGUCAUGAGUACUUAAUGAAGAUUUAAGUAUUGGAACAACUCGCACUUAUAGAUUACUUUAUGGAUAAAGUCACAAGUAAUUCUAAGAUGAUAAUAUCUAUUCUUCUUCAAACAAAGAUAGAUAAGGCUUUUGCUUUAGAAAUCUAUUAUGCGUUGGCCUUCUCCGAGGAUAUUUGUAGUUGGUACUAAUAAAGGGUAUGUCCAUGUGUGACAUGGUGAGUAGACAAAAUCUAUGUAAUCAAAUUGUAUUUGUUCCUUCUAUCUUGAAAGGAAAAGAGAUAUAUGGCUCCUUGAUGAUUUGGUGUUGACAUCUAAAGUGCUUAGUCGAUCCUUGAAUGAAAUUGAUGUGUUCAAUUUAGUAUCCAGAUGUAGUUAUCACAAAUAUUUAUUGGAAAACAUAAUAUUAAAUAUUAAGAUUGACCAUUAUCCAUGUCUCUGGUUCAUAUAGAUACAUUUAAGAACAAAUCAAUUGUUGAUCAUUUAUCUAAGCAUUGAAUCUUGAUUUGAUCAAAGUCAGUUGUUGCUUUAGAUACCAUGCUCUUUAUUGACUAUUUGAGAAGUGUUAGACCUUGUACUGUUGAUGACUUGUCUAAGUGGGAGACUAUUGGAAAGAGUGUCUAAGAUCACUAACCAUUGGUAAUAUUUUUAAUAAUAGUAGGGUCCUUUUGGGUUUCCCUCAUAACCGAUCUAAGUAAAAAGAAUUUAGGAGAAAUUAGUUUAUUAAUUUUUCACGGCUUGAUAAAUUAAGAAUUAAUUAACUCAAGAGGUUGAAUAUUAAUUAAUUAAAGGUUAAUGAUUGGAAUAAUCCAUAAUCAGUAAGGGAUAUGGUAAAGGACGAAAUUGGAUAGGGUUUAUCCAUAAUUUUGGAGUUGCUUUAGGACUAAACAAUUGAAGCCAAUAAAUAGGAUGUUGAGGAUCAAACCCUAUUUUGUUCAUUCUCUGCCCCUUCUCCUUGAGGUCAUCGAAUUUCUUAACCUGUCAAGGGUAGUAGAAAUUUCAAUCUAGCCUCUCUCCUAGUUUUUUUUUCUUUUUCUUUUAUUUUAUUUUAUUUUUAUUUUUUCUCUUUGGUGUUCUUGGGCGUGAACCAUUAUAAGGAUUUCAAUUUGGGUACUCCCAUCCAUGAAAGGUGUCAAGAACAAGGUUUCAAGCAAGGAUCGAGAUCAUUGGCUUCUAAAUAGGUACAUAUUUUUUCUUAAUUAUUUUAGUAAUAGCAUUAAUAGCAUGAAAUCUAGAUCCUCUCAGUUGCAUAAACACAUAGGAAUUAUUGUUUCUUUUUGUUGCACAUAAUUGUGUGUUUAGAUGUAGAAAACCUAUCAAAACGAUAUACAAAGGUUGAAAUUUUUUUGUUUUAUAAAAUCAAGUCUUUAUCAAAACCUCCCACAUAUAUUAUUUAUAAAAUCACAAGUGGACAAAAAAAAACAUUACCUUCUUCUAAAAGGAAGUGAAGAUGAUGGUGGGCGUGUUGUCCUCUAUUUGUUAGGCUCUCAUCGUAUUUCACUUUUUGUUGGUUUUAGGGUUCCUUUUUGAACCAUAUGAAAGUGCAAUUUUUGAAGUUUCGAUCAAUAAAAGAGAGACGAUGGGAACCCAAAAUUGAGUUGCGCCAAUGAUUUGGCUUUGUAGUAUGUCACCUUUCUUGAUCAUUUAAUGAAGGAAUUUAAAUAAAAGUUAUAAAGUGAUGGUGAUCGGUUUGAGUGGUCGUCGACGACGGUUGGCGACUAUAAAUUGGAGGUUGGUAGGUGGUGUGACUAAAAGAGAUGGGAAGUUCUGGCUUUGUACAUUUUUUUCGUGUUAGAAAAGUGGGAUGAAGAUGAUGACGGUGGUGAUGUUGUCAUAGGGUUUCUGAAAACUAAUAUCCCUAAUUUAAAGGGUUAUUAUUUGAAUUAGAUUUUUACCAUAAUUAAUUUACAGAUAAGAUUACUAUUAUACCCUUUUAAGAAUUAUUAAUUACUUAAUUAUUUUUAAAUUCUUAUUGUGUCCUUACGUCCGCAUAAUAUUUAUUCAUCCACAAAUGAACCUACCUACCUACCUAUAUAUAUAUAUAUAUANCUUACGUUAUUUUGUUUUUACUAACUAUUGUGUGCCAGAAUGCACAGAUCUGGACCACCGAAUAGAAUAAAAUCAAAUGUCAUGAUCUGAGGGUCUAUGAUCUUAUAAUAGGGUAACAUGUACCAUAUAAUCACCCAAAUUUCAGCAUAAGGGCAUUUUAGUCAAUUAACUCUCAUUAAAAUAGGAAAUUUUCGGAUUUUUAAGGAUAAUUAAUUCAUUUAUUUUUAAAAAUCUAAAUAUUUUAAAUUAAUUCAAAUUUGAAAAUUCGAUUUUAUUCUGUCAGAAUGACAAAAUGCCAACCAUAAAUUAGUAAAUAUAUUUUCGAUUUUAUUCUUGCAGAAUAUAUUUUCCAAUGCAUAUAUUUUUGAUAAUUAACCUGAUUUAAGAAUUCUAUAUUAUUAUUCAUAUACAUCCAAGUUGGGUCUAUGAUUUUAUUCUUAAUACACAUCCGAAAUAAAAUACAAAUUCAUACAUAAUAUCCUUAUACAUUUUAAUAUAUUUAUACACAUUCUAACAGAAUAGCAUCAAAAGAAUGAAUAAAAUUCUUAAAAAAUAGCAUUCUUGAAUAUACUAUUAUUGGACAAAUACACUUGAUCUUCUUCAGUGGUCCAUAUAAUCCACUUGAUCUUUGCAUAUAUACUUGUUGUUGAACUCGAUUCUAAAUAUUUCUCUUGUAUGAUCAAUAUUGAAUUCCUUCUUCAACCAUUCUGAAAGAAUAACAUGCACUACUUGUUAGUAUUACCAUAUAAGCAAAUAGACUUGUUGUUAACAAACAUUCUUAAAGACAUUCUUAUAGAAUGCAUUUAUAUAAAUAAAUUUUGACAGAAUACACCACGAAAUGCACUUAAAUCAUAGUUUUUUCUUCUGUAUGACAAAAAAUAAAACAAACUUUAAAUCAUAGCAUAAUGUUUUUUACUUAUUUCUAUCUUGCAACAUUUUUUUUUCACUUUUCCUAUCUUUACAAAUAAGGAGAUUGAAAUUGAAUUCUAUCAGAAUAAUAGGCAUCAAGUCGAUGAGUGUUACUAACAUCAUUCUAAAAGAAUAUUAUGUUCUCUCAUUCUGAAAGAAUUUGCAGAUUUAAAAUAACGUUCAUUAUAAAUUAUAUUGGUGGAAUACCAAACUUUCCAUGAGUUUACUAUAAGAAAAUCACCUAGACAUGUCCCGUAUGAAGAAACUUAAUAGGGCAACAAAAAAAAAUCAUUAUUUAUAACCAAAUAGAUCACAAACAUGACUAAAAAUUAAGUUGACUUUGAGAGUCAAAUGAAUACAAAUUUUAAUUAGUUAAAAGGUAAUUUGUAAUGGAAAUGGUAUAGUGAAAACUACUUUGUACUUACCAGAAGGAGAAUGCUUCUUCCUUUUCUUGAUUUGUCCAACAAGAUCAUGCCAACAAUAGUGAUAUGAAUAUGUAUUUACCAAUUAGUUAUGUAUUAACACGAUAUGAAAGAAAUGAAACCAAGAAAAAAAAACUAAGACUUAAUAGGGAUUUCACUUGCAUAAAAUCUAAUUCCAUUUAUUCCACACAAGUGUUGGCACGCCAUUAAUCCAACACCAAUCUAAAACAUACGUAAACCAAAAACAAAUUAUAAUUGAAUAAAAUUUACAAAACAUGAAAAAAGUUCUUAUGCUUACAAUAAUCAUCGCAUCAAACAAAUCCAAUACUCUAGCAUAGGAAGUUUUUGAAAAUUAAGUGUAGUCUCCCAUAUAAACAAACAAAGAAACAAGCCCAAAUUGUCAAUUUACGUUUGCACCUUUUUUCUUCCUAUCACUUUUCCUCCUACUAAUUGAAAAAAGACACUACUCAGUUAUUAUUGAUUUUGGUUCCUGCAUAAAUACAAACCUUGCAGUGCGCAUCGACCAUAUCACUUGCAAAAGCCUUACCAACACCUUAUCUAAUGCCUGAUGUGGACGGGUGCGACGAAGCUGAAGGUCGGCAACGGCAACGCUGAUGGAGGCAAUCAUGAUAACCAAGUGUAGGGUUUCUUGAUUAUUAUAGGCUCUGACUUUGAUAUCUUUUGUUUAAAGGGAUAAUAAGUAUUUUAAAUAUUUACCAUAAUUAAAUAUAGCAAAAAUUACUAUUAUACCCUUAAAGAAUUUAUUUAAUUAUUUAUUAUUUCCUAAAUUCUCAUUGGUUCUUAAAAGCACAGAAUAGUUGUUGAAACAUUUGAACCUAACUCUCUNUGUAUGUAUGUAUGUAUAUAUAUAUAUAUAUAUAUAUAUAUAUAUAUAUAUACGCUUAGGUUAUUGUGUUCUAACUAAUUAUUGUGUGUAUGUAGGAAUGAUUGUAGGCCAAUCAUUUUACUUAUUUUAAGAAACUGAUUAAUAAAUAUUAUUGAAUUAAAAAUAAUUGAAAAGUAUCAUCUAAUUUCAUUGUAAGAGUAUUUUAGUCACUUAACAGAAAUUCAAAAAAGGAAAAUUGCGAAAUUUAGAAAAUAAUUAAUUCUCUUAACUUUAAAAAUCCAACUUUUUUUAUAAUAAUUAUAUUAAUUCAGACAUUCUAAAAGAAUGUGUUGACGAUUAUCUUGAAAAAACAUUAUAUUCUGACAGAAUACUAUAAACAUAUAUUAUCAAAAUUAAUAAUUUUUAAUGAAUAAAAAAUUUAUAUGAGACGAAUUUUAAUAGUUAAGAAUCUGUAAUUACAUUCAUUCUUAAAGAAUACAACUAUGAACAUAAAUUACAUUCAUUCUGAAAGAAUACGACUAAUACGGUUAACAAUUACAUAUAUUCUUAAAUAUUGAGAAUGGAUAAAAAUCAAAUAAAACAUUAAAAUCUAAGUAAAGCACUAAUAAUUUGUAAAAGAAUGUUGUGGCAAAUUCCUUCUGACAUAAUAUAUUACUAAUCCCUUCUAAACGAAUAUUGUUGCUACUUCUCACAUAUUGACACAAUGUAUUCCUAUCUGAUGUGACUGUCGUGAGAAUAAAACGCUUUUAUCUUCAUUUCAUUACCUGCAAAAAUAAUAAGAGCAUUAUGUGAAAAACAUAUAUCAUAAUAAUAAUCCCCCAUAGGUGCACACUUUUAAAUGCAAAAGCUAUCAAAUUGCUAAAAUUGGGUAGUGCAAUGAUCUUCUUGUCUUUAGAGGCUACUAUAUAGGAACAAUGGUACUUGGUUUCUAUGGUUUGUUCAUUUGAUUACUCAAAGUUAUAAUCAUUAGCAUAUGACAAUGCACACAACGAUCACAUAAAAUGUGCUUAGGACUAGAUGAAGUGAUGAACAAAAGAAGAAAAUGGCAAAGUCAAUGAAGGCAAAGUGCCAAAGUAAACUUAUCAAUCUGUUUAGCUUAACCAUACCCAAUUUCCGGUUCAAAAUUAGCAGAAUCAGUUCAACUAAAAACAAUUUUGUGACAACCCGUUAUUUUCUAGCCUUUGAAGUCAACAAAAGUCAACCCAUGGUCAUUCACGUCCAAUAAAAUUCAAAUUAAAAAGCGUCCAAAAAUAAAAUGUUAGAUAAAUCCAAUAUCAAUGAACAAAGUGAUCGUAGUCGUAACAAGGGUUCCGAAAAUAUAAAGAACACUGAAAUCUGAGUUAUAAAGAAGAAGUUAUGACCCAUCAAAAUUUCGUGACAGAACCGGCACGACACCAUAUGUCAUAAAAAGCGAGUUUACAAUAAAACACUUUUUUUAGCCUUAACAAUCUAAAUGAAAGUUGUAGAAUACGUUAAAACGAGAGUUUACAUAAAAAGAACAUCUGAAUCUGACUUCGUAUGAUGAAGUUAUGAAUUUUCUAAGAUUCAACAUAGCAGUGUACAACCUGAAACUCGAAUUAAAGAUUGAGAUAUUUUUAGCCAACACAAUAUAGAUGAGAAUAGAAGGUCUUGUCAAUAGUAGUUCAACGGUAAAAAGACAGACGAAAACGGACGUCUGAUAAAGAAGAUAUGAAUUUUAACAGUCUUUUCGUGUCCCGGCCUGUUAAAAAUAUAAUAUUAAAAAUAAAUUCAAAGUUAGCCGACGAAGUCUAAACAAAAGUUUUAGAGUAUAAUCUCACCUACGUGUGGAUAUAAAGAACGUCAAAAGUUGAGUUCGUAUGCGAAAUAUAUGAAUUUUUGAAGUUUGAGGCAUAAUUUUCGAGGCUGGACCAGAGGUGUACACCCCGCGUACAAGAAGUACGCCCAGCGUACUCGGAAACAAGGCUAGGAGCCGGCCACAUCACCCUUCCCUCGCACCGUUGACACGUAUCUCGAACGUUUGACAUUUCCGAAGCCCGGUAUCCGAACACGCGCCACGUAUCAUGUACGCACAACGUACGAGGGUACACCUUGCGUACCGAGUACGCUCAAUGUUUUGUAAUUACGCCUUGAGUAAUGCGAGGUUCAGCCAACCAUAAAAGGAAUGCGAGGUCUCCGGAUUUGGUUUACAAAUUCCACUUCUCCUUUCACUUUAAACACCCUUUCAAGCUACUUUUAACCCCCCGAAGCCUAGGGAAACCCCCUAACACCCGAAGAGCCCGUAGCCCCGAAGUCCACGAGAAAAUAAUCUUUUCCGGUCGAAACUAUGCCUGUGUAGAGCCCGGUUUUCAGCAAGAUUUCCCGGUAUCACCAAGAAAAACCAUUAAUAGCAACGAAGUGCUGCCCAAAUCUUCAUCUUAUCAAGUGAGUUCAUACCCCUACUUUUACAUGUCUUUUUCCACGUUUUAGGGGGGAAUACAAGUAAACGCACGGAAACUCAUGUUAAACUACAAACUUUUGCUAUGGUUUUCUUACAGUUGUUAUAACUAUUAUAUGAAAACAUUAGCAUGCGAAACAUCUUAUGACACCAACAGUCAUAAGUUUAAAUGAAAGAUACAUCUUAAACUAUAAUAGGUAUAGUUUUGGGAAACAUUCACAUUAUUUUACUAUUUCAGGGAAAAGAAAAUGAUUAUAUAAGAAUAUGAUUAUUUUUAUAUAUUACAAAAAGAGUAACAAUUUCAGCUUACUUUUUUAUAUGUUAAGGGGAGGAAUACAAGUAUAACACAAGAAAUAUUGUGAUUAAAAAAAUAAAUUGUUUAUUACAUUCUCUUAUACUUUAUAAAAAAUUUAUACAAAAAUCUAAAUAAACGUUAUUAUCAAACUUUUAAACUUUUUAAGUUGUAAUAAUAACAAGGUUUUAUUUACAUAAAUAACAUGCAUACAAACUAUAAUAGGUAUAGUUUAUAGAGAUUACAGGUUAUUUUUCUAUGAAGGAAAAAUGAUAUGAAAACAAGCAUAUAAGUUAUAAUAAGUAUAAUUUAUGAGUAGUUCCACAAUGUUUAUCGUAAUCGGAUAUAAAUAAAAAGUUACAUUUUUAUUUACAAAAAGGUUUUUCACCGUAUUACUCGUGAACUCGUUGUUAGUGGUAGAUUUGUGAGACAAUGGCUUUUCGUUGUACCCACGAAAGUCCCCACUUAUGAACCAGAGUCUCCUGAGGGAGAGCAUGAAUUUGUGUAUAGAUCUAUACAGGACUGACGAUCUCAUGCCCUAAUUGUUAGCUACAGUCUCUGAGGUAACAAAUGUCAUAACAUUCGAUGCCUGGAUAAUAUCACAUCAGGCAUAUCCCUCAUAAAAGUAUGCUUAUAAGAACUUACAUGGCGGAAACAAUGACUUAUUCACAUAGUAAUAUGCUUCUCAAACAAACUUAAGGGGUAGUAUUUAUAUGAUUACUCUAUAUGUAUCUCAUAUGUACUAAGUAAUCAUAGUAAAACUAAGUAUGGUAAUAUAUUUACACUUUUCAGUCUUGGAUAAUAUUAGACUGCAACUCAACUUAUGGAAAAUAUAGGAUUUUCUGGGAAAACUAUCAUUGUUUUACAAGCAUAUAGUUUAUGAUUCAACUUUCUAAACAUAUAUAUUUUGGUUUCAAGUCAUAAGACUACAUUCCAUUUUAUUAAGAAAAUAUAGGAUGUUUUGGAUAAACACUCGAAGGUUUACAAGAAACAAUGAACAUAUUCUCUUAAGCUAAAUACUUAAGAACUCACCAACUUUAAUGCUGACACUUUUUCAAACCAUUUGUAUUCUUAGGAAAGAUAGUUGACAGGUACUCUCUCGGGCAUUUCGAAGAGGGAGCAUAGUAGCAUUUUGUAUUAUCUUUUUCUAUAGUAUUAAUGUUAAACAAGUAAUGUUUUGAAUACGAUGUAAAUACUAUGUUAUGAAUACAAUGGUUGUUGCUUUGAUUACUAUUAUACAUUUGUUGUGACAUUGUACAUGACGUCCUCCGCCCCCGAACGGUUUCGCCGUUCCUGUUUCGGGGUGUGACAAAUUUCAUGUUCGAAAAAUAAACUUAAAGUCUUUAAACCAAUCUGAUUCACAUUAUUGGCUAUUCAACAAAAUCAACAAACAAUUGAAUCUUAACUUUAUCAAAUCCAGCAUUCUUGGGAAUUCUUAGAUGAAAAACGUUAAAUACACAAUGACAUAUGUUACAAAACUAAACAAAAUAAAGUUUAGAAUGUUAAGAAAGUUACCACGAUCAGAAUAAUUGUUCUGGGUAGAAAACCGAUUUCUAGGGUAGGACAAUAACGAAAACGAACUUGAAGCACCAAUCGAAGAAAUGCAAUCUGGAAACAAGCGGACUGAUAUAGGAGGGAUUCGAUGGUGACUGAGGAUAUGGUAGCAUUGGGGACAAUGGAUUUGCCAUUCAUAAUGGGUUCUAUUUUUGUUAGGAUGAGAAGUAUGAAGGAUGAGUGAACUAAGAAGGGAGGGAUGCAACAAAUUAGAGGGUUUGAUUAUUUUUUUUUUUUGGGAAAGAAGAUCGUGAAACCUGUAGCAGCAGGGAAGAAGGAGGAUUGCGACGGUGAUGGAGUCAUCCGAGUUAAGAACACAAGAUGUAAAAGAUCGACAGAGAGGAGGAACCAACGAAGGAAUGAAUAAACCAAUGUGAGAUUUAAGGGGGUAGGUUAUAGAGAUGGCAACGUGAAUCAAGGGGAUAUCCCUUUAAUUUGAUUAAUUAACAUAAAUAAUUAAUGUGUGAUAUUACUAGUUUACCCUUAUUUUAAGUUUUGAAAUGAUUGAUCCAUAUUUAUUCUUAUAUCCACACAAUAACUAGUUAGAACAUAUUGACCNUAUAUAUAUAUAUAUAUCAUACAUACUUAUAAAGCUAGCAUUUUUUCUUAAAUCUUAUGCAUUUGAAACCCUCUUUUUUAACUUCCUCAAACCACAUUCAUUUGAAACCCCCUUUUUUAACUAAUGCAACUCAAAAGUUUUCUUAAUUAUGAUUUAACACUCAAAAGUUUUAUAGCUUAUAUUAUGUUUAAUUAGCAUUUAGUGAAAAGUUGACAAUAAAAAGGCCAAUCUUUUGGGAAAACAUGCAUACAAAUCAUAUACAAAUUUCAGAAAGAAAAAAAACAAACUUAAAGGUUUUUGUGUUGGAUUGAGGUCUUAUGACCACUUUUGGAGAUAUGUUAUUAUAUUAGAGCUUUUAAUUUGUAAGUUUGUUAUAAUAAUUCGUUUUUAUAUUUUCUUCGUUUUUGGAUUAUUACUUCUCAUGAGCUUUUGGUAAAUCAACCAUAAAGUUAUUUAUAAGUUAGAGCAAUUAACUUUGUUAACAUGUAUGUAUAUUUAUUUUGUCUCUCUCUUUUUAUGUUAAAAAAAAUAUUUUAUGUACAAGAGAACAUUAUUCAACAUGCAUUUUAUGGUAUGUAUAUACUAUGUUAGUUUCUAUUUCUUAUUUUGUAAAUAACAUCGAUGGAGUAAUUUACCUUUAUAUUUUACACUACAUUCAAAAGUUUUUUACACUUAUGGUUAUUAAUGUGCAAUGCUUUUUUAUUUUCCACUUAUUUAAUAUACACAUUAUAGCUAUAUUAGUAGUAUAUAAGUAAGUUUUGAUUAAAGUAUCAUAUGUUUGAAAAGAUUUGUGAUUCAAAAUGAAAGAGUUGAAAAAAAAGUUGUCAUAGUUACUAAUCGACUUAUUUUAAAACUCUUGAUGACAUUUAUGUAUAAUGAUAUAUUUUGUAUGACUUCAUUCUUAAUUUCAAUGUUGAAUAUUUGAAAGUUCAUAUAUGAAACUUUGGAUGUUUUGGUGUAAUAUAAAUAGUAUAAUACAAAGUUUAUUAGUUCAAUAUUGUUUAUUAAUAGCUCAUUCAAAACAACUUAUUUCGUAUUUUUUCCAAAAAAAUAUUAUCGGAUAUAAGAAAGGUAGAUUAUAUUAAUGUUAUACAAAUAUUUAUAACAUAUAUUAGAUAGUAUAAAAGUAAAAUAAACGUUUAUAAGGUAUGAACUAUAUUAGAUAGUAUCAAAAUAUAAGUUGAUGGAUUUUUAUAUUAUUUGAUAAUUCGGUUAAUGCGCAAAACAUGACUAAAAACGUAAAUUUCAACGUAUUUCUAUUUUUUCCCAUAAUUAUUUCAACCACUUAAAUGCAUUGCUGCGCAACGCGAGGUUACGCCUAGUGUAUAUAUAUAUAUAUAUAUAUAUANUAUAUAUAUAUAUAUAUAUAUGUAUUACAUGCCAUUGUUGAAAGCCUUCACACACCUAACCCACCUUUGGUGUGAAUGGCAAAAUUUAUGAUAUCGGGGACUUAAAAACCUCUGCCAAAUUACAUUAUACUUUGGAAUUUUUUUUUUGAAAUGACAGACUAACUAAUCUACUCCUAAAUAACCACCUAUGUCUCCACCGAGACUUGAACCUCUGACCUCUCAUAUGAGAUGGUCACUCCAUACUACUAAGAAGUCAAAAAUAAUAUGUAGAUAAGAGACUGCACCUUUCUAGCUAGCUUUUUCUCAAAUUUGCAAAGAACACCACCACUUUAACAUAAAUCCAGUCUUUGAAGCUAUCAUAAAAAUUAAAGAAAGCAUCUCCCUCGACGGUUGAGAAGUAAAGUGCCACAAGCUAUCCAAAAUCCAGUGGCAAAACCCAUGCCCCCACCAAUAUAAAGCCAUCCCCGAGGUUCAUCACCCUCGCUUUUACUAAGUACCGAUGAUGAUUCUGAUUCUCUAUCUCCUUCUUUAUCUCCUGGACAUUUUUUUGGUAAGAGGAGGUCCACAUAGUCUUGUGUUUCCAUCAUAUCUUGAAGGUUGAAAGGACUGGAGUUGAGUGCUCGUUGGGAUUCUCCCUGACAAGUUAUUAAAUGAAACGUCUAGAUAAUUCAAUAAAGUCAUUUGAGACAUGCUUGGUGGUAUAUGCCCUGAAAAACUGUUUCUGGAUAAAUCUAAAGUCAAACGCUUUUUUAUCUCACCAAUUUUUUCUGGAAUCUCUCCAAAUAAAGCAUUCUUUGACAAGUUCAUGACAAUUAAGUCAUAAAUAUUGGUAAUUUCAUAUGGGAGUUGUCCUGUUAGUUUGUUGCUUGACAGGUCAAUGCUCUUCACCAAUUUCACAGUGCUAAAGAAUUCACGUUCAUCUCCUUGCCACUCAAUCAUAGCAUGGUCAACAUAUAUCUCAGGUUCAUAUGAAUACCUACUUUCAAUUUUAUAAUGAUCUAAACCUUGUGAGAAUCCUUGUUGAACCAUGCUCGUAAGAUUACUGAAACAUGAGGGGAUGCUUCCAUGGAGAUUGUUCAUUGACAAGUCUAGAAUUUGAACAUUUUCUAAUUGACAUAAUUCUAAAGGGAUGGUUCCGAAGAAGUUGUUUGAUCUCAGGAUAAGAACAUACAACCCCGAUAAAUUUUCCCCAAUCCAGACAGGAACAUUACGAGAAAACUUGUUGGCCCCCAAAUUCAACGACUUUAGACUUGUGCAAGUUUUUAAUGACAAAGGCAAUCCUCCAGAGAAGUCGUUCUCGUAUAAAUAUAACACCUUGAGUUGUAUCAAAGAUCCAAUGGAGGGAGGAAUCCGUCCAAAGAGAUUGUUGUGUCCAAUAUUAAGAACUUGUAGUCCUUUGAAACGCCACAAACAGUCUGGGAGUUGUCCGAUUAAUGAGUUAUGAGAGAGGUCAAGAAAUGAUAAGAACCCACCAACAAUUUGGCAUAUAAAGGAGAUUCCUCCAGUGAAACAAUUGUUUCUGGAAAGAUUUAAUGUUGACAAAGUGGAAGAAACAUUUGGUAUCGGACCAGAAAACCUGUUGGAACUCAAAUCUAUCUCUGAAUCGUUGGCAAAAUUUGAUGAUAAAUCCAGUACUGUCUCGCUAAUGUUGUUGGAUGAGAGAUUCAGAUAUUGUAAUUGAGAAGGCCACAUGUCCCAAAACUCGAGAGGAGCUGUGUCUGAAAUUCCAGUAGUAGAAAUGUCAAGAACGGUAAGAUUUUUGAAUGUCUGAAUCCAUUUGGGGAAGCGAGGCCCUAGCAGCUUGCAAGACCUCAGAUAAAUAGAUUGUAGAUAAGAAAGGCGUGACAAGUGGUACUUGGAAGGAACUGUAAGAUUAUUAUAAGAAAGGUCAAGGUAUUCAAGCCUUGGUAGUUUCCAUAAUUUCUCACUUAUACUUCCAUUUAAUUGACUACGAGACAGGUACAAGUAUUGUAGGGAUGAAAACUUUUGAAUCUCAUCGGACAACGACCCUGUAAAUUUGUUGUCUCGAGCAAACAACCCUUGUAAUAUAAGUGUUGCACGUCCAGACAAGUUGUGGAGAAAAUCAGGAAAUUUGACAACACUAGAGUUGUUAUUGAAUUCCAACUGCUCCAAACUACAGAGGUUACCAAGAUAUUUGGGCAUCCCAUCUAAAAUAUUGUCAGACAGAUAAAGGCACUGGAGCUUAUUGCUAGUUAAUGGGAACAACCAAUGAUACAUGGAUGAUGUGAGAUUGUUACCACUAAGAUCAAGGUCUUCAAUAGAUGAAGAAGAAGAAGAGUUGAGAAAUGAAGAAGAAUAUGGAUACAUGACUUGUGACAGCUCACAUCUCCCUAAACUUAACCAUGAUAGUUUUGGGAGACUCAGAAUUACAUCUACCCAUUCAUUUGCUUUGGCUAGGGAAAUUCCAUCCAUUUGAAGUUUCUCCAAAUGAGAGAGACGAGAUAACCACUCUAUGUUUUCAACUCUACAUCCUCCAACAUAUCUAACGGAAAGCACUUGCAAGUUGGUGAGGUUUCCAAAAUCUGGAGGAAUGGUUCCAUAAAGAGAGUUAGAUGAAAGGUCAAGAUACCUUAAUUCUCUUAAGGAACUAAUGGACCUGGGAAUGGUUCCAUUCAAAAAAUUGUAGUGAAGAUCAAGAUGAUUUGAGUAGGUUAAGUUUAGCAAUGAAUGGCUUAACUCACCUCCAAGUUGACCAUACCUAAAAUCAAGCCCUAUGACACAACCUGUUUGGUUGUUGCACGUGACUCCACUCCAUUUACAGCAUUCAUCAUCUUCUACUGUCCAUGAAGAGAGACGACCAUCAGGGUCUUGAAGGGGAGCUUUAAUUAAGGAGGGCAAGUCUCUCCUUAUCCAAACACUUGUUCAUAAUAACAUUAUGAUCAUGAUCUCCUCCUCCUCCUCCUCCUACCACAUCUACCAAUUGGCUGGCAGUUGUAGUAUCAAGGUUUAGCAAAACAAGUGAGAAAAUUAUAAAAAAACAAGGAUUCAUAAUGUAAAUCAAAAUCUUUGUGAUUUUUGGAUUGUAUUGAUGCAUAUAUGCACUGCCCCCAUGAGAGUUUAUAUAGUCUCCACUAUGAAGAUGGAAGAUUGUACGUGGGUGGCCUCAAUUGGUUGAUACUUGUGUGGGGCACACAUUACCUAAUUGCUUUGAAAUUAGAACCAUGCUAUAAGAAAAAUCAAAGAUGAGGAUUGGAAUUAAUUAUUUAAUUACACGUUCUUAGACUUAAAAGUUUUGGCAAUUUGUAGUUAAUAUAAAUAUCUUUUCUCAUCUUGUGAUAUUUUGCGAUUUGUAUCUAUUAUCAAUAUUUUUUGCAUCACACGAUUUUAAUCAUUCAAGAGUUUUCUAUUGCAAUUUUGAUCUUUAUUUGAGGUUGUUAUAGCGUUUUUAGUUCCUAUACAGAGUAAAAUAACUAUUUUUGGGACCAAAAUUGCAAACAUCAUUUACACUUAGGGACCAAAAAUUGUUAUUAACUACUUCAAAUAACAACCAAAAUUGCGAAAUCAGCUUUACUCAAGGACCAAAACUGUAAUUUUACUCUUUUUUUAAACUUUCUACGCUCCCAAGAAGUAUUGGAUAAAGAUUUCACAGUUAAAUUUGAAACAAUAAUCAAGUAAUUUUUCUCAUCUAUUAGGAGAAUUCGAAAAUAAUGGUAUUUUAUAAUUAUUACCUUUUAUUCUCAGCCGUUUCUUUCUCAUGUAGUCAUCCAGGGGCCAUGUGCUGCAAAUAAAACAGACAAAUAAAUAACAGAAAACAAAAUGAAAAUUAUUCAAAAUUCGUCUUACAGUUUUUAUAGUAUUUACAUUGACUUCUUAUUGGAUGCAUACAUCUAUUUGCAGUUUGUUGUUUGGUAGAAGUGUUGUCACCAUUCUUCAUUCACCAAAACCAGAAAAAAAAAAAAAAAAAAAAAAAAAAAAAAAAAAAAAAAAAGGUAUUAGUUAAUGAUGCAAAUAUGAAGAGUAUUUGUAAUAAAUAUUUAAAAAUAAAUAAAUAAAUCACCACUGAUAUAUCCUUUUGGUCAUUCAUCUCACGUACUGCAGCCACUGCUUGAAGCUCCAAAUUCAUGGUUUUAAGCAAUGCAUCUGUGCAGGUGAGUUGAUGUUGCAGUGUUUUUAACUGUGAUGACCAAAAAAGUAUGCAGUAAGUUACAUUUUUGUUCCCUACUACGGCUGAUUUAUUCAAUUUUAGUCUGAAAAAGCUUUCUUCCUUGUAAUAGGUUCCAAAUAAAAUGACUAUAACUAUAGUCAGCUAUGGACCAAAAUGUUACAAGAACCUCAAAUAAUGACCAAAAUUGCAAAAAUCAGCUAUAGUCAGGGACCAAAAACAUUUUAUUUUACUCUGAAAUAUAUGUAACAUACAGAUACAGAAAUUUUCAUUUUGCAACAAAACUUACCUUCUGUUUAGCUAAAUUAAAUCAGGUACAGAUACGGAAGUACAAUGUUAAGUAAGAUGCUAUAAUACAAAAAUAUAUGACAAAUACAUUGUUACUUCUUGCAUUUAACCCAUGAUGUAAUCACAAAAAUAAAUCAUCAACCACAGAUCUUUCAAAUCCUAAUGUUUUUACAAUGGUUUAAUAAGUGUAAAAUUAGUACAUACAAAAUACAAAGAAUUACGGAGAAUUAAUUUUUUUGUCUGUGAUAAGCUUCAAAAUGAUGUUUCUAUCACUCAACAAGAUCUGGGUCAGAACAACAGCAAUGUUUUAAUUUGGAUGACAACUGACAAGGGUUCACAUCUGACAUACCACAGUUUGUGUAAUUCUCAAAUUGAUGUUUUCAUCACUAAUUGCUAUAGAUCGUUUUUAUAAUUAAGUUCAUAUGUUGUUUGUAAUAUGCAUAAAUCAGAAUAAUGCAUAUUAGUUUAAUGAACAAAUGUUUGUAUGCAAUGUGGGUUAUCUAAGUUGUAUAGAAGAAAAGAAUAUUACAACAUUGGUUUUUGGUUUUUAAAACUGAUCCCUACAAAAACAGACCAAUAAUUAUUUUGGUUUUAAAACCUAAACCAAAACAAAUCGAACCAAACCAUGUGCAAAAUCCAAUCAUAGUGAAAAACUAAACCAUAUUGAUUUAAAAACCAGUACCAAAACGUAAUUAGCUGAUAAGUUGUUUUUCAGUGUUUGACCUCACAUCUAUUUACCAAAACAAAUCUAUCUUUGUCACGUGUACUACUAAAGAUUCAUAAGAUACCAUAAGAAUAUUAACAGUGUCCAUGUGUGAAAGCAAAUUUUAAAACAACGUAAAUGCUAAUUUUGUUUGAUUUUUCAUUUUGCAACUGCCUGUGCGUGUCAGUGUGUGUGUGCAUUUGAAGAUAUAUAAAACGUCAUUCUAGAAGAACAUUACCUCACUUACCAAAGACAUUCUAAUCCCAUCUUGUUAAGGGCACACACAAAAUGAGGUUCUCCAGGUAUUUGAAUGCUAACAUCUUCUCAAUUGCUGUCUUCCUCUCCACCUAAAUCACUUCCAUUUACAUCAUUUUCCACUUGGUCCAUACUUUGCACUUCACUAUUACCUGAAAGGCAUUAGCAUUUUAGUCCCAACAAGAUUCUAAUAACUUCCAUUCGACAUAUGCCUGCUUAAACAAUACAUAUAUAUAAUAGAAAUCAAGAGCAAUACCCCUGUUUUGGCGAAUUGAGCCCGUUUUACAAGAUACAAACCCAGUUAUAAUUACUAACAGCCUCAUUGUCUCGAAAUCUAUCAACAGUCAGUACCAUUAGUCAGAUCAAUAGAAGCAACCAACAGUUUAUGCCAAAAAUGCUGCAAAGGAGCAAGAAAAUCAUACUUUGCCACACCCUCAUAAAAAGGAUUAAAUAUAUAUAAUUAAUAACAAAAGGGCUUCUGGCCCUGGUAUCAGGUGGUGCCCUUCCUCUUUCAGGUUGAGGUUAAAGUCUCGUCGUAGACAUAGGUGAAAUUAGGUGUUAGCUUAGGAUUAGAUAUAUUUGUCGGUUCAAAAAAAAUUUAUUAUAUAAUUAAUAAAAUAUUAAAUGACAAGAACGGUCCCUAAUCUUUCCCAAAGGUUGUAAUAUUGAUCGUAUAGAGUGAAAGCUUCCUAAAAAUGUCCCUAAAGUUGUUUACUGUUUCAGAAAUCGUCCCCCUCCUUAAACCCAUUUCAGGCAUCUUUCAGCAUAAGUUAAACCCCCCAUAUACAAAUAAAUUAAAGUACGUUGCUAUUUAUUGUAUUUAUCUCAACAACAUUAACUUUAAAAAAUAUCAAAAAUAAAAUGAGGUAUAUCUUUCACCUUUUUAUUUAUGUUUUCUUUUGUUCGAAAAACCAAAAGUUUUUAAUAAGAAAACUAGCAAGGAGAGAACUGUAGAGAGUAAUACAAAAGAUUAAGAUUGGCUCUUUUAUUACAAAGAGACGAAAACCACGAAUAACUAAUUUACGUAACAUAAUCAAAUACAUUCCAAACGCAUCACCUUCUCUAAAGACUAUGUCACCGUACAUCCAAAGUAGUUAGAUAACAAUAUGUCGAAACAUUUGCUAUCCUUUAGGAGUUAAAAAUAACAUUUUUCUAGUUUACUUAAAAAAAGUAUUUAUCGGGCAUAAAUUUUUCUUAGAAAUCCUCCAAAACCUUGUAGCGACAACAAAUUGAAGAACUGAUAGAUGGAAACAACAUUUUUUUAAGGAAAAAAACGGUAUUAAAACCCGUGUCAAAUUUAUUGAUAUGUUGAACUUAAAACCCCCUCAAAUUACAUUAUAUACCGAUAUUAAAAGCCAAAACUAAAAAUUAGACGAAAACUACAUCUGUCUAGCCUUUUGUAAAUUUGAAAUGAAUGCCACUACCUUCACAUAAACCCUAUCUUUGAAGUUAUCAUAACAGUGAAAAAAAGCAUGUCUUCCACGACGGUUGACAAGUAAAGCGCCACAUGCUAUCCAAAAUCCAGUAGCAAAACCGGUCCCCCCACCAAUAUAAAACCAUCCCCAAAUUUCAUCUCCACCUUCCCCAUCACCCACACUUUCACCAACGACAGGUGGCACUUUUAAAUCUUCAUCAUCAGGACAUUUUUUGUUAAGAGGAGGUCCACAUAGUCCUACAUUUCCAUCGUAUCUUGAAGGUUCAAAGGACUGGAGCUGUGUGCUAGAUGGGAUUCUCCCUUUCAAGUUAUUAAAUGACAUGUCUAGGUAAUUCAGUAAGCUCAUCUGAGACAUGCUUGAUGGUAUCUGCCCUGAAAAAUUGUUUCUAGAUAAAUCCAAAGUCAAAAGAUUUUUCAUAUCACCAAUUUUCUGUGGAAUAUCUCCAAAUAGAUCGUUGUUUGACAAGUUUAGAGAAAUCAAGUCAUGAAGAUUGGUAAUUUCGUAUGGGAUUUGUCCUGCUAAAUUGUUGCUUGAAAGGUCAAUGCUCUUCACCAAUUUUAGAGUGUUAAAGAAUUCCCGUUCAUCUCCUUGCCACCUAAUCAUCGCAUUGUCAACAUAUGUCGUCCAAACAUAUGUUUGACCUCCUUCAGUUCUAUAUACCUUUAUAUCUUGUGAGAAUCCUUGUAGAACCAUGCUCGUAAGAUUACUCAAAUACGAGGGUAUGGUUCCAUAGAGAUUGUUCAUUGACAAGUCUAGAAUUUGAAGAUUUGCUAAUUGACAUAAUUUUGAAGGGAUGGUUCCAAUGAAGUUGUUUGAUCUUAGGAUAAGAACAUACAAUCCUGUUAAGUUUUCCCCAAUCCAGACAGGCACAUUACCAGAGAACUUGUUGGCUCCCAAAUUCAACGAGUUUAAACUCGUGCAAUUCUUUAAUGACAAAGGCAAUUCGCCAGAUAAUUCAUUCUUGUAUAAAUGCAAUACCUUGAGAUUGAUCAGAUAUUCAACAGAGGGAGGAAGCCUUCCAAAGAGAUUGUUGUGCCCCAGAUUAACAAUUUUUAGUUGUUUGAAAUGCCACAAACAGUCGGGGAGUUGUCCAGUUAAUGAGUUAUGAGAGAGGUCAAGAAAUGACAAGAACCCACCAACAAUCUGGCAUAUAAACGAGAUUCCCCCAGAAAACUUGUUUCUGGAAAGAUCUAAUGAUGCCAAAGUGGAAGCAACAUUUGGUAUUGGACCAUGAAAGUUGUUGGAACUCAAAUCUAUCACAGAAAGGUUGGCAAAAUUUGAUAAUAAAUCUGGUACUUUCCCACUAAUGUUGUUGGAAGAGAGAUUCAGAUAUUCUAAUUGAGAAGGCCAUGUGGCCCAAAACUCGAGAGGAGUUGUGUCUGAAAUUUCAGUAUUGGAAAGAUCAAGACUGGUAAGAUUUUUGAGUGUAUGAAUCCAUUUUGGGAAGUGAGGCCCUAUCUUACAAGACAUCAGACCAAUAACCUUUACAUAAGAAAGGCUUGACAAGUGAUAUGUGGAAGGAACUGUAAGAUUAUUAGAAGAAAGAUCAAGAAUUUGGAGCCUGGGUAGUUCCCACAGUUUCUCACUUAUACUUCCAUUUAACUGAUUAUCAGAUAGGUACAGAGAUUCUAGGGAUGCAAACUUCUGGAUCUCAUCGGACAGUGACCCUGUAAAUUGGCUACCUCGAGUAAUCAACAUUUGUAAGGUCAAGGACGUGCAUCCAGACAAGUUGUUGAGAAAAUCAGGAAAUUUGACAACAGCAGAGUUGUUAACGAUGUACAAACGUUCCAAACUACAGAGGUUCCCAAGGUAUUUGGGUAUCCCAUCUAACAUAUUGCCAGAGAGAAGAAGAGAACUAAGCUUAUUGCUGGUUAAUGGAAGCAACCAGCGAUACAUGGAUGAGUUCAGAUUGUUGUUUGUAAGAAAAAGGUAUUCAAUAGAUGAAGAAGAGUUGUGAAAAGAAGAAUAUGGAUACAUGACCUGUGACAGCUCACAUCCAUCUAAACUUAAACUCAACAGUUUUGGGAGACUCGAAAUUACACCUACCCAAUUAUUUGCAUUCGCAAGGGAAAUCCCAUCCAUUCUCAGAUCCUCCAAAUGAGAGAGAUGAGACAACCACUCCAUGUUUUCAACUCUACACCUUCCAGCAGAAUCAAGAUGAAGGUAUUGCAAGUUGGUGAGGUUUCCAAACUGUGAAGGAAUGGUUCCAUAAAGAGAGUUACUGGAAAGGGAAAGGUACCUUAAUCGAGUCAAAGAACCAAUGAAAGUGGGAAUGGUUCCAUGAAAUGAAUUGUCAGAAAGAUCAAGAAGAUUCAAGUAGGUUAAGGAAUGGCUAAUCUCACCUCCAAGACCAUCCUGUGAAAAGAAGUUGUUGAGUUCAAGCUUUGUGACAUGACCAGUUUGGUUGCUGCACUCAACUCCACUCCAUUUACAGCAGUCAUGUUGGUCAGAUCUCCAUGUAGAGAGAGUAUCAUAAGUGUCGUGAAGGGGAGCUUUGAAGAGAAGGAGCGCAAGUCUCUCAUUAUCCAAACACUUUUUCAUAUUAACACGAUUUCUAUCAUCUCCUCCUUCUCCCACUGCUACCAAUUGGCUGGUAGUUGCAGUCACAAGGAGUACCAAGAAAAGUGAGAAAAUUAUAGAAGCACAAGGAUUCAUAAUUUAAUUAAAAAUGAAAAUCUUGGUGAUUUUUGGUUUGUAAUGAUGCCUGCCUAUAUGAACUGCACCCGUGAGUGUUUAUAUAUAUAGUCUCGACUGUGAGCAUAAGUGAUUCUAAACGGGUGGCCUUGAAUUAAUUGUGCCGGGGAUACAAUAUUUAAUUCCCAUGAAAUUAGAACCAAACUAUAAGAAAAAAUCAAAGAUGAAGAUUUGAAAUAAAUGUCUCAAAUUAGUCGUUCAAAGACUUGCAAGUCUUGACAAUUUGCAUAUAUUAUCUAUAUCUUAUCCGAUUUCAUGAUAUAUUCAAAGACUUUAAAGUGAUGUUGACCAUCACCUUUAUUAAAUACAAACAUAUAAGAAUGUAAACGCAAACAUUAAACUGACCACCAAUUUAACAACAACUAUUUAAUAAAUCUCGUAUUCCCAUUCCUUUGUUAAACAAUUUAUGUUUAUGCUAUCCUAAGAGUAUUUUUAUUAAAUCAAUUAGAAAAGUUUUAGCGGAAACAUAUAUCUAAUUUAUCAUAUCAAUUAAUUCAAAAUUUUCGAACAGAAACAUAAACCCAGUAUUCAACAGAAACGAAAAAAAAUUCAAACAAAAUCAAAAGAAACGUUAUUCAACAGAAAAAAUAGAGAACAGGGAUGAAGAGGAGAAAUGCGUUGAGUAUUAGUGACGGAAAACCAAGAAGAUGACAACGGUAGCUAGGCGGCGUCUUCGACGGCAGUGGGGAGGUAAAAAAGCAAAAAAAUUAUGGAUAUUUUUUAGCAAUAUAUUAUAUUAUAUGGACUUGUUCGCGAAAACAUUAUUAUAUUUAUUUAUUGGUUAUGUAUAUAUCAACCUGAAAGAUAUUUUUAUAUUUUUAUCAUACAAUAACCAUUUAUGUUGCUAAAAAAUAUCCAUAAAUUUAUGUGAUUAUUUUUUUCCCACAUUAAUAAAAAAUAACCUCAUAAUUUAAGUUAUUAUUCCCUAAUUUCAGUACUUGACAUCAGAUCAGUGAUAAUUAAUGUUUUGCAAAAACGACAGUUUUGAACCCUAAUCCAAGUUUGAACCUUGAGUUUAUUAUGCUUGGAAAAUAUAAAAUCUAUUCAUAAUUACAAAAGAGUUUCUAAAAAUAAAAUAUUUAUAAAUUUCCAUUUGUAAUCACUAACCUCUCUAGUCUCUAAAGACUUUGAGUGUGUUCUUGGUGAACGUGUAUGUGAGGUGACUUUAAGCAAGACUUGAAGAUAAAACAAAGAGUUUGUUUGUACUCUCCAACAUAAGAAAACAAGGUAUUAGAUCAAAGUUGAAUAUUAUGAGCAAACUCAAGAACCUUAAGUUUAAGGUUUGGACAAAUGAUGACAAUGUUCUUAAAUAAUCAUUCUUUGAUCAUGCAUCAGCCUAUCAUUAAGUGGGAUUGGUGGUUAAUUAAAGAACUAUCAUAGAUUUAAAAAAGAUACAAGUAUUUGAUGCAUAACAUGAAAUGUAUAAGUUGUAUAGUUUGGUAAUAUAGAAUUUCAAAUCAUGUUUAUGAGUAAUUAACAUGUCAUUAGUAGAGACUGGGAAACUAAUCAUGUAUUAGUAUGAGUUUGAAGUUGGUUUUAGUAGUGAUGUAUAGCGUAUAUUGUUACCCUGCAUGAAAAGCAUGAUCGGGGAUUAUGAAGCAAAGGUUUCGUGCAUGAUCGGGGAUCACGAAGCAAAGGUUUCGUACUCCUGUAACACCUAGCUUUCUUUAUAAAAUACAGAACAAAUUACUAAAAUCGUCCUUUUUGUUUGAUUAAAAUUUCAUUUUUGGUUUUUAACUUUUUUUUUUUUUUUUUUUUGCAUUGGGACUGUUCUCAAAAUAUAAUUUUAUUGCGUUUUUCGUCGCUAUCCGGCCUGAAAAGACUAUACUUCCCUCUCUAAUUUAUUUUUUACUUGUUUCUAUUAUUAGUUUUAUAUUUUUUUUAAUAAAAAAAUAGAAUGGGCCCACACUCAACUCUUUGUCUUCUCACAUGUUCAACCAUCUUUCACUUUACUACCAUUCACUACCAAUACUAUGCCAUUACUCACCCACUAAGACUCAUUAUCACCAUCUCCAAUGAGACUAGAAGUCCGACAAGACCAGAACGUCGACGAACAUCACACGUCAUCACCCACCACAUGUCACCCACCUCCACCAUCUCUCCCCGUAAAUCGGUAAACCCUCAUCAAUAAAUCGGUAAACCACUCACCUCCACCAUUUAACCCCCUAAAUUCUUCGGCGAGUCCAUAACGACGACGAACACCACACUCACCCUUACUGUGCUUUUUCCAUAUCUUUCCUCCAUUGGACUACCAAUAAAGAUCUUAAAUAAAAAAUUAGAGAUCUACAACACAAGAUCUUGAACUCAAAUCAAAAUUGGAGAUAUGCAAUAUAAGGUCUGGAACUCAAAUCAAAGAUCUUCAUUGUACUUGUAUCAUAAAUCUCCCAACACCAUCAUCUUCUUAUUAAAAUUGGAGCCACCACCACCACCGUGUUACUGAAAUGGGUGAUUUUCUGAAAUAGGAGGCACCACCACCAUCGCCUUACGUAAACCAAGCCAGAACCAUCAACGCUUCUGAAAAUCGUCUUUCAUUUAUAGGAUAUCAUCAAAUUUUUUCUUUCAUCAUUGACUUGAGGUUGGGGUUUACGUUUUGGGUUUUGAUUUCUAUAUUUGGUUUUGAUUUCAUUUUAUGUUCUGAUUUAACAAUUUCGGGAGUUGACUUUGGUUAGAUUUUGAUUUCGGGAUUAGACGUUGGUCUGGUUUUGAUUCCUUAGAUUUGAUAUUGGGUUGUCAAAUGAUGAAACUGAUGAUGUGGGCGAUGGUGGUGUCGGAAUAGGUGUAUGGUGGUCGUGUCAGAAUCGUUGAGUGGUAGUUGUCAGCAACUGUGGUGGUUGUCGAUGAACGGUGAAUGAAGGUGGUUGUGGUGUAAGUAGGAGUAUGAGUGGGUCCCAAUAAAUCACUUAAUUGAUUUUCAUAAAUCAAUUAAUAAUAAACAAAUAAUAAAAAAAAAAUAGAAAAUAUAAAGGGCGAUAUAGUUUUUUUUAUCUCUACAAGGGACAAAAAACGCAAUAAAAUCAUAACUUAGGAAUGGUCUGAGUGCAAAAAAAAUAAUACUUAGGGACCAAACCAAUAGUUUUUACCAAACCAUAUGGACUAUUUUAGUAAUUUGUUCUAAAAUAAAAUAUUAUAGUUUUAAAACACUUUCUGGCAUUAAACCAUAUUUAUUAAAAUAUGGUCCCGAAAGUUUUCAUUACAAAACAAAUUCCAAUACUUUAAACCGGGUAUUACAACUGAUACAACCAAAGCCAUAGUAAAGAAAUAAUUAGACAUACUCAUAGAAACUAUGUCCAAUUUCUAUCCUUUAAAGCUCAUUUUAUCGGUGCAAAAAAACUCUUUUACAUUUCAUAUCGGACUUGGAAUACAUGGCAUUUAAACAAAACAUAUGUAAGACAAUAAUGUCUCGUAAGGCAUAUGGGGUUAGACCCAAAAUAUUUACAAUAUAGGUAAAAAUUACCACUUUCAAAACUAGAGAACUCUUUCAUAUCUUGAAAACACUUUGAUAACUUGUAAACUUUUUUAUAGCCUGAAAAUACUUUUAUAACUUCUAAACUCUUUUAGAGCUUGAAAAUACUUUUAUAACUUGUAAACUCUUUUAUAUCUUGAAAAUACUUUCAUAAAUUGUAAAAUCUUUUAUAGCUUGAAAAACAUUGAGACUAUACAAUGCAUGUCCUCACUCAAUGCAAACUUGUGGGACUUCACAAAUCUUUUAUCUUUUUUUAACUCAUGGAUAUGUGUUGAAUAUGGUGUCGAAAAGGACAAAAGUUGUGAGAAUAUGUCGAAUAUGGCUUAUCAUGAUAGAUGAAGAAAUCAAUCUACCAUGAUAUAUGAUUUGAAGUACGAGAGGUAUUAUCCGAGUAGUAUCUUGCUAAUCCCUUCUGUUGUGGCUCGCGUGGUAUUCAUUUUACUCAUUUACUAUGCAAUUUACUAUUAUGAUGUGUGAUCACACUUUUCUUGCCAAGACUUGAUCACACAUGAUGCUACGCUUUAAACUUAAUCAUAACAAUUUGGAUAGUAAUAACAUUUUCAUAUAAAACAUAUACUGGUUGGGGGCAAGCUAAGACGUCGCCUAGGGCCCAACUUCCAAUCUGUUAGUAUUUGUAUAUAAAUUACAUUGUCAAAAACAUUAAACAAACAAGUUACAGGCUAGUUGGUAAGGCGCUUCACAUCUUUAUAAUCAACCUUGGUUCAAUUUUAGCCUGGAACAUAAUUGAUUACUUUUUGCUAAAUUUAAUGUUUCUAAUAUUACAAUGAAUUUUAAAAUGAUAAUACAUAGAGCUUGUCCGACAAUACUAGCAGGUAGCGGGUAGCAUUUGCUUUUGGAGUGUUUUGAUGAAAGCUACUCCAUGUAGCUUUUGAUUUUGGAGUGUUUUGUUUAGGAUAAAAGUUAAACGCUCCUGUUGCCAAACAAGGCUUUUUUUUACUAACGUUUUCCUAAAAGCUAGAAACCAAAAGCUCCCAAACGGUGCAUGUCGAACACGCCCAUAAUUUGUAGCCACCUUGGUAAGAACCUAUGAAAUAUGCACACAAAUCCAUGUUCANNNNNNNNNNNNNNNNNNNNCUAACUUAAUUUAUAAUUAUACAAACAUAUUUAAAAGAAUAAUAAACAUUGUGUACAAGUUACAUUUUGUUGGAACUGAUUUAUACAUAAACCUAUUUUUAUAAAGAAAAGAAUAACUCGGAAAACAAAUUACAAUAUUUGAGUUUAAUUUAUUAAUUUGUUUAUUAAUAAAAUUGUUUUCUAUAAUAAAAAUAAUGUGUAGUUCAGUUAGUCAAAAAAGUUAAAUACCUUGCGCAUUAACAACAAUAUUAUACUUAACUUAGCUCAAAUUUAAAAGUGAGUUUUUGAUAUAUUCAGGGGCACUUUAUUUAGUUUUUCUCCCAGGCCCCAAAUAUGUAUGGACCGACUUUGGUCAAAACAUAAAUCAUAAAGCUUGUAAAAUACUUUUUCCUUACAAUACAUUUUGAUAUGUGCAUAUUUAAUCAUGUAUAUCGUGCAUAUUUAUAAUACUUUUAGCUACAAUUAUGCUUAUUUUGGGACAUAAGGUACUUAUUAUGUUUAAAAUAUGUUUUUUAGUAGCAAAAACAUGCUCGGGAUGAAAAGGAAAAAAAACGAGGAGCUGGAAGCAGGAAAAUUUGGGCUAAGUUAAAAAGAAGACAAAGAAUGCAUAAAGUCUGAAGCCUACAGCGUGGUCACUAUAUUCCAUGCCACGGUAAACGGAAGAAUCACGAUCAAUCAUCUGACUUGGAGAAUACGAGAUUUAAGAGAAGACCACAAUGUGGUGCCUAUUCACUAUGCUGGUGAUCAAGUUUAUGGAAACUAUAUAUAUCCGAACAUUAUAUCGAAUGUAGAAACUUCUGGCUGAUUUUCUGAGAGGGAUUGUGACUAAAACCCUCUAGAAAACCUUGGGAAAAUCAGGACUCAAUUGGAGCUCAAGAGUUGAAGAGAUCUAGACGAAAUCAACAUAGAUCUAUUAAGUUUGCUAGCAUUACUCAUGUCUAGUCUUAAUUACAUUGAUUUAGUGUGCUUUUCUGUUGUGAUGAAAGGCUAAAAAUUUUAUACUUCGGUUUGGUGAAGAUGAACCCAAAUCUUAUGUGUUGAUUUCAAUUUAUUGAUGUUUUACAUUGAUUUUACUUGUGUUUGAUAAUAAAAAUCCUAACAUGUUUUAGUUCUAGUAUGUGAAUGCCUUGCUAUGAGUUUAGUGUAGAUGAACCCAAAUCUUAUGUGUUGAUUUCAAUUUAUGGAUGUUUUACAUUGAUUUUACUUGUGUUUGAUAAUAAAAACCCUAACAUGCUUUAGUUCUAGUAUAUGAAUGCCUUGCUAUGAGUUUAGUGUAGUAGAUGAUCAUUCUAUUUGCAUGAACUUGUUUACCUAGUGAUUUAUGAUCAUUAAAUUGCUAUAGCUAGGAUUAAUCACAUCUUAGAUUAGGUAAUUAAAGCUAGUAACUUUAAUUUUGUUAGAGAGCAUAAUAUAUCUUAAAUUGUGCUUCCUUGCUUAACUUAAUCAUAGCAAAGUAACUAUUAGAUUUAUCAUUCAUAGUCCAAUUUGUGCUUAUAUCGAUUUUGUGUUUAACCUAUGCUUGAUCAUUGCAUGGUAAUUCAUAAAUUGGUACAUCUAGGUAUUUGAUCAUAAUAACUAGUAAAUUAAUGAAUUGGUAUAUCCUGAUAGCAUGUGUUUGCACCAUAAUCCAUUGACAAAACAUUGUGAAGUCUCAUCAGCUUAUGGUUUUUUAUGUUGAAUCAAUAACUACUUUUAUUAGAAGAAUCAGGAGAAGAAUGGUAUGAUACAUUUAAUACACUCUAGUGUUUUGGUGUACCCAUCGACAUAGAGUUUCCAAGCUCUCAUUAACAUUUGUUAUUAAAUGUAGAAUCAUAAAACUUUAAAUAAGAAAAUUGGCCAAGAAUGGAUUUAUGCAUGUGAUAGUCUAUGGUAGAUAGACUAACCAUUUGCACCUAUUUUCAAGAUCUCAUCAGUGUAUGGUACUUUACACUGAAUCAUUAAACUUUAAAGAAGAAAAUAAGGCAAUAAUGGAUUGGUGUGUGUGAUAGCCUACACUACAGUAGUACAUAGACUAAUCAUCGACACAAAAUUUUCAAGCUCUCAUCAGUGUAUUGUAUUUUACGAUGAACUAUGAAACUUUACAGAAGAAAAUCAGGGCAAUAGUGGGUUGAUGUGUAUGAUAAACAAUAAUACAUAGUUUAACCAUCAUCAUAGAAUUGUAAACUUUCAUCAGUAUGUGGUUUUCACAGUGAGUUGUUAAGUUCUGGUAAGAAGAAGUUGAGAGAAAUGGAUGUUUCAGUCACACUGAAGUGAAAUCAACGUGAAUGAUAAAAUAGUUUAAACUCAUCAACAAAAGUGUUUUCAUCUUCCAUAUCAUAGAGUUAAGUGUCAGUUUAAAAUAUUCAAUUCACCAUCAAUUUGUUUAAUAUGGUACAAUACAAGAAUGAAAGAAGAUAAGAAAAUGGAAAACAACCAGAAUACUUUAAAGAGAAAAUUUCAAGCUUUUGCAGAAUAAUCAUAAAAAUGAUUGAAACAUUUUGCAAGAGCAUCAUAAAAGUUUAUACGAAAAAUAUUUUGAGUUGAAUACUCAUAAAAGAGUUUCCUUUUUCAAAGAUAUAUCUUAUUAGGAAUUAACUUUAAAAGAUAAGAAAUUAGCAUCUCAAACCAUAAAAAAAAAUACUACAAACAAGGGAAUAGACAUAAUUCUUAUCCAUUGAUAGGAUAAGAGAAUUGAUGAUACGGUCUUUGUAACCAUCGAGUUAAAAGUUUCUAAUAUGUGGGAGCUUCGAGAUGCCGAAAUCAACAGGGAGGUAGUUGAGGUUUUAUUGAAGGUACUUGAGGUUUUAUUGGAUUAUGAGCCAGUAGAUGCACGUAGGAGUAAAUGUAAUAUCAGUGACUGCUUGUAACCAUGACAUAGGAAGGAGGGGUAGGAGAGCAUCGUCAAGAAGAAGAGGACAUGAUUCAGUCUUUCACUUCAUAUCCUCAUUUGCAUAAGAUGAAGGUGGCUGAGGUGACAUCAAGGGCAAUCAGGAAAUUCACUAAGCCUCUAGCUCUUUUAAUAUGGAGUCAAGUGACAAUUCUGAGUGUAAACGUCACCAUUCAUUACUUACGAAUUGAUAGUUGCAACCAUUUCAAGAGUAAGAAGACGAUUCAAUCUUGCAACUUCGGGGAUGUAAGAAAGAUAAGUGAUGCACAAGAAUGAAGAUACAUGAGAAAUAAAUUAGAGAGGCAAAGAGAUGAAAACAAUGUAAUUACUAGAUAUAUAUAGAAAAGGAAGCAAGCAAUGUCAAGAAUUUUUCUAAAAAGAAAGAAAAAGAAUAAAAGCAUUUUGACUUUAUGUUUUUGUGUUUUAAUAAAAGCAUUAAGAAAAUAAGUAAAGAGAAAUUAAGUCAUUGACAACAUUAGGGGUGAGCAUUUGGACCGGUGGAUCGGACCAGACCCGACCGGACCGUUUUUUUGGACCCCCGGGCCGGUUCUCGGUUCUAAGAUUUCUCUCCGGUCCGGUCCGGUUUUUUUCCCGGUUCGGUCCGGUUUUUACCGGGUUUAGAACCGGUUGGACAUGAUUAUGAUUUUUGUGACGUUUUUUAAACACCUAUAACUCAUUCGUUUUAAGUCGGAUUGACCUGCGUUUUUUUCCAAUAUUUAGUUUACAGUUUGUAGAUAAAUUUAGACUAUAAUUUUGUUUAUUUUGGUAUUAUAUUCACCGCGUUACAAUCCUUCAAAGUAGAGCUAUCAAAGCUUAAAAAAUUCAGCCUUUCAGCAACAUUUUGUAAUCUGUGACGUUUUUUAAACACCCAUAACUCAUUCGUUUUAAGUCGGAUUGACCGGUGAGUUUUUUCAACAUUUAGUUUAUAGUUUGUAGAUGAAUUUAGACUAUAAUUUUGUUUAUUUUGGUAUUAUAUUCACUGAGUUACAAUCCUUCAAAGUAGAGCUAUCAAAGCUGAAAUAUUUAAGGUUUUUAGUAUUAUUUUAUACUAUAAUUUCGAGUCCGUGUUUAGCACAUGUGGUAGAGUUGUAAGUAAGUAUCAGACUAGUUUAUCAAUAUUGAUAGUUGAAGCUUUGUUAUGCACCCAAGAUUGGGUGAUAAAGUCUACAAAUUCGAUAGUUGACAACGUUGAUGACAUCUUGAACGAUGAUGAUAUAGCUUUGGGUAAAAAAAAUUACAAUCUUUAUUCUUUUUUUAUACAAUUAUUAUUUUUUAUUAAAUACUAACAACAUUUUCAUUUGUGUUUAUGUAGAGAUUGCACAAGAUUUAAAUAUGUUACUUAUGGAUGACAAUGAUAUGGGGAAGAGACCAAUAGAAGAUUAGAUUAUGAGUUUAUGAAGUUUAUUAGUUUGAUUGAUUUUAAAGUUUAAACUAUGAUUUUUGUUGUUACGGUAAUACUUUUGUAUGUUUAUCUUAAGAUUGUUUAAAUUUUGUUGGCAAACUUGAUUUAUAUGUUAGUUGCUUUUAUUUGGAAAAUUAAUUUUUGCAAAUUGCAAGUUAUAAUAUCAUACAUCAAUGUAGAUUAGUUAGGCAUGAAACGGAAACGUAUUAAUUUUGCAAGUUCUAAUAUUAUACAUCAAUGUAGAUUACUUAUUAUACUCUAUGCAAUUAAACUUGUACCGGUCCAAACGGGUCCAAAAACCGGAAAGCCCGGACCUGGACCUGGACCCGGACACAGACACGACUCAUCCGGUCCGGUCCAUGGUCCACAAAAUUCUCCAUAACCGGUCCGGUCCAAGAGCCGGUCCGGUCCGGGCCGGGCCAAAUGCUCACCCCUAGACAACAUGCCAAGAUCAACAACCAAUUUGUUUAAAGUCUUCUCAUCUUGGGCCUUAGUGAAAAUAUUCUCCACUUAAUCAACGGUAUGGAUGUAGAACAAGUCUACUUUGCCUUUUUGAACAAUUUCCCUGAUAAAAUGAUGGUGGAUAUCAAUGUGCUUUGUCUUUGAAUGUUGUACCGGAUUUUGAAUCAUUUGGAUGGUACUUGUGUUAUCACAGCAUACGAGAGUCUUUGAGAAAGAAAAAACAUAGUCUAGGUGUAACAUCCUGAUUUUCCCAGGUAUAUUAUUUAUUUAAUUAUUUUGGAGUUUGUGGAGGAACUUGGCGAGUUGGAGCCAAGACUAGCCGAGUAGAGUCGCGGUUAUUCAUCCGGGUUCACGUCCGGACUCGGCGAGUCCACGCUGUUUAAUGAAAACCUAAUCCCCCGGGUUUGGAGCCUAUUUAAGGGCACUUAUAGCCUCCCAUUGUGGCUACCAGUCCCUUGAGAGAACCCUAAGAGAGAUAAAAUGUUGUGAGAGAGAAGAAGUCACUUUUUGAUCCUUGUAUCCUUGGUUUAGCAAGAAGAAGGUGACAAGAGCAAAGAGGAGGUGCGAUUCAAGCAGAUCCAGAGUUCAGAGACUUCAUUUUGAGGUAAUAGUUCAGACCUCCUUCAGUUUUAGUGUUUAUCUUUAGAGUUAGGGUUUUCUAACCCCCUUUGGAGAGUGAUUAUGUGUAGCAAAUGGUCCCUCUUCGAGUUUGUGCCUUGGAUUUGGACUCAAAGAGGUCCAGAGACCUUAACCCUUGGAGCUUUAUGGGUUAGUUUGGGGUUAUUGGAAUUAGGUUGCCAUUUUUGGGACCAAAUCUCCUUUUGAUGCCUUGUUGUGGUUAUACAAGCAUCAAGUUUCGAACUUUGCGUGACAUUCAUGCUUGGGGAGGUCAGAUCUAUGGUUUGGGGAAACAGAUCUGACCUCAGGAGGUCAAUAGAGUUUGUGCAUGGCAUGAACUCGCCGAGUUGUUCUUGAGACUCGGCGAUUAGGUUUAGGGUUCCACAUAAAUUGUUCAGCGAGUAGACUCACCGGGUUGGGGGAUGACUCAGUGAGUCAGGAGGGAGUUAGAGGACUGGAGUUCAAGGCGGUACUCACUGAGUUGUUCUUGAGACUCGACGAGUUGAGUCGGGGUGGCCCCACGAUUCAUGUCUGGUAUGACUCGUCGAGCAUAGGGAGGGACUCGGCGUGUCAAGCGGGACAAGAGUUAGAGGACAUGUGGGAACUCAUCGAGUCACCAGGGUGCACUCGGCGAGUAGGGUCAAGGUGUGACCGUUGACUUUUGUUGACUUUUAGGGUUUGGUCAGCGAUGUGGCCUUUGGGCCAAGAGAGGGGUAAAAUGGUAUUUUACCCUUAAGAGGGUGUCAAGAGAGGGUUGAUUCUAGUCUCGAGAGUUAUAUUCAUGAGAGUAUUUUCCUUAUGUGUUAGGCGGUGGCGAGUUCGAGAUUCAAGUGUGAGGAUAUCUACUUUCUGCUUACCAGGUGAGUCUUCUCACUAUACUUUACCUUGAGUGGUAACAGAGUUAUGUGAUAGAGAUAUUACAUGCUAUCUAUGUGAUGUGUGGCACUGCAUUAUUUCUAUGUGAUUUAUGUUGUGUGUAUAUCAGAGUUAGGACCAGAGGGUCCGCAAAGUUAGGGCCAGAGGGCCCACAGAGAGCUAGGACUGGAGGGUCCCACUGAGACAUACUGACCGGAGGGUCAACAGAGAUUAUAGCUUCGAGUGGCUAAUAUGUGUUAGAGUGGUAUUUUGGGGAACUCACUAAGCUUCGUGCUUACAGUGUUUUGUGUUACGUGUUUCCGGUUUCCUCAAGAUCACGGGACGACACUGGCUCGAUUGUACACACCAGAGGAAGCGUUUGUUUGAGGAUCCUGGUUUAUCUAUUGAUUGAACAAAAGAGUCAUGUAUUGUAAUUUAAACCAAAUGGGAUUUCUAUCAAAAUUAUUAAAGAGAUAAGUAAUUUUAGAUGAAAAUUUUGUUUUGAAAAUUUCGGUGUUACAAGUUAAUAUCAGAGCCUUGUUUUGAGGGAUUCGGAUGCACCUUCGAGUAAAUCUGAACUCAAACUGAGGAAGUAAGAAAAGUUUUCAAAGAAAUGAAAUUGUAAAAGUGAAUAAGAGUUCAAAGAGAAAUCGAGAAAAAGCAGUGUGUACAAUCAGCCAGAGCCCGAACGGUGAUUUUCCCAAAAUACCCUUACUUUUGUGUUAUGAGAUAUUAUGAUACAUUUUAUGAGAUAUUAUGCAUGCUAGAGGCAGGCUAGGUAUUUCAUAUCUUAUGAUUAGAGUGGCCUGAUUUGUGAUUCCUUAGCCUAGGAGUUGUUGUUAUAUGUGCUGUGCUUUUGAGUAUGAGGGAGAGUAUUCAGUUGGAAUCCUCUUAGGGGAUUUGAGUAGAGGAGUAACCUAGGAGAGUCGCCUAGAUGAGUAUUGUGGUGCUUAUCGAAAGAAUAGUUAGAACCCAUGAGGGGUAGAGUUGCAGAGUUCAGUGGUGCUUUUGAGAAUGAGCAGAGCAGGCGGAGUUAUCACCCAAGGUGAGUUCUAUGUAUUCUUCGAUGCCCGAAUGCUGCUUGCUUCGUGCUUUGUGGAACUCUCGAUGAUGGGAGUCAUCUACCAAGUGAAUAUGACGAUAUUCAGGAGGUAGAUGGCUAGAAUCAUUAGGAGCUCUUCAGCAGAUGAUGGCGAAGAAGUGGGAGUGACCUUAGCUAGAUGAGUACGCUGGCAGAGUAGAGCAUUUCACUAAGGAGUAAGCACGCGUGGCAGAAUUAGUGAACAAGAAGGUUGAGCAGCUACUUAGGGACUCUAGAAUGGUCUGUGUGGAAAGUAUGGGUAGAUGUGGCAGGUAGUAUGGGCCCGUACUACCGAAAGCAGAGGACCCAUACUCGAUAUAGGGAGUAUUCUGAAGGUUCUAAGUACCAGAUUGAGGAGUGAUGUUAUGGUACGAGUACCAUACAUCAUAGCAGAUUGAGGAGUGAUGUUCUGGUUUGGGUACCAUACGUCGGAGCAGAUUGAGGAGAGAUGUCAGGGGCUGAGUACCAUGGUUCUUAGCAAUUGAUGCUUGUGAUUCUCCAGUUAACCGAUCAGGAUUGAUUGGUGGAGUAUGGACGCGGUGGGGUUUUAGGCCUGAGGGCCAUGAUUAAGUUCAAAAAGGCAUCCCUAGAGAGGGAGGUCGAGAGCAUUUUUAGAGUACCUUGGUAAGAUGUCAAAGGUAGUCGCAAGACUCCGGGAUAAGUAGAGAAGACAUUUAUGGAGGAUUGCGGUUUGAGUGACCAAUCAGCCGAUGGAGGAGAUGUCACCUUCUUUGACUUGUUGGGUGCUAAUUACGUUUCCUUUGGGAAGUAGGAGAAGUGUGGGAUUUCGGUUUUGGGGUUUAGGAGUAAAACCCUGCGGAAUGACAUUUAUGUCGAUGUUCCAACAGAGUAUCAAGCGGCAUGUUCUCUGCAAGGUAAGGAUAUAUCAUGAGCAUGUAGUCGGUUGGAUCUGAGGUGGUAAAGGACCAUGUUGCACCCUAUCUGAGUAUAGUGGGGCGUGUUGUAGCGGUAUCAGUGGGCAAUCCAGAUGAGUAUAUCAGGGCGGCAACUCUUCUGUCUAUGAUGGAUAUUAAGUAUGGGAGUGAAGUCCCUGUUCUUGUGAUGAUUCAGGUGAUGGAACUUGAGUUGAGAAAUUGAGGUUGAGGAGUACGCUGAUUUAUUGUUUCAGUCUAAGAGUCAGUAAUAUUACUGGAUAGUUGAGGUAUUCGGUAUUGGGAUGGUAUGAGGCUUCGAAUGGCUAGAGACAGUCACGAUGAGAAGUCCCUGAGGAUUUCUUUGGAGAUUUAGGGUAUUUGAAGUUUCUUGAUCUCUAAGUGGGGGAGAUCAUUGGUCGACAUGUGGCAUCUUCCGAGGGUAGGUGCGAUAUUUCUAGUGGAAACAGUCUGUGGGGUGGUUGUGCGUCAAUUGGUGUUGGUUCAAACCCUAAGUGGGGGAGAACCGGGUAUUUUAUUGAGGGAACCAGAGAUUGUGCAAGAGAGGUUAGGGAUUGGAUACAGGAAUCUGGUGGUGACCAGGGCCGUUUCAAGGGGAAGACUCGUAACGGUGGUUCAGGCAGUUAAGAACUUCUGGUUCGAAGUAUGGAUUGCAUAUGUCCCUUUUUAGAUGGAUAGGGGAUUAUCGAGCUGCCAAAUUCCGGGCCGGUGUGUGUAUUUCUGGCGUGGAUUUUGAGCAGUAGGGGAAAAGGGUUUCAGAGGAUCACCAACGUAUUUUGAAGCGUUAGUGCUUUCUUUGUUUCCAAUUGAGUGUUUGGGUACACUGAGGUUUCUCAGUGAGUAACAGAGAAUUAUUUAUGGAGUUCAUAGGAAAUGAAUUGUUGUAUCUGUAUGGUGCUGAGAGUAGGAGAGCAGUGUUUGAGGCAGGAUAUCGUGAUGUCCGUAAUGGUGAUCCGUGGUGACCGGGAAUAAUGUCCCGAUUUCGGAGUUAUUUAGAGCCUUGAGUUUGAGACAACCAAUGGUAUAUCAUGUAUCUACGGUUCCAAUGGGAGCCCGUCGAGUAUUGAAAGCAAAAGGGAUUAUUUUAGAAGAUGGAUCUCCCCAGAGGCAAGUAAUUUUGUUAUAGUGGUUGCCGCUAGAGUCUGUAAUGCAUAUGUGGGACAAGUGUGUUGCUAUCUAUGAUAGUCUACGGGCAUGAGUGAGUGGACAUAGUGUGGCGUUCGGAUGAGUUGACAGUGUGGGGUGAAGCUACGGGGAGCCGUAGUAUUCACUUGACAGAGGGUGUUGUGAUGCUACGGGGAGCCGUAGCAUUCACAAGUCAGAGAGAGGGAGUCGUGGUACUACGGGGAGUCGUAGUACCCACUUGAUAGUUGGUGUUGUGGUGCUAGGGGGAGCGGUAGUACUCACUAGUCAAAGGUCGUCGUGUUAUUGCGGGGAGCCGUAAUACUCACUAGACGGCAAGAGAGUGUGAUGUUGGGGUGUUCCCCUAUCAGUGUUUGAUGCAGAAGAAUUUUAGGCUUGAGCAGCCUUAGUAUAGAGUUUUGGAGCCCAGUGGUUGAACCAAGGGUGGAACUGGGGGUCAGAGUUGAGUCGAUCCUUGGUUGGAAUGUAUUUUAGGAAAAGAGAAUCUCGUGACUUGUGAGUCACUGGGCCGGGAUUGUGGUCACGGGGAGGAAGCUAGUGAGAUAUUUUGGAUCACGUUAUAGGUGAUCUUUGGGGGUUCAGCUGUGGAGUCAAAAGUUGAACUGGUGCUCAGUAUCGAAGUGGGAUAUGAGAAAGGAGCUAGAGUUUGUCAUNCUUGUGAGUCACUGGGCCGGGAUUGUGGUCACUGGGAGGAAGCUAGUGAGAUAUUUUGGAUCACGUUAUAGGUUUUCUUUGGGGGUUCAGUUGUGGAGUCAAAAGCUGAACUGGUGCUCAGUAUCGAAGUGGGAUAUGAGAAAUGAGCUAGAGUUUGUCAUGGUGAUAUAUGAGGACCCUCCCAUUUGCUAGGGAGAGGUAGCGCAUGGACCCGAGAGUCCUUGCGAGCAGAUCUAGAACAUGUGCGAUACAUGGAGUAGUGGCAAGGUUGACAAGUGGAUUUCAUUGGGUAAGGAAAGAGAAAGGUAUGUAACUCCGGGAAGGAGUGUUGGUUCACGGAAGUGAAAGCAGUAGUGAAAACGGAUGAUUAAGAGUAUGGUGGUUGAACACUGUGUCUGUUCCAGUGGUAUGGAAGCACAUCCGGGUUGGGUGUCUGUUGAGGUUGCAGAAGAAUCUCCGUUGGUUUAGAACCAGAGGAGUUCGGAAGAGAUGCAUUUAUAGAGCCUUGGAUUUAAGUAUGGUUGUGAUCUGGAGGUUAUGUUUAUAGUGGUAAUGCAUCCUGGGGAUGUCUGUUGGUAUCAACAGUAUGUCGGGUUUUUCCAAACCGAGGAUGUAGAGCAGGCUCAGCAUGUGUAUGCGAUUUCGAUGGAAAGCUCAUGGGAGUUGCUCAAGGGCUGCAGGGUGUGUCAUCCUGUCAACACGGAAGGAAAAGAGUUAGAUUCCGAAAGGAAGCGGGAUAAGUCCUAGCAGUCAGCACCGGGUCAGGAACACGUGGUUCAGGGUGAUAUCCAGCUUGGUAAGGGCUUAAUGAUUGUUGUGAUUUGGAGUGAUGAAAGUAUCAUCGGGUGAUCAUUUGGCUAAUAAGGGUUGUAAUCAGAGAAAGAAGCCGAUGGUCGGCUUGAUUCGAUUGUCGCGACUCUGUGAGAAGGAGUCAGACCUUAUCGGGGUUUGGUAACAAUGUUGAGGGAACCUGGUCUAGUUAAUGUAAGGAGGUGCAUUCUGAGAGUAAUUCUGGAAUUGUGUGUCGCAGGCUUCGAGGGCGAAGCCUAAUUUAAGUGGGGAGAAUGGUAACAUUCUGAUUUUCCUAGGUAUAUUAUUUAUUUAAUUAUUUUGGAGUUUGUGGAGGAACUCGACGAGUUGGAGCCAUGACUCGCCGAGUAGAGUCGCGGUUAUUCAUCCGGGUUCACGUCCGGACUCGGCGAGUCCAUUAGUGGACUCGGCGAGUCCAUGCUGUUUAAUGAAACCCUAAUUCCCCGGGUUUGGAGCCUAUUUAAUGGCACUUAUAGCCUCCCAUUGCGGCUACCAGUCCCUUGAGAGAACCCUAAGAGAGCUAAAACGCUGUGAGAGAGAAGAAGUCACUUUUUGAUCCUUGUAUCCUUGGUUUAGCAAGAAGAAGGUGACAAGGGCAAAGAGGAGGUGCGAUUCAAGAAGAUCCAGAGUUCAGAGACUUCAUUUUGAGGUAAUAGUUCAGACCUCCUUCAGUUUUAGUGUUGAUCUUUAAAGUUAGGGUUUUCUAACCCCCUUUGGAGAGUGAUUAUGUGGAGCAAAUGGUCCCUCUUCGAGUUUGUGCCUUGGAUCUGGACUCAAAGAGGUCCAAAGACCUUAACCGUUGGAGCUUUAUGGGUUAGUUUGGGGUUAUUGGACUUAGGUUGCCAUUUUUGGGACCAAAUCUCCUUUUGAUGCCUUGUUGUGGUUAUACAAGCAUCAAGUUUCGAACUUUAAGUGACAUUCAUGCUUGGGGAGGCUAGAUCUAUGGUUUGGGGAAACAGAUCUGACCUUAGGAGGUCAAUAGAGUUUGUGCAUGGCAUGAACUCGCCGAGUUGUUCUUGAGACUCGGCGAGUAGGGUUAGGGUUCCAUGUAAAUUGUUCAGCGAGUAGACUCGCCGGGUUGGGGGAUGAAUCAGUGAGUCGGGAGGGAGAUAGAGGACUGGAGUUCAAGGGGGUACUCGCUGAGUUGUUCUUGAGAGUCGAUGAGUUGAGUCGGGGUGGCCCUGCGAUUCAUGUCUGUUAUGACUCGUCGAGCAUAGGGAGGGACUCGGCGUGUCAAGCGGGACAAGAGUUAGAGGACAUGUGGGAACUCAUCGAGUCACCAGGGUGCACUCGGCGAGUAGGGUCAAGGUGUGACCGUUGACUUUUGUUGACUUUUAGGGUUUGGUGAGCGAUGUGGCCUUUGGGCCAAGAGAGGGGUAAAAUGGUCUUUUACCCUUAAGAGGGUGUCAAGAGAGGGUUGUUUCUAGUCUCGAGAGUUAUAUUCAUGAGAGUAUUUUCCUUAUGUGUUAGGCGGUGGCGAGUUCGAGAUUCAAGUGUGAGGAUAUGUACUUUCUGCUUGCCAGGUGAGUCUGCUCACUAUACUUUACCUUGAGUGGUAACAGAGUUAUGUGAUAGAGAUAUUAUAUGCUAUCUAUGUGAUGUGUGGCACUGCAUUAUUUCUAUGUGAUUUAUGCUGUGUGUAUAUCAGAGUUAGGACCAGAGGGUCCGCAGAGCUAGGGCCAGAGGGCCCACAGAGAGCUGGGACUGGAGGGUCCCACUGAGACACACUGACCGGAGUGUCAACAGAGAUUAUAGCCUCGAGUGGCUAAUAUGUGUUAGAGUAGUAUUUUGGGGAACUCACUAAGCUUCGUGCUUACAGUGUUUUGUGUUAUGUGUUUCAGGUUUCCUCAGGAUCACGGGACGGCAUCGGCUUGAUUGUACACACCAGAGGAAGCGCUUGUUUGAGGAUCCUGGUUUAUCAAUUGAUUGAACAAAAGAGUCGUGUAUUGUAAUUUAAACCAAAUGGGAUUUCUAUGAAAAGUAUUAAAGAGAUAAGUAAUUUUAAAUGAAAAUUUUGUUUUGAAAAUUUUGGUGUUACACGAGGAGCUGAUUCUAAAUCUAAAGAAUCUAAGUAUAACAUCUUCCAGUGGCUACGUAUUCAGCUUUAGCGGUAGAGCAUGCCACUGAUGUAUGUUUCUUGCUGGAUCAGCUCACAAUCCUAUUUCCUAGCAUUUGAGCUCCUCCAUGAUCACAGUCUAUAAAUCCCACUAGUUUGAACUUAGAGUCAUGAGGAUACCAUAACCCAAGAUUAGGUGUAUGUUUUAAGUAGUGAAAGAUCCUUUUUAUAGCCAACAGAUGGGACUCAUUUAGGGUAGCUUGAUAUCGAGCACACAAUAUCGUAGUAAACAUUAGAAAUUAUCAUUCCACGAUACAAUGUUGCAUUCACAUGAGUGCCAACUUGAUCAUCAAAAAUAGACGUUGAUGGAGACAUUGGAGUUUUUGCUGGUUUAGAGUUAGAAAAACCAUAUCUCUUCAGCAAAUCUGAGAUGUAUUUUUCUUGGAAAAUUUAAGCUUCCAUCAGUGAGUUGCUUAACCUAAAAAGAAUGAUAGUUCACUCAUCAUGCUCAUUUCAAAAAUUUUGGCGAUAACAUUAGCAAACUCAUAACUCAGUUUCUCAUCAGUGGAUCCAAAUAUGAUGUUGUCGACAUACACUUGAGCAAGAAUAAUGUAAGAUCUAGUUGCUUGAUGAACAAAGUGUUGCCGAGUGCUCCAUGUUUGUAUCCAUUCUCUAGAUGAUAACUAGCUAAAGUGUUAUACCAUGUCCUGGGAGCUUGUUUCAAGCCAUAGACGACUUUAUCUAGAAGAUACACCUGAUCAGGGAAUUCUUCACUUUCAAAUCCUAGAGGUUGUUUUAGAAAAACUUCGUCUUGAAGAUCCCCAUUGUAACAGCCCGAAAUCCAGGUAAGCUUAUGACCCUUUUUAUUUUGGAGAGUUGGCAUAUUAGUCCCUCAAAGUUGUAUGUGAUGGGUUUUGAGCAUUCUAACACUUCCUAAGUGUACAUGAAACCCUAAUAGCCUUGGAUCUAUGUUUGUCUAAUUAUCAUGCAAAGUUGAUUUCCAUGUCUAUGAUCCUAUCUAGCAUACAUGGGGAACAAUUUUAACUUAAAUAAUAGAGAGAAUUACAUACCUUGUUGUUGUAAAUGUUCCUUGAAACCUUGUGAGCCUAGCACCCCAAGUGUGAUGCCUCAAAUGCUUCACACAACACCAAAUGCUAUGGAGUAAACUUGGAGAGAAAGUAUAACACACUAAAAUCAGCUCUAGCCCUCUUGUUUCUUGGUGUAACCGGUUUUGGGAGAACACAUGAGCUUUAUAUAGUGUUGACACAUCUUGGGUUACACCAUGUAAACCCUAAUGUGUGAUGAGUCUUCAUUUCCAUGACCCAUGGGUUUGUAACUACCAUGGAGCCUCCAUGGAGCAUCCAAUGGGUUUAACCCAACUUGAUUAUCCAUGGAGCCUCUAAGCCCACUAUAUAAGUUAUGGAUGAUUUACAUACCAGAAAUAGUUAUGGACUUACAUACCUUAUCCAACAGUAUGGUGGAUUAGUGAGUACGUUGGGCGUACUGAAGUGUACGCCGCGCGUACUCACAAGCUUAAAUUGGAUGCAGACUCGCCCGGGUACGCUGGGCGUACCCAGGGGUUACGUUGGGCGUAGCGAGCCCAGAUGCAAACCCUAAUUCCUGGCUUUUUCGCUAUAAAAGGAACAUGUAGUCCCUUGCCCUAGCCACCAUAUCCCCUUGAGUGAGUCCUUUGAGAGCGGAGAUACGUGCUUUAGCUUGUGUGUGUGUUUUUGAGCUUGAAGUUAUCUUUUCAAGGUGAAGAAGGAGAAGAAGGAGCCAUUGUUGGAGCUAGAAGUUGAAGAACAAGUGUAGAUCCGAGUUCUAUAGUGGUUGGAGAUCCUUUCUGAGGUAAAAAGCUCAAAGCUUUCCGUGUUCUUUAUAAGUUUUGCUUUUUGGACCAUUUUUAAGGUUUUUGGUUCAAAGUUGGAGACUUUAUGUGCAAAGAGUCUCCAUCAGCUUAGACCUGACCUUUUCUAGUGUAUAAUGUGUUGAGGAGUCAUAAAAAUCUAGUCUUGGACGUGGAUCUUGUAUUAUGCAUAAGUUAUAGUCUCAUUAUGGAAAGAGGAAAGGUGUUUUAAGCACAAAGUGACCUUUACAGCCAUGCAAAGGCUUAAAGGUUUCAACUUUAUGGAUUAACUCACAUUAGAGGAGUCGGAUCUGAAGUUUGGAUGCAAGUCUUAACUGAUUAAGACCUGCAUAAGAUGGAUAAGCAAACUGGGCAUUAAGUUGGGGGUAAUCCCAGUAUGUGCGGUGUAAGCAGCUGCGCACCCCGUUUCUGUGAAGGCUUCGGGUACGCCCAACGUACACGUUUGGUACGCGCAGCGUAACCCGGGGGGUUGACUUUUAUUGGCUUUUAGGGUUUGGUCAAUUUUAGUGUAAUUGAGCCAAGUAAGGGGUAAAAUGGUCUUUUACCUUCCUGGGAGUGAUUAAAGGGAAUGGUCUAGCAUAGGGAAAUGUGUUAAUGUUGAGUGUUAUUUCAUAUGAUUAGGCAGAGGCUAGAUCUUAUCCUACGGAGUCCGAGAUUUCUGAGAUUUACGAGUUACCGAGCUACACGAGGUGAGUCUUCUCACUAUACGUUACCUAGAGUGGUAUUUAUGUGGACCGGAGGGUCUUAUGUGUUAUCUAUGAGAUUAUAUGAAUCUAUGUGCUAUGUGAUAUUUGCAUGUUAUAUGAUUGUAUAGACUGGACCGGAAGGUCCAAUGAUAUAGACCGGACUAGAGGGUCGAACGAUUCAGACCGGGCCGGAGGGCCCAACGAGCUAUGGGACUGGAGGGUCCCGUUGAGACACAUCGACCGGAGGGUCGUACUGUACCCUCGAGUGGCGUAUGUGUUGUAUAUGGUAUUUUGGGGAACUCACUAAGCAAUUAUGCUUACAGUCGUUGUGUUAUGUGUUUCAGGUACUAGCGAGGACCGUGAGAAGGUGCCGGUGUGACUCGUACACACUAAAGGAGGGAUUUGUUUUUGUGAUCCUGGGAUAUGUUAUGUUUUGAUAACUAUGGUUGAAUACUUUUGAGAAUAUUUUUAUAUAAAUUUGGUUGAUGAAAAAUGAAAAAUUGUUUUGAAAAUCACGUUGUUACAAGUUGGUAUCAGAGCCUUGGUUUGAGGGACUCGGAUGCACCUUUGGGCGUAUCUGAACUCAAACUGAGGAUUUGAGAAAUUUUCAACAAUAAAAACUAAAUUUUCUAAAAGAGCAAAGAGUUUUGAAACAAACAGAUUAGAGCAGUGUGUACGGUCAACCAGCGCCCGAACGGUGAAUCCCCAAAAUACCCUUACAUUAUGUGUUAUGAGAUAUGCUAUGUUAUGUUAUGCAUGCUAGAGUAGGCUAGGUAUUCAUAUUAGGACUAGAGUGGCCUGAUUUGUGAUGCCUUAGCCUAGGAGAUUUCUGCUACUAUGAGAUGCCUUGAGACCGAGUAGGUAGCAGUUAGGAGCUCAUGAGUGGUCUAUCGGAGGGUAGCCAAUGCAUAGUGAGAGUAGAGUACUUGCAAUCCGGGAUCCAAGGAGGAGGACUUGAGGUGAAUGCUAAUACGGUGUGGUCAGUAGUAUAGGGCCCGUACUAUUGAAGACACCGGAUCAGUAUGCAGCCCAAGUAAGAAUCCUUUGGGUAUUGGAGGACGAGUAGGGUUGUGUUAUCGAGUGCGAGUAUGCUCGAUCGAGUCUCUGAUAUAUUUAUUUUGUAUUUCAGAGGCAUCAUGGUUGGGACACGACACACACCUGAGAGUAGUGGGGUCAGUGACAAGGAGAUCCGUCGUUUGAUUCAUGAGGAGGUGGCUAGUGCCAUCCGGGCUGAGAUUCCAGAGAUGUUUGAGGACAUCAAGACCACACUGAUUGAGACCUUUGAUGAGCGGUAUGUAGCGGUGACUGAGGCUGCAGUUGCUGCAGCUACUGCUGAUGUGGCUGCUGCCAGACCUCAGGGAGGUGACUCGUUGUUGUUUCGGGAGUUCAGCAACACGAAGCCACCAGAGUUCGAUGUGGCGCAAGACCCGAUUGCUGCGAUGAGAUGGAUCUCUGAAAUCGAGGGAUGUUUCUAUACGUGUUCUUGUCCAGAACACUUGAGGGUGCGGUUCACUCUGAACCAGCUCCGCUUGGGAGCGAAGGAUUUGUGGAAGUUCGUGACGGCGAGCUUCACUCUGGCAGAGAUUUCUGAGGUGACCUGGGAGAGGUUCACCACCAUGUUCAGAGAUGAGUAUGUUCCCCCGGUGGAGAGGGAACGAUUGAUUCAGGAGUUCUUGACCCUCAAGCAGGGUACUGAUUAUGUUACAGUCAUUACCAGGAAGUUUUAGGAGAGGGCGAUGUUUUCCCUUGAGCAAGUGUCUACUGAGCAGGCUCGCAUGAGCCGAUAUCUGAGUGUUUUGAGGAGAGAUAUUCGAGAGUUCGUGGUGAACUUGACUUACCGUACAUUUGCUGAGUUCCAGGAAAAUGCCCAGAAAAGGGAGAUCGAGUUGGAGACUCAGGCCAGGGUGGAGGCCGAGUCCCAGUGGAUGGAUCGGCGGAAGGCUUAGUCUCAUCCAACAACCAAGUAAGUUAAGCCCGCUGAUUCGAGAUCUAGGGGCGUGAAGGGUCGGACUUGUGGGAAGUGCGGCAAGAGUCACGAGGGGUCGUGUCGGGUUGGAGUAUGCUACAAGUGCUGGAAGGAGGGGCAUAUCACGAGGGAUUGCCCCAAGGGAUUUUCGGUUUGCUUCCAUUGCAACCAGACCGACCAUCGGAAGGCCGAGUGCCCUCAGCUUCCACAGGGAUCUGUGCCGGCGACCAGGACUACUGAGGUUCGUCCAGUGAAGGCUGAGGCGCCAAAGGCUCGUGGGAGGGCCUUUCAGUUGACAGCGGAGGAGGUCCACGCAGCACCCGACGUUGUGGCCGAUAUGUAUUCUUCUCUCUAUUUAUUUAAGUCUGAGAUAUUAUGCUUAUAUUAUGUUAUGCGUAGGUACUUUUCUUGUGAAUUUUGUACCUGCCUUAGUGCUAUUUGACUCGGGAGCGAGUCGAUCUUUUGUGUCAUUAGCCUUCAGUCACCAUAUUAGUAUUUGUCGAGAGGCCUUGAGUCGACCUCUGCGAGUUUCUAUAGCUAAUGAGUGAGCAGUGUAUGCCACAGAUGCGAUUCGAGGAUGUAUCCUUGAGAUCUUUGGUGUGGAGUUCCCGAUAGAUCUGGUUACGAUUGCGAUGGUGGAUGUGUGUGUUAUAGUGGGCAUGGAUUGGUUGAGCCAAUUUGGAGCUAUUAUAGACUGCGAGCGUCAGUUGGUGACAAUACAAGACCCUAGUGGGGGAGUACUUAUGGUGUACGGAGAGGGUACCCAUCCUGAGUCAACAUUUUGUUCAGCUGCUAAGGCGAGACAGAGUUUACAGCAGGGCUGUAGAGGAUUCGUGGCCUAUGUGAUGGACACGCGAGUGGCCGCUGGGAGGCCAAGUUCAAUUGAUGAGGUCCCAAUUGUGCGGGAGUUCCCAGACAUUUUCCCUGAGGAGUUGUCGGGCGUGCCUCCCGAGAGGCAGGUGGAGUUUCAUAUCGACUUGGUGCCAAGGGUGACACCUAUUGCCAAGGCACCCUAUUGCCUUGCGCCGUCCGAGAUGCAGGAGUUAUCCUCGCAGCUUAAGGAGCUGUUGGGAAAGGGGUUUAUUAGACCAAGUAGCUCACCUUGGGGAGCGCCAAUCCUUUUUGUCAAGAAGAAGGAUGGUUCACACUGGAUGUGUAUCAAUUACCGGGAGUUGAACAAGUUGACGGUCAAGAACCGUUAUCCGUUACCAAGGAUUGACGAUCUGUUUGAUCAGUUGCAGGGGUGUCUUGGUUCUCCUAGAUAGACUUGAGGUCGGGAUAUCACCAGAUGAGGGUCUGGGAUGAGGACAUCCAGAAGACAGCGUUCAGAACUCGUUACGAGCAUUACGAGUUCGUGGUGAUGCCAUUCGGGCUCACCAACGCACCAGUAGCGUUCAUGGAUCUCAUGAAUCGGGUGUGCAGGCCGAUGUUGGAUCGAUCGAUGAUUGUUUUCAUCGAUGAUAUCUUGGUAUAUUCGAAAUCCAGAGCGCAGGAUGAGGAGCAUUUGAGGGAAAUCCUCGGAGUUCUGGGAUCGGAGAGGCUUUAUCCAAAUUCUCCAAGUGUGAUUUUUGGUUACGGGAGGUCCACUUCCUAGGGCAUCUCGUUAACCAGCAGGGGAUAUUGGUCGAUUCGGCCAAGAUUGAGGCUGUGAUGAGCUGGGAGGUGCCGAGGUCACCUACAGAGAUCAAGAGUUUCUUAGGGCUAGCAGGGUAUUAUCGGAGAUUUAUCAGGGAUUUCUCCAAGAUCGUCGUGCCAGUCAACAAGUUGACCCGGAAGGGUGUUACUUUUUCUUGGGGUCCAGAGUAGCAGACCUCGUUCGAGACACUUUGCCAGAGAUUAUGCGAAUCCCCGGUGUUGUCCCUUCCGGAGGGAAUGGAGGAUUUCGUGGUGUGUUAUGAUGCAUCAAUAUCAGGGUUGGGAGUAGUGCUUACGUAGAGGGGGCAUGUGAUAGCAUAUGCAUCGAGACAACUAAAGCGUCAUGAUUCGAGGUAUCCCACUCACGAUCUGGAAUUGGGGGCAGUAGUGUUCGCCCUCAAAAUCUGGCGGCACUAUUUGUAUGGGGUUCGGUGUACGAUAUUCACGGACCACAAAAGAUUGAAGUAUUUGAUGGAUCAGCCCAAUCUGAACAUGUGCCAGAGGAGAUGGCUGGAUGUGGUGAAGGAUUACGACUGUGAGAUCUUGUACCACCCAGGCAAGGCUAAUGUUGUAGCCAAUGCCCUGAGCCGAAGGGCAGAGGGCGCCCCGAUACAAGAUGUUUGCAUGAGAUUGACAGUGAUGAAUCCGGUAUGGGGCACCAUUCGAGGGGCCCAGGCAGAGGCCCUGAGACCGGAGAACCACAAGAGAGAGCGAGUGAUCGGGCAGGUAUCAAAGUUUGUUACCGAUAGUUGAGGACUUAUGACCUUCCAGGGUCGGGUUUGGGUACCGUUUGUGGGCGAAACGCGUACCGUCUUGAUGGAGGAGGCGUAUAGAUCGAAGUUCUCGAUCCACCCCGGGGCCACUAAGAUGUAUUUGGACCUGAAGAAGGAGUAUUGGUGGCCAUGUAUGAAAAGGGAUGUUUCAUGGUUCCUAGAGAGGUGCUUGACCUAUCGCAAGGUUAAGGCCGAGCACCAGCGCCCGCAUGGUAUGUUACAGCCGUUAGAGAUUCCCGAGUGGAAGUGGGAACAAAUUACCAUGGAUUUUAUCACCAAAUUGCCGAGGACUGCUGGGGGUGUCGAUGCAAUUUGGGUGAUUGUGGACAGGUUGACGAAGAGCGCUCAUUUCCUUGCCAUCAGUGAGAGCUCUUCUACAGAGAGGCUGGCAGAAUUGUACGUGAAGGAGGUGGUAUCGCAGCAUGGAGUACCGAUCUCGAUUGUCUCAGAUCGAGAUGUGCGUUUCACUUCCAGAUUUUGGAAGAAAUUUCAUGAGGAAAUGGAUACGAGACUGUAUUUUUGUACCGCGUACCACCGACAGAUCGACGGGCAGAGCGAGCGGAUGAUUCAGACACUCGAGGACAUGCUUCGGGCAUGUGUACUGGAUUUUGACAGGAGUUGGGACACGUACUUGCCCUUGGCUGAGUUUUCCUAUAACAACAGCGAUCACUCGCGCAUUGGUAUGCCACCUUUUGAGCUGUUGUAUGGAAGGAUGUGUCGUACCCCCAUUUGCUGGGGCGAAGUAGGACAGCAUGUGAUGGGUAGUAUAGAGAUAGUGCUUCAGACAACAGAGCAUAUACAACAGAUUACACAGAGGUUGACGACCACUCAGAGUCGCCAGAAAAGUUAUGCAGAUAGGCGACGAUCCGAACUCGAGUUCCAGGUCGGUGAUUUUGUGCUCCUGAAGGUAUCUCCUUGGAAAGGAGUGAUCCGAUUCAGGAAGAGGGGCAAGCUGGGACCCCAGUAUAUUGGGCCGUUUAGAGUGAUCGUGAGGGUGGGCAAGGUAGCAUAUCGCUUGGAGCUACCUGCGGAGUUGGACCAGAUUCAUGAUACCUUCCACGUGUCGUAGCUCAGGAAGUGUAUUGUCGAUGAGUCGGCAGUGGUUCCCUUAGAGGAUAUCCAGGUGGGCGAAAGUCUAAAUUAUGCUGAGAAGCCGAUCGCAAGCUUGGAUUGGAGGAUCAAGGUUCUGAGGAACAAGGAAGUGCCCUUGGUUCAGGUCCAGUGGUAACAUCAGAGAGGGUCUGAGCUGACCUGGGAGCCAGAGUCAGAGAUGCGGGAGCAGCAUUCGAAGUUGUUCGCAGCAUAAGACUUCAAGGGCGAAGUCUGGUUUUAGUGGGGGAGAAUUGUAACAGCCCAAAAUCCAGGUAAGCUUAUGACCCCUUGUAUUUUGGAGAGUUGGCAUAUUAGUCCCUCAAAGUUGUAUGCUGGAUUAGUGAGUAUGUUGGGCGUACUGAAGUGUACGCUGCGCGUACUCACGCACUUAAAUUGGACGCGGACUCGCCCAGGUACGCUGGGCGUACCUAGGGUUACGUUANACCCCUUUUAUUUUGGAGAGUUGGCAUAUUAGUCCCUCAAAGUUGUAUGCUGGAUUAGUGAGUAUGCUGGGCGUACUGAAGUGUACGCUGCGCGUACUCACGCACUUAAAUUGGACGCGGACUCGCCCGGGUACGUUGGGCGUACCUAGGGUUACGUUAGGCGUAGCGAGCCCAGAUGCAAACCCUAAUUCCUGGCUUUUGCACUAUAAAAGGAACAUGUAGUCCCUUGCCCUAGCCACCAUAUCCCCUUGAGUGAGUCCUUUGAGAGCUGAGAUUCGUGCUUUAGCUUGUGUGUGUGUUUUUGAGCUUGAAGUUAUCAUUUCAAGGUGAAGAAGGAGAAGAAGGAGCCAUUGUUGGAGCUAGAAGUUGAAAAACAAGUGUAGAUCCGAGUUCUACAGUGGUUGGAGAUCCUUUCUGAGGUAAAAAGCUCAAAUCUUUCCUUGUUCUUCAUAAGUUUUGCUUUUUGGACAAUUUUAGGGUUUUUGGUUCAAAGUUGGAGACUUUAUGUGCAAAGAGUCUCCAUAAGCUUAGAUCUAACCUUUUCUAGUGUAAAAUGUGUUGAGGAGUCAUAAAAAUCUAGUCUUGGACAUGGAUCUUGUGUCAUGCAUGAGUUAUAGUCUCAUUAUGGAAAGAGGAAAGGUGUUUUGAGCACAAAGUGACCUUUACACCAAUGCAAAGGCUUAAAGGUUUCAACUUUAUGGAUUAAGUCACAUUAAAGGAGUCAAAUAUGAAGUUUGGAUGUAAGUCUUAACUGAUUAAGACCUGAAUGAGAUGGAUAAUGAAAUUGGGCAUUACGCUGGGCGUAAUCCCAGUAUGCGCAGCGUAUGCAGCUGUGCACCCCGUUUCUGUGAAGACUCUGGGUAUGCCUAACGUACACGUUUGGUACGCGCAGCGUAACCCGGGGGUGACUUUUGUUGACUUUUAGGGUUGGUCAAUUUUAGUGUAACUGAGCCAUGUAAGGGGUAAAAUGGUCUUUUACUUUCCUGGGAGUGAUUAGAGGGAAUGGUCUAGCCUAGGGAAAUGUGCGUAUGUUGAGUGUUAUUACAUAUGAUUAGGCAGAGGCUAGAUCUUAUCCCACGGAGUCCGAGAUUUCUGAGAUUUACGAGUUAGCGAGCUACACGUGGUGAGUCUUCUCACUAUACGUUACCUAGAGUGGUAUUUAUGUGGACCGGAGGCUCUUAUGUGUUAUGUAUGAGAUUAUGUGAAUCUAUGUGCUAUGUGAUAUUUGCAUGUUAUAUGAUUGUAUAGACCGGACUGUAAGCUCCAAUGAUACAGACCGAACCAGAGGGUCCAACGAUUCAGACCGGGCUGGAGGGCCCAACGAGCUAUGGGACUGGAGGGUCCCGCUGAGACACAUCGACCGGAGGGUCGUACUGUACCCUCGAGUGUCGUAUGUGUUGUAUAUGGUAUUUUGAGGAACACACUAAGCAAUUAUGCUUAUAGUCGUUGUGUUAUGUGUUUCAGGUACUAGCGAGGACCGUGGGAAGGUGCCGGUGUGACUCGUACACACUAGAGGAGGGAUUUGUUUUUGUGAUCUUGGGAUAUGUUAUGUUUUGAUAACUAUGGUUGAAUACUUUUGAGAAUAUAUUUAUAUAAAUUUGGUUGUUGAAAAAUGAAAAUUUGUUUUGAAAAUCAUGUUGUUACACCCAUGUAAGAAAGCAAUUUUUACAUCCAUCUAAUAGACCUUGAAGUUCUUGAUUGAAGAAAAAGCACGAAACAGUCUAAUUGCCUCAAGUUGAGCAAUGGGAGCAAAAGUUUCAUCAUAGUCCAAACUUUCUAGCUAACAAAAUCUCCGUGCCACCAGUCUAGCCUUGUUUCUUACAACAAUCUCAUCUUUAUCCAUCUUGCUUUUGAAAACUGAACAAGUACUGAUGUUAGUUUUUUUGUUAAGGCUCAGGGACAAAUGUCCGUACGUGAUGACGUUCAAACUCAUUCACUUCGUCUUAUAUGGACUUUCGUCAUAAUUUCGUUCACCCUUUAAUCCAUCAGGUUUCCCAGCCCAAAAACCAACUAUCACCCAUUUGACAGUUUAAGCCCCUAUAUUUAAUUAAUCUAUUUUGGCCACCAAAUUAAUUCCUAAUUAAUUUAUGACUAAUACUAAUUAAAUAAUAUGAUUUUCCUUUUAAUAUAUUAAUAAAUCAUAAUUUCCUCUCUCUCUCCAUAAAUUACCUGGUAAAGUUGCUUUGGUGAAGGCAACCCAAAAGGACCAUGCACAACCUGGUCAAGUUCAUACCAAAUAUAGUUUCGGGCUUAGACACUAAUCCAACAGUCUCCCACUUGGAUAAGUCUGAUAACUAUAUCUCACAUAAGACUUCAGGAUCCGAUUAGCAAUCGUAUCUCUUAUACGUUGUUGUCAACUCUGAUCAAAAUCCUAUCCUUUAGAUAACGGAUCGUAUAAUCCUCUGUUCUAGAUAUCAUGCUGACAAUCACAUGGAACAUAGUCAUACUUAUUAUUCAGCACAUUGUUCCUCGAUCUCCAAUUUGUUUGACAUGGAACCUAGUUGAACACAUCAACUUUGUCCUGACCGAGCCCAGCACAUAACUCAAACCAAAUCAUCAAGUGGCCAGAUAUCGUUUUCAUCCUCUUGGAAUAAAACGAAAAGAUAAACUUCGACUCAUAUGCUUUUAUUAUUCACUGGCUAACUCAUACACAACAAUACGUUCUAUAACAUCAAGUUACUGAUGCGUUUACCCAUUAUCAAUGCACAACCAACCAACAAAUAAUAACCAUAUCUCUAGGUUUAAAGAUUAUAUGAUAUUAUCGUCUUGCGAUCACUCGUGAGAAAUUCCAUGAAGUGAUACCAGCAAGCGCGGGUUUAUUCCAAUGCUCAAAUCAUACUUCAUAAGCACUCAUGAACUUUGCAGCAAACCUUUGUCAUGCCUAAAACCUUUUAGACAAUCUACAAACAAAUUCAUGACAGUCUUCUUUCAUAUCUACUUCCUGAUGGGUUUUGAGCAUUCUAACACUUCCUAAGUGUACAUGCAACCCUAAUAAACCUUGGAUCUAUGUUUGUCUAAGAUACAUGCAAAUAAUUAUUUUUCCAAGGUUCAUAUCCUAACUAGCAUGGCAUGGGGAACAUGAAUCAAAUAAAGCUAGUAGAAAUACUUACCUUGUAGUAGUAGUUCAUUGCUUGGAGUUUUAGAGCCUAGCACCAAUAGUGUGGAUGCCUCAAAUGGAAAUCACAAAUCACCACAAACUUGGAACUUUGAGAGAAUAGUCACUACUAUCUUGAAAUCGGCCCUCACCUCAACAAGUGUCAACUAGUGUAAUUUCAAGAACCAAAGCCUCAUUUAUAUAGUGUGAUGUAUCAGGGUUACUUCCAUGUAAACCCUAAUACCCAUGUCUCUUCAUUUCCAUGAGAUCCAUGGGUUAAAGCUCCAUGGAGUAUCCAUGGACUUUUCCAUGCAAGCCUAGCCCAUUCCAAAUAAGCAUUAGCCCACACUAUAUAAAUAUAGAAGCCCAUAUUUAAUUAGUAAUAUCUUUGAUCUCUAAAUUAAUCCUAGAUUAAUUAUAGAUCAAUACUAAUUAAAUAAUAUGAUCUUAUAUUAAUAUAUUAGAACUUAUAAUAUAUUAAUAAAUCAUAACUUGUACUAUUCUCAAAUAUUAUCCAUAAAUUGUUCGGGUGAAGUGCAACCCAAAUGGACCAUGCCGGGUCGGGUCAAGUACAUACCAAAUAUAGUUAUGGACUUAGACACUAUAUCCAACAGUCUCCCACUUGGAUAAGUCUAGUAACUAUAUUUGCAAGUAUAACUUCAGGAACCGAUCAGCAAUCGUAGCUCUUUAAACUCUGUUGAACUAGAACGCGCCAUUUAGAUAAGUGAUCAUAUAAUCCUCUGUUCUAGAUAUCAGCCGGACAAAUACAUGGAACAUUGUCUUACUUAUUGUCCAGCAGUUUGUUUCCCGAUUUCUGAUUUGUUUGACAAAGAACUUAAUUGAACACAUCAACUUAGUUCUGACCGGGCCCGGUACAUAGGUCAAAACAAAAUCAUCGAGUGGCCCAGAUAUCAGCUUCUAAUCCAAGAAGGAACAGAUAAACUUCGACUCAUAUGUUUGUUCUACCACUCAUUGAAUUACACACAAAAGCACGUUUUAUAACAUCGAGUUACCAAUGCGUUUUCGUACAAUCAAUGCAUAACCAACUCGUAAGUAACAAAUCAUAUCUCUAGGUUUGAAGACUUAUAUGAUAUUACCGUCUCACGAUCACUCGAGAUAAAAUUCCAUGAAGUGAUUCCAGUGAGCGUGGGUUGAGUCCAAUGCUCAGAACUUAUGAGCACUCAUGAUUGUUGUAGCCUUGUCCAACACCUUAGACCUCUGCAACCAAUCAUGACAGUCUUGAUUCAUACCUACUUCCGACAUAUGACCGACUGUGGAGGUUUGAAUAAUAUGAUAUACCAAACAUAAUUAUUCUGGAAGUCAAAACAUGCAAAAGAAAUAUAGUAAAAGAUCGACAAGAGAUAGCAACACUUUACUCAUAAAUAAAACACCUUUUAUUCAUCAUCAAAUGUCAAUUACACUUUACAAAUUUCUGGGUUAUCUAACUACUAAAACUUAUAUCAUCCUUCAGCCCUAUGCUCCGAGCAUGCUGGAGAUGCUUAACCCUACUCAGUCCCUUCGUGAGGGGAUCUGCCGGGUUCUCAUCCGAUGAUACCCUCUUCGCCAUGAGGAGUCCUUCUUCAAUUCGAUGUCUGAUAAAAUGGUAUUUUCUGUCGAUGUGUCUGGAUCUCCCGUGAUCCCUUGGUUCCUUGGCUAAGGCAACCGCACUAUUGCUGUCACAGAAAAUCUCCAUUGGCUCUUUUAUAGCUGGUACAACUCCAAGGUCUCCGAUGAAGUUCUUUAGCCAUAUAGCCUCCUUUGCUGCCUCGCUUGCUGCUAUAUACUCUGAUUCACAAGUGGAAUCAGCCACUGUCUCCUGCUUGGAACUCUUCCAAGAAAUUGCUCCUCCGUUUAGGGUAAAGACCCAGCCUGACUGAGAGCGGAAAUUAUCCCUAUCAGUCUGGAAGCUAGCAUCACUAUACCCUACAACUCUCAAGUCAUCACUCCCACCGAAGGUAAGGACCCAGUCCUUAGUCCUUCGCAGGUACUUGAGGAUAUUCUUUACCGCAGUCCAGUGUUCCUUGCCAGGGUUCGCCUGAUACCUGCUAACCAUGCUCAAAGCAAAGGCUACAUCAGGUCGAGUACACGUCAUAGCAUACAUGAUCGAUCCUACAGCUGAAGCAUAAGGAAGUCGACUCAUUUCUGCUAUCUCAGCCUCAGUACUAGGGCUUUGUGUCUUACUCAAUCUGGCGUUACUCUGAAUGGGUAACUCACCUUUCUUGGAGUUAUGCAUGUUGAAUCUUUUCAACACUUUGUCCAAGUAGGUACUUUGACUAAGUCCAAUUAGUCUUUUACUCCUGUUUCUCAAAAUCUUUAUCCCUAGGAUAUAGGCAGCUUCACCAAGGUCCUUCAUAGCGAAACACUUCCCAAGCCAGGACUUUACUUCCUGCAGGGUUGGGAUGUCAUUUCCUAUGAGUAGUAUGUCAUCCACAUACAGUACCAAAAAACUGACUAUGCUCCCACUAGCCUUGAUAUAGACGCAAGAUUCAUCUUCACUCCUUGAAAAGCCAAAUUCCUUGACUUUCUCAUCAAAGCAAAGAUUCCACCUGCGAGGUGCCUGUUUCAAUCCAUAAAUGGAUUUCUCGAGUUUACACACUCUAUUAGGGUACUCGUUGCUGACAAAACCCUCUGGCUGACUCAUGUAAACAUCUUCAGCCAACUUUCCAUUAAGGAAAGCGGUUUUGACAUCCAUUUGCCAUAUUUCAUAGUCAUGAAAUGCAGCUAUGGCUAACAGAACCCGAAUAGACUUAAUCUUGGCUACUGGAGAAAAGGUCUCAUCAUAGUCCACUCCAGGAAUUUGAGAGAAGCCCUUUGCAACCAGUCUCGCCUUAUAAGUGUGUACUUUACCAUCCAUGUCGGUCUUCUUCUUGAAGACCCAUUUGCACCCUACAGUCUUACGACCUGGUACAUUCUCAACCAAGUUCCAAACUUGAUUGUCAUACAUGGAUUGUAUCUCGCUAUCCAUGGCCUCUUUCCAUUUAGCAGCCUCAGGGCCUGCCAUGGCUUCCAUGUAGCUGUUAGGUUCAUCCAGACCUACUAGUGUCUCAUCACUAAUAAGUGUCUCACCUUCCGCAGUAAUAUGGAAACCAUAGUAAUGCUCAGGUGCAUUCCUAACUCUCGUGGAACGCCUCAGAGGUACAGGCUCAUCAACUGGCUCAACAGGAGUUUCCUCCUCAAGUUGAGGGCUAGUGUUUGAAGUUCCUUCACCGCUUGAUUCUUGAAUUUCUUCAAGAUCAAUUUGCCUCCCACUGUCUCCUUGGCUUAUAAAUUCUCUCUCUCGAAAGACUCCUCUUCUUGCUACAAAGACCACAUUGUCACUAGGUCUGUAGAAGAGGUAACCAAAGGAUCGCUGUGGGUAACCGAUGAAAAUACACCUCUCGCUUCGAGGUUCGAGCUUAUCAUGAGUCUCGCGUCUCACGAAAGCCUCGCAACCCCAAAUCUUGAUGUGGUCUAGUUUAGGUACUUUACCAGUCCACAUCUCGUGAGGAGUUUUGGCAACUUUCUUUGUAGGGACUAGAUUAAGAAUAUGGGCGGCAGUCUCUAAGGCAUACCCCCAGAAUGAGAUUGGUAGCGUAGCUCGACUCAUCAUGGAACGAACCAUAUCCAACAAGGUUCGAUUACGCCUCUCAGCCACACCAUUCAACUGUGGUGUCCUGGGAGGUGUCAAUUGUGAGACUAUCCCACAUUCCCUAAGAUAGUCGAGGAACUCUGAACUAAGAUACUCACCACCUCGAUCGGAUCGAAGCAUCUUAAUGUUCCUGCCCAAUUGAUUCUCGACUUCCUGUUUAAAUUCCUUAAACCUCUCGAAAGUCUCUGACUUAUGCUUGAUUAAGUAGACAUAUCCAUAUCUACUAUAAUCAUCAGUAAAAGUCAAAUAAUAACGAUUAGCAUCCCUUGUGGCAUGUUUGAAUGGUCCACACACAUCCGUGUGUAUAAGGUCCAACAAACCUUCACCCCUCUCACACGAACCUGUGAAGGGUGACUUUGUCAUUUUUCCAAGUAAGCAUGAUUCGCAACUAUCAUCUGACUUUAGGUCAAACGACUCCAAGACUCCAUCCUUUUGGAGUUGGCCUAUGCGUUUCUUGCUUAUAUGUCCAAGACGACAAUGCCAUAAUGAUGCUUUAUCCAAGUUAUUAUUAGUAGAAUCAAUACACAAAACAUUAUUUCCCAAGUUAUCUACAACAGAUACAGCUUCAUACACACCAUCACAAGGUAAUGCUUUAAAAUAAAAGACAUUAUUAUAGAAAACAUCUAUAGAACCAACUUCAUUAUUAAAUGAAAAGGUAAACCCUUGUUUGUACAAAGCAUGAAAGGAAAUAAUAUUUCUUGCCAUUCCUGGCGAAUAACAACACUUAUUCAAAUCUAAACUAAACCCACUACUUAGCGAUAAAGUAUAAACUCCAAUCUUGGUAACAGGUAUAGCUUUCCUAUUCCCCAUGAUCAAGUUUAUCCUUCCUUGCUCCACAUCCUCACUUCUUCUUAGUCCCUGCAAGUCACAACAAAUGUGAAUACCACACCCGGUAUCAAGGACCCAAGAAUUAGAAUGGGGUGAGUUAUUAGAAAUGAUAGUGUAAAUACCUGCAUGGUUGGGUUUAACUUUCCCAUCCUUCACAUCUUGCUGGUAUUUUGGGCAGUUCCGCUUCCAAUGAGCUUUUUCAUGGCAAUAGAAGCAUUCAGCCUCUUUUGGGUCAGAAGAAGGAGUAAUGAAACCUUUCUUGGUUCCACUUGAAGAAGAGCCAUCAAGGGUCCGAGCCUUGGUACCCUUAGAAGAGCUCUUUCUCUUCCUCCCUCGACUUUUCCCGAUUGCCAAAACCGGAGUAGAGUUUUGAGUAGGAGUGAUAGCAACCGACUUCCCCUUAAGACCUGUUUCUGCGGUCUUGAGAAGUCCCUGAAGUUUGCUGAGGGUGACUUCUUCCUUGUUCAUGUGAUAUGUCAUGCGGAAUUGAUCAUAGCACGAUGGUAAGGAAUGCAAAAUAAUAUCUAUUGCAAGAUCCUCCGGGAAGUUCACAUUAAGCUUCAGCAAACGAUCCACAUACCUUUGCAUUUUCUGCAUGUGGCUCGUGACGGAUUCCCCGUCCUUCAUCAUGGUUGUUAUCAUGGAGCAGAUGAUUUCAUACCUCUCUUGUCUUGCACUUUGAUGGUAUCUUUCCAUCAAAUCUUGGUGCAUGUCAUAAGGGUAGAAAUCCUCAUAAGACUUUUGGAGUUCCGCUGUCAUCGUGGCCAUCAUGAUGCAAGCCACUUUCGUAGCAUCCCUUUCAUGUGCCCGAAAUUCAGCGAUCUCCUGAGGAGUUGCAGUGGACUCAUCAAUCUCCUUAAGCUCCUUGUCAAGGACAUAUUCUUUGUCCUCGUAGCGGGUAAUCAUCCUGAUGUUUCUGAUCCACUCAUUGAAGUUGGAUCCAUCAAAGGUGACUUUCCCACACAAGUUCAUAAGGGUAAAGGAGCCAUUAGGAUUAGAGCCAGAAGCAUUGUUGAAAGACAUCUGAAGGAAAGAGGACAAGAUUAGUUUAGAUAUAAGAGAGUCCUUAAUAAAACACCCAAAUGUAAUAUUAAGGCUAGGAUCCAAUCACAAUAUAAUAUAACUUAGAAGAGGUAUGCCGUAAUCUAAGCUAUAUCAUAUUUGAAAGGUAGGUGAAUGACGAUUCACCAAUUUCCACCACGAAAACCGCAAUAUUUUAGUAUUAGGUUUUUGAAUGGUUCUUAGAAAUUCCUAGAUUCUUUGAGAUUCAAUGAACUUUUCAAAGGCAUGUUUCAAUCUCGAGUGUGCCCUCCAAGUUUUGUGACUGGGAUACCGAGGAUCACAAAACGAGGUGUGAAGUAACCAUGCAAAUCACUUGGUACCCUUAAAGUUUAUCACUCAAUCGAUGUGCCGGUUAACCACACACGCUCCAUCGAUACUAUAAUAAACCCUAAGUCACCCUUUACCUACCUUGUUAAGUCCAAGUUAGUGUGCCGGUUAACCACACACGCUCCACCAACGACUUAAUCAAAGUGUAAAGUGUAAUUUCAUGGAAUAGCACCUUAUUCACAUUUUUCCUAAAGUAACUAAGAUUGGGAAUUUAAUAAAACAUUUAGUUACUUUAUAAUAUUCAUCAUACUUUGAAUGAGAAUUAAUAAGUCCUUGUCUUACCCGUUCGGCUAACGACCCUCCACCGAUCAAGCAAGCGGUGGGUGAGAGUGGACACCCAUUAAGUCACCAUUUUAUAGGCAACAACCUUAUACCCACCUUAUAGACCGGCUUCGUGAAUGAGGCGUACUAGCGGUAAGACGACUUUGUUCUUAUACAUAUAUAUAUAAUUAUUAAAUCAUAAUAAUAUAAGUAUAAGGGUUGAAUUUUAACUUUUAAAAUUCUAGGGGUUGGAACUAAAGUUUUAACUUAACUUUACUUGUUCCAAAACUUGAGGGCAAGUUUUGUAAACUUUCAAAACUUUUCAUUUCUUGUAACUUAUGAGUUUAAUAGAGUAAUAAAAUGAGGACUUUUCAUUUUUCCUAACUCUUGUGUUCUUUUAAUGGUUUUUAAUCCAAGAGACUUUUGGUUUUCCAUAACUUGAGGACAAGUUAUGGACUCCAUUAAAACACAUUAUGAUCAUGAAUUAAUCUACCACAUAGGUUACAAAUAAUUCCUAUGAUCAUCUAAACAUCAUAAGAACAAGAAUAUGAAUAUGAACACUUUCAAGAAUCAAAAUCACAUUUAAUCUUUGUAAUUUUGAUAACUAGUUGUUGUAAAUGAGUUAGAAAAGACAUUACACCUUCUAAAAUAAGUUUUCAAGUACCAAAACAUUUUAGGGUAAUGAUUCUAAUCCAUUUCCAGCAACUCAAGUCGAAAUUCUGCACUCUGUCGACCCUACUCGCCGAGUGCAUAAACCUACUCGCCGAGUAGGUUGAAGAUACACAUGAACUCGACGAGUCCUCCCCAUGGACUCGCCGAGUCCAUCAGUCAGACAGCAGAAUUUUCGACUUUCUUCAACUUUUAAGCACAAAUAACAAACAAACAAGCCUAGGCUCUGAUACCACUGAUGGGUUUUGAGCAUUCUAACACUUCCUAAGUGUACAUGCAACCCUAAUAAACCUUGGAUCUAUGUUUGUCUAAGAUACAUGCAAAUAAUUAUUUUUCCAAGGUUCAUAUCCUAACUAGCAUGGCAUGGGGAACAUGAAUCAAAUAAAGCUAGUAGAAAUACUUACCUUGUAGUAGUAGUUGAUUGCUUGGAGUUUUAGAGCCUAGCACCAAUAGUGUGGAUGCCUCAAAUGGAAAUCACAAAUCACCACAAACUUGGAACUUUGAGAGAAUAGUCACUACUAUCUUGAAAUCGGCCCUCUUGCUUUACUCACCUCAACUAGUGUGAUUUCAAGAACCAAAGCCUCCUUUAUAUAGUGUGGUGGAUUAGGGUUACAUCCAUGUAAACCCUAAUACCCAUGUCUCUUCAUUUCCAUGAGAUCCAUGGGUUAAAGCUCCAUGGAGUAUCCAUGGACUUCUCCAUCCAAGCCUAGCCCAUUCCAAAUAAGCAUAAGCCCACACUAUAUAAAUAUAGAAGCCCAUAUUUAAUUAGUAAUAUCUUUGAUCACUAAAUUAAUCCUAGAUUAAUUAUAGAUCACUACUAAUUAAAUAAUAUGAUCUUAUAUUAAUAUAUUAGAACUUAUAAUAUAUUAAUAAAUCAUAACUUGUACUAUUCUCAAAUAUUAUCCAUAAAUUGUUCGGGUGAAGUGCAACCCAAAUGGACCAUGCCGGGUCGGGUCAAGUACAUACCAAAUAUAGUUAUGGACUUAGACACUAUAUCCAACACUUCCAACAUAUGAGCGACUGUGGACUGAUUGAAUAAUCUUAUUAUUCAGGAAGUCAAAACAUGCAAAAUUGAAACAAUAGGUAAAUAAUCAGCACAAGAUAGUAGCUUUACUCAUAAACAAUACACCUUUAUUUAUUCAUCAAAUGUCAAGUACAAAUUAUCUAUUACACAUUUCCUAUUUAUCUAAUUUAAACUUAUAUCGUCCUUCACCCUAUGUUCCUCGCAUGCCGCAAGUGCUUAACCCUACUAAGUCCCUUUGUAAGGGGAUCUGCUGGGUUAUCUUCUGACGAUACCCUCUACACCACGAGGGGUCCAGCUUCUACCCGAUGUCUAAUGAAGUGAUAUUUUAUGUCGAUAUGUCUGGAUCUGCCGUGAUCCCUUAGUUCCUUGGUCAAGGCAACCGCACCUUCAUUAUCACAGAAAAUCUCCAUAGGCUCCUUUAUGGAUGAAAAAACUCCAAGGUCUCCACUAAAGUUAUUCAACCAUAUUGCCUCCUUUGAUGCUUCACUUUCCGUAAUGUAUUCUGAUUCGCACGUUGAAUAAGCUAUCGUCUCUUGCUUGGAACUUUUCCAACUCACUGCUCCUCCGUUAAGGCUAAAGACCUAGCCAGGCUGCGAUCGGUAAUUAUCCCGAUCAGUCUGAAGACUAGCGUCACUGUAUCCUCGUACCCUUAAGUCAUCACUCCCACCGAGGACUAGAAACCAUUCCUUGGUCCUCCGAAGGUACUUAUGAAUAUUCUUAACUGCAGUCCAAUGAGCUCUACCAGGGUUUCCCUGAUAUCUGCUCACCAUGGUUAAAGUGAAGGCCACAUCAGGGCGAGUACAAGUCAUAGCGUACAUGAUUGAGCCAACUGCGGAAGCGUAAGGUAGUCGACUUAUCUCUGCUAUCUAUGCCUUUGUACUUGGGCUCUGAGUCUUACUCAGCUUGGUAUUGCUUUGGACUGGCAAUUCCCCUUUCUUGGAAUUUACCUUCCUAAAACGUUUUAGUACCUUAUCCAAGUAUGUAUCCUGACUGAGUCCUAUCAGUCUUUUACUCCUGUUUCUUACUAUCCUUAUUCCCAGAAUAUACGCAGCUUCUCCGAGGUCCUUCAUAGCAAAGCACUUCCCAUGCCAGGACUUGAAUUCCUGCAAGGGUGGGAUGUUGUUUUCCUAUGACAGGAGUUGGGACACGUAUUUGCCCUUGGCUGAGUUUUCCUAUAACAACAGCGAUCACUCACACAUUGGUAUGCCACCUUUUGAGCUGUUGUAUGGAAGGAUGUGUCGUACCCCCAUUUGCUGGGGCGAGGUAGGACAGCAUGUGAUGGGUAGUAUAGAGAUAGUGCUUCAGACGACGGAGCAGAUACAACAGGUUAGACAGAGGUUGACGACCACUCAGAGUCGCCAGAAAAGUUAUGCAGAUAGGCGACGAUCCGAACUUGAGUUCCAGGUCGGUGAUUUUGUGCUCCUGAAGGUAUCUCCUUGGAAAGGAGUGAUCCGAUUCAGGAAGAGGGGCAAGCUGGGACCCUAGUAUAUUGGGCCGUUUAGAGUGAUGGUGAGGGUGGGCAAGGUAGCAUAUCUCUUGGAGCUACCUGCGGAGUUGGACCAGAUUCAUGAUACCUUCCACGUGUCGCAGCUGAGGAAGUGUAUUGUCGAUGAGUCGACAGUGGUACCCUUAGAGGAUAUCCAGGUGGGCGCAAGUCUAAAUUAUGCUGAGAAGCCGAUCGCAAGCUUGGAUUGGAGGAUCAAGGUUCUGAGGAACAAGGAAGUGCCCCUGGUUCAGGUCCAGUGGUAACAUCAGAGAGGGUCUGAGCUGACCUGGGAGCCAGAGUCAGAGAUGCGGGAGCAGCAUUCGAAGUUGUUCGUAGCAUGAGACUUCAAGGGCGAAGUCUGGUUUUAGUGGGGGAGAAUUGUAACAGCCCAAAAUCCAGGUAAGCUUAUGACCCCUUUUAUUUUGGAGAGUUGGCAUAUUAGUCCCUCAAAGUUGUAUGCUGGAUUAGUGAGUAUGCUGGGCGUACUGAAGUGUACGCUGCGCGUACUCACGCACUUAAAUUGGACGCGGACUCGCCCGGGUACGUUGGGCGUACCUAGGGUUACGUUAGGCGUAGCGAGCCCAGAUGCAAACCCUAAUUCCUGGCUUUUGCACUAUAAAAGGAACAUGUAGUCCCUUGCCCUAGCCAUCAUAUCCCCUUGAGUGAGUCCUUUGAGAGCUGAGAUUCGUGCUUUAGCUUGUGUGUGUGUUUUUGAGCUUGAAGUUAUCAUUUCAAGGUGAAGAAGGAGAAGAAGGAGCCAUUGUUGGAGCUAGAAGUUGAAAAACAAGUGUAGAUCCGAGUUCUACAGUGGUUGGAGAUCCUUUCUGAGGUAAAAAGCUCAAAUCUUUCCUUGUUCUUCAUAAGUUUUGCUUUUUGGACAAUUUUAGGGUUUUUGGUUCAAAGUUGGAGACUUUAUGUGCAAAGAGUCUCCAUAAGCUUAGAUCUAACCUUUUCUAGUGUAAAAUGUGUUGAGGAGUCAUAAAAAUCUAGUCUUGGACAUGGAUCUUGUGUCAUGCAUGAGUUAUAGUCUCAUUAUGGAAAGAGGAAAGGUGUUUUGAGCACAAAGUGACCUUUACACCAAUGCAAAGGCUUAAAGGUUUCAACUUUAUGGAUUAAGUCACAUUAAAGGAGUCAAAUAUGAAGUUUGGAUGUAAGUCUUAACUGAUUAAGACCUGAAUGAGAUGGAUAAUGAAAUUGGGCAUUACGCUGGGCGUAAUCCCAGUAUGCGCAGCGUAUGCAGCUGUGCACCCCGUUUCUGUGAAGACUCUGGGUAUGCCUAACGUACACGUUUGGUACGCGCAGCGUAACCCGGGGGUGACUUUUGUUGACUUUUAGGGUUGGUCAAUUUUAGUGUAACUGAGCCAAGUAAGGGGUAAAAUGGUCUUUUACCUUCCUGGGAGUGAUUAGAGGGAAUGGUCUAGCCUAGGAAAAUGUGUUGAUGUUGAGUGUUGUUACAUAUGAUUAGGCAGAGGCUAGAUCUUAUCCCACGGAGUCCGAGAUUUCUGAGAUUUACGAGUUAGCGAGCUACACGUGGUGAGUCUUCUCACUAUACGUUACCUAGAGUGGUAUUUAUGUGGACCGGAGAGUCUUAUGUGUUAUGUAUGAGAUUAUGUGAAUCUAUGUGCUAUGUGAUAUUUGCAUGUUAUAUGAUUGUAUAGACCGGACUGUAAGCUCCAAUGAUACAGACCGAACCAGAGGGUCCAACGAUUCAGACCGGGCUGGAGGGCCCAACGAGCUAUGGGACUGGAGGGUCCCGCUGAGACACAUCGACCGGAGGGUCGUACUGUACCCUCGAGUGGCGUAUGUGUUGUAUAUGGUAUUUUGAGGAACACACUAAGCAAUUAUGCUUAUAGUCGUUGUGUUAUGUGUUUCAGGUACUAGCGAGGACCGUGGGAAGGUGCCGGUGUGACUCGUACACACUAAAGGAGGGAUUUGUUUUUGUGAUCUUGGGAUAUGUUAUGUUUUGAUAACUAUGGUUGAAUACUUUUGAGAAUAUUUUUAUAUAAAUUUGGUUGUUGAAAAAUGAAAAUUUGUUUUGAAAAUCAUGUUGUUACACCCAUGUAAGAAAGCAAUUUUUACAUCCAUCUAAUAGACCUUGAAGUUCUUGAUUGAAGAAAAAGCACGAAACAGUCUAAUUGCCUCAAGUUGAGCAAUGGGAGCAAAAGUUUCAUCAUAGUCCAAACCUUCUAGCUAACAAAAUCUCCGUGCCACCAGUCUAGCCUUGUUUCUUACAACAAUCUCAUCUUUAUCCAUCUUGGUUUUGAAAACUGAACAAGUACUGAUGUUAGUUUUUUGUUAAGGCUCAGGGACAAAUGUUCGUACGUGAUGACGUUCAAACUCAUUCACUUCGUCUUAUAUGGACUUUCGUCAUAAUUUCGUUCACCCUUUAAUCCAUCAGGUUUCCCAGCCCAAAAACCAACUAUCACCCAUUUGACAGUUUAAGCCCCUAUAUUUAAUUAAUCUAUUUUGGCCACCAAAUUAAUUCCUAAUUAAUUUAUGACUAAUACUAAUUAAAUAAUAUGAUUUUCCUUUUAAUAUAUUAAUAAAUCAUAAUUUCCUCUCUCUCUCCAUAAAUUACCUGGUAAAGUUGCUUUGGAGAAGGCAACCCAAAAGGACCAUGCACAACCUGGUCAAGUUCAUACCAAAUAUAGUUUCGGGCUUAGACACUAAUCCAACAGUCUCCCACUUGGAUAAGUCUGAUAACUAUAUCUCACAUAAGACUUCAGGAUCCGAUUAGCAAUCGUAUCUCUUAUACGUUGUUGUCAACUCUGAUCAAAAUCCUAUCCUUUAGAUAACGGAUCGUAUAAUCCUCUGUUCUAGAUAUCAUGCUGACAAUCACAUGGAACAUAGUCAUACUUAUUAUUCAGCACAUUGUUCCUCGAUCUCCAAUUUGUUUGACAUGGAACCUAGUUGAACACAUCAACUUUGUCCUGACCGAGCCCAACACAUAACUCAAACCAAAUCAUCAAGUGGCCAGAUAUCGUUUUCAUCCUCUUGGAAUAAAACGAAAAGAUAAACUUCGACUCAUAUGCUUUUAUUAUUCACUGGCUAACUCAUACACAACAAUACGUUCUAUAACAUCAAGUUACUGAUGCGUUUACCCAUUAUCAAUGCACAACCAACCAACAAAUAAUAACCAUAUCUCUAGGUUUAAAGAUUAUAUGAUAUUAUCGUCUUGCGAUCACUCGUGAGAAAUUCCAUGAAGUGAUACCAGCAAGCGCGUGUUUAUUCCAAUGCUCAAAUCAUACUUCAUAAGCACUCAUGAACUUUGCAGCAAACCUUUGUCAUGCCUAAAACCUUUUAGACAAUCUACAAACAAAUUCAUGACAGUCUUCUUUCAUAUCUACUUCCUGAUGGGUUUUGAGCAUUCUAACACUUCCAUCUGCGAGACGCUUGCUUCAAUCCAUAGAUGGAUUUCUCAAGCUUGCACACUCUAUUGGGGUGCUUCACAUCGACAAAAUCCUCUGGUUGUUUCAUGUAAACAUCCUCAGCUAACUUCCCAUUAAGGAAAGCAGUUUUAACGUCCAUCUGCGAUAUUUCAUAGUCAUGAAACGUAGAUAUUGCGAGCAUCACCCUAAUAGACUUUAUUUUCGCGACUGGUGAAAAGGUCUCAUCAUAGUCAACUCCUGGAGUUUGUGUAAAUCCCUUCGCAACCAAUCGUGCUUUAUAAGUGUGUACUUUCCCAUCCAUGUCCAUCUUCUUCUUAAAGAUCCAUUCGCACCCGACCGUCUUACGACCUGGUACAUUAUCAACCAAAUUCCAAACUUAGUUGUCGUACAUAGACUGAAUCUCACUAUCCAUUGCUUCUUUCCAUUUAGCAGACUCCGGGCCUGCCAUGGCUUCCUUGUAGUUGCUAGGUUCGUCCAAAUUUACUAGUGUACUAUCACUAAUAAAUGUAUCCCCUUCAGUAGUAAUAUGGAAUCCAUAAAACCGGGGUGGAACACUAGCCCUACUUGAAUGUCUAAGAGGUAAUGACUCGUCAACAGGUUCAACAGGAGAUUCCUACUCAGGUUGAUCGCCAGUGUUAGAGGUUCCUUCAUCACUCGACUCUUGAAGCUCUUCAAGAUCGAUUUUCCUUCCGCUGUCCCCUUGGCCUAUGAGUUCUCUCUCUAGGAAAACCCCUCUCCUUGCAACGAAGACAACAUUGUCACUCAGUCUAUAGAAGAGAUAUCCGAAGGACGUUUGCGGGUAGCCGAUGAAAAUACAUCACUCAUUACGAGGUUCGAGCUUGUCGUGAGUCUCUCGUCUUACGAAAGCCUUGCAACCACAGACCUUGAUAUGUGCCAACGAGGGAGCUUUCCCUGUCCACAUCUCGUGAGGUGUUUUGGUAACCUUCUUCGUGGGAACUAGGUUAAGGAUAUGGGCAGCAGUCUCUAAGGCACACCCCUAUAAAGCUAUUGGUAACGAAUUCCGACUCAUCAUAGAAUGAACCAUGUCCAACAAGGUCCGAUUACGUCUCUCAGCCACACCGUUCAGUUGUAGCGUCCUAGGAGGCGUCAAUUGCGAAACAAUUCCGCAUCCCUUUAGAUAGUCGUGAAACUCAAGACCUAGGUACUCUCCUCCUCGAUCAGAUCGAAGCAUCUUGAUUUUCCUGCCCAGCUGAUUCUCCACUUCAUUCUUAAACUCUUUGAACUUUUCAAAGGUUUCUGACUUUUGCUUUAUUAAGUAGAUAUAUUCAUAUUUGCUAUAAUCAUCUGUAUAAGUCAUGUAGAAGUGGAAAGCAUCCCUUGUGGUGGAUCUAAAGGGACCACAAACAUUUGUGUGUAUGAGAUCCAAUAGACCCUCACCCCUUGAACAAGUGCCAGUAAAGGGUGACUUGGUAAUCUUCCCAAGUAAACAAGACUCACACGUGUCAUUGUCCCUAAGGUCGAAUGACUCCAACACUCCAUCCUUUUGGAGUUGGGCUAUGCGUUUCUUGUUGACAUGGCCAAGGCAACAAUGCCACAAGCAUGAUUUGUCCAAACUAUUGGACGUAUCAAUAUUUAACACAAAAUUUCCUAAGUUGUACACAACCAACACAGAUUCAUAUAUUCCAUUACAAGGUAGUGCAUUAAAAUAGAAAACACCAUCAAGAGAAACAUUAAUAGAACCAUUACUAUUAUCAAAUGAAUAUCGAAACCCUUGUCUAUAUAAUCCAUGAAAAGAAAUGAUGUUCGUUGCCAUGUCUGGCGAAUAGCAACAAUUAUUUAAAUCUAAACCUAACCCAUUACUCAACACUAAGGAAUAAACUCCAAUCUUGGUAACUGGUGACGAUCUUCUGUUUCCCAUGACCAAGUUUAUCCUUCCAUGCUCCACUUCCCUACCUUUUCGCAGGCCCUACAAAUCAGAACAAAUGUGGAAACCACAUCCAGUAUCAAGAACCCAUGAAGUAGCAAGUGAUGAGUUAUUAGAUUUAAUUGAAUACAUACCUGCGAAGGUGGGCUUUAUCUUCCCAUCCUUAAUAUCUUGCAAAUAUUUUGGGCAACUUCAUUUCCAUUGGCCCUUAGAUCUCAUGGCAGUAAAAGCACUCUGCAUCCUUAGGGACAGAAGAUGGUUUAACGGAACCAACUUUGGUCCCACUAGAAGAGGAACCAUCUUGGGACUUCCCCUUUUGGUGGCUCUUAGAAGGAGCCUUCCUCUUCUUACCCUUUCCCUGCCCAAUUGCUAAUAUAGGGGCCGAUUCAGUAGGAAUAGAUGCAACAAAUUUAUCCUUUAGGUUCCUCUCAGCAGUUCUCAACAACCCUUGAAGCUUGCUCAAAGUGACCUCCUCUUUGUUCAUGUGGUAGGUCAUUCUGAACUAGUUGUAGCACGAAGGCAAGGAGUGGAGGAUGAUUUCGAUAGACAAAUCCUCAUCAAAGUUAACAUUUAACUUUAGAAGAUGAUCAACAUACCUCUGCAUCUUCUGCAGAUGCGAGGUUAGGGAUUCUCCACUCCCCAUCCUAGCGGUGAUCAUGUUAGUGAUGAUCUCAUAACGCUCUUGCUUCGCGCUUUGGUGGUACCUAUCCAUUAAAUCUUGAUGCAUCUCGCAUGGAUACAUGUCCUCGUAGGACUUUUGGAGUUCUGCAUUCAUAGUCGCGAGCAUGAUGCAAUGAACCUUCAUAGCAUCACGCUCAUGUGCCUCAAAGGCAACAAUUUCUUCAGGGGUGGCAAUGUAUGGAUUGAUCUUUUCAAGCUUCUCGUCGAGGACAUACUCCUUGUCCUCGUAGCGAGUGAUCAUCCGAAUGUUUCAGAUCCACUCGUUGAAGUUGUUGCCAUUAAAGAUCACUUUCCCACACAAAUUCCUGAGUGAGAAUCACCAUUAGCCGCAGGAGCGUUGUUCUUGUUUGCGUUAGACAUCUGAAAAUAGAAAGGGACAAGUUUGAUUAGAAUGAAUCCCCAAUUAAUCACUGAAAUGAGAAAUUAGGGUUAGGAUCCAACAACAUUAUUUACAACUUAGAAAAGGGAUAUCGUAAUCUAAAAGCAAAUAAUUUGAAGGUAAGUGAAUGACGAUUCACUAAUUUUCCACUAUGAAAAACAAAAGAAGAUUAUGUUUUAAAUGUUUUAUGAAAAACUCCUAGAUCUUUGAGAUUCAUUUAACUUUUCAAUGGCAUGUCUCAAUCUCGAUGUGCCCUUCAAGUUUGUGACUAGGAUACCGAGGAUCACAAACAAGGUGUGAAUAACCAUGUGAAUCAACAUGGUGCACUCAAUGUCACUAUCACCUAAUCAAUACGCCGGUUAGCCACACACAUUCCAUUGAUCUAUGAUAAACAUUGAGCCACCCGUUGCAACCAAUGUCAACCCCAAAUUAGUGUGUCGGUUAACCACACACGCUCAACUAACGUUUGACAAGGGUACGAAGCGUAAUUCCAUGGAAUAACGUCAUUUUCACAUUUUACAAUAAAGUAACUAAGAUUGGGAAUUUGAAAAACAUUUAGUUACUUGUAAUAUUCAUUAUACUUAUAAUGAGGAAUUAAAUGCCCUAUCAUAUCCGUUCGGCUAACGACCUUCCAUCAAUCAAGGAAGCGGUGGCUGAGAGUGGACACCCAUUAAGCGCCAUUUUAUAGGCAGCAACCUUAUACCCCCCUUAUAGACCGGCUUCGUGAAUGAGGCCUACUAGCGAUAAAAGUAGCUUAUUCUUAUACAUAUACAUAUAUAUAUAUAUAUAUAUAUAUAUAUAUAUAUAUAUAUAUAUUUAUAUUAUAAUAAAUAAAAUAUAAGUUUAANAGGUUAAAUUUUAAACUUGUAAAAUUCUAAGGGUUUGAAAUUUAAAUAAUUCAAAAUUAAACUUUUAAUCAAAAAUUUAAAUUCCAAAAGUUGAGGACAAGUUUUGAACUUUUCAAAACACAAAGGAUCAAAUAACAAAUAAUAUAAAUUAAACAAUUAAUUUUGUGAUUAUCUAUAUAUGACCUAAUCCAAUGUUAUUCAUAAGAUAAUUACCAAAUAAUUUAAACAAUCAACAUUUAUCAUAUAAAGAAACUAUUAUUCAAAUGAUUUGAAAUUAUCUUUUGUUUUGGUAAGGAUAAUCAUUUAAACACAAUAAAAUUCGGAUUUUAUCAUUAAAAAACAGCUUUGGCAUUUAUCCUUUAGCAAAACAACAAUAAAUCCCGAAAAUCUUUUUGUCUGACAGCUAAACUCGCCGAGUCUACCUUGGAACUCGUCGAGUUCAACCUGCUCGUCGAGUUCCUCAUGGAACUCGUCGAGUUCAUCAGGCAGUUAGCAAUAAAAAACGAUUUGAAAGCUUGAACAAAUAAACUAGGCAUCAAUACAAUAGAAACCAAACCAGUCUCUGAUAACACUAAUGGGUUUUACACACAAGAACUUUCCUAUGUGCUCAUGCAAACCCUAAUGUUUGGAUCUAGGUUUCUCUAUUGUACAUGCAUUGUAUCCAAGACUUACAAACCCUAAUCUAGCAUACAUAUUUCGAAAAUAUCAAGAUAUACCAGAUCUAGAUGUUUACCUCUUGAAAAAUCUUGGAUCUUCUUCUUCUUGGAGCUUAGAGUCACAAGUGUAACUCCUCUAAUGGCUUACAAACACCACACAAGCAAGAAGUCAAUAUGAGAGAGGGAAGAGAUGCUAAAAAUCGGCCCUAGGGUUUCCUUGGAAUCAAGUGGCUGAAAAUUGCAUGUAGGGGUCUCUAUUUAUACUGUAGGUUGCUAGGGUUUCAGUCAAAAACCCUAAUGGACAGCUUAAUCACCAAGCAGCCCAUGGAACCUUCUGGAAUAAGGCCUAUGGAUGAAAUUAUGAUUUCAAUAAUAAUUUCGUUCAACCUUUAAUCCAUUAGGUUUCCCAACCCAAAAACCAACUAUCACACAUUUGAUAGUUUAAGCCCCUAUAUUUAAUUAAUCUCUUUUGGCCACCAAAUUAAUUCCUAUUUAAUUUAUGACUAAUAUUAAUUAAAUAAUAUGAUUUCCCUUUUAAUAUAUUAAUCACAUAAUAUAUUAAAAAAUCAUAAUUUCCUCUCUCUCCAUAAAUUACCUUGUCAAGUUGCUUUGGUGAAGGCAACCCAAAAGGACCAUGCACAACCGGUUCAAGUUCAUACCAAAUGUAGUUUCGGGCUUAGACACUAAUCCAACAAGUUAUCGAUUCAGUUGAUGAUGCAGAGGUAUGUUAGAAAUAGCAACCUACUUUGAUUUCUUCCUUUUACAUCAUUGUCCUUUAAAGUACAUUGCAUGUAUAAGAAACAUUGAAACUAUUUCUUACAUUCAGCCCAAUACAAUUUUUGUUUUUGUGUCAGGUGAAAGUGGGAGGACAGGUGCAAAAUAAAGGGUAGGCAAUAGAAAGAAAUGAAAGUAAGUGUUGUGUGAUGUUGUAAUAGAAAGAAAUGAAAAUGAGAUGCCAUAAUAAUCAAAUAAAUGAAAUUAUAUUGCUAUUUCUUACAUUUAGCCCAAUAACAUUGUACAUUUGGCUCAACCCUUCCUAACCAUACAAUUGAAACAACAAGAUUCUAAUAGAAAGAAAUGGAAGUAUGACGCUAUAAUAACAUAUAAAUGAAAGUACAUUGAUAUUGAUUGCAUUAAUCUUAACAACAUUAUAUAUGGUGGACAUUUGAAAGUGUUGACAAAGACAAUAACACAUUGUUUGAAGAAGUGAGGAUCAUGGUUUUAAAAUAAAAGGUGGAGCAGUUGGAAAAAAAAAUCCUACACUCAAUGUGAAAAGCACUCCUUAAUGCCAUGAGAGGUUAAACUUUCUGCACAUAUAAUAUCUAUAUUACUUUGUAUCUGUCUGCAUUAGCCCGUUAUAAAUGUCCUAUAAUUUUUGUAUUAUUUUUUUGUUUGCAUUUUUUAGAAAAUUUGUAGCCUUUAUUAUAUUUUGAUUGGACAAUCGGAGACACCUAAGAGAUGUAUAUUUUUAGUGGCUUUUUUCUUAUACUAAAUGACAAAUGAAGGAAAGAUAGUAAAAAGAUAAUUCAAGUUGAAGGAGGGUUGGUAGUAAAGGAGUAAACAUUUGGUUAUGAUUGCAUAUUUUAGGGUAUAUUGGAAAAAUUAGCUAUAAUAAGGGAAUAAAAUGUUAAAAUAACCUCAAAUAAGGACCAAAAUUGUAAGAUGGAAAAAUAAGCUCUAAUCAUUGGUCUCUAUUCAAACUAAAGGAGUAACACAGGUCCUAUUCAAAGUAAAAUAUGUAUAGUUUUAGGACAAAAAUUGGAAAAAUCAGCUAUGAUCGGGGAUUAAAAUAGUCAUUUCGCUUGGAACAAUGACACAACAUGUUACAAUAACGGCCUAUAUGUAUAGUUUUAUGGUACACACUUUUGCGUAUCAUAAAUCACUGUGUGUCAUAGUUUGCGCGUCAUUAAAGGCCUAUAUUCUAGAAGUGAACCUCAAAUAAGGACCAAGAAUGCAAAGAUAAAAACUUUCUGGGACCAAAAUUGAAAAACAUAUAUACUCAUGGAUCAAAAUAUAAUUAAAUCAUAAUCUUAUGUUUCUUUUCUUCAGCAGGGUGUUAAGAUAAAUGAUCCACAAGCGUUUAAUGACCAAGAGGUGGAGGUUUGGUCGCGUGUUGUGUGGAAGCCAAAAUGGGCAGUUACAUUUUUGAUGUUAAAAGGAAAUCGAUGGAAACAACAACUAUGUUUUUCAAAAAUCUAAUUUGGGCAUUAGAGGUCGUAUUGUUCUUAUUGAAGAUGUGUCACUUGAUGGAACUUAGUUAUCAGUUCACUUGAUGAUUUCGAGUUAUGUUAGAAAUAGCAAUGUACUCUCAUUUACCCCAACCUAACCUAUUUAAUGAGCAGGUUGAACCUGAGUUGAUCUAUUCAAAUUUCCAAUAAUAUAUCCUUGAAAAUCAACUAAUCCUUCAAACACAAUUACAUAAAACUUAAAAACUCCGAUAAUUGUUCACGUUUGAAAAUAAUACAACGAUAAGUCUCUAGUAGAAACACAAAUAAAGUGUUUACAACCAUAAAAACAUUAUACACGUUUAAUCUUUAAAUGCUAGACAGCUCAACUUUCAAUAAUGAUCACCAAUCCACAUUUUUUGAGUAGAUAAUAUUAAAAAAAUUUAAGCGGGUUCGCUAGCUGUAAGCAGAUUGAGAAUUUUAACCCUAACAUAGCCCAUUUAAUUAAAUAUAUUAGAUGGGUUAAGCCGUUUAGUUAAACGUGUUAAAGAUCUCAACCAAACCAGCUAAUUACCAACCCUAAAUAAAGGGUGGAUGAUUGAAAGUGUUGAUAAAAACAAAAGUCUGUUACCUAAAGAAAUGAAGAUUGGGGAUUUCAAAAUUAAUAUAAAUGGAGCAAUUGGAAACAUCUUAUAGUGAACCUAGGAAGCAUUCCUUGAAGCCAUGAGGUUAAACUUUUUGUAUAUUUGAUUCUAACCAUAUGGUGCUAAUAUGACGUUCAUGUGGAUUUUCUCUUUUAUUUAAUUCUUAUUUUAUUAAACGUUAAAUUUAUUUUAAUAUAAAAGAAUAAUUAAUAUGUAUAUUUUUAUGUAUUGAAAACCUUAGAGUGAUAUUAUGGGCAAAAAGUGCAAGUUCAAACGGUACCUAUUACCUUUUAUUCUCAACCUUUUCUUUCUAAAAAACUUGUUCAUCUAUAGUCAUCUUUGGGUCAUGCGUUGCAGAUGCAAUAGAGGCCGUUUGUUGCAAAUACAAUAGAGAACUCAAUAAUAGAAAUGAUAAACUAGAGUAAAUUAAGCUUUCAAUUUCCAUUUAUAACUUUUUUUUUUUGGGGNNNNNNNNNNNNNNNNNNNNNNNNNNNNNNNNNNNNNNNNNNNNGGGGGGAGGGAGGGGGAGGGGUGAAAUUUUCGGUUGCUCAUUUAUUUCGGAAUCAUUGAUGCAGAAAACCGAUGCUAAUCAUGUUUUCCAUUGCGAAAUAUAAUGGAAGUGCCAAAGUAUGAUAUCUAAUGGAUUUACCAUUACACCGUUACUAAACAGGUUGUUCGUUUCAAACAAAAUUGAUUUGUAUCAAACUAUUUUUUUUCCACAAUGGUCCGGUUCGGUUUCCAAUUUUUUUAGUGUGCCUCUAAUUUUCAUUGUGUUUUUUUAUGCUAGAAUGUAUGAUUUUUUUAGGAUAUAUUAUUUCAUACAAAACAGGGAAAAUGGCCACCCAUGGUGUUGGUGGCAAAUAUAUUGAUAUGGGGGAUUUAAAAACUCCAACCAAAUUACAUUACAUUACAUACUGGAAAAUAAGAAAUCAAAAAUAAAAACUAGAUGACAAACUACGUGUGUCUAGCCUUUUGCAAACUUGAAACGAACACAACCACUUUCACAUAAACCCAAUCUUUGAAGCUGUCAUAAAAUUGAAAAAAUGCACGUCUCCCUCGACGGUUGAGAAGUAAAGCGCC
RNAcentral lists this long non-coding RNA (270179 nucleotides) under Lactuca sativa (garden lettuce). RNAcentral's name for it is "long non-coding RNA (LSAT_LNC006425)". The record is from RNAcentral. Lineage: Eukaryota; Viridiplantae; Streptophyta; Magnoliopsida; Asterales; Asteraceae.